AAUUAUUCAAGGUUACGUGUGUUGAGAAUGUUCGCUACUGGCUUGGGCAUUUUUCAUGAAGCACCAGAAGACAGCGUUUUAUUUGGUGGGGGUGAAGUUUUAGUACAGGAAUUGCUCGGUUUGAAAUAUUUAGAGGUAUUGGAGUUGACCUUGGGAAGUUAUCAUGCUCUCCAAAUUCUUUUGAGCUCAAAUAAGUUAAAAAGUUGUAUUCGAUCUCUUUACCUCGAGUUGACCGGAGAUACAGCGUCAAUUAUUGAUGCUACGGCUUUCGCAGAUCUAAACCACCUCAAUGAAUUAUAUAUUUUUAAAGGUAUUGAGUUGGAAGAAUUGAAGAUUGAUUAUACGGAGAUAGUACGAAAAAGGCGGGAACCUUUUGUUUUCCGCAGCCUUCACUGUGUUAUUAUGGUUUCGUGCCGUAAAUUGAAAGAUGUGACAUUCCUCGUUUUUGCUCCAAACCUCAAGUCUCUUUUGGUAGACGGUUGCGAUGCUAUGGAAGAAAUAAUCAGCGUCGGAAAAUUUGCUGAGACUCCUGAGAUGAUGGGACAUAUAAGCCCUUUUGAAAAUCUCCAAAUGCUUGAUUUAACGGCAUUGCCGGAGUUGAAGAGCAUCUACUGGAAGCCAUUGCCUUUCACUCAUCUGAAAGAAAUGGAGGUACUUAGGUGCGAUCGGCUUGAAAAGCUUCCACUCGAUUCCAACAGUUCAAAGGAGCGUAAAUUUGUUAUUUGUGGAUACACAAAGUGGUGGAACCGACUUCAAUGGGAGGAUGAAGCCACUCAAAUUGCUUUUCGUUCCUGUUUCCAACCAAUGGGAGUACUGAGCGGUGGUCGCAAAAUUUGAUUUCUGGUGAGUGCGUUUUUGUUAACGCUUAUGUUUUUAUUCCAGUGUGUUUUUCUUCUGUCUUCUGCAAAUCAAUGCUUUAUAAAUUUUCCUUUUCCCUUUUUUUUUGGGGGGGGGGGGGGGGGCGUGGGUCGAAUUGAUGCUCUGGUUUUUUACUUUUUGUUGUCAAAUUUGGCCUUUUUUUUUUUUUUUUUUUUUUACAAGUUGAUACUUUAUUUAUAUCUUCUUAGCGAUUUAAUUUCCUGUCAAAAGACGAGCGAGAAGAACAUAUGACUUAAAGCAAUUGAUACUUUAUUUAUGUGCAUUGUAUGUAAUAAAUAUUAAGUAUACUUUAUUUUGCCCUGUUCUCUGUUUUUAUUUCAGUCUCUCUCUCGCUCUCUCUCUUUCCUGUCUUCUGCAAGUCAUAAUUAAAUGUUGAAUUAUAUGGAAUUAAUGCUUUAUAAAUCUGCCUGCGCUGGCUUUUUUUUUUUUUUUUGUGGGGUCGAAUUGAUGCUCUGGUUUUCGACUACUUUUUGUUGUCAAAAUUUUCUCUGUUUUUUCAAAUUUAUAUCUUAUUCGUGAAAAGUGAUUUAAUUUCCUGCCAAAAGACGAACGAGAAGAACAUUAGAGUCAAACUAAUGCUCACAUAAAUUUCCCGUAAGAAUAUAUAAUUAGACUGGAAUGCACACCUCUAGAUUGAACAGAAUUAAAGCUGAGAAAAUAUUGAGUAUAGUAGCCCUCUUUACAGAAAAUGACGCGAAAGUUAAUUUAGAAAGAUAUAUUCUCGAUUAAUCCAUUUUCUGAAUUUUUUUUUUAUUUUGUAUGGUCAAUUUUUUUUUUAAAUUACAACCUCAUAGUCAUGCUAUUCAUUCACUCACAGACCAAAGGCUUUCCGCAGCAAUAUUAUUAUUUAAAUUACAACAAAGGGGGAAUCAAAUACGUCAUACAGAAGCUUAAAGCUGAAUCUACAAGAUCUAGAGCUCUCAAGAUGAAGCUUGUUCAAUAUCUCAUCCAAAGCUUGUAAAGUAACCUUGUAACGAUCUUGAGAUUGCCUGCCUUCCUCGACGACCUGCACGAUGCGUUUGUACAAAUCAUCAUACUUGUGCACUGGAUUUUUAAUAUCAACGCCACUGCAGCUGUGAUCAAGAACAUGAGAGCGUUUAACAUCUUUUCUCCAUCAAGAAAGAACGUAGUGAGAUGGGAUCUCCUGCAUGCCACUCUGGUUUAGAACACAAAGAAUGUGUCUGCAUAAAUAUCCUCUGAAAUUGAACAACCCACAAACACAAAGCAUCUCCAAGUCAGAGGCAUUGUACAAAACAUCGAAAGCCCUUGAAUCUUUCUCGUUGCUACCAACCUCAAAUUCUUCCUUCACUAUGUAUGUUAUAGGUCCAUCAGCACUGACAUGUUUUGUGCUAUAGCAAAGAGUACAUAGCCUCCACCUCCAUCUGAAACUUCCUUAACAUUUCAUUUGUGUACAGUUUUGAGAGUUGAAAUUCAUAGUAACAUAUUGGUUUCUGGAUACAACUUGAAUUUCUUGAAUCCAUAUCUGCCAAGGCUUGCAGUUGAUAAUUGGCCCGCAGUGCUUGAUCAUACUUGUCUAAGAAUUCUUUCAAAGGAGUAUUCUUAUCAAGAUAUCCUUCAAAGUAUGAAGUAGAAACCUCAUUCUGCAGUAACGAAAACACUCCUGAUAAAAAAGCUUCCUUCAAAUAAAUAGGAGCCCACCUUUUACGAUCUUCAUAUAAAGUUUGAAUCCAUCCGUGAUCCUUUAUUCCAUGACGUUGAAUCAUGUCUUCCCAAGCUGCUUCAAAUUUCUCAGGCCUGAGAGAGUGAUAAAUUGCUCUAUGUAAUGCAGCUUUAAUAGCUUCAUAUUCAAACAAUCCUUGGAGUUUCUCUGGAAUUUUUUGCAUGACGCUUUCCUUCAAUGAUAAGACAAUGAACAUAAACGAGACACAAAAAAAAUUAUUUUAAACUGACAGCCCAUGAUAUAAAUCAAACAAAAUCAACUCCUUUUUUUACACAUCACAUCUCAUAUUCAUUUGCAUUGAAGCACAAAAAGGAAGCAGGAGUGGGAAAAAAAAAACAACAGCAGAGGAACUUAUUUCCAUAAGGUUUAGGAAAUAAGGAAUUUAUUAAGACACAAAAUUUGAGGUUACCAAUAAGAAUUUGGUUCUCAUUAUUUUUUUCUUCAUUUUUCACCAAUUGAUGAACUUAAAAUACAAUCAUCAAUGAUAAAACCCCAUCUCCAUCUUUUUGAACUAGAGCUAAAGCAAAGCAUUUUAAGAUGUUUCAUCAUUUUUUUUAAUAAAAAAAAACCUCAAUAGUACAAUGUUUUUCAAUGUUAAAUGCACAACUCAAUCCUCUCCUAAUUUACUCUAAUAAUCUCUUAAUUAAGGAAGAUUAAGCUUCAGUUGUAAGCUAAAACAAAUUUCUUAAAUCAAGCCCCAAUGCUUUAUGCUAUUCAACAAGGGCUCAUAAAUGAUAAAACUACUUCUACAAAGAUACCCAUUUUCUAAAUUAAUUUCAAAAACUGAAAUCAAACUCCUGAAACGUAACGAGCAUUAAUAUAAUCAAACCCGAACAGGAAUUGAAAAAUGACACAUAAACUCGUUUACACAUUUCGACAGACACUUUGCAAUCAAUGAGCAAAAAAUUAAUGGAGAAGAUAAAAUUCAAACGAAACAUGCCUUACAUUGAUAAAUUAGAAGGGCAAAAGAAAUUUUAGUACGAUAUGGGAUCAGGGUCUUGCCACGGUGAUGUUAUUUGUGAUGUUCGAGCGACUCAGCAGCCUUCGAGGUUGAAAAUUUGAUUGACCGAAAGCUUCCCGUUCGUUGAUUCUCUAAUAGCAGAAACGAGACUGGCAGUAUACACAAGAAGUUCGCUGAUUUUAAAUUCCGUUGUUUGAGAUGGAAAUUUUUUUGAAAAAAUUAAUGUGUUCGAUGAAUAUCAAAAUCUCAAAAACUUUUUGUUUCUCAUAGCACCCAUGCAUGAUGUGUUGUUUCUCUAAAAGUUUGAGACACAAAUGUUAUUUCAAAUUGAAACGCCAUGCACUAGUAGUAGACUAGUAGGUAGGAGAAACCAAGGUUGAAGUUACUGUUCAUUUAUUUUUAUUUAUGAUUUUUUGUAAAAUGUAAGAAAUAUGUAGAAAUGUUGCCAGCAAUGAUUUUGGAACUUUGCAUAAAAUUUUUAUCAUUAUUGUUUUUGGUAUUAAGAAAUCCGAGGCGGUGAUUAGACGUAUGUUGCAACAAUUAAGAAAUUUCUUAUUGGAGAUAAUUUGGUAGGUUGCAACAAUUAGAGAAUCAUUUUCCUGUCAGUUAAUCAAUCAAUAAUAAAUUUCAAAUUGCAGAAAAUAAAAUAAUACUGUCACACUUAGAAUCAUCUUUUCUAUCUCUUUCAAUUGUGGCAAUCAUUUGUAACAAAUAAAUCAAUUUGAUGCACAUCAUUUCCCCAAUUCAAAGUUCAAGUCACUGCUCAAUUGCAGAGUAGUUAGUAGACAUGCAUGCAUGUUUAAUUAAGUACUGCAUUGUAGUAUCGAAAAUCAUAAUAUCUCACCAAGCCCGGAAGCAUAGCUCUUUAUCUUGUAAACGUUGAAAUCUUAUGCAAACUAUGGGAAACAUGAUCUCACUCUCAGUGUCACUUGAUUCCAUUUUCUGUUCUUGCCUUGAUUUCGAUGUUGGGAAUGUGACGUCUGAGUCCAAGGUUGAAGAUAAUCUCGAUGCCUUGCGGACUGCAAUGGAAAAAUAAGCGGAAACGAGAAAUGAUGUGAUAAGAAGAGUUACUGUUGCUGAAGGACAACAUCAAAUGCAACGAAUGGAUCGAGUGCAGGGCUGGCUUUCAAGGGUAAAAGCUGUGGAAAAUAAAGCUGAUGAUUUGAUGAGACACAGCUCUCAAGAGAUUGAGAAGUUAUGCCUUGGAGGCUUCUGUUCCAAGAACUGCAAAUGAAGCCACAGCCGUGGGAUAGAAGCUGCUACAAUGCUACGAGUUGUGGAGACUUUAAUGGGUGAAGGAUCAUUUGAAUUGGUGGCUGAGAGGGUGCCAGAAGAUGCAGCAGACUGAGCAGAGGAGAUAAAUUGUGAGUCAACAAUAAUGGGCAUGGUGUCGACUUUUGAGAAAGCCUGGAGAUGCCUUGAAGAAGAAUCAGUUGGAAUUAUUGGCCUAUAUGUCAAUGGGAGAGUUGGAAAUAUUUACUCAAAUCAACAACAAGUUCCUUGAUAGUCCAAAUAAUUUUGAUGUUGCAAUCUGGGUAGUGGUCUGCCAAGAUUUGCAACCCCAGAAGUUUCGGGAAAAGAUUGGGAAAAAGAAAGGCUUGUUCGAUGAGUCAUGGAAGAACUGAAGUUUUGAAGAGAAAGCACUCGAUAUAUUCAAGAAUUUAAGCAAGAUGAAGUUUGUAUUACUGCUGGAUGAUAUAUGGGAGCAGGUUGAUUUAAUUAAAAUUGGUGUCCCUCUUCCAAGCACAAAAAUUACAUUCAAGAUAGUCUUCACAACUCCUUCUAUUACAUUUGUGGCCUCAUGGAAGCUCACAACAAGAUUAAAGUGAAGUGUUUAAAUGACGAAGAAGCAUGGGAAUUAUUCUGCAAGAAGGUUGGAGAAGAUGUGGCGACUCUGUACAAGUGCUAAGGAGCUCAGCCUCAGAAUUUCUAGGUAUGUAAAAACAAGUAUAUCCUCUUUUGAAAUUCAGUUAUGAUAAUUUACCUAGCGAUAAAAUUAGAUCGAGUCUGUUAUACUGUAGUUUGUUCCCAGAAGACUUUCCAAUUAGCAAAAUGGAAUUGAUACUGAGAUACGAAAUCAAGGAUACUACAUUAUUGGUGUUCUUGUUCCUUUAUGUUUAUUGGAAGAAGAGGCUCCACUGUUUGUAAAAGUGCAUGAGGUGAUACGCGAUAUGCUUCUGUGGAUAGCAUGUGAAAUUUUAUUUUUAUUUUUUUAUAGGGAUAUCAUGUGAAGUUGAGAAGGAGAGAGAGAAUUUUUUGGUUCGUGCAGGUGCAAGGAUUAACUGAAGUACUAGACAUUUGGAAAUGGGAAGGGUUGAGAAGGGUGUCUUUGAUGAUCAACAAAACUGAGAAGGUAUCAGAAAUUCCUUCAUCUCACGAUCCACUAACUUUGUUGCUUCAACAUAAUUAUUUAGAGGUGAUCAAUAAUGACUUCUUCCAAUCUAUGCAUUCCCUUAGAGUUUUGAACUUAUCAUGUAAUCAUUCUCUAACUGAUCAUUUCAAAGUUAGUUUCCCUACAUACGAGAGUUGCCGAAUGAGUUAACGUUCGUAGUGAAUCUUAAGUUUUUGAAUGUGGAGUCUGCACGGUUUCUUCAUUCAAUUCCAGGGCAAGUGAUAUCCAGUUUUACGAUGUUACAAGUUUUGAAGAUGUUUGGUUGUGGCAGGUCAUCUUCUGAUCGUGAGCCACACCAGAAGAUAGCGUUUUAUUUGGAGGCAGUGAACUUUUGAUUGCGGAGUUGUUUGGUUUGAGAGACAUUUAGAUGUGUUGACCAUCAUCCUAAGAAGCUCCCAUGCUCUGAAAAGAUUUUUGAGCUCCAACAAACUUCAAAGUUGUACUCAAUCUCUCUAUCCUAAAUGCUUUGAUUCGAAGUCAGUUGAUGUUUUUUGCCUGGCUGAUCUGAAGCAUCUCAAUAGGCUAUAGAUAUUGCGAGUUGUAAGCUUUUGGAAGAAGUGAAGAUUGACUUUGUUGGGAAAGCACAAAUGAACUCAUGGUUUUCACAGCCUUAUGUCACGGAAGUUGUGUAAACACUGCACGGGUUGCUGCGCAAAGUAACCAUCCUAUGACAUUGAGCCAUGUUGAAAUAUCAUUUUGCUGUAAACUGAGGGAUUUGACAUAGCUUGCUUUUGCUCCAGACCUUCUUGUUGUUUCCAGAAAGCAUUGCCAUGAUAUAGAGGAAAUACUCGGUGUUGGAAAAUUAGGUAAAGAGAUGAUGUCAAACCUGGAACCCCCUAUAAAACUCCUAAGGUUAUGUCUGGCAUGUAGGAUUGGAUUGAACUAAAUUAUUAGGACUGGAUUAAAUUGGGUUAUAUUUAUAUUCUUAUGUUUGGUACAGUACUGGAUUGAACUAUAUUAGAUUAUAUUUAAAUAAUAUUAAAUAGUAUUUAAGUUGGUAUUUUAAUAUAAAUAUCAAUUAUCCAUGAAAUUUUAUAAUCAUAAUUAAAAUAAAUUUAAAAAGCAAUUACUAGAAAAAUUAAAUAUAUUACAAAAAGUUAUUGGGUAGUCAUAAUAUAAUAAGCAAAUAAAAUUAAAUAAAACAAAUUAAAUAUUUAAUUAAUUUUUAUCAAAUAUUUAAAAAUAUUAUAUAAAAUCAAUUAAUUAAUGGUUUUAUUAAUUUUCAUGAUUAUUUUUAAUAUUACAUUAGUAAUUAUUAAAUUUAAUACAAUCAAAUAAUGCAAUAAAUAAUUAAACGUUUAAUUUUAUCGAUUAAUUAUUAAAUAUACAAGUAAUGAAAAUUUAAUCUCAGGAGUUGGCAGAAGCAAAAGUACUAAUUUAAUUAGAUCAUAGAUAAUAAAUAAAAAUUAAUUUUAAGUAAAUCAUAAUAAAAAAAUUAAUUAAUUGAUUCAAUCAAUCAAUAUUAGGUGUAAAUAAAAAAAGAGUAAUGAUAUAGCCACAAAUUCUUGUACAAACUUAUUUUGUACAAACUCAUGUGUCAUGAUAAGAUUAGUUGAAUUAAAUAUCACUUGGCCCACAUGAUUUGUUUUUAUUAUUUUAUAUUUUUAUUCAACCAAUGAAUUAACGCCACGUCAGUUUGUACAAGAGUUUGUGGUUGUAUCAUCACUCAUAAAAAAAAAGAUACAAAUAAAAAUCUCAUAAAUGGACAACUUUUAUCUUUAAUCUUAUCCCAACUAAACACAUGUGUGAAUUAAGAUUAUUAAUCCCAUGAUUUUAGGAUUAAAUUCAAAUUAAUUCCCCCUUAAUCCAAUCCAACUAAACUUGUCAAACAUGGGAUAAAAGUUUAAUUCUAAAAUUAGUCCAAUUCCAUACUUAAUCCUAGCAUCCACAUAUAGCCCAAGUUGUUUGCUUAAAGAAGCUACCAAAUUUGAAGAGCGUUUACGGGAAGGCCUUGCGUUUCCCAGAUGUAUGCAGAAUUUUUGUAUCCAAAUGCCCAGAACUUAAGAAGCUGACGCUGGAUUUUGAAAGGGCGGGCCAAGGUAAAAUUCUUAUCAAGUGAAAGGAAAAUCGGUGGAAACAACUUCAAUGGAAGGAUCAAGCAACUCAGGAUGCAUUGCUUCUGUUUUUCAAAUCAACUGACAAGUGAUUGAAGGGGGCAUCAUCAGCCUGGAUGGGGAGAUCCUGGAGCAGAUCAGCAGGGUUUGAAUCUGCAUCAUCAACAUCAUCAGGAUCUCUAUUUCUAUUGCUGGUCGUAAUGCCUGCCUACUGUUACUUGAAAAAGUGAUUAAGUGAGCCAGUUUUUUGUUUAUUAAAUUUUGUCUUGUAGAGACAGUCACAAAGUAUUUUUCUUAGUUGUUCUAUAUGAGAGUGAUGUGAAUCAAUUUUUCAAUUAUAUAUUCUGUGGGAAAUUGCAAGUAUUUUUAAAAUAUGAUCGUUAUUAAAGGAAACAAAGGAAUCAACACAGCAUACUGAACCUCAGCAGUAUGAAGCUAAUGAUUAAACUCCUCACACAAUUCAUAACAUGCAAAACCAUUCACAAAAUCAUCCCCAGCAACCAUAAUUGGCGUCCAAUAGAAAUUUACAAGAAUUACUUUUCUGUUCAUGCAAUCGGCGUCCGAAUGCGGCUGAUCGGUCACCGGUGUUGGCGUUUACUGUGAUUAGACAAAUUGUAGGAAUUCAAAAAUAACUUCUAUAGGGGUAAUUUCGAUUUCACAUAAUUAAUUUUAUUUACAAUAUUUUAUUCCUGCUAGAUCAAUUGAGAUUCUUUCCACCGGGCACACCCUUCAUGUUCUUUUAUUUUCUGUCUUUUAUUAGCCGUAGGAUUUUACUACUCUUAUAUCCAACGGCUUGCCACAACAAGACAAAUGAGGUGGUACCUUCCAACCGCUGAAAGGUCGUUUUGGCCCCAGGUGAAAGAGGGAAAUAGGGAAUUGAUGCUAUAUUUUAUAUUUUCUAUUUUACUACUCUUGUAUCCACCGGCCUUUCUUAUAUUUUAUUGCAAAUUGAUGCUAACAAGAAAAAGCUACAUCAUAUUCCACAAAAAACAAAAGUGACAAAACAACCAGUUGGAUUCUUUUAUUAAACUACAAAUUAAAUGGACUUUUUUUUAAUAAACUAUAUAUGAAAGUAGAAUCUUUUGAAUAUAAGUGGGGUAGACUUCCUUUCCAAAACAAAAAAUGCGGGGUAGGCUCUUUUAUUAAAGACAAGUCACAAGACGAUUAGAGUCUUUUAUUAAACUGCAAAUUGUAUAGUCUUUUUCAAAUUGUACAGACAUUUAUAAAUUGGUGGCCCCUUGGAAAUUUAAUGCCAAGCAGAGAAAAGUCAUCAUGCACAAUCCUCAAUAAUUGUUUCGAUAUUUAUAAAUUGGUGGCCCCAACGAAUAAUUGGGAUCGGUUAUGGUGCAAUUAUAGAACCAUGGCACAGUUGCAUCCAGCCGUUAAAUGCACUUAGAUUGGUGAGGUUUAUUGGCAUCUAAUGGCUGAAUGUAACUAUAAUACGGUACUACAGUUACAACACAAGUUUCCACCAAUAAUUGUUCCGAUAAUUAUAAAUUGGUGGCCCCUUGAUAAUUUAACAGCAGCCUGCAAGUGCCAACCAGUGAAAAGUCAUCAUUCACAAUCUUCCAAGUGAAAUAGGAGAUAUACAAAAUAAUAAAAAAAAAACAUGUCAAUUCUUUUUUUUUUUAUUCAUUCCCUUUCAUGUUCUUGAUAAGGGAGGGAGGACGUGACAUGUAAUGUAACUUACACCCAAAUACAUAAAUAAUAUAAAAUGAAUGGAUAGAUGCCCGAGCAGAUCGGCAGGGUUCGAAUAUGACCUUUGGUGCUUGCUUUUUUUUUUUGUGAUUUUGUUUUUCAUUUUUUCCUUCCUGUCAUUUUAUCAUUUCUUUGGCUUUGUCUCUAUUGCGGGUGUUACUGCAUGCUUACUGUUGCUUGACAAAGUUUGCUAGCUGAAAGAAACUUAGUUCUAUAUUGUUUGGUAGGCUAGAAAAUGAAAGGAAAUAAAAGAAAAGCUUUGCAAAGAAAUCUGUUGGAUCUUUUAUUAUUCCAAACUUACAGUUUAAUGACUACUAAUUGAUAUUUAUAUUGAGCUACAAUCUCUUAACAUACACACGAGAUUGUUGCAACACAUAACCAUUUGCUGUAUAACUAACUUGACACAUCAGCUCAACCAGCUAACUAACUUUGACAGGUCAGCUUAAUGAUUUGAUCUGCUACAACCAGCUACACAACACAUCAUGCUCUGCUCCAGCUACACAGCAACAUCAUGCUCUGCUCCAGCUUCAUCUAAUUCACUAACAUCCCCCUUCAAGCUGAAAUGUUUAGGAUGAACAUUCAGCUUGCUGCGGAAGUAACUAAAUUGUUUGAAAGUAAGAGCUUUAGUCAACACAUCUGCAGUUUGAUCUUGACUAGGCACAUAACAGACUGCAACUUCUUUAGCAGUAACUUUAUCUCGGAUGAAAUGGAUAUCCAAUUCAACAUGCUUAGUUUUAGCAUGAUAGACUGGAUUAUAAGCUAAAGCAAUGGCUCCUUGAUUAUCACACCACAUCAUAGGAGUAGAGCUCAAUUUGAUGCUAAGUUCACCAAGUAAAGACUUGAUCCAGGUAACCUCUGAAGCAGCAUGAGCAAGAGAUCUAUACUCAGCCUCUGUGCUGAAUCUGGAAACAACAGCUUGCUUCUUGGACGACCAAGAGACAAGAUUAGGACCUAGAUAAACAGCAAAGCCAGCUACUGACUUCCUAUCAUCAUGAUCACAAGCCCAAUCAGAGUCUGAAAAACAAUGGAGUUGCAGAGCUCCUUGGUUGUAGAAUUGCAGCCUAAGAUGGAUAGUACCUUUUAAGUACCUCAAUAACCUUUUACAUGCUUCCCAAUGUUGAGUCCUAGGAUUGGAAAGGAACUGACUCAACUUAUUGACAUAAAAAGCAAUGUCAGGUCUGGUAAGAGUAACAUACUGAAGAGCUCCUAUAACACUUCUGUAUUGAGAAACAUUGUCAAUUGGCUCCCAUGAGUCUUUGGUGAGAUAAUAACCUGUAGACAUUGGAGUUGGCACAGGACUGCAAUCAAUCAUGCCAUGUUUGUCCAGAACAUCAGCAAUAUACUUUGCUUGUGUCAAGGAAACCCCUUUUGAAGACUUGCUGACUUCAAUCCCCAAAAAAUAGUGAAGUUCCCCUAAAUCCUUUAAAGCAAAAGUCUGAUGCAUAUUCUGAAUAGCUUGCUGAAUCAAUGAUGGACUGGAACCAGUGAUGAUAAUAUCAUCAACAUAGACUAAAACAAUAGUUAUAUGACCACUGUUCCAGGCAUAAAAAAGAGAGUUAUCAGACCUUGAAUGCUGAAAAUGCCACUGGGAGAUCAUUGCAUCCUUAAAUCUAUCAAACCAGGCUCUAGGAGCCUGUUUUAAACCAUACAAAGCCUUAUUCAGCUUGCAAACAUGAUUAAGUUUAGUUGAAUCAACAAAACCUUGAGGUUGAGCCAUGUACACAUCUUCAAUUAAAAUGCCAUUGAGGAAUGCAUUAUUAACAUCCACCUGCCUAAUAACCCAGUGGUUCAAUAUUGCUAAGCUAAGAAUAACUCUGAUAGUUGAAGAUUUAACCACUGGACUGAAGGUUUCUGUGUAGUCAACCCCAUGUGUCUAAUGAAACCCCUUAGCAACAAGCCUGGCUUUAUACCUUGAAACCGAGCCAUCUGAGUUAUACUUAAUUCGAAACACCCACUUGUUACCAACUAUCUUCACUGGAGUAGCAGGUAAAACCAAAUCCCAGGUGUGAUUAGUUUUAAGUGCUAGAUACUCUUCUUGCAUAGCUUUAUACCACAUAGGAUCAGAGAGUGCUUUGGAAACAGAAGUUGGUUCUGAUUGCUGGGCUAACAAGGCUGACAAAUAAACUUUUGGCUUAAAAAUACCUGCUUUUGAUCUGGUUACCAUUGGAUGACCAGAUGGUGCAUGUUGUGGUAAUGUAUGUGGAGGUGAGGAAUGGGAAGAUGAGAAAGGAGAAACUGAGUUGGAAUUAUCAGAAAAAUAAACUGGAGUAGAGUUUGGGAAUGAAAUAGAAGCAUUAGACUGAUGAUCAGUAGGUUGAGGUGCUGAUGAUGCUGCUAAAGGUGCUUGUAACUGAGUAACAGAAGAAGUAGAAGACUUAAAAGAAGACUCAGAGUGUGAUGUAGACUGACAGCUUAAAGAGGUUGAAGAAAACUCUACCCCAGACUCAUAAGGAAAGGAAUUUUCAUCAAAGGUGACAUAAUUGGAAAUAUACACCCUUCCAGAAGAGUGAAGACACAUAUAUCCCUUGUGUUGUGAACUGUAGCCAAUGAAUAUACAUCUAGCAGUUCUGAAAUCAAACUUAUAUCUAUUGUAUGGUCUGAGUGUUGGAUAACAAGCACAGCCGAAAGUUUUAAGUGUUGAAUAAUCUGGUUGAUAAUGAAACAACUUUUGGAAAGGAGAAAUGUUAUUUAGAACUGGAGUUGGAAGUCUGUUUAUCAAAUAGACAGCUGUGUGGAAUGCAUUCCACCAAAAUUUGAGUGGUAAAUGUGCUUGAGCUAAUAAAGUCAGACCUACAUCAACUAUGUGUCUAUGCUUCCUCUCAAUUCUUCCAUUUUGGUGAUGAAUAUGUGGGCAAGGGUGUCUAAAAUGGAUACCAGAAGUAGUGAGUAAUGAGGAAAAAGAUCUGAACUCCCCUCCCCAGUCAGUUUGGACAGUUUUGAUGGAAAGUUGAAGAUGCUUUUCAAUGAAUGUUUUGAAAUUUUUAAAAACUUCAAGAGCAUCAGAUUUUGCUGAUAAAGGGAAUAUCCAGGUAAACCUACUAUAAUCAUCUAGGAUUCACAGGUAGUAGUUAUAUCCUUGGGUAGAACAAACAUGAGAAGGACCCCACAGAUCUGCAUAUAUUAGUUGUAAAGGUUCUGAAGUUUUUGUUUCAACUGAAUCAAAAUGCAGCAUAUGAUUUUUCCCAUAUUGACAUGCAUAACAAAAUUUCAAACUUUCAACUUUAUUAAGAGCAGUAAAGUUGUUACAAGCUUUGAGUAUGGUUUUGAGAGUAUAAGGAGCUGGGUGUCCUAAUCUUCUAUGUAGAAGAUUUACAUAAGUUAAACCCUUUGCAACAACUGACAGACAUGACUUUUUAUUCAGCUCAUAAGAACUAACAGCAGAAGGCUUAUCAGAAGUAAAAACAGGAGAACAAGCAAAAAGAGACUGAAUUUUUUUUUUACCAACUGAACUGAGAAAAACUGAGUGAGCAGCAGCUUGUGAAGAGACUCUAUACAAGCCACCUUUAGCAACACCUUCAUGUAAAAUUUUCCCUGUGUUCCUGGCCUUUAUAAAACAGAAAUCACCAAGAAAUUCAACAGUAACUGGAUUGUCAGCCAAUAAUUUGGAAAUGCUAAGUAAAUUCUUAGUAAUAAAGGGAAUAUGAAGAACAUGGUUAAGAAAUAAAGAUUGAGAAUUUGAAGUGUUCAGCACAACUGAUCCUAUAUGUGUAACAGCUAAUGCAUUUCCAUCCCCAACAAAUAACUUCUCAGUACCAGUAUAAGCUUGUGAAUCUAGAAGUUUACCUAGAUCAUUAGUAAUGUGAUUUGUGGCUCCACUGUCAAUGUACCAGGAAAGAUCUUCAAUGUGUUCUGGAAGUGAAGAAGACAUAGUUGAGGAAGAUGAAGCACUUGACUGUCCAGGAUUAUUGUUUCCUUGACCAGCAACAAAAUUAGAUGAUCCAGGAGUGAAAGAGUAAUAGGCAGAAGGAUUGUUAUCUGGAUACACUAUAUUUCCUUGAUAACCAAAACCCCUGGGUGCAUGACCAAAACUAGCAUUUUGUCCAAAACCAGCAUUUGAACCAAAACUUCUUCCACUAUUACCAUUAUAGACUCUUCCUCUACCAUAUUGCCCUUGAUUAAAACCUCUGUCACCAUUCAUAUUGCCUCUACCAUGAUUCCUCUGUGGAACAUAAGAUGAGUUGUACCUAUUCCUGCAUCUAUUUGCUGCAUGACCAGGUAUGAAGCAAAUUUGACAAACAACUUCAGAGGAAUUACUACCAGUAUUAAACUGACCAUAUCCAUAUCCAUUAAAACCUCCAUAUCCAGAAUUAUUACCACCUCCAUAGUUAUUUCCAUAAUUUUUCUGAAAAUUUCCAUUAUUCUUUCUAGCAUAUGAGUUCUUCUGAGCAAUAUUUGCUGUCAUGUUAUGCAUCACAUCACCAGCAAUUUUCCCUUUCUUUUGCUCAACUCUAUUUUCAUGAUUCAACAACAAAGAAUAUAGUUCAUCUAAUGUGAUCUUUUCACCUCGAGCUAACACAGCUGUGACUAAAGACUCAUAGUCUGAUGAAUCAAGACCAGUUAAUAUAUGCAUCACAAGAUCAUUUAACUCAAUAGGUUUUCCAGCUAGAGCUAAAGUAUCAGCUAUGCGUUUUACUUUUACAAAAUAAUCAGACAUAUGCAUUGCACCUUUCUUAAUAGUUUGAAUCUGCAUUCUAAGUGUUUGAAUUCUAGCUUGUGAUUGAGAGAUAAACAUACUAGCAAGAGUCUCCCAAAGCUGUUUUGAAGUUGUAGAAUCAAUCACAGUAGCAAGCAGAUUUUGCUGUAUCGAUGACAUCAUCCAACUCAGUAAGAGUUGGUCAGUCUUCAUCCAAGCUACGAAUUCUGGAUUAAUAGAUCUGGAUCCAGAUUCAGUUAAAACUUCAGCUCCAUUGUUGUUUCCAGAAGAAAGAAACUGCUCAGGACAUUCUCGAUCGCCAUUGAUAAAUCCUUCCAAACCGUUUCCUUUGAUUGAAGUUAAAAUUUGUGUGCGCAACAGAAUGAAGUUGUUUUGAUCUAGCUUUACUGGCGUAACAAAACUGAAAGAGUUGUUGUUUUGAACUAUAUUUGCCAUUUAUGGCUCUGAUACCAUGAAAGAAACUUAGUUCUAUAUUGUUUGGUAGGCUAGAAAAUGAAAGGAAAUAAAAGAAAAGCUUUGCAAAGAAAUCUGUUAGAUCUUUUAUUAUUCCAAACUUACAGUUUAAUGACUACUAAUUGAUAUUUAUAUUGAGCUACAAUCUCUUAACAUACACACGAGAUUGUUGUAACACAACCAUUGCUGUAUAACUAACUUGACACAUCAGCUCAACCAGCUAACUAACUUUGACAGGCCAGCUUAAUGAUUUGAUCUGCUACAACCAGCUACACAGCACAUCAUGCUCUGCUCCAGCUACACAGCAACAACAUGCUCUGCUCCAGCUUCAUCUAAUUCACUAACACUAGCUUUUCCUUUUGUUUAUUAAAUUUUUUUAUGGUCACAAAGUAUUACUCGUUCUAUUUGACAAUGAUGUGAAUCAAUUUUUCAAUUUUAUAUUUUGUGGUCAACGUGAAUUCAAUUUCAUUUGUCUCCUGCAAUUAUGAAAAAAUUACAGUCAUAAUAUGGGGAAACCUGUGGUGCAACUGUGGUACCAUGUCACAGUUGCAUCCAGCCGUUGGAUGCCAAUAGAUCCCACCAAUUUAAGUGCAUCCAACAGCUGGAUAUAACUAUAGCACGGUACCACAAUUACACCGUAACUUGAUCCCAUAAUAUGGAAAAGUACACCGGCAGAAACUUUGUAAAAGCUUCGGAGUGAUACGGGGAAUUCACUUACUACUAAAGACAGUUGGUGGCAACCUAAUGUCCAUCCAUCUAUUUAGUUAUUGAAGAUUAGUGGUCCAUUUGUAAAUUUCAGAUUGUCUCUCUCUCUCUCCCUCUUGAAAUAACAAUAUUUAAUAUAUCUAUUAAAUUAUUAUAAAUUUUAAUUUACUCUCGAUUUAAAAUGGAGCAUGUCGAUAAAUUUUUUUUCUUCUUAAUAAAAUUGACGUAAGUUGUGUUUACAGUAGUUUGAAGUUUGAAAUAUUUUAAAGAUUAUUAUUCUAUAAGGGAGUAAUAUGAACUGAAAUUUACUUUUCAUGUGUGAAAUGAAAAACGACGAAGCAAGUGUCCCUGCUUUUAUUUUAUUUCAAGGAGGAGUCAUCUCACAUACUUUAGCUCUUAACAUUACAUUUUUUCUGGUUACAUUUUUAUUUUUUAUUUUUUUUAACACAUGCGUGUGGGAUGCUUUUCUGUAAGCUCCUUAAUAUAUAUUUAAGACAAAUCAUGGAAGAGAUGGGAUUAUAUCAAGAUGAUCAAAGCAUGUAAAAAAAGAAAAAAGAAAAAAAAAUUAAGAAGUAAGACACUGAAAAUGGAGAAGAGAUGGAAGCAAAAGAUAUUCCAAACAAAGCAAUCUAUCCCCUUUCGAGGGCAGACUUAUCAGGUUUAAAAAAGUACAUGCUUUGGAUUGGUAGUUACAAUCAAGGGAAAAUAAAUAGGAUCCAAUGAAAUUUAAAUCUUGGAGAAAAUAAAUAAUCAUGCAGAUUUUCAAGAUUUUAAUAAGGGAUACUAAUAUCUUAUUUUGAUUAAUAACAUUCUUUCACUGUGUUAACUCAAAAAAAAUAUUAUAAUGCUUUACAAUAAAUACAAAUGUCCUAUUAAAUGAAUAUAUAAAAAAUUUAGAAUAUUAUAUAAAAUAAUUUUAAUAUAAUGCGUGAGAUAUAUUUUAUUAAUUUAAAAUGUCAUUUUACCUAAAAAAUAUGAUAAAUUGAUAAUUACAUAUUUGAAGUUAUUUCAAAUAUUAAAAAAAUUUAAUAUUAUUAGUCUUUUAGAUAGAUUAAAUUAUUUUUUAAAGAGAUAGAUUAAAUUAUUUUAAAAUACCUUAAUUGUUUUUACUUUAAACAUUACCGGCCUUUCUUUUAUUUUAUUGCAAAUUAAUGCUAACAAGAAAAAGCUAGAUCAUAUUCCACAAAAGCAAAAGUGACAAACACAGCCAGCUGGAAUCUUUUAUAAAACUACAAAUUAAAAUGGAUUUUUUUUUUUGAUAAAUUACACAUGAAAGUGGAUUCUUUUGAAUAUAAGUGGGGUAGGCUCUUUUAUUUUAUUUUUGAAUAUUGUAUAACGGGACUGUAGACUCUUUUAUUAAACUACAAAUUGUAUAGUCUUUUUAAAAUUGUUAUAAAUUAGUGGCCCCUAAAAUCCUCAACAAUUGUACCGAUAUUCACAAGUUGGUGGCCCCUACAAUUCUGUUCAGUUAAUUUAACUGUGCAAGUGCUCAUUCACAAUCUUCCAGGUCAUGCUCUUAAUAAUUUUUUUUUUUUUUUCUGCAUUCCCUUUCAUGCUCUUAAUAAUUGAAGAGCAUACUUUUCAUUUUCAAAUGUGGAGCCGCAGCUAAUGUCGUUAAUUUAAUUUGGGAUUAAAUUAGGGGACCAUUAUAUUGCAGUGUGCACUAAUUUUUGUGUUUAUCUAAACUCCUUAAAUUUAAGACAUAUUAUGGCAUAAAUAAGAAUAUAACAAUAACAAAAGAGUUAGAAAGUGUAGAGAAGAUCUUGCAGAAAUAUAAAUAAUAUCUAUUUUAAAAUAAUUUUUAAUAUUUUAUGAUCCAUUAGAUAUAUUUUAUUAUAUUAAAGUAAAUUUUAUAAUAAAUGAAAACAUACUAUUAAAAUGAAUAUAUAGAAAAUUUAGAGUAUUUUAAAUAUUAUAUAAAAUAAUUUUAAUAAAAUAUGUGAGAUAUUCAUAUUUUAUUAAUUUAAAAUACCAUUUAACCUAAAGAUUUAUUUAUGAUAAAUUAAUAAUUAUAUUUUUGAAAUUACUUCAAAUAUUAAAAAAAUUAAUAUUACUAAUCUAUUAGAUAGAUUAAAUUAUAUAUAUUAUUUUCUAUUUAUUAAAAAAUUAAAAUUAUUUUUAAUUACUAUUCAAAAAAUAUAAUGAUAAAAAAAAAUCUUAACAUCUUUAUUAAAAAUUUAAAAUUUACAUGAUCAAUUCUCUAAAUAUUUAGGGUAUAUGUGAACAUCGGUGGAGAAGCUUUAUUUAAUAUUAUUGAUUUAAAUAAUAUGUCAAUUAAAAAUGUGCGGAGAAGAAAUUUCGGUGGGUAUUUUAGUCUUUUCAGCAAUUAUCAUGAUCAGAUCAGCCUUUAGCCUUGAAACGUCGGUCAGAAAGUUUUAAAAUUAACGCUAACAAGAAAAAGCUAGGUCAUAUUCCACAAAAGCAAAAGUGACAAAACAACCAGUUGGUUUCUUUUACUAAACUACAAAUUAAAAGUGGAUUCUUUUGAAUACAAGUGGGACAGACGAUUAGGCUCUUUUUAUUAAAGGCAAGUAAAAAGUAGUCGAAUAGUCUUUUUCAAAUUCUUGUUUUAAUAUUUUUCAAAACUAGUUUUUGGUAAUUACAAUCGGGUCAUUCAUUAAUCAUUAUUCAGAGUAAUUAUGAAUUUCCCAAUUAUAAUUACUAACUGUUUUUCCUUAACCACUCGGCUCAGCCCGAGUGGCCAGGGCUGCUGCCCUCCAAGUUCGAACCCCCACAAAAGUAUUGUGGGGGUAUUUUCUUUCUCAAUUAAUUUGAGUGAAGGUAGUCUUUUCCUUUAUCCAUGAGUGAGGAGUAGACAUCCCUCGAAUAUUUGUGAGGGUUAAAAUCUGAGUAGAGCUCUAUUAGCAUUGAUGUAAGUUGAUCCCAGUAAUUGUCUGAUCUGUAAAUAUCAGGUUAAAAUCUGGGCAAAGCUCCAUUAGCAUUGAUGUAAGUUGAUCCCAGUAAUUGUCUGAUCUAUAAAUAUCAGUUAUAGUCUCAUGUAAUAUGAGUUGUAAUCUGAGCAAUAGUCUCGUGUAAUAAAAAAAAAAAAAAACUAUUUUUCCUUCAAAAGUUAGAGACUCGUGUUUGCAACUUGCAAGUGUGAAUGUGCAAUGCUCUUUGUCUAAAGGCUAGUGUUUCUAGUGGGUCCCGACUCGAGCGUGCCUAAAUCAUUUUAAAAUUUUUCCCGUAUAAUGGACAGAGGUCAUUACUAAAAUUUCUCUUCCACAGGCAAUUACAGCAGCUCCAGUUUAUCAAACUCAACCAAUUUUCUUUCUUAACAAAAUUCCAAAGAUGUGUAGCUUUUUUCAGAUCACAUGCGAUGGUGCUCUUUUCAAUCGUUGCUUGGAUUGCUUUCUUGGAAAAGCAGCAUACAUACGUAACCUCCAAGAUAAUCUUGAUGCCUUGGAGACUGAAUUGGGAAAUCUGAUCGCUAAAAAGAACGAUGUGAUGAGGAGGGUUGUCGAUGCUGAACGGCAACAAAUGAGAAGGCUGGACGGAGUGCAAGUGUGGGUUUCGAGGGUGGAUGCUUUUAAAACUGGAGCCGAUGAACUUAUCAUAGACGGCUCUGAAGAAAUUGGCAAAUUAUGUGUUGGAGGCUACUGUUCCAAGAACUGCAGGUCAAGCUACAAAUUCGGAAAACAAGUGGCUAGAAAGCUACGAGAUGUGGAGACUUUAAUCGCCGAGGGAGUUUUUGAGGCGGUGGCUACUGAGGUGGUGCCUGAGAGAGCUCCAGAGCCUGUAGCAGAUAAAAGACCCAUUGAGCCAACAAUAGUAGGCUUGCAAUCACAGCUUGAACAAGUUUGGAGAUGUCUUGUAGAAGAAUCAGUGGGAAUCAUUGGCCUAUAUGGUAUGGGCGGUGUUGGUAAAACCACACUAUUGACCCAUAUCAACAAUAAAUUUCUUGAGAGUCCCACAAACUUUGAUUGUGUGAUUUGGGUCCUAGUUUCAAAAGACCUGCGACUUGAAAAAAUUCAAGAAGAUAUUGGGAAGAAGAUAGGUUUGGUUGAUGAUUCAUGGAAGAAUAAAAGUUUUGAAGAGAAAGCUGUGGACAUCCUGCGGAGAUUAGGAGAGAAGAGAUUUGUAUUGUUGUUAGAUGAUUUAUGGGAGCGGGUUGAUUUAACAGAAGUGGGCGUUCCACUUCCCAGCGCACAAAAUACUACCUCAAAAGUCGUAUUCACAACCCGUUCCAUUGGUGUUUGUGGCAGCAUGAGAGCUAGGCCGGUUAAAGUGGCAUGCCUAUCAGAAAAGCAAGCUUGGGAACUGUUCCGCGAAAAUGUUGGGGAAGAAACUCUUGAGAGUGAUCAUGAGAUCGUUGAGCUAGCCCAAACUGUAGCCAAAGAGUGUGGUGGUUUGCCACUCGCACUUAUUACUAUUGGUCGAGCUAUGGCCAACAGAAAUACAGCUGAGGAGUGGAGACAUGCAAUUGAAGUAUUAAAAAGGUCAGCUUCGGAGUUUGCGGGUUUGGAAAAAGAUGUAUAUCCUCUUUUAAAGUUUAGUUAUGAUAGUUUGCAGAAUGAGACGAUUAGAACUUGUUUCUUAUAUUGCUGUUUGUAUGCGGAAGAUUAUGUCAUUCCUAAAUGGGACUUGAUUGAUUGUUGGAUUGGUGAGGGAUUCUUAGAGGAAUCUCACGGUUUUGGUGCAGAAAACCAAGGAUACUACAUUGUGGGCACUCUUGUUCGUGCAUGUUUAUUAGAAGAGGUGGAAGAUGAUGAAGUAAAAAUGCAUGACGUUAUUCGUGAUAUGGCUAUAUGGAUAACCUGUGAAAUUGAGAAGGAGAAGAGAAACUUUUUGGUUCGUGCAGGUGCUGGAUUAAAAGAGGCACCGGAUGUUAAAAGAUGGGAAAAUGUGAGAAGAUUGUCAUUGAUGCAAAACCAAAUUGAAACUCUGUCAGAGGUUCCCACAUGCCCUCAUCUCCAUACUCUAUUUCUUGCCUCUAAUAAUAGUUUGCAGAGGAUCACCGAUGGCUUCUUCCAACUUAUGCCUUCUCUCAAAGUUUUGAAGAUGUCAAACUGCUGGAAUUUUACUUUGAAAUUACCUUUGGCGAUGUCAGAGUUGGGUUCGUCACUAGAACUUCUUGAUAUUUCAUAUGCCAGCAUAACAGAGUUACCAGAAGAGUUAAAGUUGUUGGUAAAUCUGAAAUGUUUGAAUUUGAGGUGGACAGAUACGUUAAAUAAAAUUCCACGGCAACUAAUAUCAAUUCUUUCAUGGUUACGUGUGUUGAGAAUGUUGGGUACUGGCUGGUUCAAUUUUCUUGAAGCACCAGAAGACAGCGUUUUAUUUGGUGGGGGUGAAGUUUUGAUACAGGAAUUGCUCGGUUUGAAAUAUUUAGAGGUAUUGGAGUUGACCUUGGGAAGUUAUCAUGCUCUCCAAAUUCUUUUGAGCUCAAAUAAGUUAAAAAGUUGUAUUCGAUCUCUUUACCUCCAUUUGACCGGAGAUACAGCGUCAAUUAUUGAUGCUACGGUUUUCGCAGAUCUAAACCAACUCAAUCAAUUAUGGAUUGAUGAAGGUAUUGAGUUGGAAGAAUUGAAGAUUGAUUAUACGGAGAUAGUACGAAAAAGGCGGGAACCUUUUGUUUUCCGCAGCCUUCACUGUGUUCGUAUAGAGCAGUGCCAUAAAUUGAAAGAUGUGACAUUCCUCAUUUUUGCUCCAAACCUCAAGUCUCUUGACCUAUCCUACUGCUCUUCUAUGGAAGAAGUAAUCAGCGUCGGAAAAUUUGCUGAGACUCCUGAGAUGAUGGGACAUAUAAGCCCUUUUGAAAAUCUCCAAAGUCUUCAUUUAUCGCAAUUGCCAGCUUUGAAGAGCAUCUACUGGAAGCCAUUGCCUUUCACUCAUCUCAAAGAAAUAUCUGUGGGUUAUUGCCGUAAUCUUAAAAAGCUUCCACUCGAUUCCAACAGUGCAAAGGAGCGUAAAUUUGUAAUUCGUGGAGAAGAAGACUGGUGGAACCGACUUCAAUGGGAGGAUGAAGCCACUCAAAUUGCUUUUCGUUCCUGUUUCCAACCAAUGGGAGUACUGAGCGGUGGUCGCAAAAUUUGAUUUCUGGUGAGUGCGUUUGUCUUUUAAAAGCAGAAUUUAAAAGAAAUUUAUUCUUGUCGUUUUCUUCUCUGUUUUUAUUUGAUUUCUGGUUAGUUUCUCUCUCGCACUGCCAUUACUGUUUUAAUUUCCUGUCAAAAGACGAGCGAGAAGAACAUAUAUAUGACGUAAACCAAUUGAUAAAUAUUAAUUGCCUGUUCUCUGUUUUUAUUAAGUAUACUUUAUUUUGCCCUGUUCUCUGUUUUUAUUUCAUUCUCUCUCUCUCCCUCUCUUUCCUGUCUUCUGCAAGUCAUAAUUAAAUGUUGAAUUAUAUGGAAUUAAUGCUUUAUAAAUCUGCCUACGCUGGCUUUUUUUUUUUUUUUUGUGGGGUCGAAUUGAUGCUCUGGUUUUCGACUACUUUUUGUUGUCAAAAUUUUCUCUGUUUUUUCAAAUUGAUGCUUUAUUUAUAUCUUCUUCGUGAAAAGUGAUUUAAUUUCCUGCCAAAAGACGAACGAGAAGAACAUUAGAGUCUAACUAAUGCUCACAUAAAUUUCCCGUAAGAAUAUAUAUAUAAUUAGACUGGAAUGCACACCUCUAGAUUGAACAGAAUUAAAGCUGAGAAAAUAUUGAGUAUAGUAGCCCUCUUUACAGAAAAUGACGCGAAAGUUAAUUUAGAAAAAGAUAUAUUCUUGAUUAAUCCAUUUUCUGAAGUUUUUUAUUUUGUAUGGUCAAUUAUACCUUCAUACUAAAAAUUUCUGAAGUUAUGGGGUUGUUGGAUGUGUUUUGGAUAUUUGCAGCUAAGUUUGAGUUUAUAUCUCAACUUAAAAUUUGUAGUUUUCACUUGAAAAAAUUCAGUUAAAAAUUUAUUGGUAGAAUUGUGAAAAAAGUUAAAAUUUUUAGUUCAACCCGAUUGCAUAUUUAAGAACAUCUCAAAUGAAUUGCUUACUGCUAUCAUCAUCAUUAUUGUCCAUAUAAUAAUGGAUCUUUAUUAUAUAUAUAUAUGUUUCCACUAAAAUAUAUUUAAUUAUUCUUUAUUUUUCCAUUGUUGCGUGUAAGAUUUAUUUGAGUUCUAAGUUAUAUCAAUACAAAUGUUAUCUUAUCCAUAAAAAAGUUAGAUCCAACAAUUAUGAAAAUUACCAUAGAGUUGCUUUCAAUUAUUUUUUAAAAAUACCAGGAGUAAAUAAUAAUUAGUUCAAGUGGUGUAGACUAAAAAGUGUUCACCUUUAUUUUUUAUCUGUUAUUUAUUUAUUUCAUUAAUGCACAUGCUAUACAUUUGAGACACUCCAUCCUAUGCAAUGUGAAUAAAUUUCUUUCCUUUUUCCUUUACUCUUUUUAUUUGACAAUAAAGUUUCCAUCUAUCAUCUAUCAUCUAUCAUCUAUGUACGCAAAAUUUCUGCAACAAGUACAAAACAUAAAAAUAUAUAUGAUUGUUAAGGGAAACACGCAGAAGUUCAUCAUUUCAAUGUUCAGUAUUACCAAUUUUGGCAUUAAGCUUGUACGAAUAUAUUCCACUUAGAAAGCAAAAUAUUAGACUCAUGAUUUUAAUUCAUUCAUUAUCUCUCAUUUUAAUCCCAAAAUAUUCAAGAGUAUCCAAGUUACCAUAAGACUUCAGAGGCUCGAGCCUUAGCCAGAGAUGGUUAAUUGAUAGACUAUGUGCCUGGGUCGAGCACUGGAAGCCUGCAAUGCAGACUGAUUGAUUUAUCAGUUUGACGUGUGCCAGGAAUGAAGAACUGGAAUAUCACCGUCAAGCACGCACCCUGUGGAGCAAUACCAAAGAAUGCACAAUCUGGCUUUGCUAGGUGACACUGGAGGCUUUUUGAAAAGUGCUUCACGCUCACUUGCACAGAUUGAGCAUCCCCUCCGGAUAUUGCCCUCUCUGAUCGAGUCCGAGCACUCAAAUUUCAAUCCUCAGAUGGAGCUACAGCUUUCUCUCCAAUAACCAACAAUUUUCUAAACUCAGCUCCUAGUGUGAUGAGAGUUGUUGAUAUUUGUAAAUGGAGAUCCCCAUAUUUGCAAAUGGAGACAUUUAACAAAUCACCAACAUGCUUCAUUCGGUCUACGAAAUUCUGCAGCUGAUUCAAAUCCGGAACCUGAACCAGAGUCGGAGGUAAAUCUUGAGCCAUAUCUAAAGCAGUCUGAAGUUCAAGUACUUGAGCCCUUGACAAUGGUUUUGAAAUAGGAACAUCUUGGAUUACUGCAGACUUGUACCCCUUGGUUUCAAAGGUAAGGAAAGGCAUUGCUUGAGUACAAUUUGGAGGCAGCUUCUUCACCAAUUUUAUUUGGAGGCGAUUGGCAGCGGAUCCAGCUGCACCAAUUUCAGAGCAAAUACUGACACUACUUCGAACAGCACACUGAAGAAGUGAUAUGUCUACGGCAAAGGCAAUGCAGUCCUCAUUUUGGCUUGAGAUGCAGUAAUCAUCGAAGAGAGUUUCCUUGUGAAACUGGGCAACACAUUGAAUCCCUUCGCCACUGAGAAGGUUGUGGAGGAAGUAAGCUUUCUCUCUAGUGAGGAAGAGGUGGCAUACCUUCCCCAUUUUGUCUAGGGCAGGUAGGAAUCAUUUUUCUAAGAGAUUUACUUCAUUCUCUGUGAGAAAUGAAUUGAACUUCAUCCCUCUGUCUCUAUCCUCACUUAUCAGAAAAUAAGUUGAAAGCACUUCGGAGAGAGAGAGAGAGAGAAUUAAGAUAUAUAGACAAGAAAAAUAUUAGACGUUGAUCUUACAAACUAAUACUUCAAGCAGUAUCCUAGAAAGCUAAAAACUGCAAGAUGGCUUGAAAUUUGAAAAGAGCACGUGCUUUUCCUCCUUAACUUGAGAAAAUGUUUAAUAUAGUGCACCUACAGAAGCAUUUAAGCAAUUAGAACUUUGCACAAAAACAUCAAGAAGACUAAACAAAUCAGAUGCAGUGUAUUUGUCCAAGCACAAAUUGCAUUUUGUCCUCAACUUUAAUAUUUAUUGAUGAGAAUCAAUACAGGUCCCUCAUUUGAUAUAGAAAGCUUUCUUUCUUGUAGUCUCACCAGUUAAUUCACAGGUCUAUAAUCAUCUUGCAAAGUUAAGGGCAUUUCUUUCGAUCUAAAGUCUUUGCAUCACCACCUCAUCACACGCCAAGCCAAUAUUCCAUUUACCUCUACAACAAAAAGUUUUAAGUAAACAAUCCUAAUGCACGCAGCCAAAUAAAAUGCAGUAAGAAUAUUCAACUUAAAAAUCUGAAAGCCGACUUGGUGAAUUGCCUCCUUAGGUGAAGUUCCAUGCUUUACUAUAGUUGACAGAACUCAGCAAAAGCUUCCAUACAACAGAUUUUGAAAAUGAUGAUGCCAAUAGAUACUCAUUCAAUCCAUUGAAAAUCCAAAGGUUCAUUGUUAAUAGAAGUUUACAGAGUUUUGGUCAUCAAAUAGCUCAGACCUAAUCCCAAACAAAAAACGAGUGAAAAUUAGAUCACGAGCAGCUGAUUGUAAAUUCUAACUUAACUCUUCAUCUCCUUUGUAAACAAGAAACAAAAUGGAGACACGCAAAAUGAAUAUGGAGAAAAUUUGAACUCAAAUGAAAUGAGGGCACGAAAGCAAACAAAUGGCAUGCACAAAAAAACCAAGCCUCAAUCAAAAACUAAUUAACCAUUAAGAAAAAAAUUGGUCAGAUAAUGAACUACAAAUUCAGGAGUCAAGCAAGAAGCUUUCAUUAUUUCAGAAGCUCCUGUACAAAUUAAUAAGUUAUGCUCUUUGGAAGCAAACCUAAAUUCCAAGAGAAACAGAACCCAAAAAAUUUGCAAUUAUACGCAAAGGGAGUGAAGCACAGGAUUCUAUCACACAUAGGAAUUGUAUAACAAGAGAUCGAUAUAUCGAAUUAGAAAACUCAAUUCGAAUUUGUGUCAAAAAUCAAAAUUAGAAGAUUUCACAUUUCGAGAGGAACAAGCAACAGAUGAAGUUCAAAAUUUCAGCCAUAACAUGCUAAAAAUGCUACACUUAACGGUUCAUUUUCAUGGAUUUUCUCGGGAAACAAACAGAAAAUUACGGUUUAGAGAUUUGACUGACCUUUUGGCUUUUGAAAUUGAGAAGAUCGCACGCCAAAUUGGAAGAGGGAAAGUGAAAGUGCGAGUUUUAAUAUGGGUAUUAGAUAAGGAAAUUUUAUUAGGUUGCGAGGGUAAAAAAGGAAAGAGAUAUCAUUGUUUUAUUAUCGAUAAUUAUUAAAUUUUUUUCCAAAAAAAAAGAACAAGCAAGGAUAUUUUAUUGUCAUUUGCAACCUUUAAUUUUUUAAAUGCUAUUAGAAACACAAGACAAUAAAGAAAUACUUAUUUUUUUCUAAAACUAAAAUCAAUUGUUUAAAAAAAAUUGUUUCAAAAUUACUUGAGUCAUAUCCAAUGGACCAACAAAGUAAUCGUUUUUAUUUUUAUUGAUUUUUGCAGGAAAUUAAUAACUUAAAAAUACUGAAAGCUAUUGUAAAAAUUUUUAUUAUCAACCUCAUAGUUUUUUUUUUUUUUUUUGGGAAGAGAAUUCAAACUUUUUUUUUUAUGAAUAUCGCUGUUUCGUUUGAGUUGGAUGUGAAUUCAAAUACAAAUAUUCUUUGUUUUUCAAUUCUGAACUCAAUUUCUUUUUUUCAAGAAUGUUAUGCAGAAAUGAUUUUUACUGAACGGCAACAAAUGAAAAGGCUGGGCCAAGUGGAAUGGUGGGUUUCGAGGGUGGAUGCUGUUAAAAUUGAAGCUGAUGAACUUAUCAGAGACGGCUCUCAAGAAAUUGACAAAUUGUGUGUUGGAGGCUACUGUUCUAAGAACUGCACGUCAAGCUACAAGUUCGGGAAACAAGUGGCUAAAAAGCUACGAGAUGUGGAGACUUUAAUCGCUGAAGGAGUUUUUGAGGCGGUGGCUACCGAGGUGGUGCCUGAGAGAGCAGAGCCUGUAGCAGAUGAAAGACCUACCGAGCGAACAGUAGUAGGCUUGCAAUCACAACUUGAACAAGUCUGGAGAUGUCUUGCAGAAGAAUCAGAGGGAAUCAUUGGCCUAUAUGGUAUGGGCGGUGUUGGUAAAACUACAUUACUGACCCAUAUCAACAAUAAAUUUCUCGAGAGUCCAACCAACUUUGAUUGUGUGAUUUGGGUAGUAGUUUCAAAAGACCUGCGACUUGAAAAAAUUCAAGAAGAUAUUGGGAAAAAGAUAGGUUUGGUUGGUGAUUCAUGGAAGAGUAAAAGUGUAGAGGAGAAAGCUGUCGACAUCUUCCGGAGUUUAAGAGAGAAGAGAUUUGUAUUGUUGUUAGAUGAUAUAUGGGAGCGGGUUGAUUUAACAAAGGUGGGCGUUCCACUUCCCGGACCCCAAAAUACUACCUCAAAAGUCGUAUUCACAACCCGUUUCAUCGAUGUUUGUGGUAGCAUGGAAGCUGACAGGAAGUUCCAAGUGGCGUGCUUAUCAGAAAAGGAUGCUUGGGAACUGUUUCGAGAAAAAGUUGGGGAAGAAACUCUUCAGAGUCAUCAUGAUAUCGUUGAGCUAGCCCAAAUUGUGGCCAAAGAGUGUGGUGGUUUGCCACUCGCACUUAUUACUAUUGGUCGAGCUAUGGCCUGCAAAAGGACAGCCGAGGAGUGGAGACACGCAGUUGAAGUGCUAAGAAGAUCAGCUUUUGAGUUUGCAGGUUUGGGAAAAGAGGUAUAUCCUCUAUUAAAGUUUAGCUAUGAUAGUUUGCAGAAUGAGACGAUUAGAUCUUGUUUCUUAUAUUGUUGUUUAUAUCCCGAAGAUUAUGGAAUUCUUAAAUGGGACUUGAUUGAUUGUUGGAUUGGUGAGGGAUUCUUAGAGGAAUCUGACAGGUUUAGUGCAGAAAACCAAGGAUACUACAUUGUGGGCACUCUUGUUCAUGCAUGUUUAUUAGAAGAGUUAGAAGAUGAUAAAGUAAAAAUGCAUGACGUUAUUCGUGAUAUGGCUCUAUGGAUAACCAAUGAAAUUGAGAAGGAGAAGAGAAACUUUUUGGUUCGUGCAGGUGCUGGAUUAAAAGAGGCACCGGAUAUUAAAGGAUGGGAAAAUGUGAGAAGAUUGUCAUUGAUGCAAAACCAAAUUAAAACUCUGUCAGAGGUUCCUUCAUGCCCUCAUCUCCAUACUCUAUUUCUUGCCUCUAAUGAUAAUUUGAGGAUGAUCACAGAUGGCUUCUUUCAAUUUAUGCCUUCUCUCAAAGUUUUGAAGAUGUCAAACUGUGUGGAUUGGCCAGUUUCGAAAUUACCUUUGGCGAUGUCAAAGUUGGGUUCACUACAACUUCUUGAUAUUUCACAUACCGGCAUAGAAGAGUUACCAGAAGAGUUGAAGUUGUUGGUAAAUCUGAAAUGUUUGAAUUUGAGGUGGACAUUUGAGUUAAAUAAAAUUCCAUGGCAACUAAUAUCAAAAUUUUCAAGGUUACGUGUGUUGAGAAUGUUCGCUACUGGCUUUGCCCGUUUUGAUGAAGCAUCAGAAGACAGCGUUUUAUUUGGUGGGGGUGAAGUUUUAGUACAGGAAUUGGUCGGUCUGAAAUAUUUAGAGGUAUUGGAGUUGACCUUGGGAUGUCAUCAUGCUCUCCAAAUUUUUUUGAGAUCAAAUAAGUUAAAAAGUUGUAUUCGAUCUCUUCUCCUCCACUUGGCCGGAGAUACAACGUCGAUUAUCGAUGCUACGGCUUUCGCAGAUCUAAACCACCUCAAUGAAUUAUGGAUUGAUAGGGCUAAGGAGUUGGAAGAAUUGAAGAUUGAUUAUACAGAGAUAGUUCGAAAAAGGCGGGAACCUUUUGUUUUCCGCAGCCUUCACCGUGUUACUAUACAUAGCUGCCAGAAGUUGAAAGAUACGACAUUCCUCGUUUUUGCUCCAAACCUCAAGUCUCUCGAUCUAGACCGUUGCGAUGCUAUGGAAGAAAUAAUCAGCGUCGGAAAAUUUGCUGAGACUCCUGAGAUGAUGGGACAGAUAAGCCCUUUUGAAAAUCUCCAAAUGCUUGAUUUAGAAGAUUUGCCACAUUUGAAGAGCAUCUUCUGGAAGCCAUUGACUUUCACUCAUCUGAAAGAAAUAUCUGUGGGUUAUUGCCGUAAUCUUAAAAAGCUUCCACUCGAUUCCAACAGUGCAAAGGAGCGUAAAUUUGUUAUUCGUGGAGAAGAAGACUGGUGGAACCGACUUCAAUGGGAGAAUGAAGCCACUCAAAUUGCUUUUCGUUCCUGUUUCCAAUCUCUUUUUGAUUAACUCUUAUACAUUUUCUCGUCGUUUGCUUCGUGCAAAAAAGACUACGUCUUUUGUUCUCUGUUUUUAUUUCAGUUUCGUUUGUUGUCUCCUGCAAAUCACAAUUAAAUGUUGAAUUAUAUGGAAGUAACGCUUUAUAAAUUUUCCGGCACUGCCAUUUCUUUUUCCUCUUUUUUUUUUUGGGUCGAAUUGAUGCUCUGGCUUUUUUACUUUUUGUCAUCGAAUUUUGCUCUGUUUUUCAAAUUGAUGCUUGAAUAUGUGAAUUCAAUUAAUGCUCACAUAAUUUUGUUUAGUUGCCGUAAAAAGAAUAUAAUUAGACUGCAAUUCGCACUCCCAGAAUGAAUAGAAUCACAACAGAGAAAAUAUUAAGUAUGCUAGCCCUCUUUACAGAAAAUCAAAUGAAAAUAAAAUUUUUUGGAUAUUUGAUUUUCUAUGGUCUACUAUAUACAGUUUAUAAAUUCUUCUGUUCUAAGGAUAACCAAAUCCUUUGUUCAAGGAUUUUUAUUUGGGGUAUUGAUAAUAGUCCACCAAAAUAGUGAAUGCUUGGAUGCUGCUUAAGGAUCUGUAAUCAAUAAGCUGGAAGCAAACGAGAAGGCGGUCGCUACUCUGUACAAAGCCAUGCAGCAAUUGCUAUUCAUCUUAAAUUCUUAAUAAUUACGAAGCUUUGGUAAAAUUUCCGAACAAAGUUGACAUGUUAUUUUGAGAUUUGGUUCCUGAUUUUGUAUGAAUAUCGCUGUUUCGUUUGAGUUGGAUGUGAAUUCAAAUCCAAAUAUUCUUUGUUUUUCAAUUCUGAAAUCAAUUUCUUUUUCUCAAGAAUGUUAUUCAGAAAUGAUUUUUACUAAAUCAUUUUUGAUGAAUUGUUUAAAUUAAACAAUUGGAAUAAGAAUUGUAACGAUUUAUCAUAAGCGUGCUAAUAUGAUAACUUAUUUUACGAACGAUUAAUUAAUUAAUCAAUUAAUGUUAAAUUAUAUAUUAAUCAAUUAGCUAUGUGUUGCAUUUAUCAUGUUUUGUAGGUGAUUCUACAUAAUUUCUAAAAGAAUAUAGUAAAAACACGUUAAAAAUUAUUUAAUGAAGAAAAUUUUAUUAAAUAGGUGACACAAUAAUAAAUGGAUUUCUGUAAGAAUUGAGAUUCUUGAGAUAAUUAUUACAUAAGGAGAAGUUUAGUUGGUUCAAUUUUGACAUGAUAAGAAGACAACACAGCACAGAAAACCCAAAUUGCCACUUCCACUAAUAAAAGAUACCUGUUUGAAAAGUAAUUAUAAACUAUCUUCUUUGUGUUAUUUCUCAAAACUUUUGUGGCACAAAUGUUAUUUCCAUUGACAACAGUACGAAAUACCACCCCUUUCACUUGAGCAGGAGCAAAGCAAAGGUAUGAUGAGCUAUCUCUGUAUAAUUGAAACGCCAUUACUAAACGAUUCUUGAUGAUGGGAGCCACCGUGCCAGCUUUGUCGCUGAUUUGCAUGAUUUAUUAGUUGUCCAGAUGGCGGAUUUUGUACUGUUACCUUCGUUUCAUUCUUCAGAGCCAUGUACAGUUCUAGGAUACCAGAGAAACCAAGGUGGCAUUGAAGUUGCCCCAGUGGUUAGUUUUCCGAUCAUUUUUUUUAUUCAAUUAUUUAUGUUUGUAGAAAAAUGUAGGAAAUAUGUAGAAAUGUUGACAGCUAUGAUUUUGAAACUUUUGCCUAAAAUUGUUAUCAUUACUUCUUGUUUCUUAUUUAAAGAGAAAUUCUAGAAACAUGAAAUGAUUAUUCUACGCUUGUUUUAAUAUUAUGCUAUGAAGAUUAUGAAGGUUUGAUUAUAUGUCACUAUCAAUUGCCUUAAUCGUUUGUCGUAAAUCAAUUAAGCAUUUUGAUGCAAAUGAUUCCCUAUUAAAAAAUUCAAGUCAGAGCUGAAUUGCAAAUUAGUUAGUCGUGCUUGCCAUUCAAAUUAAGUAUUGUAUUUUCUCCCUGAUUUGGUUGAUUCAACUAUGUGCAUUUGCUUAUGAACGUUGUAGUACAGAAAUUGAAACAUCUUGUCUUUUGCUAAGCCCAGAAGCAAAUUCUUUGUAUUCUACUCAUCAGUUUUCUUCAUUCUCUUCGUUGAAAUUUUAUCCAAACAGCGGUUUCGAAAUUGUUUUCACCACAAUACCUUAGUCUUUCAGAUGCUCCCGUCACUGAGUUGCCAGAAGAGCUAAAAGCCUUGGUAAAUCUUAAGUGUUUGAACCGGAGUACACAAAUUAUCUCUCUACAAUUCCAAAACAACUGAUUUGUUACUUUUCGAUGCUACAUGUUCUGCGAAUAUUCAGUUGUGAUUAUCUUGUUCAAAUACCAGAAAAUAGCGUUCUAUUUAGUGGUAAUGAAUUCUUGGUUUGGGAGUUGCUUAGUUUAAAACGUUUAAAUGUAUUAAGCAUCAUCUUGAAAAGUUUUUCUGCCGUCCAAAAACUUAUGAGCUCCCAAAAGUUUCAAAGCUGUACACAAUGCUUGGAGCAUAUAGGCUGUGAUGAUCCAAAGUCAUUUGCCUUGGCAGAGUUGAAACAUCUUGAAAAACUAGGUUUUUCGAGUUGUGGAAAUUUGGAAGAGUUAAAGUUCUGCUGUGUCGAAGUUGCAAAGGCUCGAGAAUGUUUUCGUUUGAACGGCCCUUGCUGAGUUAAGAUGAAGGCUUGUCAUAAAUUGUGGGAAGCGACAGGUUAUUCAAAUAGAAAAAUGUAUGGAGAUGGAUGUUAAUCUUAAGGUUAUUCAAGCAGACAAAUUCGAAUAAAACUUAUGGUAAGUGCUUUUCCAUUUAUUGCAUAUUUAUAUCUAAUUUUUAUUUUCCUUUAUUGUUAAAUUUUGCUCUAUAUUUGUUGUUGUAUGGUGGCAUUCUUGUACAAUUAUUAGCUUUUCAUUUCUCUUCUCACAUUAACUGCCCUUCUGAUCAUGUAGGAUUUGCUGAUGCAAAGAGUCAUAAUUUGGGAUACAAAUGUAAGAAUUAGACAGAUGACGUGUUGUUUUGAAGCUCUCGAAGAAGAAGGACUAAUUAUGUCAUUGAAAGCCUCCAAUUUUGUGAUUGGUUUCUUUUUAUUUUAUUUGUUGUUUUCUCUAUUUUCAGAUCGCUUAAUUGUUAGUUGUUGUAAUGUAAUGUUUUAGUAUAGAAAAUUAUAUUCGGCCAAGACAGCGAUAGGAAGGCACAUUGUGCAUGCACACUAGUGGAUUUGGCAUGCCAACUCCAAUUAGGAUGGAUAACACUUUAUAAGCAUUAGGCUUCUCUCGUACUUGAGUAAUAUAGAAUAUGUUUAUAAGUUGUGAAUCACCCUUUAUAAGUGUUAGGCUUCUGCUAUACUCAGUGAUGUGAAAUAUAUUUAUAAGCACUAAACUUCUCCCAUACACUUUAUGUUAAAAAUAAUAAUAAUAAUAAUAAUAAUAAUAAAAUAAACCCAUUUUAACAGACUCUUUUUUCUUUUUCUAUAUGAACAAAUGCAUUCUUCAAAGCAAUUGUGGGUAGAAGAAGUGAGUAGAGAAGAACUGGGCCCCUUUCAUUCCCCUAAAACCUCACCAAAACCUCUCUUGUAAGCUUUUCGGAUUUUCUUUCUAUAUUUCUUAGGAACUCAUUUUUUAUUGAAUCACUUCUUUUGCAUGCUGCAUUUUUUGUUUGUCGUAUUUGGGUAUUAUCUUAUCUGGAAUACUGUUAUGAUUGAUGGAACAAGUAAUCGAUUUUUGGUCUAAUGGAAGUUGAUUUAUUUAUUUAUUGUUAUUUUUAUUUGAAAUUAUGUACAAUUGCAUUUCAUUCAUUUCUCUCUCUCUUUUUCUUUUUUUCCCCCCAUAUAUUUGUUAUGUAUAAUUGCGUUUCAUUUAAUAUUGAUCAUACUGUAGGUAACCAUGUGAUUGUAGAUUGGGAUUUCAAGUUUGUUGAAUAUUCAUGUAAGUGAAGUAACCGUCACAAUACUAGUGAAAUUGGGAGCUUUAUUCAUGAGUUUGUGGUUUUGAAAAGAACCACAGUUCAACUGAUGAAGGCUCCUUUUUGGGAUUCUUCUUUUUCUAGGCUGCAAUUAGGAUAUGUACAUGAUAGACAAUCUUUUGUUGGCUUGGCAUAUCUUCGCUGAUUUUUUCUUUUAUUCCCCAAUUUUAUAAUUACACACCAUGAAUGUUGGGUGAUUGUAUAGAAAAUUUGUGUUAUAACAAAAACAUUGUGAAGGAGUUUCCGUGCUAAUAGUUAGUGGCUUCUGUUUUAUUGGCAUUGAUUGGGUAGAUUACGUGUUACAGUGAUUCAAUUUGUGUUCCAAACUUUGCUUUAAUUUUCUGUUUUCCCCAACUAUUUAUGUCAAAUUUAAAUCCAGAAGCAUGUACUGAUUUUUUCUUUUUGUAUUAAUCUGUGAAGUUUAUUUGGAAUGGAAGUAACUGGGUCGGGUCUAAUGGAUUAAAUUAUGACAUUGAGGGGAAGGCACUAAAAGGGUUUGCUUGACACAUUUGGUUCUGUGUUUACUCUGCAAGAAAUAGCUUUUGCUUAUUGCAAUGCAGGGGGAAAUCCCGAUUUGGCUGGUGAAUUUCUCUGCAACAAACAGGCAAACACCUCAACCUCUUCUGUCCAUACUUCUGCUGGGGAGGCAAGGGGUAAAGAGUCUUCAAAAUCAUCAAAUAGUAACAUCUCUGAGAAUUCAUUUUAUGGAAAUGGAAAAUCUAGAGCUUCUAAUACAAAAUGGCAUCUGGUAUCAGGACGUACCGUUUCAAGUUUUCUUGGUAAAGAUUAUGUUAAACCUGCACAGCCAGCUAAUGGCACUUUUCUGGCAUCAAAGCCAUUGAAGUUGGAUCCAAAGGAGUUUCCCAUGUCUGCACUUUGCAGAGAAGAAUCUAAACCGAAACAAUCAAAGGAUGACCAUUUGCAGAAGGACAUGGAAGAUUUUCUGUUUAAAUUUCCAGGAGAAGGGUUCCAGCUGAACAGGGAUGUGAUUCAGGAGGUUCUCGGUAAUGUCUUAAAUAUAUUGAUGCCAAUUUAAUACAUAUUGUCCUUUUCAAUGUUCUUUCUUUCUUUCUUUCUCUUCUUUUAUUCUUCUUCUUCUUCUUUUUUCUUUUCGUGUGCAUGUGAUUGCUAAUUUUGUAUUAUUUUUAACUUGCAGAUAGUUGUGGAUAUGAUAUGCAAAAGGUAAGGACUAUAUCCUCCUGAUAGAGGCCUCUGCUUUUUCCCUUCUAUGUACGUAAUUUAGUAAAUCGCAUAUUCUAUAUAUCAUACCAAAAUCCUGUCUUAAAUGCUGCUGGCAUAUGUUAAGGUUCAACUUGCAUUUUGAUUAACGUCCAUUUGCUACGGCUUCCAAAAUUGAGAAUGAGAUACUUUGGUUAAUUUCAGUAGUUGAACCCAAUAGGGUACUUUAUUUAGAUCUUCAUGGUUCAAAGGCCCGAAAAAACUUGCAGGUAUUUGCAAAAUGACAUUCUGUGCUUUUAUUUAUACUUAUUAUUUAAGUGAUAAAAAUUCCCCAAACCUGCGGUCAAGAAAAUUUCAGACAGUUAAAGACUCCAUUUUGUUUCAGCCAAAAAUGUUUAUUUCAAUUAAAGAUUUGAACCAUUUUCAUUUAACCUGAUUGUGAUGCUUUACAUUGUGCACGUUCCUUUCGAUCAAUAAACGUUGAGGUCAUGAUUUUAUAUUCCUAUAUUGUAACCUAAAAUAAUAGUUGGUUUGCCUGUUUCUGUAGCUUGAUAACAUGAAUUUUCCUUCUGAAGUUACUUUGAUCAAUAAAGUUAUUCUUCGGAGAAGAUAUGCCCAUUCUAUAAUCAUUUUCUUAGCUAAUAUGUUUUUUUCACUCUUCUGAGCAUGUCUAAACUAAUUGAUCGCUCGGCAGAGACUGUGGGUAAGAAAACAAAAUUUCAUGGUAAAUCCUCUUAAAAGGUAUGCAUAAUUGAAAUGACCCGCCCCGAAUUCCCCUCAGGCGAGUCUAUCUAGUCUCAUCAAAACGGACUUGAUAAUAAUUCUAUUAGUAAAGACUCUGCCAAAAAUUCGGCAGAAUUUUUUUUUUUUUAUAUAUAACACUCCCAAUCUACAAAUAUGAAUAUAACACUCCCAAUACAAUUCAGUAUACAACAAACUCCAGUGAUCAACAUCUUCAACCAAAAUGCUGAGCUUUAUAUCUCCAGAGUCUCAAAAGAUAAUAUUAUAACUAAUAUUAAUAUCUUAGUUUAUUCUUAAUCCCAAAAGAAUAAUAUAACAAAAUUAUACAAUCCCAACAGGACGAGAUAACCAAGAUGUCCUAACAAAAAUAUUUAUAUCUUCUAACACCAUCACGUGGCCGAGAUUCAAAAUAUAUUUACAGUCGCUAGGUCGGUCUGGUGUACCUGCAACCUCCUGGUGAGGGGGGAAAAAUAUAAUAAAAACGGGGUGAGUUUAAAACUCAGUGAGAUCAGUGAGUGAAUAGUAGUUUUGAAAAUUAAUUCUUACUUUAAAAAAAAUAAUCGUAUCAUUUCCAAACACAAUUUCAUUAAACCAUAAGCGAGAAACCAAUAAUAAAUCAUUAAACAUUUAAAUCAUAUUACUAACCAUAGAAAUCAUAUCACAAUAUCAUAUAGAAUACACAAAUCUAAAAAUCAUCACCAAACAAGUACCCAGAGAAAUAAUCUCGUCAUAUCCGAACCUCAACAGACGGGCAAUGACGUACUAUCUAGGUAACGUCACACCCCGGAGCUACACGGAUAGACAGGGAAAUACCAUCUCAUAUCUCAUCAUAUAUGUGCAUGCAUAAUCUAGUCCCCAAGGGACAAAAGCGCCCAAGCACACGGCCCAAAGCCUCUGUGUAUACUCAGAGGGACCCCAAAGGCCUAUAUCUCAUAUGUAUCAUAUGUAUCAUUUGUAUCUCAAUUAUCUCAUAUCCGUAUAUCUGUAAUCAUCAUACCGCAUGCAUAUGCCCCCAAAAGGAAAAAGCGUCCAAACACACGGCCCAAAGCCUUUAUAUAUAUUCAGACGGGUCCUAAAAGCCUCUCAUCUCAUCUUAUCUGUAUCACUGUAUCUGAAGGGAAUGGUACUGUCUAAUGAUUUCAAAAACAAUCAUUAUACUCAUAUUCACAUACCUCUUAAUCAUAUUUUAAAUCAUACCACAUUUGAAUCCACUUUUCUUAUCUUUAAAAUACUAUCAUGCUUUAUUCAAAGUCGAUACGCAAAAUCAAUAACCAAACAUUUUAAUAAAAUACCAAUGCGUAAAUAAAAUCCAUUUCGAGAAAUCAUUAAAUCAGAACAUUUAAAAUACUUAUUUCGCAAACAUGCUUUACUAUCAUCGCUAACUAUGAAAAUAAGUUUUGUAUAUUCCACUCACAGUGACGGUGUUCACGGUCGGUUCUCGCUCGCGGAUCCUCCUAAAUCAACGAAACGACAUAAUUAUUUUCCGUAAAUCGGAAUUAUGACUAAAUUUUAUGCAAUAAAUUUAAAACGAACAUAUAUUCAUAAUUGACAACUCCUGUGUCCAUAAAAUUACUAAAAUGCCCUUGAGUCUGUAAAUCAUUAACAUGCUUCGAAAUCGUAAAUUACUGAAUUACUCUCGGAAUCGUAAUUACACUCAAUCCUCAAUUCUAGGAAUUACUAACAUAUCCACGGGCUCAGAAAUUACAAAUUUGCCCUCAUAGUGUGAAAUUACCAAAAACUGGAAUUUGGUCAACACUGGCUAGGAAGCUCAAAUCGUAAAGUUCCAAUCACGCUGAGUUCAAUGGUACCGGCGAUGAUCUCCAACGCGCGGCAACGACGCCGGAAUCUAGCUCGGCAGCCGUGAAUUCCACCAAUCGACCGGCGGCAAAACAGUGACUCUCGGUGCCUAUGGAUGGUCGGAAAUGGAAGAGGGAGUCGUGGGGAACAAAAUUCAACCGGUGGUGUAGCCAAAACCGGCGAAAAUCCCGGCGGAGCAAAGUGAAACAGUCGCGGGUUUCAAGCUUCGAUCGCCGGUGUUCCGAUUGGUUUUUGGCGAGGAGGAUGGCAAGGGAACGACGGCCGGCUUCUAAGCUUCAGAUUGGUACCAAGCUCGGCCGAAACGGUGGCCGGAAAUGGGAGAUAUGGCCGGGUCAAGGUCGCGGGUUCCGGGUCGGGUUUUCGGGUCUGUAGUUGGGUCGGUUUGGCAGCUUCUCUCUCACUCUCUGUUACACGUGCAUAUGUUUCCUCUGUUUCUAGCUUAUUCUUUUGCUUUUACUAACUUCUUAACCGCCUCAUACUUAUUCAUUUUUAAUUCACAUAUGUUACAAUAAUUCCCGAGUAUUAAAUAACCAGUGGUCAUAAUUUUUGUACACGACUCUUUUUUUUUUUGGAGAUCGUUAAAAGUGAUUGACGAUCCAUUUUGUAAUAUCAUAGAGGGAUCAUCAAUUCCUUUUCUUUUCUGUGGCUAGGCAACACUUUUUGGCCAAAGUAAGGAAAUCUAUUUUAGGUAAUGUAAAAACCAGUUGUAGGAUGUAAUAGUUUAUUAUGCACUGACAAUAACUUUUUGUAUAAUUGUCAGUUUAAUGAAUACAAGAGGAACUCUGUUGGCAAAUUCAUCCAAGAUAGAUGCUAAAAUUAUUUAUGCAUGCCAGUUGCCUUAACUAAGUUUUCUCAGCACUGGUUUUGAACAGGAAAAUGAAUAUGCAAUUUGUAGAUUGUGCCAUAGUGGAGAAUUUGUAUAUUCUUAUUUAAGUAACAAGGAGAUUAUUUACCUCAUCUUUAAACAAUGAAUCUUUGAGAGAUGAGGAGUGGGUGAUUGGCUGUGUCUUCAUGUAAUUGUUCAUUUAUUUGUAUUUUGAACUGUUAUGAAAAUCUUUAUAUGCCAAAUUAGUAAUACAAGUAUUCAGAUGAUUUUUCCUAUUGAUCAUGCAUUUGUAUCUGCCCACAACCAUUGUAUAUCACUUUAUUCUGAUGCGCAAGCAUCUGUAAUUUAGAAGAAAAGAAAUAAUAAUCAUAUUUUAUUGCUUGGUUCAUGAUUAUUAACGAUUAUGGCUUUAAAAAUCUACAAAUUUCUUGUGUUCAUGUAUGAAUGUGCCAAGUUUGCUGUAUCUUAGAUUACCUUCUUCCAAGAUAACAAGUUCAUAUAUAUUUUUUUUUAAAAUCCUUUUCCAUUACAGUUGAAUUUCAAGUGUUAGUUUUGUUAUUAGUACCUGGUUUCCUGUUAUUAGGAUCUAAUAAACAGUGUACGGAUAUGUGCUCUACUUUUGGAGGGCCUCCACGUGAAAGAAAAUUGCAACAAUUGAAUUCUUCCGGAGGGUAUGGUAAUUAAUUUAUUUUCUCAACUUGUUGUAAGACUAAUAUAUUUCCUUCAGUAGGCACGGCAUGGUGGGAAGGGUUUUUAUUGAAAGAAUUCUGAUAUUUCUUAGACUUUGUUUUGGAAGGGGGUGGAGGGAUUUCUCAUCCAUAUAUGGUUACUUGAUUAGCUUUUGACUGUAUUGUCUCCGUCGUGCAAAGGAAAAUCUAAAUACUAACGAUGGGGAAUUGCUUAGGCACCCAAAAGGCAGAAAUGAAUUACAGAAGGAAGUUUUUGCUGCUUUAUUUAGUGCUGCUGAGAAAUCUGAUGAAUUUCCUGAAAUUACGGUGAAGACCGAGUGGAGGUCCAAAGCAUUAGGAAAGGUGGUGAGUGAACUGCCGGAGGAAUUAGUACCAGAAUACAAGGCUAAUGUGGUGCACUUGCAGCAAGAUAACCAGACCGGUAUGUGCUCUUAUAUUAACUAUAUUGACUGGAUUUGUUAGUGUGUGCAUUUUUUUGUGUAUACUCACUUUUGUAUUUAUGCAUAUUAACAUGUGUAGGAUUCUUGAUUUCUGCCACUUACUGGAGAACUAGUGGAAAGCUUUAUACUGAUAUAUCUGCAAUAACUAAUGGAAACUAUGAUAUGAAUAUUUUCUCUCACCUGGGGAGCUGUGUAACAGAUAUACUUUGUGGCUCUGGAAUGCUGAAGAUUCUGCAAUAACUAAUGGAAAAUAUGAUAUGAAUAUUUUGUCUCACCUGGAGAACUUUGUUACAGAUACCCUUUGUGGCUCUGGAGUGUCUAAAGAAUGCUUCCGUUAGAUCAAAUAUCUUUUAGUUAGAAAAGAUAAAAUUCUCUGAGUCUGAAAGACUGAAACAUUUUGCAUAUUUUGUGAAAGGGAAAUAUCUGUUGAUACUAGCUCAUGCAUUGAGGUAAUAUCGAUGUUAAAGAAAAACAGCAAUGAUUUAUGAUAUAGAAUUGGGUUCACUUGCUUUAAAUGCUGGUCUGAUCAACCAUAUCAACCUGUAAUGAUUCUGCAGAAAUAUAUAUACAAGGAGAAAGUAGCUAAAUUUUUCUUUCAUUUAUGGGUUCGGUCUUUUUUCCCCUUAUUUUUCAGCUUUCCUUCUCCUGAAGUAUGUUAACAAUUGCAGAUAAUGAUGAAGAGGACAGCUUCCAGGCUCUCCUUGGAGCCAUGAUGGAAUAUAGGGGCACAAUGAAGGAAUAUUGUAAAGCUGUAGGUACUUUUUCUCCUGUCAUUUAUGUUUUCUCACACAUUUUGUAUAUGCCCUGAACAUGCACCUUUGUAUGUAUCAAUUGACUUUUAAAUUUUAAAAGCCAUAAAGUAAGAAUACGGUUCCUUGUCAGGCUACUGAUGACAUUCGCUCAGGGGGAUCAUGUUCGAGCAGGAAAAUUUCUAGAACAGGUAAGGUUUCCAUCUACAGCCAUCCAUUGACAGCAGAUAAAUUUUCAUUCAGCAGACUCUGUUAGCAUUCAAGAUGCUGGCAGAUUCACUUGAUUCUUAUUAGCUUGUUUAGUGGCAAAGCCUAUAACCUGUAUUUCAAAGCCAAGUUGUGCUAUUGAUUAUGUUAACUUUUUUGUUAACAUAAAAUGAUAUGGAGGAAAUAAUCAGUGUUGGAAAAUUAGGUGAAAAGAUGAUGUCAAAUCUUGAACCUCUUGCGAAACUCUAAGUUCUUUACUUGAAGAGGCUACCAAAUUUGAACAGCGUCUACUCGAAGGCCUUGCCAUUCCCUGAUGCAUGCAGAAUUUUUGUAUUUAAAUGCCCAGAGCUUAAGAAGCUGGCACUGGAUCUUGAAGGGGCAGACCAAGGUAAAAUUCUUAUCAAGGGAAAGGAAGAUUGGUGGAAACAACUUAAUGGGAGGAUCAAGUAACUCAGAAUACAUUGCUUCCAUUUUUUAAAUCGACUGACAAGUGAUUGAACGGGGCAUCAUCAAUAUCAUCAACAGGGAUGGAGAGAUGCCGGAGCAGAUCAGCAGGGUUUGAAUAUGACCUUCGGCGGUUGCUUUUUUUUUUUGUGAUUUUUUUUCAUUUUUUCCUUCCUGUCAUUUUAUCAUUUCUUUGGCUCUGUUUCUAUUGCGGGUGUUACUGCAUGCUUACUGUUGCUUGACAAAGUUUGCUAGCUUUUUGUUUGCAGCGCUGCUAUACGCCCCGAGUCAAGCCCCGAAAAUUUAUUAAACGACGCCGUUUCGACAGUAACAAUUCUUUUCUUUUCCCUUUGCCUGUUUCUUUCAUCUGCUGUUUCUCUAUCACUUUUCAUUUUUGAUUUCCGUGCUUCCCAGCUGCCCCUAAAUUGUUAUUCUAGCAAUAUACUUUCUCAUCUUUGAAUUUUCAUCCUUGAGUACUCCCACAGCCGUAAUUUCAUCAUUAUAGACUUCACUUGGAAUGCUAGAUUUUUUCGAUUCUUGAGCUACUUCAAUUACAUCUUAGUAUAGGAUCCUCAUCUUCCUUUAUUUCUUCAUCUUAUGAGGUAACAAAUGGAUUUCACAACUCAUCUACUUUUAAGCAAUUACAUAUUAUACCCUGAAUGAUUCAACUGUUCCGACAGUUAAAGAUUUUAUGCUCAACCUGCAGUGCUACGAACAUUGUCCAUGAAAGAUGAGUUUCAGCAUAUAAAAUGAAAUAUAGAUGUUUAAUCUAAAAUAACCCUUCACUGCCAGAAACCUAGGUCACAAAAUUCACAGAUAAUGAUAAAGAACUAAAAAAUUUGAAAAACUCUACAGAUCACACAUCAAGCAAGAUAUCAUGUUUUUUUCCCUCAUUCGGUGGUGAUUGAUUCGCUUUUUGAUGAUGGAUAUGGUAUAAAAGUUUUGACCCAAUUUCAAGCAAACACAAAUAGAAACACAAACACAAUCAGGACUAGAGUUGUGGGCGAUUAUCUCAGGUGUACAAGUGAAACGGUGGUGGCUGUCGAUGGUGGUAGUGGGGUGGUUGGGUAUGCGUGAUGGCUAGAUUUUAGGACAAUAAUGGUUGGAGUUGACCUCAAUCAACGAAGGAAAGUGACAACAAUUUUGACAUCAAAUGGUGCAUUUUUUAGCUUAGUAAAAUGGAACCGUUUUGAAUUUGGGGUUUAAUCCGGGGUUUGACUCGGUGCAAGUAUCAUUUUCCUUUUGUUUAUUAAAUUUUUUAUGGUCACAAAGUAUUACUCGUUCUAUUUGAGAGUGAUGUGAAUCAAUUUUUCAAUUUUAUAUUUUGUGGUCAAUGUGAAUUCAAUUUCAUUUGUCUCCUGCAAUUAUGAAAAAAUUGCAGUCAUAAUAUGGAAAAGUACACCGGCAAAGACUUUGUAAAACCUUCGGAGUGAUACGGGGAAUUCACUUACAACUAAGGACAAUUGGUGGCAAGUUAUUCCAUUCAUUUUAUGUCCAUGCAUCUAUUUAGUUAUUGAAGAUUAGUGGUCCAUUUGUAAAUUUCAGAUUGUCUCUCUCUCUCUCUCCCACUUGAAAUAACAAUAUUUAAUAUAUCUCUUAAAUUAUUAUAAAUUUUAAUUUACUCUCGAUUUAAAAUGGAGCAUGUCGAUAAAUUUUUUUUCUUCUUAAUAAAAUUGACGUAAUUUGUGUUUACAGUAGUUUGAAGUUUGAAAUAUUUUAAAGAUUAUUAUUCUAUAAGGGAGUAAUAUGAAAUGAAAUUUACUUUUCAUGUGUGAACUGAAAAAGGACGAAGCAAGUGUCCCUGCUUUUAUUUUAUUUCAAGGAGGAGUCAUCUCGCAUACUUUGGCUCUUAACAUUACAUUUUUUCUGGUUACAUUUUUUAUUUUUUUUUACACAUGCGUGUGGGUUGCUUUUCUGUAAGCUCCUUAAUAUAUAUUUAAGACAAAUCAUGGAAGAGAUGGGAUUAUAUCAAGAUGAUCAAAGCAUGUAAAAAAAGAAAAAAGAAAAAAAAAAUUAAGAAGUAAGACACUGAAAAUGGAGAAGAGAUGGAAGCAAAAGAUAUUCCAAAACAAAGCAAUCUAUCCCCCUUCGAGGGCAGACUUAUCAGGUUUAAAAAAGUACAUGCUUUGGAUUGGUAGUUGCAAUCAAGGGAAAAUAAAUAGGAUCCAAUGAAAUUUAAAUCUCGGAGAAAAUAAAUAAUCAUGCAGAUUUUCAAGAUUUUAAUAAGGGAUACUAAUAUCUUAUUUUGAUUAAUAACAUUCUUUUACUGUGUUAACUCAAAAAAAAUAUUAUAAUGCUUUACAAUAAAUACAAAUGUCCUAUUAAAUGAAUAUAUAAAAAAUUUAGAAAAUUAUAUAAAAUAAUUUUAAUAUAAUGCGUGAGAUAUAUUUUAUUAAUUUAAAAUGUCAUUUUACCUAAAAAAUAUGAUAAAUUAAUAAUUACAUAUUUGAAGUUAUUUCAAAUAUUAAAAAAAUUUAAUAUUAUUAAUCUUUUAGAUAGAUUAAAUUAUUUUUUAAAGAGAUAGAUUAAAUUAUUUUAAAAUACCUUAAUUGUUUUUACUUUAAACAUUACCGGCCUUUCUUUUAUUUUAUUACAAAUUAAUGCUAACAAGAAAAAGUUAGAUCAUAUUCCACAAAAGCAAAAGUGACAAACACAACCAGCUGGAAUCUUUUAUAAAACUACAAAUUAAAAUGGAUUUUUUUUUUAAAAAUUGUUAUAAAUUGGUGGCCCCUACAAUCCUCAAUAAUUGCACCGAUAUUCACAAGUUGGUGGCCCCUACAAUUCUGUUCCGAUAAUUUAACUGUGCAAGUGCUUAAUAAUUGUUUUGUUUUUUUCUGCAUUCCCUUUCAUGCUCUUAAUAAUUGAAGAGCAUACUUUUCAAAUGUGGAGCCGCAGCUAAUGUCGCUAAUUUAAUUUUGGAUUAAAUUAGGGGACCAUUAUAUUGUAGUGUGCACUAAUGAAUAUGUGAGAUAUUCAUAUUUUAUUAAUUUAAAAUACCAUUUAACCUAAAGAUUUAUUUAUGAUAAAUUAAUAAUUAUAUUUUUGAAAUUACUUCAAAUAUUAAAAAAUUAAUAUUACUAAUCUGUUAGAUAGAUUAAAUUAUAUAUAUUAUUUUCUAUUUAUUAAAAAAUUAAAAUUAUUUUUAAUUACUAUUCAAAAAAUAUAAUGAUAAAAAAAAUCUUAACAUCUUUAUUAAAAAUUUAAAAAUUUACAUGAUCAAUUCUCUAAAUAUUUAGGGUAUAUGUGAACCACGGUGGAGAAGCUUUAUUUAAUAUUAUUGAUUUAAAUAAUAUGUCAAUUAAAAAUGUACAGAGAAGGAAAUUUCGGUGGGUAUUUUAGUCUUUUCAGCAAUUAUCAUGAUCAGAUCAGCCUUUAGCCUUGAAACGUCGAUCAGAAAAGUUUUAAAAUGCUUAAUUGUUUUUCACUUUUAAAAAUUAAUGCUAACAAGAAAAAGCUAGGUCAUAUUCCACAAAAUCAAAAGUGACAAAACAACCAGCUGGUUUCUUUUACUAAACUACAAAUUAAAAUAGAUUUUUUCGAUAAAUUAUAAAUUAAAGUGGAUUCUUUUGAAUACAAGUGAGACAGACGAUUAGGCUCUUUUUAUUAAAGGCAAGUAAAAACUAGUCAAGAAUCGAAUAGUCUUUUUCAAAUUCUUGUUUUAUUAUUUUUCAAAACUAGUUUUUGGUAAUUACAAUCGGGUCAUUCAUUAAUCAUUAUUCAAAGUUACUGUUAUCUUCGGGGGCAGUGGGUAAAAGAUAAUUACUAACUGUUUUUCCUUCAAAAGUUACCGGCUCAUGUUUGCAAGUGUGAAUGUGCGAUGCUCUUUUCUUAAAGGCAAUUACAGUGGGGCCCGAAUCAGAGGUGCCUAAAUCUUUUUAAAAUUAAUAAUAAUAUGAGUAAUAAUUAAUAAUUACAGUGGGUCAACUUUUGAAAUUAGAGUCUAGUAUCUCUCUCCCUGUCAUUACUAAAUUUUCUCUUCCACAGCCUACAGCAGCUUCAGUUUAUCAAACUCAAUCAAUUUUCUUUCUUAACAAAAUUCCAAAGAUGUGUAGUAUUUUUCAGAUCACAUGCGAUGGUGCUCUUUUCAAUCGUUGCUUGGAUUGCUUUCUUGGAAAAGCAGCAUACAUACGUAACCUCCAAGAUAAUCUUGUAGCCUUGGAGACUGAACUGGGAAGACUAAUCGCAGCAAAGAACGAUGUGAUGAUGAGGGUUGUCCAUGCUGAACGGCAACAAAUGAGAAGGCUGGACGGAGUGCAAGUGUGGGUUUCGAGGGUGGAUUCUGUUAAAACUGGAGCCGACGAACUUAUCACAGACGGCUCUGAAGAAAUUGGCAAAUUAUGUGUUGGAGGCUACUGUUCCAAGAACUGCAGGUCAAGCUACAAAUUCGGAAAACAAGUGGCUAGAAAGCUACGACAUGUGGAGACUUUAAUCGCCGAGGGAGUUUUUGAGGCGGUGGCUACUGAGGUGGUGCCCGAGAGAGCUCCGGAACCUGUAGCAGAUAAAAGACCCAUUGAGCCAACAAUAGUAGGCUUGCAAUCACAACUUGAACAAGUCUGGAGAUGUCUUGCAGAAGAAUCAGCGGGAAUCAUUGGCUUAUAUGGUAUGGGCGGUGUUGGUAAAACCACACUAUUGACCCGUAUCAACAAUAAAUUUCUUGAGAAUCAAAACAACUUUGAUUGUGUGAUUUGGGUCGUAGUUUCAAAAGACCUGCGGCUUGAAAAAAUUCAAGAAGAUAUUGGGAAGAAGAUAGGUCUGUUUGAUGAUUCAUGGAAGAAUAAAAGUUUUGAAGAGAAAGCUGUGGACAUCCUGCGGAGAUUAGGAGAGAAGAGAUUUGUAUUGUUGUUAGAUGAUAUAUGGGAGCGGGUUGAUUUAACAGAAGUGGGCGUUCCACUUCCCAGCCCACAAAAUACUACAUCAAAAGUCGUAUUCACGACCCGUUUCAUUGAUGUUUGUGGUAGCAUGGAAAGUCACAGGAAGUUUAAAGUGGCAUGCUUAUCAGAAGAGGAUGCUUGGGGGCUGUUUCGAGAAAAAGUACGGCAAGAAACUCUUGAGAGUGAUCAUGAGAUCGUUGAGCUAGCCCAAACUGUGGCCAAAGAGUGUGAUGGUUUGCCACUCGCACUUAUUACUAUUGGUCGAGCUAUGGCCUACAGAAAGAAAGCGGAGCAGUGGAGACGCGCAAUUGAAGCGUUAAGAAGAUCAGCUUCAGAGUUUGCAGGUUUGGGAAAAGAGGUGUAUCCUCUUUUAAAAUUCAGCUAUGAUAGUUUGCAGAAUGAUACGGUUAGAUCUUGUUUCUUGUAUUGUUGUUUAUAUCCUGAAGAUUAUGGCAUUCUUAAACGGGACUUGAUUGACUGUUGGAUUGGUGAGGGAUUUUUGGGGGAAUCUGACAGGUUUGGUGCAGAAAACCGAGGAUAUGACAUUUUGGACACUCUUGUUCGUGCAUGUUUAUUAGAAGAGUUAGAAGAUGAUAAAGUAAAAAUGCAUGACGUUAUUCGUGAUAUGGCUAUAUGGAUAACCUGUGAAAUUGAGAAGGAGAAGAGAAAAUUUUUGGUUUGUGCAGGUGCUGGAUUAAAAGAGGCACCGGAUGUUAAAGGAUGGGAAAAUGUGAGAAGAUUGUCAUUGAUGCAAAACCAAAUUGAAACUCUGUCAGAGAUUCCUACAUGCCCUCAUCUCCUCACUUUAUUUCUUGACUUUAAUGAGAAGUUGGAGAUGAUCGCGGAUGGCUUCUUCCAAUUUAUGCCUUCUCUCAAAGUGUUGAGGAUAUCACACUGUGGGCAAUUAGAAGGUUUUCAAUUACCUAUUGGGAUGUCAGAGUUGGGUUCGUCACUAGAACUUCUUGAUAUUUCAUAUACCAGCAUAAGAGAGUUACCAGAAGAGUUAAAGUUGUUGGUAAAUCUGAAAUGUUUGAAUUUGAGUUGGGCACAUAGGUUAUAUAAAAUUCCACGGCAACUAAUAUCAAAUUCUUCAAGGUUACGUGUGUUGAGAAUGUUCGCUACUGGCUAUGUGUGUCUUCAUGAAGCAUCAGAAGACAGCGUUUUAUUUGGUGGGGGUGAAGUUUUAGUACAGGAAUUGCUCGGUUUGAAAUAUUUAGAGGUAUUGGAGUUGACCUUGGGAAGUUAUCAUGCUCUCCAAAUUCUUUUGAGCUCAAAUAAGUUGAAAAGUUGUAUUCGAUCUCUUUUCCUACAGUUGUUCAGAGAUACAACGUCGAUUAUUGAUGCUACGGCUUUCGCAGAUCUAAACCACCUCAAUGAAUUAUGGAUUUAUAGAGGUAGUGAGUUGGAAGAAUUGAAGAUUGAUUAUACGGAGAUAGUACAAAAAAGGAGGGAACCUUUUGUUUUCCGCAGCCUUCACCAUGUUACCAUAUAUAGUUGCACUAAAUUGAAAGAUUCGACAUUCCUCGUUUUUGCUCCAAACCUCAAGUCUCUUCAGCUACUCGAUUGCUAUGCUAUGGAAGAAAUAAUCAGCGUCGGAAAAAUUGCUGAGACUCCUGAGAUGAUGGGACAUAUAAGCCCUUUUGAAAAUCUCCAAAGUCUUUAUUUAAAUGAUUUGCCAAUUUUGAAGAGCAUCUACUGGAAGCCAUUGCCUUUCGCUCAUCUAAAAGAAAUGACGGUGCAUCGGUGCGAUCAGCUUGAAAAGCUUCCACUCGAUUCCAACAGUGCAAAGGAGCGUAAAUUUGUAAUUCGUGGAGAAGAAGACUGGUGGAACCGACUUCAAUGGGAGGAUGAAGCCACUCAAAUUGCUUUUCGUUCCUGUUUCCAACCUCGUUCCUGAGCGGUGGUCGCAAAAUUUGAUUUCUGGUGAGUGCGUUUGUCUUUUAAAAGAAGAAUUUAAAAGAAAUUUAUUCUUGUCGAUUGUUUUCUUCUCUGUUUUUAUUUGAUUUCUGGUGAGUGCGUUUGUCUUUUAAAAGAUGAAUUUAAAAGAAAUUUAUUCUUGUCGAUUGUUUUCUUCUCUGUUUUUAUUUGAUUUCUGGUGAGUGCGUUUGUCUUUUAAAAGAAGAAUUUAAAAGAAAUUUAUUCUUGUCGUUUGUUUUCUUCUCUGUUUUUAUUUGAUUUCUGUUUUUAAUGGAAUUAAUGCUUCAUAAAUUUGCCGGCACUGCCAUUACUUUUUUUUUUAAUACAAAUUGAUACUUUAUUUAUAUCUUCUUAGCGAUUUAAUUUCCUGUCAAUAGACGAACGAGAAGAACAUAUGACUUAAACCAAUGCUCGCAUAAACUUGCUGUAAAAAGAUAUAAUCUCACUGAAAUGCACACGUCUAGAAUGAAUAGAAUUAAAACAGGGAAAAUCAAUCAAUUCCACCUUUUGCAAUUUCUUCUGUUCUAACAAAAACCAAUUUCUUUGUUCAAGUAUUUUCGUUUGGGUAUUAAUAAUUCUCCACCGAAAGAGUGAACUCUUGCUCAAGGGAUCUCUAAUCAAUUGCCGGAAGGGCGCCGAGACCUGAUCGGACCUAGGCCCAAGUUUGGUCUUAAAGCCUGGGCUUGAGCCUGGCAAUUAAAUUAAAACAUUAAUUGAUUUCUUGGUUGAUUUGUCGUGUAAUUGAUUUAUGGGGGAUGACACAUCAACAUACUUGAAAAUACACUAAUCUCAGCAUCAUCGGUUAAUAACUUUUAGAUUUAUGCGUAAUCAAUAGUUAAGAUUAGUUGUCAUUAAUACUAAAUAUUUUUUACUUUUUUUGUCUCUUCUAGAAAAAUGCAUCCACAAUUAAAUUUAAUACUUUACAUAAUAAACAAAGCAUAAAUGUUAAAUUUAAGAAACUGCAUUGUAUUUCAGCUGAAGUUGACUUUAAUAUUUAGGGUAGAAAAAAAUUAAAUCCUUAAUGUGUUUAAUUUGUAUCACUUGUGUCAUUAAAAUUUUCUAGUCACCCUAACCAAUUACAUCUCAACCCACUUUGUUUUUGGAUGAUUUUAUUUUUAGACUAUUAUUUUCAUCAUUUUUUUUCCUUUUAACACCAACAUUAGUGUAUGUUACGUAACAUAAUUCAUAUUUGGAUCAUUUGAAAUUUGCUUGUGUUUUAUCUAAAAAUAGAGCUUCAAUCAAAUUGUACCUCAUAAAUUCACAAUAUCUAUGAGGGCUAAUGAGACCAAACUCUGGCAUAUUGUCAAAUGUGCUUAUCCUUUUGCUUGACAUGUCAUUUUAAAAUUGUCAUUCAAUGCCAAAAAAUCACAUCAACUGAUGGCCGACUACUUUAAUUUGAAAGCAUGCAUGCGAUCGCCAAUAAUUAUAACUUAAUUGUUAUUUUGAAAUUUUUUUCUUUAUAAUUUUUAAGUUUAAUACUACUACAUGUGCAGCACAUAAGUUGGAAAAUAUAACAUAAAAUUUGAAAAAUGUGUAGCUUUCGUUCCUUUUUUUUCUUAAAAAUGGGAAAAAAGAAUGUAGUUUUGUUUAAAUUACUGUUGUGAUUACAAUUAUUAUUUUAUUGAUUAAUUGGCAGAGAAUCGUAAUGGUUUUGCAUGGUUGUUAAAACAUUGGAAAAUCCACUACAUCAUCCGUUAAUAACUUUCAGAUUUAUGAUUAAUCAAUAGUUGAGAUUUGUUAUCAUUAAUGCUAAAUAUUUUUUUAAUAUUUUCUCUCUCUCUUAGAGGAUCAUCCAAAGUAAAAAUUUAAUAUUAUAAAUAGUAAACAAAGUAUCAACGUUAAAUCGAAGAAACUGCAUUGCAUUUCAACUGAAGCUAACUUUAAUAUUUAAUGGAGAAAAGUAAUUAAGUCCUUAAUGUGCUUUAUUUACCCAUAUAUAUGGCUAAUUUUUCAAGAUAAAGGGGAAGGAUGAUGCUCAAAAAUAUAAAUUAUAGAAUUAAUUGAACUCUCAAGUAAGUUUAAAGUUCAUUAUUUUUAAUUACUUGUUUAUAAUUUAUUUUUAUUUCGUAUUAAUCUAUGGAUCUAAAUCCCCUUUGGAUUCAUAUACAUAUAUAGACAUAAUGUGUAUGUUAAUCUAUAGGUCUGAAUUCACUUUAGGUCUAUAUAGGUAUUUUGACAAAUGUACUCCAAUCAUGCAUAUUGGCAAGUUCUAACUACUCUAUUGAUAUAUCAAUAUUAUUUCUAACUGCACUAUAGGUCCAAAAAUAAGUUAGAAAUACAAAUUAACAUAAAAUAAAAAUAAUUGGUAGAAAAUACAAAUUAUAAACAUAUAAUUGAAAACGAUAAACUUUAAAUUUACUUAAGAGAGUAAUUAAUUUCAUAGUUAAAAUCUUUAAAUUUUACCCCUCAUCUUAACUUAAGAAAAUUAAUCACUUAUUUUAUUUAAUAAAGAAGAGAUUUUUUUCCCCUAUAUUUCCCAAUUAUUUCUCUCCCUCUCGCUCCCGUAAGUUAUACAACUUGAAGUGAAAUAUGAGUGGUCUGAUUCUAGCUUAAAUAAUUUAUUGUGACAUGCUAUCUAAGGACAAUACAUUACCUAGCUCUACAUAUUUUAUUUAACCUCCGGCCCACCCUGUGCAAACUUGCCUUUCCCCUGCAAGACAAGAUUAAUCAAUGUAUCAAGUCUCAAAUUCAAUUUCGAAUAUGACCAUCGUACGCUCUUGUUCUUCCCUCUUUACGAGUGCAUUCCCCCCAACCUCAAGCUCCCUCUCUCGUCUUCAAUGUCACUGCUUAUAUCCUUAUGUUGUUCUAGUUUGAAAUAGUGGCUUCCACUAUUUCAGGGCCCCCAAAAAUCCAGAAACAUACUAUUCAUCACGAUGACAAAAUUUUUGGCAGGCAGGUGCUUCCUGACUUUCACACGGUAAUUCUCAAAUUCUGAUUUCACCAUAUUUUAAUUACUGAUUAGCAUAUAUUCAAGUGCUCUCCAUUAUAACGGAAGCCGCCGCCUCACUCGUGAUUCCAAACUUUUAUCUUUUUUUCCUUUUUUAAAUUAAUGCAAGUAGCCGCUGUCCUUUUUAUUAAUUAAUUAGUUCGGCCGCCCACAUUUCUUUUCCUAAUGUCUUCUACUGUCGAUUUUCUUUUAUUUUCUCUUUUUUCUUAAAAUAUACUUAUAAUAAUAAAAUAUAAAAAUAAAAAUUAACAUAUCAAAAUAUAAUUUAAUAGAAAAUUAAGAUAAAAAAUAAAAAAAUUAUGAGCAUAUCAAUCAAUAAAUGAAAAAUAAUAAUUUUUAUUUUUAUUAAAUAUAUAUUUUUUAAAAUUAAUCAAUUAUCUGAAUAAAUCAAAUCAUUUAAAAAUAAAUAAAUAAAUUAUUCUUAAAUAAAAAAAAGAAACUUUUUAUAACACUCACUAUGCUGGUUGUAGGGUAGACGCUUUGGGGACUGAAGCUGGUAACUUCUACAAGUAGUCUUAAGUUGACUGGCAACAACUAUAUUGGCAUUUAGACAUAAUGUACUGCAACCAUAUUGGUAUGUUCAAAUGUUCUUACUAUUGUAUUGGUGUAUCAAUAUUAUCUCUAACUGCCUUAUAGAUUAAAAAAAAUCUAAAUUUACAAUUUAACAUAAAUAAAAUAAUUGGUAAAAAAACAAUUAUGGUUUAUUUACUUAUCAGUAAUCAGAAUAGACUGAAAUCGAAAUGAGCUGUAUUACCGUUAAUGUGUUUAUGUUGUCCUUGAAUCGGAAUGAAUUAUUUUAAGUUACUAAAAUAUCAUUGGUUUGUUAUUCUAAUUAUUAUUAUUUAAUAUUUAUUAUAAUAUUUGUCAUAUCAUUAAAAAGAAAUAAUAAUGAUGAUAAUAUUAUCAUUAUUGUUUGUUACAUUAUUAUUAUUCAAAAAAAUUAUUGUUAAUAACAAUAAUUACUUUAUUUCAAUAAUAAUAAUGAUGAAAUUAAUAAUAACAAACAUGACAACAACAAUAAUUAUUUAUUAUGCCAAAAAUAACAAUAAUAAUAAGAAUAAUAAUCAUCAUCAUUUUUUUCCCAAAGAAGCAUUAUCAUCAUCAUUUAAAAAAAAAAUCAUCAUCAUCAUUUUUGUAGUUACUGUUUCAAUUUAGGAAGAAGCUGUUUCGUUGUGCUAACGAUGGGAGAUGUUGUGGCUGCGAUUCGGGGAGCUACUAGUUUAUUGCACUAAUGACGACAGGUGCGGCUGCUUGAUGCGAGGUCCAUGGCCAGUUGUCAGCAGUUCGACUUUGGUAUGGGCGUUGCUGGUUCGAUUUUAGGUGUUGUCUAAUUUCAUUUUCAGGAUUUUAAUUUUAAUUUUUUUUUAUAUUUUCAUUAAUUAAUCAGUGCAAAGUUUGAUUUUAGAAUUUGGAAUGAAGGUAAUUUUGUUAAUCAUGGAAAUGAGAUUCUGAUUGUCGAGAAUGAACUUACAAAAUUGCUGCAAAUUAAGUGAAAACAAAACGCUUUUUCUCUUUGUGUGAUUAAAACAUGAAAUGUACCAUAAAUAAAUAGGUAAAAAAUAAAUCAACACAAUUCAAAAUAGUAAACCAAUUACAAGAGGCACAAAUUUUUAUGUGAAAUACCGAAAAUGAAAAAAAACUAUAGCAUCCUAGUCUAAUAUAAUCUUCUACUAUAUUAAUGGGAUUACAGCACAAAUUCUUCCCUAUCUAACACUAGAGAUUAACAAUAUCAAAAAUCUCAAUAAUCUUAACUUACAAUACAACCUAAUAUAUGUCUCUCUAAUAAGUAGAUAUCUAAAAUAACAGUCUCUAAUAAGUAGGUAUCUCAAAUAAUAGUUAAUAAGAGGAUAAAACAAAAAUUAAGAUUAGUAGAAUGUGUAUAAGGCGAUGCUAUCAACUUAUCUUCUAAAUUUGAGAAAAAUAGUUAAAUUCACUUUUUCGAUUGUACGACCAAAGAUGGAAACCCUUGCCCCAAAACCAAAGGAAUCACCAUUGUGUUUUUUUUCUCUCUUUCUCUUUCUCGUUCUUCUCUUCUACUUUUCUUAAUGUUAGCCGCCACUUGCUUUUAUUCUUUAUAGCAUUUAAAAAGCUACUUUUAAUGGUAAAUUCAUCUAAGUCCAAAACUUAGUGAUAAUUGCACACCAAACAAUCCUUUUUGGACUAUGGACUUUUGGGCCUCCAAAUGAGAUGAAUACAACAAAUCUCCCCCUUCAGAUUAUGUGGGGGGCACUACAAGCCCGCUCUCUGCAUAUAGCUUUUCAGCUUCUCCUUGAAUAAUGACUUUGUCAUCAUACAUAACCCAUUCUUCGUUGUGUAAAUCUUCUCAAGCUAUAACUGUUCUUUCUCAAGCACGUCUCAUAUCUAAUGAUAUCUCACAUCAAUUUACUUAGAUUUCGAAUGGUAUAUCAAAUUCUUUGAACGGCACUCUGACUGUCGCAGUACAUAACAUAGUUGUCUCAUUUUAUAUCCAGCUCUUGUAGGAAAUUCUUCGUCCACAAUAUUUUUUUGCAACCUUCAAUAAUUGUAAUAUCAUUUGCUUUAGUGGUAGAAAAGGCAACUUAUUACUAAAGUUUAGAUUGCGAUGAGCUCCCCCUGCAAAAGUGAGCAAACAUCCUAGUACGAAUUUUUCGGAAUCAACAUCUCCUGCCAUAUCUAUACACUUGUAACACAGGUUUGUCACCACCAAAAUAUAAACAUGCUCUGGAAAUGCCUUUAAGAUAUCUGAGAAAUUUUCACUGUUGUCCAGUGCUCUUUACCGGGAUUGAAGAGAAACCACUGACUACACUAGCUGUAUAAGCAAUAUCUGGUCUUGUACAAAUUAUGGCGUACAAUAAACUGCCAACUGCUGAAGCAUAAGGAACUCCUCUCAUGGAGAAAUGGGUUUUGCUCUUGAGAAUUUUGGGAACAUAAAGAAUAAAGAUGUAAUUUCUUGGACUGCCAUUGUUUCGAGGUAUAUAAACAGAAGACAAGUCGAUAUAGCUUGACAAUGUUUUGAUCAGAUGCCAGAACGAGAUUAUGUCUUAUGGACUGCCAUGAUUGAUGGGUACCUUCGAGUGAAUAGGUUCAAAGAGGCUUUGACGCUUUUUCAGGAGAUGCAAACUUCAAAUAUAAUGGGAGACAAGUUUACCAUUGUUAGCAUUCUUACAGCUCGUGCCAAUCUGGGGGCACUAGAUCUGGGAGAAUGGAUAAAGACUUAUAUUGACAAAAACAAAGUCAAGAAUGAUAUAUUUGCGGGGAAUGCUUUGAUAGACAUGUACUGUAAAAGAGGAGAUGUUGAGAAAGCUCAAAAGGUAUUCAGGAAGAUGCUUUGAAAGGACAAAUUCUCAUGGACGACCAUGACUGUUGGCCUUGCCAUCAGUGGCAAUGGUGAUAAAGCUCUUGAUAUGUUUUCCCAAAUGCUUAGGGCUUCGAUCAAACCGGAUGAGGUAGCUUAUGUUGGUGUUCUGUCUGCCUGUUCUCACAAUGGUAACGAAACUUUUGUGAUAAAUAGUUGCAACUUAAGGUGAGAAUUGGAGGAAAGGAAAUAGACUGAAGUUGUUCAAUCAUCAGUGGUUGCUAUUUGGUUUUAAGUUGUUCAAUUAUCGGUCGUCUCUAUUUGGUUUUCUCCAAUAUCUCAUCUUCAGUUUUGACUCAGAUUCUAUCUUACCACUAUUGUUCUGUUCAUUCUAUUUGUUUCCUACAAAAUAUUUCUCCUGCCUAAAAUUUUUUGAAUCAGUAAGUUUUUAUCUUAUGCAAGAAUUGUGCUGAGAGUAAUUCCAUUUCUCAGUCUCGUUAUGUUUCAAUGAAGACGUAAAACUUGUGUUCUAGUGCACCAAUGUUUAUGCUUCUUACAAUUUGACUUUAAUUUACUUUGUAAAAUUUUUGUCAAAAAGUACUAAAAAGUAGUGCACCAAACACCAACUUUAUUAUAGAGAGGACUUUAGUUAAAUUUUAAGAAAACACUCAAAAGAAAGAGUUAUAAUUUAUUAUAGAAAUAUUUCACAUAAAUAAAAGCCAUCCCAUGCUGCAAAGAUCUUGCUAUAAUCACCAAAAACUAUCGGGAGCUUUUAGGGUUUCCAUAAAAAUGUCAUUUCGUUCCAAAAGUCAAUGGUGGGUAGAAAGUGGUGCAAAUGAGACUCAUUCUUAAUGGUAUAAGUUUUUGCUUAAUUAUGUCUUCCCCAAGAUGAUGAUUUAAUUUCCAUUCUCAAUUAAUUUUCAAGUUUCAACACUUUUCUAUGUAGCAUGACAUUGGAAAGAUCUUGUACAGUUGUACUACUAAAAGCUAGCAUCACACGUUAGUUAUUGUUAAGUUCUGUUUCAACGUGAAAUAAAGGAAGUAGUCCUUCAUUAAAACCAUUAUAGCCAAAUUUCACCUAAUUGGACACUUACAGACUUUCAUUUCAAGUUGGAUUUUGGUCCAACGUUUCAAAGUUUGGCCCAAUUAUUUUUGUCCGGUCAAGUCCUACGCAGCUAAGCCUCUCAAUGAAUGAGGGUGAGAUUGCUAAAAAUUACGACAGGUGAUAUUUUAUUAUUAUUAUUAUUAUUAUUUUUGGGGGAUAAAUCCUCACCAAAGUGAGGAGAUUUUAUCCAAAUCAAAAUAAAAAUAUAACAAGAACUGAAAGUCGGGCAGCCUAAAAGCUAGAUGAACUAAAAGUCAGGCGCCUAAAAACAACCUUAUGCAAAAGAGAAGCAAUAUGAGACCGAUCAAGUAAAAGAAUCCACCGCAACACCUAAAUUGGCCAAAUUAUCUGUUGGUAUUACAAGUUUCUUGUUAUAAAAGUGUAGAAUGAAGUAGGUGACGUAGUUUUAAGUUACAGCUGCAUGCCCAAUCGCAAUAUCAAAUAAUGCUUAAAUAUCAAAUAAUGCUUAAAGUAGUUGCCUAGGCCCGCCACAACUUAUAUUAACUCUUAAAUUUAUAAAUAAUUAAAUUUUUAAAAGUUUGGAUUUAUAUUAAAAAAUCUUCAUAUAAAUAAAUAAUAUAUGCACUUUUACAACAGUCUUUAAAUUUAAAUUUUUCAAAAAAAAUCUUCUGUAUAUCUUUUCUAUUAAAAAAAUUUCCAUAUAAAUAAAUAAUAUACCUAAUUUAAUUGGACCGAGCACAACGCACAUGCAUAGAACACAUUCCGAAAAGCCAUGCUAUUCAGAAAUUGACGAAUGAAAAGUGAGGAGGCAGCAGUCAAUGCUAUUUCGGCUUGGCCCAAAAUUGAUUUAUCAGUUUGACGUGUGCCAGGAAUGAAGAACUGGAAUAUCACCGUCAAGCAGCACCCUGUGGAGCAAUACCAUAGAAUGCACAAUCUGGCUUUGCCAGGUGACACUGGAGGCUUUUUGAAAAGUGCUUCAAAAAGCCUUUUCUGAUCGAGUCUGAGCACUCAAAUUUUGGUCCUCAGAUGGAGCUACAGCUUUCUCUCCAAUAACCAACAAUUUUCUAAACUCAGCUCCUAGUGUGAUGAGAGUUGUUGAUAUUUGUAAAUGGAGAUCCCCGUAUUUGCAAAUGGAGACAUUUACCAAAUCACCAACAUGCUUCAUCCAGUCUACGAAAUUCUGCAGCUGAUUCAAAUCCGGAACCUGAACCAGAGUCGGAGGUAAAUCUUGAGCCAUAUCUAAAGCAGUCUGAAGUUCAAGUACUUGAGCCCUUGACAAUGGUUUUGAAAUUGGAACAUCUUGGAUUACUGCAGACUUGUACCCCUUGGUUUCAAAGGUAAGGAAAGGCAUUGCUUGAGUACAAUUUGGAGGCAGCUUCUUCACCAAUUUUAUUUGGAGGCAAUUGGCAGCGGAUCCAGCUGCACCAAUUUCAGAGCAAAUACUGACACUACUUCAAACAGCACGCUGAAGAAGAGAUAUGUCUAUGGCAAAGACAAUGCAGUCCUCAUUUUGACUUGAGAUGCGGUAAUCAUCAAAGAGAGUUUCCUUGUGAAACUGGGCAACACAUUGAAUCCCUUCACCACUGAGAAGGUUGUGGAGGAAGCAAGCUUUCUCUCUAGUAAGGAAGAGGUGGCAUACCUUCCCCAUUUUGUCUAGGACAGGUAGGAAUCUUUUUUCUAAGAGAUUUACUCCAUUCUCUGUGAGAAAUGCUUUGAACUUCAUCCCUCUGUCUCUAUCCUCACUUAUCAGUAAAAUAGUUGAAAGCACUACAAGGAGAGAAAAGAAGAGUAUUAAGAUAUAUAUAGACAAGAAAAACAUUAGAUGUCGAUCUUACAAGCUAAUACUUCAAACAGUAUCCUAGAAAGCUAAAAACUGCAAAAUGGCUUGAAAUUUGAAAAGAACACAUGCUUUUCCUCCUUAACUUGAGAAAAUGUUUAAUAUAGUGCACCUUACAGAAACAUUUAAGCAAUUAGAACUUUGCACAAAAACAUUCAAGAAGACUAAACAAAUCAGAUGCAGUGUAUUUCUCCAAGCACAAAUGGCAUUGCAUUUUCUCCUCAACUGUAAUAUUUAUUGAUGAAAAUCAGUACAGGUCCCUCAUUUGUUAUGGAAAGCUUUCUUGUAGUCUGACCGGUUAAUUCACGGGUCUAUAAUCAUCUUGCAAAGUUACAGGCAUUUCUUUCGAUUUAAAGUCUUUGCAUCACCACCUCAUCACACACCAAGCCAAUAUUCCGUCUACCUCUACAACAAAAAGUUUUAAGUAAACGAUCCUAAUGCAUGCAGCCAAAUAAAAUGCAGUAAGAAUAUUCAACUUAAAACUCUGAAAGCCAUCUUGGUGAAUUGCCUCCUUAGGGGAAGUUCCAUGCUUUACUAUACUUGACAGGACUGAGCAAAAGCUUCCAUACGACAGAUUUUGACAAUAAUGAUGCCAACAGAUCCUCAUUAAAUCCAUUAAAACUCCAAAGGUUCAUUGUUCAUGGAUGUUUACAGAGUUUUGGUCAUCAAAUAGCUCAGACCACAAUCCCAAACAAAAAAGGAGUGAAAAUUAGAUCACCAGCAGCUAAUUGUAAAUUCUAACUUAACUCUUCAUCUCCUUUGUAAACAGGAGACAAAAUGGAGACACGCAAAAUGAAUAAGGAGAACAUUUGAACUCAAAUGAAAUGAGGGCACGAAAUCAAACAAAUGGCAUGCGCAAACAAACCAAGCCUCAAUCAAAAACUAAAUAACCAUUAAGAAAAAAAAACUGGUCAGAGAAUGAACUCCAAAUUCGGGAGUGAAGCAAGAAGCUUUCAUUAUUUCAGAAGCUCCUGUACAAAUUAAUAAGUUAUGCUCUUUGGAAACAAACCUAAAUUCCAAGAGAAACAGAACUCAAAAAAUUUGCAAUUAUACGCAAAGGAAGCGAAGCACAGCAUUCUAUCACACGUACAAAUUGUAUAACAAGAGAUCGACACAUCGAAUCAGAAGAAUUCAAUUCAAAUUUGUCUCAAAAAUCAAAAUUAGAAGAUUUCACAUUUCGAGAGGAACAAGCGACAGGUCAGAUGCACAAUUUUCAACCACAACAUGCCACAAUUAACGGUUUAUUUCCAUGGAUUUAGAGAGCUGACUGACCUUUUGGCUUUUGGAAUUGAGAAGAACGCGCGCCAAAAUGGAAGAGGGAAAGCGAAAGUGCGGGUUUCAAUAGGGUAUUGGAUUAGCAAAUUUUAUUAGUUUGCGAGGGUAAAAUAGGAAAGAGAUAUCACUAUUAACUUUUUUUUUUAUAAGAAAAAAGAAUAAUAAAGAAUAUUUUAUUGUCAUUUGCAGCAUUUAAUUUUUUUUAAAUGCUAUUAGAAAAAAACGACAAUAAAGAAAUGCUCUUUUUUUAUUUUUUUCUCGAAGGUAAAAUCAAUUAUUUAGCGUCUUAUAUGUAAUCUAACUCCAUUUCUUACUUUAAGUCAUAUCCAACUGACCAAUAAAGUAAUUGUUUUUUUUUUCAUUCAUUUUUACAGAAAAUUAAUAUUGAAAGCUAUUGUAAAAAUUUUUAUUAUCAACCUCAUAGUUUAAUUUUUUUGGGGAAGAAUUGAAUUUUUUUUUUUAAUUUCCAAGAAUUUCAUUCUCUAGUUUUUCCAUUAAUAUUACUUAUCUUGAUACCCAUCUUAAUUAAAAUCUGUAGUUUUAUUCAGGAGUCAUGCUAUUCAUUCACUCACAGACCAAAGGCUUUCCGCAGCAAUAUUAUUAUUUAAAUUACAACAAAGGGGAAAUCAAAUACGUCAUACAGAAGCUUAAAGCUGAAUCUACAAAAUCUAGAGCUCUCAACUACAAAAAUUACACUUGAUGAUCCUCUACAAGAUGAAACUUGUUCAAUAUCUCAUCCAAAGCUUGUAAAGUAACCUUGUAACGAUCUUGAGAUUGCCUGCCUUCCUCGACGACCUGCACGAUGCGUUUGUACAAAUCAUCAUACCUGUGCACCGGAUUUUUAAUAUCAACGCCACUGCAGCUGUGAUCAAGAACAUAAGAGCGUUUAACAUCUUUUCUCCAUCGAGAAAGAAUGUAGUGAGGUGGGAUCUCCUGCAUGCCACUCUGGUUUAGAACACAAAGAAUGUGUCUGCAUAAAUAUCCUCUGAAAUUGAACAACCCACAAACACAAAGCACCUCCUGCAUAAAUAUCUUUCUCGUUGCUACCAAUCUCAAAUUCUUCCUUCACUAUCUAUGUUAUAGGUCCAUCAGCACUGACAUGUUUUGUGCUAUAGCAAGAGUACAUAGCCUCCACCUCCGUCUGAAACUUCCUUAACAUUUCAUUUGUGUACAGUUUUGAGAGUUGAAAUUCAUAGUAACAUCUUGGUUUCUGGAUACAACUUGAAUUUCUUGAAUCCAUAUCUGCCAAGGCUUCCAGUUGAUAAUUCGCCUGCAGUGCUUGAUCAUACUUGUCUAAGAAUUCUUUCAAAGGAGUACUCUUAUCAAGAUAUCCUUCAAAGUAUGAAGUAGAAACCUCAUUCUGCAGGAAUGAAAACACUCCUGAUAAAAAUGCUUCCUUCAAAUAAACAGGAGCCCACCUUUUACGAUCUUCAUAUAAAGUUUGAAUCCAUCCAUGAUCCUUUAUUCCAUGACGUUGAAUCGUGUCCUCCCAAGCUGUCUCAAAUUCCUCAGGCCUAAGAGAGUGAUAAAUUGCUCUAUGCAAUGCAGCUCUAACAGCUUCAUAUUCAAACAAUCCUUGGAGUUUCUCUGAAAUUUUUUGCAUGACGCAUGACAAUGAAAAGCAAUGAUAAGCUCUUGGGAAAGCAUUGCUGACGGCAGUUUUCAAGAUUCUACAUUGGUCAGUGAUGAUUGUUUGUGGACAGCGUCCUAACAUACAUGUAAGCCACGCCCUAAACAACCAUGUAUAUGAUUCUAUAGUCUCACUGGCGAGUAAACCACAGCCCAACAGCACUGAUUGUCCAUGAUGAUUCACCCCAAUGAACGAAACCAGUGGUACAUCAUAUCUUUCUGUCAAGCAUGUAGUAUCAAUUAAGACUACAUCACCAAAGUACCUAUAUGCAACUCUUGACCUGGUAUCAGUCCAGAAGAGGUUUCUCAGGCAUCCCUUUUCAUUUAGAUCCACCACAUUAAAAAAGUUUGGAUCUGUCAACUGCAAACGACAAAAGAAACUCUGGACAGCUUGUGCAUCUCCUGGUUUAAGCUUCAAUUGAUUUGAGCUAUUAACAUCAUUUCCAAAUACUCCAUUAACAUCUAUAUUACCAUUUCCCUCGGUAUCAAGGAUAAGAGUUCGAAACAGUCUAAUUUUUUGAACUUCUUCAGCACCAUCUAAGAGCAAUGUUCUUUUGGUUCCAAUACCCAUGUGCUUAUGAGACUUGUAAAACUUUCCGCUUCUUGGGCUUAACAAACGGUUAUGCUCAAGCUUGACUUCAAUGAUUCUCCACCUUUUGGUUUCCAUCAACCUAAACUUUAUCAUUGCUGGACAGCCAGUUCUUGUUUCUGGUCUUGGGCGGUUUGCCUCGCUUUUCUUCUUUAAGCCUGCACUACUACAGCUCAGCUUUCCUCUAUACUUUUCUCUACUCUUUCGGUACCAUGUAUUGCUAACUCUAACACCAAAACCCUGUUCCUUGGCAUAGCAAUUAUAAAAGUAAUAUACGUCAUCAUACGUCUCAAACUCCAUCCCAACAGCAGGAGGCAAUGGAUUUUGGAUUAUCCCAGUUUGUCCAACAUAUUCAGUCAUCGCACAAUCUCCUAUUCAAAAUCAUCAGCGUCAUCAUCACCUACGGGUUCAGUAUUCAGAGAAACUUCAUCCAUCUACAAUAGAUGUUUAAUGAAGUGAGCUUUAAGGAGAAAAGGCAAAAUCAGUUCAAGGAAUGAUAAUAAAACCGUACAGUUACUUUCACAAAGCUUCGUAUUUCAUCACUACUUUAACAACAUGCAACUGCCUGAGAACAUACAGACAUGUCAUAGAUGCUUGAAUUAAGUAUUGAUACAAAUUAGCACACAUCAUGUGGGACACAAUUUCAGUCACUAAACCCAAUACCUUUUUUUUACAUCAUACCAAGAAACAGAUUAAACCCAAUACCUUCUUUUACGCCAUACCAAAGAACAGAUUAAAUCAUCAAUGAAAAAUUAAUCACAUAAUAAUUUAACUAGACAAUUGAAGAGCUCAAAACAGCACAAUACUUGAAUCUGAUUAUGAUAAUUGUUGAGUCCUUGUAUCGACAGCUUUCCUUCAAUGAGAAGAUUAUGAACAUAAACUACACACAAAAAAAAAAAUUAUUUAAACUGACAGCCCAUGAUAUAAAUCAAACAAAAUUAACUCCUUUUACAAAUCACAUCUUGUAUUCAUUUACAUCGAAACAUAAAAAGGAAGCAGGAGCCAAAAAAAACAACAGCACAGAAACUUCUUUCCAUAAGGUUUACGAAAUAAGGAAUUUAUUAAGACACAAAAUUUGAGGUCACCUAUAAUAAUUUGGUUCUCAUUCUCUUUUUCUUCAUUUUUCACUUAUUGAUGGAGUUAGCAUACAAUCCUAAAUGAUAAAACCCCAUCUCCAUUUUUGAACUAGAGCUAAAGCAAAGCAUUUUAGGAUUCAUCAUUUUUUUUUCUAAAAGACUCAAUAGUACAAUGUUUUUCAAUAUUAAAUACACAACUCAAUCUUCUCCUAAUUUACUCUAAUAAUCUCUUAACUUAGGAAGAUUAAGCUCCACUUGUAAGCUAAAACAAUUUUCUUAAAUCAAGCCCCAAUGCUCUAUACUAUUCAACAAGGCCUCAUAAAUGAUAAAACUACCUCUACAAAGAUACCCAUUUUAGUUUCGCAAACUAAAAUCAAACUCCUGAAACGUAACGAGCAUUAAAACAAACAAGUCCGAACAAGAACUGAAAAAUCAUACAUAAACUCGUUUACACGCUUCGAAAAACACUUUGAAAUUCAAACGAAACAUACCUUAGGUUGAUAAAUUAGUAGCGCAAAAGAAAUUUUAGUGAGAUAUGGGAUCAGGGUUUUUGCCACGGUGAUGUUAAUUGCGACAUUGGGGUGACUCAGCAGCCUUCGAGGCUGAAACUUUGAUUGACCAAAAGCUUCCCGUUCGUUGAUUAUCUAAUUGCAGAAACGAAACUCGCAGUGUACAGAAGAAGUACGCUGAUUUGAUAAUUCUGUGAAAAUCAUUGUUUUUUUGAGAUUUUUAAUGUGUUCGGUAAAUAUCAAAAUCUCAAAAACUUGUCUUUCAUUUUGGGGGGAAAAACCCAUUGAGAUCCUUAUGUUUUUUCUUAUAUAAUCUGGCUUAAUAAUUUGCAAAGUCUAUUACUUUGCACCCAUGCAUGCUGCGUUUCAAUUUUACAAAAUUGUACGUGAGUGCAUCCAGCUAAAAUUUGUAAAAAGAAAAUAACAAUAACAUGUUAAAAAUGUGAUGAUUAUGAAGAAAUUUUAAUUUAGUUAAAUAGGUGACGAUGGAUAGGUAUAAAAUCUGAGAUCUUUUAUGAGAUUAAUAAGUAUGUUGAGUUUGGAUUAGUUCAAUUUUGACAUAAUACAGAAUAAACACAAUCUGCUAAUCUAAGUUAUCAUCUUUUCUCGUCAUCAGGUACCUGUUUGAAAAAUAAUUAUAUACAAUUUUAUUUGCGUUGUCUCUCCAAAAAUUUUGGACUCGAAUGUUAUUUUUAAUUGCUAAAAGUACGAAAAUGCCCCCUUUCUCUUCAGCUAAAGGAGUGCAAAGUCAUCUGUAUAAUUGAAUCUGCAUCAUCAGUUUCUAUUGCUGGCUGGUGUUACUGCAUGCUUACAGUUGCUUGACAAAGUGAGCCAGUUUUUUGUUUAUUAAUUUUUUUUCUUGUCGAGACAGUCACAAAGUAUUACUUGUUCCAUAUGAGAAUGAUGUGAAUCAAUUUUUCAAUUAUGCAUUCUGUGGUAAUUAUUGUGAAUUUAGUUUCAUUUGUCUUGUCUCCUGCAAAUUUUGAAGAAAAUGCAGACAUACAAACUUACAAUAUGGAAGAGUUCACUGGAAAAAACUUUGUGAAAGCUUCCAAGUGAAACAGGGAAUGGGCUUACUAGUAAAGGACAAAUUGGUGGCCAGCUAAUGCAUUCAUUCUAUGUCCAUUCAUCUUUUCGAAUUAUUGAAGACAAGUGGCUCACCACUUUUAGUAUUGGUAAAAUUCAGAUAAUCUCUAUUCCGAAAUAAUAAUAUUCAAAAUAUCUCUUAAAUCAUUAUAAACCUGAAAUCUAUUUUAAUUUUAUUUAAAAGAUAAAAGAAAAAUAGGUUAUGUUGGUGAUUUUUUAUUAUCUUUUUAAUAAAAAUGAAAUAAAUUGAUGUUUAUAAUUAUUUAAAGUAUUUUAAAGAUUGCUAUUUUAUGAGAGAAUAAUAUUUCACUUUUUUAGUGUGAAAGAUUGAAAAAGGACAAACCAAGUUUCCCUAAUUUUUAUUUUAUUUGAAAUUGGUCAUCUCACAUACUUCACCCUUCAACAUUAUAAUUUUUUUGGUUAUAAUUUUAUUAUUUUUUCUCUUUUACACAUGCAUGUGAAUUACUUUUCUUUAAGCUCCUGAAUAUUUAAGACAAAUCAUGGAAGAGAUGAGAGUAUAACAAGAUGAUCAAAAUAUGUAACAAAAAAAUUUUAGAAGUGAAAAAUAUGUUAGAGUCGAAGUAAAACUCUGAGGUGAUGUUUGAUUUGAAGAAAAUGGAGGAGAGGAAAAGAGUGGAAUGGAGAGGAAAAUAGAGAAAAGGAGAGGAGAGGAGAGUGAAAUUUUUUUCUAAUGUUUGGUUUGUCACAUAAUUAUACAAAGAAAAGAAAUCUCUAAUUUUUUAUUUAGACAAUUUUAACCUUAAUAAGUAUUAAGCUUUCAAUAUUUAUCAUGUGUAUAAUUUAAAAAAAGUAAAUGGUAGAAAGCGGUUUCUGAUUCCGGCCACAUCGCCGGCAAUGGAAGGUACUUAUCAGAACAUCAAGAGCCGACCAUCAUUCCCUAGCCAUCACUGCUGUCAGAACACUGCCAGAAAGCUGCCGAUUGAACCGCAAAAAGUCGUGGAAAUCGCUGCCUCAAAUCGGUGAGUUUCGCCUUUUUCUGGUCACGCCGUCACCUUGGCUUUGUCCAUCAAGGCUGCCACUUCCAUUUUCAACCAUCCAUAGCCACUAUUAACGGCCAAAUCGCCGCCGAUCAGCGGGAUAUGUGGAAGUUAAAAAGUUUCUAAAUUUUUUUGACUGGAUUUGAACAACAUACGACCAUUUUUUGAUCUCGAUAACGACGUAGUAAUGUUGAUCAUUGAUCGGCAAGUCGAAUGGUAGUGGCGGUGAGUAACAUGCGCCAAUGACAUCGGCGGCGGCACUAUCCGGCGACUGUUAAAAUUAAUAUUUUAUAUUUUUAGAUUAAAUAAAUUUAUUUUAUUAAACUUUUUAAAUCAUUAUUUAAAUUUAAUUAAUUUAAAAUUAUCUAUAAUGUUGAAUUGAUAAAAUAAAUUUAUAAAUAAUAAUUAUGUGAUUACAUUAAAUAAGUUAAAAAGUUGAAAGGUUAUUUUUGGAAGAUUUAGUUUCCAACACAAAGGGAAUUUGAAUUCUUCACUUCUUAGUGUGGAAUUCAAAUUCUAUAUUGUAAUGGAUAUUAAAUUCCAAUAGAAAUUAAAUUCUUAUAAAUUAUGUCAAACCAAACAACGGAAAUAAAAAAGGAAUUUAAAUUACUUUCCUUUCCUCCAUUGUCUCCUUCCAACCAAAUACAUCCUGAAAAUAGAGAUAUUGAUUAAUUUAGAAGAGAUGCAAGCAAAAGAUAUUCCAAAAAAAAAAAAAGCAAUAUGUCCCUUUGGAGGGCAAACUUGUCAGUUUUAAAAAAGUACAUGCUUUGGAUUGAUAGUUGUAGGAUAUUUGUUUUGUCACUAUGUAUUAGUUGGAGAAGUCAAGCCUUGUGAAGAAUGUUAUGAAAGAGCAAAAGAUAUUCCUGAUAGCUGAUAGAGCUAUAUUUGAUUAUGUAUCCAACGAAUGGAUGUGUUGUUGGAAGAUAUCUGAGUGCAUUAGUUCAUAUGUGUAUGUCAAUGUGCUUUUAAUGAUUUUUCCACUUGUUUGUUGUAAAAGAUUAUUGUAAAUUGAAAUGAACUUGAUGUUGUAAUAUUUUUUCCUUAGUGGAAUUUCACCUAGUAUGUAUUCAGUUGUGUUCUCUAUAAUUUUGCAUUCGAAUAGUUUCACCUAAAUAUAUUAGCAUGAGUAGUGGCCCUUGAAACUUUGGUCAAAAUUAUUGUUAUUAUUUCCGACUAGAUGUAAAUUUUUUAUUAAAUCUCGUUAACACAAUUCUUAAUUAAAAGUAUAGGUUAGUGUUGGUGCAAGAUUUGCCACACCAAAUUCUGCCUAGCUGUCAAAAGUGCAAAAUAAAUGAAGAGAAAGCACAAAUACACGACUUGAAUAAGGAUACAACGAAACUUAAAUUCAAGAGAAAAUGAUAGCUAUAUCUCAAGAUUUGAAAAAAUGAUCAUGUAGAUUUUUAAGAUUUCAAUAAGCGACUGAGAUUCAAAUAAUAUCCUUUAAUUCUAUUAACAAAAAACAAAGACUCAAAUAUUUUAUGAUAAAUAAAAAUAUAAUAUUAAAAUAUAUGUGAUAAUAUACACAUUUUAAAUACUUUCAAUCCAAAAAAAUAGUUAUGUUUUACAAUCUAUUAGACAUAUUUUAUUAAAUUAAUAUAAAUUUUCUAUAAAAUAAGAAUAUAAUAUUAAAAUAAAUUCACUAAACUUUAAAGAAUUUUGAAUGUAAAAUAAUUUUAAUAUAUUAAUACGUGAGUUUUUUUAUUAAUAUAAAAAUUAUUUAACUUUAAGAUUUUUUAAAAUCUUUACAAUAAGUAUAACUAUAUUAUUUACAUUUAAAAAUAUUUAAAUAUUAUUAACCUACAAUUAUAUUUGCAUUUGUUAGAAAUUUUUUAAGUAAAAUAUUUUGCACUUCUAUAUUAUUAGAAUUAUUGCACACAAAGAAAGAAACAUAUACCUUUAGAAAUUGUUUUCUUUUAAAAUAGAGAUGAUGAUUAGUAUAAGGAUGAAAAAAAGGAUAUUAACGAAAUCUCUAUACAAAUUGAUUUUAGUAGGAAAAGAGUGAGAUGAAUGAUUCUUUUACAAUUAGAAACAUAGAUGAUGAUUAUUAUAACGAAGAAAAAAAGAUAAAGAAUAUUAAUUAUUAAUGGAAUCUCUAUGCAAAUUGAUUUUAGUAGGAAAAAAAUGAGUUAAAUGAUUUAGAGUGCGUUUGGAAUUGAGAUUGGGCAGCCAUAGAUUUUAAGUUACAACACUGAAGUGUUUGGUAAAUACUAGCUGCUGCAGAUUGAAAGUUAUGUUGAUAUGAUUUUUCACAUGUAUCAUAGAAAAUAUAUUACAUCUUUAAUAAUUUUUUUAAAAUUUAUAUUUGCUAUAUAUUAUUAUUAUUUUUUUUAUAGUUAUAACUUUUUUUCCACAGCAGCUGUAGCUUAAAAGCCACAGCACCUCAAUUUCAAACAAGUCCUUAGACAUUCAUAGUGUGUUUAUUUUUUGGAUUGGUGAAUAAAAAUUAUUGACAACGCUAACUUCAUCUUCACCGUUCGCAAUCCAACAGCAGCAAUUGUCACCAAUAAUGAUAUCUCCAAUGAUGAUGACAAUUAUUAUUAUUAUUAUUAUUAUUAUUAUUAUUAUUAUUAUUAUUAUUAUUAUUAUUAUUAUUAAUAAUUAAUUAAUUAAUUAAUAUAUUAAUGUUAAGAUUAUUAUUGUUAAGAUUAACAAUAAUUAUUAGUAAUACAAUUUUUUGAAUAAAAAUAAUCACAAUAAUUAAAAUACAAAUUAAUAAUUAUGACAAUAGUUAAUUAAUGUCUUUUUAGUGAAUCAAAAUUAUUGACAACGCUAACUUCAUCUUCACCGUUCGCAAUCCAACAGCAGCAAUUGUCACCAAUAAUGAUAUCUCCAAUGAUGAUGACAAUUAUUAUUAUUAUUAUUAAUUAAUUAAUUAAUUAAUGUUAAGAUUAUUAUUGUUAAGAUUAACAAUAAUUAUUAGUAAUACAAUUUUUUGAAUAAAAAUAAUCACAAUAAUUAAAAUAAAAAUUAAUAAUUAUGACAAUAGUUAAUUAAUGUCUUUUUAGUCAUUUAUAGUAAACAAAUUAUUAUGAUUCCUAUUCUCCUUUCCCAUUUUAGCUCACUUUGAUUUCAGUCUAUUCCGAUUUCUAUCUAAUAAAUGCACCAUUAGUGCUAAAGUAAUAUUUCAUACAUAGAAAAGUAAAAACUACACCUAAGGUUAAGGGAAAGGACUUCAAAACUCUCUUUUGAUUAUAAUACUAGGAAAUAAAACCGCGCUUCGCGCGGCUUUAGAAAAUAAAUUUAGUAUUAUCAAUUUUCUUUCUUUACACUCGACAAAACUGAUAAAAAAUAUAAAUUAAUUUUUUUUAAAUGAGCCAGCGUUAUAAAACUAAUAUUAUUUAUGAAAGUUAACUAUUUUUUUGUUAACUUUAAAAAUAUAUAUUAACGUGUAUAGUUUAAGUGUACAGACUUUAUACCUUUUGUAGUUGAUAAGUUCCAAAUUAAAUUUUGUAAUUGAGGAUCCUUAGCAUUGAAGUAUAAAAGAAAUAAGUAAAAUACAUGUAAAGACUUUUGUAAUUUAUUUCGCAUCGUUUGUAGCUGCGUAGGUGAGCAGUUGUUUAUAUCAAGCUUGCAGCUAUGGCAAGUUCCAAUGGGGAUCAGCAACACCUAGUGCCAAAAUGUUCUUUAUCUGUAUAUAAACCAUGUCUCCAUGGAUUAGAGAGAAUGAAAGGAGAAACAGUUGAUGUAAAAAAGAAUGCUUCUUCACGUACUAUGUUCUUUGGCGAUUAAAUCCUCCAUAACAGCUUGGAAAACUCAGCCAAAUUACCAUUUUGUUGUCUCGAUAGUUCCUUUGAUUUAUCCAUUUGUCUACUGAAUAAUUAAAACACAUAAUAAAAAUCAUUAUUAUAGGGUGAAGUAAGAGCUUGCAAUGUAUAAAUUAAAUUUUAAAAUAUAAUCUAAAAAUGUGAUACCUUGAUUUUGUGAGCUAAUGUGUGAAUAUUUUGAAAUACUUCUUUGUAGACAAUGUUUUUUAUGAAGGUUCGGUCUUCUACCUCUUGAUCGGCAUUUAGUAUGGUCAAUCCUUCUCUUGAGGUAACUCGAGACACGGCGACAUAUAAUUGACCAUGUGUGAAUACUUGCUUAGGGAGAUACAAGCCAACAUGUUUAAGAGAUUGUCCUUGGCUUUUGUUGAUCGUCAUGGCAAAACAUGGUGCUAAAGGAAGUUGUCGUCUGUUAAGCUUGAAUGGCCAUCUUGAUUCAUUAGGAGACAUAAUAAUUCUUGGAAUUGUGACAUUUUGUCCAAUAUUUGUUCCAGAAAUGAUGUCACCUCUAAUGGACCAUUUACCAAGAUGAGUGACAAUUAAUCUUGUGCCGUUGCAUAGGCCUUCUAUUUGAUUUAGAUUUCUGAGAAGCAUUACGGGAGCACCUUCCUUAAGUCGUAUGUCAUGAUUAGGGAUGCCAUUGAAUUUCAAACUAUUCAAAAAUUCAGUUGGAUAUAGAACAUCUUCAUCAUUUGUGUUUGCGCUUGCUUUGCAUAUACUGUCUGAGCUAAAAUAGGUUCUCCCUUGACCAGGUAUUAUAUUCAUAAUCAUCUCGUUCAAUUCAUGCACCAUUUCAUUUUUUGGGGUUAAUAUUGCUCUUUCUUUCAAAUAUGUUGGAUCACUGUAGUUAUGCUGAAUUGAUGGGUAGAUAGUGUCGACUAUUGAUUUUAUCAGAUUUUCUGAUGGUUUCUUACAGAUAUCAGAAGGUAGUUUAACUAAAUCUCUAUCAAUGUCAUCAUAUAAUGAACCAUCUCCAAUCUGCAAUAACCAUUUGUCAAAAGAAGCUAUUUUAGCAGCCUAAGAGCCACUCACACUUCCAUUAUAGAGCCUCAUAUUUUUUUUGAGGUCAUAAAUUUUGAAAAAUGGCCACAAGUAGGAUGAGUUAAGUGAAGCAUCAACAAUGUCUGCUCUUGUCCUCUUUGGCACAACUGGCAAUAUUUGUCGGAAAUCGCCACCACAUACUAUUGUAAGUCCUCCAAAAGGUUUGAUAGAACUAUUUUCAUACAUUGUUCUUAGAAUAUCUCUCAAGGUCCUAUCCAAAGCUUCAAAGCAGAACUUAUGUGUCAUAGGCGCUUCAUCCCAAAUGAUCAAAGAAGUUUUCAUAAGAAGUCCAGCUAAUAAGGUGCCUUGUCGGAUUUCACAAGUGGACUCUGCUGUCACAUCCAAAGGAAUAUGAAAUCGCGAAUGAGCUGUCCUACCAUUAGGCAAUAACAAAGCUGCUAUACCUGAAGUUGCAACAGGCAAGACUAUUUUAGAAUGUGAUCUGAGCUUUGCAAUAAUUGUAUUCCACAAAAAUGUUUUACCAGUACCACUGUGUCCAUUGAUAAAAAAUAAACGCCCUUCUUCAUUGUCAACAGAAUGCAUUAUUGCUUCAUAGGCUGAUUUUUGGCAAGCAUUUAGAGCAGCAAACGAUUUCUCAUGCAACUUCUUUAAUUGAUCACGAUCAUAAUCAAGCUCUUCAUUGACCAAUCGGUUACCUGAAUCUCUUAUCAAAGAAGAAUUAGGAAGUGGCAUUCCAUCUAUGUCUCUCAAACUUUUUCCCAUUUUCAACAUGAUAGUUUAAAUCUCCAACAAUGUGUAUGCUUCAACUUGUUGCUCGGUUAACUGAAGAUCUUUCAAUCUGAAUUUUUUCCUUUGCAAUGAAGUUAUGUCUUCUGAUAAAGUAGUAUAAUUAGAUUUCCAAAGUUGGGGUGCAUCAGAAACCUGACAAUGAAUGAGUAUCGUGACAAAAAGAUGUCUUAAUUCAUUUCCAGUCGCCCAUAUUGCAGCUUCAGUCAAGCAGUCGAUCCAUUCUUUAUCAUCGUCUAAUAAUCCCAAAGCAUAGCACGCAGCUUUAAAAGUUGGAUAUGUCACUCCAUUUACUGUUCUAAUACUUUCAAAUGAAGUGCUUCCUUUUACAAAAUUGAGCAACAUUCUCAUAUAAAAUCGUUCUCCACUUGAAGGAUGUGCAAAGUAAAUUCUUCCGAUUGCUAAGCCAUUUUUUCUCCUAGUCCAAGUUUUGUCUUUUGAAUUCCAUACCCAACAUGUAGGGAAAUCAGAAUAAGUUAACUCUCGUGCAUCAUCAUAAUUCUUGUUUGCCUCCAACCAUUCUGUGAACUUUGUUUUUUCUAUUCCAGGUAUGGUAAGCACAUUUUCUAAGCACUUAGAUUCUUCGAAUAUUACUGUAUGCUCUCCCGGUAAAUGGAACGGCAAUCUUUCAACUGCUGGCUUUCUGUAAUGUAUGUCAAAUUGGAAGAUUCGCCAGCAAGCUUCGGUUGCUGAUAUAUAUCUGCAGUCCAAAUAUGUUUUGAUCUCGUCCAUUUCUUGGGUAGUGUCAAUAGAUUCCAUUGUUGCAGUUGUUCUAUCAGACCCUUUAUGGACAUACUUGAAAAGAUAUUUAACUGAUCUCGAGUAAUUACAAAUCUCAACAUUAAUAUGUGCAUCAAAUUUGACAAUUAAAUUCCUGUGAUAAGGGACCACAUAUCGAUUAUCCAAGAAGACACCUUUCUUUUCGACAUGAAUACCUGUAUUUCUCCUUUUAUAGAUUGGAAAACCAUUUGUAUCCACUGUUGUCUGAUCAUUAAAUUUUUUUGGAAAAUGUUUUGUGCACUUGUCUUGCAUCAUGCAUGGAGAGUGAGAAUUGUGUUUUCCACACGGUCCAUGAAUCAUAAAUUUGUUAACUGCAUUAUAACCAUCAGGAUCAACAUUUAAGUCAGGGAUUUCUGCACUUAUUAUUUUAUCAAUAUGGUCUGCAGAAGGAUUUUUCAUUGUUGGAUGCAAAAAAAGCAGUAUGUGUGCAUAGGGCAAGCCUCUUUUUUUAAACUCAAUUGUAUAUAGACCUGCCACAAAAUAGAGUAAAAUUUAAAAGUUAGAAAUAUUGAUUUUAAUUGUGAAAUUAUUGUUUUUCCCUACACUUUUCAAUAACAAAUGAGUUGAAUUUGUUAUGGAUACGAAUUUGAAGUGAACUUACAUGCAAUUAUUUUUCCAAACGGUUGAUCUUUUUUCAAAUCUUGCAUUAGUUGGAAUAAUUUUAUCUCGAAAACUCUGCAUAUGAUAUCGACUCGAUUGUCAUCAUUAUUUUGUCCAACUAAUCGGAGCAUGUUAUUUAUUUCUUGCCACUUUGGGUUGCAAGUGAAAGUAAGAAAUAAAUCAGGAUAUCCUGCCCAUUUACAAAUUGCCAUAGCAUCUUGAUAAUUUUGUAUUCUAUAUCGUGGUCCCCCCGUGUGUGAUGAAGGUAGAAUAAUCGAUUUUCCAACUUUCGAACAAUCAGAAUCACCUCGAUGAACAGCAUCCAUCAAACCAGAGAAAAGGUCUGAUCGAAGUUUUUGUUGAUUAUUCCGGAUCCAACGAAAUCUUUCUUCUUCAACUGCCAUGUAACAAUCAACUAUAUAUUGUUGGAAUAGUCUACCAGUUUGAAGUAGAGUGUGUCCCUCAUUCAAUCUUUGUUGCAACCUAAAGCAAUAAUAUUGCCUCAUUGUCAGCUUUUGCCUCUUAAAAGGGCUAUCAGUUAUGUCUCUUAAAGAUAUGUCAGGUCUAUAUCCAUCUUCGCCAUAAGGAUAUAUUAACGGGUAUGUCAUGGGCAUGAAGCUUGGAUGCAAAUCUGUGAUUCUCCGAAGUCCCUUUGUGCGAUGCUCUAUAAUAACAUCGCGUUGAAAGUUUGCUUCACUGAAAUCACCAACUAUUAAGCCUGCAACUUCUGAAACUGUUGGUAUAUUGUAUCGACGACCAUCUCUUGUUCUACUAUUAAGGAGUCGUAAACGGAAUGUAGAUUCUGGUUGUGUUUUGUAUCUAUCCCUCGCCAUUCUAAAAGAUUUGACCAAAUUAUUAUGUUGGUCCAACAUUUUAGAUAGUUCAUGAAGAAUUUCGUGAUCAAUUUCUGUCUUCAUUCCAUGUUUUAAUAGAGUGUUGAUUCUAUUGUCUAUCUCAUUUUCAGUAUCAUAGAUAUAGAGCUGAGCAAACUGUGGUUUUUUCCCAACUUCUGGCAACAAAGAACCAAUGUGAUGAUAAUUCUGACCGCUCAUCCUGAAAACAUAAGGACCUUUUGAUCGAUUGAUUGAUGCAUCAACUCGACCUCCCAUAGAUGUGAAAGCAAACAUGGAGUUAUAAGCCCUGAUAUUUUUUCGAAAUUUGGAACCCUUUUGUCCAGACUCUGCCCCGAGAAGAUAUUUGAGUAAAGGAGGUGUUUCUUUCAUGAAUGGAAUCUGCACACGACCUUCCAUACAACAAAAUGUGAAUUUGGGAUGUGAGACCUUUUUGGUUUUCUUGUUCCGUUCCUCGUACCAUAAAAUGGCACCACAAUAUUGACAUGUGUAUGUAGGGGGUCCAAAAUUCCAAGGCGUUGUGUAAUGAACUGUCAAAUUCAACCAAUAAUAAUAUUGUAACAAAGUAUCUUAUUUCGUCUAAGUGAAUAUGGUAAGAAAAAAUAUUACUAAAUAUAUUAAUAUUUUCAUUGUACAUGUAGUUUCAUGCAAAUAUGUACCAUUAUUUGAUGUUACACCAUCCAAUGGAAAGCUUGUGGACUGAUCUAUAUUCUCAUCAAAAGAGAGACACGCUCUUUUUAGUUGUCCAUGUUCAACUGUAUAUUUUUAAAGUUCCAAAAGCAAUGAAUAAGUUAUUAGUUUCAAGUAUUACAAGCAUGAUGAAUAACUAAUAAAGCUCGAUAAAUUUAAAUAUAUAUACGUACAUGUGUGAAGAAGGCGCUUUCCUCUGUUUGUUUGACUCUUUGGAUUUAUAUGUAAUGAUGUUUUAUUAUUAUCAUAUCCAGCUUUACCAGGAGAUUGAAGGAAAUUCCCAAUUGAAAUAUGUUAGAAAUAUAUAUAUUUGUUAAUAUAUAUUAACAUAAAUAAUUUAAAUUAUAUAGGGAUAAUUUUUGUAAUUUGUAUAGUAGGAAUAAAAAUCAUAUUUUCAAGAAUCACAUACCGUUUGAGUGAAGCAAUUUAUUGUCACUUCUAAUGACUUCCAACUUCAUAAAUUUUGUGUAAAAAUUCACAAUUUGUAGCAUCAAAAUGAUUCUCUUUUUUAAAUCAUGUUUGUAUCUAUUAUGAAUAAUCAUAAUUUUCCGCUUAAAUCUUGCAUGCUUGAAUAUGGCCUUCUGCACGACAACAUAUCCAUUGUUUAUUGUGUCACACUGGAAAUUUGAUGCAUAUUUCCUAAGUUUUAAUUUCAUAAUCCUUUCGUGCCGAGCUAAAGAUGAAAGUUGAUGCCGCAAGAGACAAACUUCUGGCGGAAUAUUCCUUGAGUCACCGAAAUCAUUAAUAGUUGCAGAAAUCAAUUCCAUUUACUCUGGUGAACAAUAAAGUGAAUUCAAUAUCACAAAAUAUUCUAAAAUUAACAAAACGUUUUAUUACAAAUCAUAACAAGAGAAACCGAAAAUAUAAAAUGUUUUUUUUCAAAAGAGAGAAUUUUUUUUUCAAUUAUUGAAAUAAGAAUUGCAAUGAAUUUUUCGAACGAAUAUAUACCAUAUGUUAGAAAGAACAAAAAAAAAAUCACUAAAAACAAAACAAAAUAAAAUGGGAUUUAAUUUAACCAAUUCAAUUUAAUUUUAAACUCAUGCCAGUGUCACACUGGCAUUAAUUUUUGUUGUGCUUAUAGCCACGAACAGAGGCUUUUAGAUUACUUCUUUAUUAGGUUAUUAUUCUUCGAAUUUGGUGGGUAAAUUGUGAGCUUUUUCUGUUGUGAUAUUAUCAAAUCAAUCCAUGCAAAAUAAUCAUUAAUGUAAUGUUUUUGUUAUUUUCAAACUGAUAAAUAAUUAUGAAUUGUUUCCAUAAUUGUGUAUUUAGAAACAACGUUAACACAUUUUUUCGGAACAAACUUCUAAGUUUGAUUGAUUUUACGUCUAAUUACGAUACCCUAAAUUAAUAUAGAAAGUCAACAAAAAUCCACUUUAACAGUUCUAAUGUAAAUUUAAAGGCAAUUAAUUUUGAGUAAAUAUGAACUAAAACAAAACUUGAACAAAAUCUGAAUUUAUAUAUAAUAUUAAGGUAGCCACAUUGCAUUUGAAAAUGUCAAUUAGUGGGAUCUAAAUAAAUAAUCACCUUGGAAUUUUUUAAUGGUUGUAGGAGUUAAUAUUACAUACACGGACUAUCAUCUUUGUUGUACAAAUUUCGAUCAAACAUCUCCCCCAACUUUUUUCAUAAAGUAAUCUUUGAUAUCACCGAGCUAUCCAUAAAAAUUGCCACAAGUGAAUAAUGUAAAGAGAAAAACUCAUUAUAAGGAUAUCAUAUUAUCAUUAAAUUCGAAAGUUUCGAAUUACGUUAUUAUACAAUUGGUUACUUUUUAAUUCUAAAUCACCAAUAUUAUUAUUCCCUAUCUCAAUAUGAAUAUUACCACUUGACUUUUUUAUUUGUGUUUAUGAAGAGGUGGGGUGUGAGGAAAAGGAAAAAAUGUUUUUCUUAAGAAUUAGAACAAAUAAUUAGGCAAUAAUUCAAGGAAUUGAGGUUGUUCAUUCUACAUUCCAUUUGGAUUUACAGUGAUUUUCAUAAAUUUUUUCUUUUAUUAAUUAUGCUAACUGCCAUGUACUGUUGUUUAUUCUACUGCGUUUGGGAGAAGAUGCUUGGGCUGCCUAGAACAUAUUUUCUAAUUAAUUUUUCUUGUGAAUACAUUGAAUAAUCUCUAAGGGCUAUAUCCUUUUUCAUUUUACUUUAACGGUUUUUCUUCAACAAAUAUUGGAUGUAUUUAGUGAAAAAGAAAAUUAAAAAUUAGGAAAGAAUUAAUAAAAUUAGUGAAGUCAAAUUGUCAAUCAAUUCUUAUGAUAAAACAAUAAUUAAAAAAUAUAGUCAUAGUUUUCUUGAUUAUAUUCGACUUAUUAAUCUGUUAAAACUUUUUAUAUCUUUUUUUCCAACUUCCCCAUUUGGUGAACUAUAAAAAUGAUAUGUUUUUUUUCCACUCUUUGUCUCUAUCUUUUUUCACUCACAAAGAGUUAAUAGUUAUUAAUCAAUUAAUUUUUUUUGUUUGCAUAAGAAUUAAUAAUGUUGCACACAUGUAUUGUGAAAUAAUUGUUUGUUCAUAAUUAUUUUUUGCAUUUUUUUAGAAGUCAAUAGUCAAAUUAAUGAUAUUGAAUUAAGACAUUUCGAAGUUUGCUAUUUUGUACUUCUAAUAGAAAUGCUUGCAAAUGGGAGGCAUUAAUUUUUCUGUUUACUUUAUCGAAUUUCAUAAAAUUCAAUUCAAACAAAAAAUUGAAGGUUAGAAAAGCAGUUGGAUAGUUUCAUAAAAUUAUUAUUUUAUCAUUUAAAAGAUAUGUACCACAUCAAUUAGGACUAAAUAUUAGAAUCAUUAGCAUUGUUCCAAUCACACAUGCAAAAUCUAUCACUCAAUAGUCAAGUACAUUGUACAAUGCAGUCGAGAACAACUUCAACAUUUAGUUAAACCUUUUCUAUCUGUUUAUUUCCACAAAACACCAAAUAUCCAGAUUGAUACUGGAUCCUCCGAGUCAAAUAUAGCUAGUUCACGUUCAGAAAAGACCCGCCUCUUUUAAUUGUACCUCCUGCAUGCGAAUUAUAUAACAAUUAAAUAAAACUACACCAGAGAUUAAUUAGUCAAUAAAUAUAAACACGAGCUAAAACAUGUGUUUACUAAUAAUUCUUAAACAGGUCUAAGCUUUCAAAGUUUGCAUUGAAAAAUUAAAGUGAAAAUCUUCAAUACCUCCAUGUGUAAAUCGCAUAAAUUAGACAACCAAAGAUUAUUCAAAGAUUUUUCUUUCUUACCUUAUGCUUUUUCGCAAACAAGUAGAUAACAACAAUUGUAAAGACAAGUGAGCAGUAAUCUGUUAAAACAAAGUAAUCCAGUGUUAAUGAAAAUAAGAACAACAUAUUAUAUUUAAAACUAAGUUUUCAUAAUAAUGAAAUCGAGUAAACUUAUUCGAUAAGGAUAAACAAAUAGAACGCAUUGACAAAUUGACAUCAAAUUAAAUUGAUCCAAAGAAAUUGAGAUGCUCAAAUUUGAUUACGUACACAUUAAUUUUCAAAUAAUUAAUCCACACAUUGUUUUAUUCUUCAAACAUCUUUAAACACAGGAGCCAACACUUUCACUCUUAUAUAUUACUGCCAUAGUAACUUGAACUUGGUGAUCAGCUUUUUAAUUGAUUUGCAGUAGCUCACAAUUAAUUAAGCUUGAUCAUCAGUAGCUAUUAUUGAUCAUAAAAAUAUUUGUUUAAUUUACAAUCUAAAGUUACGCUCCAUACUCUAUAUAUGUGAAUUAUAUAUUUGCAUCAUCAACAUUAACAUUAUAAAAUAAUCUGUGCAAUAGGAUGCUCUUGGAGUAUUUUAUUUUCAUCACAAAAUAUAUUAAAAUUAUAUUAGUCAGAGAAUAUAUCUAACACUUUCUAAACACUAAUAUAUAAUAGUUUCUACAAAAUUAUGAAAUAUUUGUACUAAAAUACCAAAAUAUAAAUAUAUAUAACCUAAUUGGAAUCAAUAAUCAAACUUCAAACAUGUCAUACUCUAAAGAAAUUAAAGCAUGAUAGUCUGUGUGUUUGACAUAUUCAACUAAAUGUUUGAUGAGAAUCUGUGAUUGUUAACAGCCAAUAAUGGUUUCUUUAGCAACUCAACUCAACUCAGCAAAACCGCAACCAAUUACAUUUACCAACUCAACUCUUCGCUUCCCCAAUUUCCAACAUUCUCUUCACAUUUACAAAUGGUAGGUGGUCCUAUAAAUCCCAUUCAAGAAUGAACAAUUUUUUUCAGUUCCUAGUAGGUGAAGUUUCUUCCACAUUUACAGAAAUUUCGACAGCAUCUCCCCAUAGUUCUCCAAGUACACGACCUAGAUUUAUGCAUUCAUCUAGUAUGUACCCAGAGAACAUGAGGAGCAGCUAUCGAAAUUUCCUUUUACGUGAAACAAAACUUCACCUACUUGGAACUAAAAAAAAUUAUGCAUUCCCAAACUGUCCAAGUUGGGACAAUUCAAGAAUUAUUAAUAGACAUAUCAUCCUCUUGUCAUCCUAAGAUGACACUGAUAAAACAUGUGUCUACUAAUAAUUCUUAAACGGGUCUUAGCUUUCAAAGCAUGCAUUGAAAAAAAAAACGUAAAUCAAUAUAUAUAUAUAUAUAUAUAUAUAGUUGAGUUUAUUAACAUUACCUAGGUUUGGCGGAGAAAAUAUGAAGAAGAAGAAGUAGUUUGGGCAAAAAUCAAAGGGUUUUGAUUUUCAUUAUUGAUCAAUUGAAAUAGUAGAGUAGUGGACCUUCUCAGCUAGUUCCAUGGAUGUUAAUAAAUCUAAAAUUUGUUAGCACUUAACAUUUGCUAAAGAAACCGUCUUAAGUUUCAAUUCUUUAAAUUAAUGUUAAUUAGAUUUGACAUUGAAGAUUAAUUAUUCACUAAGGCUUAUCAUAUUUUAAAAAAACGAAUAUAAAAGGUUGCAUAUUAAAUAUGGGAUUAUGCAAUUAAAAUUAAACCCUAGUAAUGGCAUUGGUGAGGGAAGAUGAAAGAAUUCCUUCCUAUAUUAAUUAGUUGAUAUAUUUUAAGCCACUAAAGUUUAAUUGUUGGCUUAAUAAAAUAAAUGAAUGUUUCAAGACUUAUAAUUAAUUAUUAUUAAUGGUUAUAUAUUGUUGAAUUUAAAUAGAAAUAGGAAAAGACAUGUAAUCUUUUGUAAUCUAAUAAUCAUUUUCUAUUUAUUUUCUAUUUUUAAUAUUUUGUAAUGUAAUUAUUUUUUAAUUUAAGCUAAUAUAUUAGAUAUUAGAGAAUAUAAAGAGAUGAGAAAUAAUGAUGUCACAAAUCUUAAAUACUUAAUAUUUAUAGAAUUUGAAGAAGCCAAAAAGCACUAAACAAAAGGUUGAAUAAUUAAAUAUGAAAUUAUGACAUUAAAAUUAGGCCCUAGUGGCAUUGUUGAGGGAAGAUGAAGGAACCUUCCUUUCUAUAUUAAUUAAUUGAUGCUUUUUAAAGCCAUUAAAGUUUAAUUAUUGGCAUAAUAAAAUAAAUGAAUGUUUCAAGACUUGUUGAAUUUAAAUAGGAAGAGGAAAAGACAUGUAAUCUUUUGUAACCUAAUAAUUAUAUUCUAUUUUUACUAUUUUAUAAUGUAAUUAUGUUUUAAUCUCAACUAAUAUACUAGAUAAUAAAGAAUAUAAGAAGAUGUAAAAUAGUGAUGCCACAUCACCUCUUGUAGUCAAGGCUUAUAAUUAAUUAAGAGACAUGGAUAGGGAUGGCAAUUUCCGGGUCCGGGUCCGGGUCCGGGUUUGGCUGUUCCGGAUCCGGACCCGGACAUCAAAUUCUCAUAACCGGACCCGCAUUAAACCCGGAUUUUUUAAAUCCGGAUCCGGUCCGGGUUCAACCCGGAAAAAUCCGGGUUUCCGGAUUCCGGGUUUGGAACCCGGAUUGCUUUAUUAUUAUUUUUUUUAGAGACCAUAUGGCUUACUUUAACAAGGCACAGGGGAUGGUGGUUUAAUGUUUUAAUGUUUUCCCCAACAACACAUUACAGAAUACUUCCUAGAAUUGGUUCAAUAAAAUUUGAUGGAUAUUGUUGUUGAGUUCGAAUUUUCCGUCUCUUUUGGUGGAGGUUUCACAUAUUUUCCUAUUACUUUUUGGCAUCUCUUUCUCUUUUGUCUGGUUUGUUUGUCUUUACUUUGCUGCUUCCUUUUCUCCUUUAGCUUAUUCCGAAGAUGCCUUUCUUUCUCAAAUACACCUUGCCAAACGACCUCACCUGUUGACGGCCAUAACCACCGUCUUCUAGGGUGAUCAGAAUCUGCCUCCUCGGCCAUGUCCUCAUCCAUGCUUUUUAAAGUGCUGUAUGAGAACCAUCUGACCCACAUUUGACCUCUCCGACUCUUAAAGUGCCACGCCGCGAAGGAUCUGAUCUGAUCUGAAGAAGAGAUUACAGGAGAGUUGCAGAGAGAGUGAGAGAUUAAGUGACGACGGAGGACUGAGGUGAGGAAUGAGUCACGGCUCACGGGUGAUUUUCCUUGAGAGAGGAACGGAUUACGGUUUACGAAUGAGACUUGAGAGAUUGAAAGGAGAAAUUAUAGAUUUACAGUAAUUUUUAGGUUGAAGGAGAAAUUUCGAGAGAGGAUCAGACGAACGAGACGAGAGAGAUCUAGAUUCUAGGGUUCACUUUUGUUUUUGUUUUUUUUUUAAUUUUUCUAUUUAUAUUUACGGAUUUACGGAUCAAAAUUAAUAUUAAAAUAAAUAAUAUCCGGGUCCGGGUUCCGGGUUUGCGGGUUCAUCUGAAACCGGAUCCGGACCGGAAAAAUGCGGGUUGUCAAAAACUGAUCCGGAUUCCGGAUAAAAACUAUGCCGGUGCGGGUUGAACCCGGACCGGAUUUUCCGGGUUCAAUCCGGGUCCGAUCCGGGUCCGGGUUUGGUUGCCAUCCCUAGACAUGGAUGAAACUAAUGUUAUUUAAGUAACACAUAGUUGAUUUAUAAGCUUAAUGUGUCAAAAUUGUUUAAACCUUUCCAAGAUUAACUAUUGUUUUCUUAUUAUUUCUUUUAUCUAGGUUUAAAUUUUAGGAGAAAUUUGUCAAUUUUCAAUUAUUGGGUGAUAUUGGUAUGCAAAUGAUGUGUUUUAUAGCAAUUUGAAUCUUUCUCAUCUUCAAGACUAUCAUUAGUCGAUAAUGUUGCUAUUACCUCAGGCUCUCGUGAGUCUAAACAUUUUCUAAUUAAUUGAAAAUGAUAUAAUGAUUAAUUAAUUGUUGAUAAUAAAACCAAUUUAAUACGACGUCUCCCCAUUUCUUUCUUUAUUUCUUUUAAACCUCAAUCAUUGUCAAAACCGUUAAUGGGUUGCAAUUAAACACUUAACAAAUCUUAAACUUGUUGUUAGCAAUUAACAUUUGCUAAAGGAAUCGUCUUAAGUUUCAAUUCUUUAAAUUAAUGUUAAUUAGAUUUAAGACGAAAAUUAAUUAUUCACUAAGACUUAUCUAUAAAUAAAAAGUAGAUACAAAUGUUGUAUAAUUAAAUAUGAGAUUAUGACACUAAAAUUAGGCCUUGGUAGUGGCAUUGUUGAGGGAAGAUAAAAGAACCUUCAUUCCUAUUUUAAUUAAAUUAUAUGUUAUGACGUGAAAAAAUAAACAAUCCAUUUUUGUAUUUUGUAGUUUGUGAAGAUUUGAAACAAUGUGCUUUCUUUUCAGAGUGAUAACAAUUGGAUCCAUUGCUUUUUCCUUUUAAUGUUUUAUAAACAUAUAUUGUCUAUUUGCAUCAAAUAAGUCCCAAUCUCUUUUACAAUCACUAAUAAAACACCUUUCAAUUAUUAAACUAUAAAUAUGUGUCAUUCAAAAUUAUGAUGGAAGAUAGAGAAUUUAGGGUGGGUUUCUUCACUGAAGAGUUAAAAAAAAUUGAAAUUUAAAAUUUUUCAAUAAAUACAAAUAUAAGAUGAAUAGUUUCAUUUGUUCAAUAGACUAAUCAUAUUAAAAUAAUGUUAGUAAGGAAAAUAAUUUAAAAAAUAUUCUUAAUUAAAAUAAUUUAAAAAAUGUAAAUUACCUCUCUCACCUCAUUUUUUAAGCAAAAAUAAAAAUAACUUGAAGUUUUAAAAAAUAAUUGAAGUAAUUUAAAAAUAAUCAAUUUGGAAUAAUUCAAAAUUUACCCAAGAGAUUAUUCACAAUAUCAAUCAAUGAAUUAGAAACAUUAAAUGGUAUAACAUAUAACUAUUAUUUUUAACUUAUUGAUCUCAAUCUUGAGCGUUCGGAUUAGAUCUUUGGGGUUUCAUUUUUUAGAUUUCAGUGAUUGAAAGUAUGAAACUCAAAGUAACAAAAAUUAAAUUUAUAUUUUAUCGCAAGUGAAGUGUAGGGAUUAAUCCAAUUAUUUGCGUCUAGCGUUUCUUUUUGUUGCUAUCACUCUUGUUGAUGAUGAUAAGCCUUUUUUUUUUUGCAUUGUCACUACCAAUUUAUUAUCUACAUUCAUCUAUAGAACGAAGCAAGAUGCCAAGAAAGAAAUAUAACACAAGAAAAAUAAGUUAUCCCAAUCGUUCAAAACAAAUACAUACAUAGCCAGAAAAAUAAGACAUAUCAUAUCACACUUAAAUAUUACCACUCUAAAAAGAAAAAAAGGUCAAAAGACUAACACACAUGUAAAAAGAUGACCAACAACAACACUAAACAUGUUUUGUGUAUUGAUUACUUCCACCAUCACUAACUUCAUCAUCAUCAAUAAUUUGGUUUUUUCUCUUUCUAUUCUUACUGGCAUUAGUAACAUGAAAAUCUCCCACAGAAUCUUCCAAAUUAUUUGAUAAGAUAUCAUGAGGAUCCUGUAAUUUUUUAAUCAAGGAAAUUAAAAUUAUGAGUAAACUGAACAUGCUAAUUUUAAUCAUAAAGGAAAACAACUGGGAAAUAAGAGUAAAUAAAAUUACCAUUUCUUGGGAAUGUUCUUCCUUUCUUUCAUAUAUUUCCACAUUUUCAUGAUCUGUAUUGUUUUUUUUCCUACAAAAAACAACAAUUAAAUAAUUUUUUUAACAUUACAUAUAUUGCCUACAAAUUGAACCUAGCACAGGUAGAUAAUACCUUCUUCAAUUCUUGUUCGAGCUCCAAUUUCUCAUCAGGGGUGAAAAGCUUUGACACAGUAAAAUUCUCAAGUCCCUCUUUCAAAUUGUAAUCAUUCAAUUUCAGUUUGUAAUCAUUCAAUUUCAGUUUGUAAUCAUUCAAUUUCAGUUUGUAAACAAAAUCUUUUCCACAAAGGCUUUGAAUUUCUGCAGGGACAUCCUUACUAUAUAAAGGUAGUCUAUUAAACAACUUGUGGGCUGAUGUAUCAAGUAACUUCUCAGCUACAUGAUUGAAUAAGACAAAAGUUGUCUCUGCCGUUUUAUCCAUGACUUUUAUAUGUAUUUUGUACCUACAUUAGAAUAAUGAAUUAGAAUGAAAAACUAACAACAUAAUGAGCAAUUUUUUUUAAAAAUAAUAUUAUUUUUCUUACAUCACAAGAGGAUAGUCACAUUCCUUUUUGCAAGUGCCACACAUAUAAAUACCAUUUGUAGGUAUGACCUUUUUUAUGCAUGUUUUGCACGAAACAUAGUACCAUCCAAAGGAGUUGUCUAUUUCACUAAUCUUGCCCCGCACAGUAACAAUAUAUUCCUACAAUUAAACAAUAAACAUUUAAAAAAAUAAUAAGGACAUUCCAAUAUUUAGGAACAAAUAACACAAAUGGAUGAGCAGGAAAAAAAUAGAAAAAUCACCUUCACUUGAGAACUCCAAUCAGCCUCCAAUAGUUCUUUAAUGCUCAUCCUGUUAAGGAACAUCUCUUCCUCAAAAGUAAUCUUAUUCACAUUCGAACUUUCAAUAACUUGCACAACGUUGGAGACGGUGGAAAAUCUUUCAAUUAAUGAUGCUACAUAAUCUAUUUGAAGAUUUAUAUAGAUUUUUCUUGCACUUGUGGUAGAGAAAUUAACCUCACCUGUUUAGAGCAAAUGUAACGUAAAACGAAACUUGAACAAAAUCUAAAUUUGUGUAUAAUAUUAAAAUAGCCACAUUGCAUUUGAAAAUGUUAAUUAGUGGGAUCUAAAUAAAAUAAUCACCUUGGAAUUUUUUAAUGGUUGUAGAAGUUACUAUCACAAUACAAGGACCCUCGUCUUUCUUGUACAAAUUUGAAUCAAACAUCUCCCCUAACUUUCCCCAUAAAGUAAUCUUCAUUGUUACUGAACUAUCCAUAAAAAUUAACAAAAAUUAAUAAUGUAAAGAGAACCAAUAACUAAAAAAUAACAUAAAUAACUAAAAAAAUAUAAAGUCAUAGUUUUCUUGAUUAUAUUCAACUUACUAAUCCAUUAGAAUUUUUAUAUCUCUUUUUUUCCAACCAGCUCCAACGAUCUCAAUAUCACCCACACCACAUAAACUUCCAAUAACAUCUGUAAUAUUAUGGAAAAAUAACAUAAACAUGUUAAAACAUAAGGAUUAAUAAUUUCUAAUAUACACUUAAAGAUUAACAAACAUUAAUAAUUAAAAAAAUACCUGAGAGGAUUGUGUUAUCAUUCACACGUAAAUCAAUCAAAUUCGAAGAUACGAAUUGAAAUCCAUUAAUCGGAAUCUUGACAGUUCCUUCUUCUAACCUCUUAAGAGAAGUUAUACCAAGAAAAUAAUCUUAUACUGAUUUGAAAGUGGUCUGUACUCGCCUGUAGUUGAAACAACUUUCAAAUUCUUGACAUUGUACAAAGAACCCUCACUCAACAUGUGCUUAAACCUUGUCACUAAGGUUUUCCUGAUUGUUGCAUGCAUUAGAUUUUCCUACGAAAAAAAAAAAACACAUACUACAUUCAGUGUGAAACAAUUGGGAAAAAAAAUUAGAGAAAACAAUGGGAGAAUAAAUUUUUUAUACAACCUUUUCAUCAAUAAAAAUCAUAUCAACACUAAUCAAUUCUCCAUUUUUUUUAGUAUUAGUAGACUCCCACAUCCUACAAAGCCUAACCCUUAUCAUCCAACUAUCUUUAUCAUUGUUCAACUCAUGAAGAAAAGAGUACUCCAUGAAGCACACAAUAUCAAAAAUUCAAAUAAAUCAAACAAUAAAAAUAUAAGUAUUUUUCUAAAGAGGGCGUUGAUUAAAUAAAUAAAAAAACCCUAAACAUAACAAAUCUUAAAUAUUUAGUGUUUAGAGAGCUUGAAGAAGCCAAAAGGCACUAAACAAAAGGUUGCAUAAUUAAAUAUGAGAUAAUGUCAUUAAAAUUAGGAUCUAGUGGCAUUGUUGAGGGAAGAUGAAAGAACCUCUCUUCCUAUGUUAAUUUAUUGAUUAUUUUAAGCCACUAAAGUUUAAUUGCUAGCAUAAUAAAAUUUGAAGGAGCCAAAAGACACUCAACAAAAGGUUCCAUAAUUAAAUAUAUGAUUAUGACAUUGAAAUUAGGCUCUAGUGGCAUUAUUGAGGGAAGAUGAAAGAACCUCUCUUCCUAUAUUAAUAAAUUCAUGUAUUUUAAGCCACUAAAGUUUAAUUGCUAGCAUAAUAAAAUAAAUGAAUGCUUCAAAAUACUUAUAAUUAAUUAUUAUUAAUGGUUACAUAUUGUUGGAUUUAAAUAGAAAGAGGAAGAAACAUGUACAAAGAAUAUCCACUAAUAUUUUAGAUAUUUUAGAUAAUAGAAAAUAUAAAACGAUGAGGUUGAGAGAAUGUGAAAGAACCUCUCUUCCUAUGUUAAUUAGUUGAUGUAUUUUAAGGCACUAAAGUUUAAUUGCUAGCAUAAUAAAAUUUAAAGAAGCCAAAAGGCACUCAACAAAAGGUUGCAUAAUUAAAUAUGAGAUUAUGGCAUUAAAAUUAGGCCCUAGUGGCAUUGUUGAGGGAAGAUGAAAGAACCUCUCUUCCUAUAUUAAUAAAUUCAUGUAUUUUAAGCCACUAAAGUUUAAUUGCUAGCAUAAUAAAAUAAAUGAAUGCUUCAAAAUACUUAUAAUUAAUUAUUAUUAAUGGUUACAUAUUGUUGGAUUUAAAUAAAAAGAGGAAGAAACAUGUACAAAGAAUAUCCACUAAUAUUUUAGAUAUUUUAGAUAAUAGAAAAUAUAAAACGAUGAGGUUGAGAGAAUGUGAAAGAACCUCUCUUCCUAUGUUAAUUAGUUGAUGUAUUUUAAGGCACUAAAGUUUAAUUGCUAGCAUAAUAAAAUUUAAAGAAGCCAAAAGGCACUCAACAAAAGGUUGCAUAAUUAAAUAUGAGAUUAUGGCAUUAAAAUUAGGCCCUAGUGGCAUUGUUGAGGGAAGAUGAAAGAACCUCUCUUCCUAUGUUAAUAAAUUCAUGUAUUUUAAGCCACUAAAGUUUAAUUGCUAGCAUAAUAAAACAAAUGAAUGUUUCAAAAGACUUAUAAUUAAUUAUUAUUAAUGGUUACAUAUUGUUGGAUUUAAAUAGAAAGAGGAAGAAAUAUGUACAAAGAAUAUUCAUCAAUAUUUUAGAUAUUUUAGAUAAUAGAGAAUAUAAAAAGAUGAGGUUGAGGGAAGAUGAAAUAACCUCUCUUCCUAUGUUAAUUAGGUGAUGUAUUUUAAGGCACUAAAGUUUAAUUGAUAGCAUAAUAAAUUUUGAAGAAGCCAAAAGACACUCAACAAAAUGUUGCAUAAUUAAAUAUGAGAUUAUGGCAUUAAAAUUAGGCUUUAGUGGCAUUGUUGAGGAAAAAUGAAAGAACCUCUCUUCCUAUGUUAAUUAAUUCAUGUAUUUUAUGCCACUAAAGUUUAAUUGCUAGCAUAAUAAAAGAAAUAAAUGUUUCAAAAGACUUAUAAUUAAUUAUUAUUAUUAAUUACAUAUUGUUAAAUUUAAAUAGAAAGAGAAAAAAAGUACAAAGAAUAUCCACAAUAUUUUAGAUAUUUUAGAUAAUAGAAAAUAUAAAAAGAUGAGGAAUGAUAUAUAUUAAUAAAGUUACUAUCUAUUAAAUGAGUUAAAUACAAUCAAAUUAAUUAUGAGAAGAUGAAAAGCCAAAUUUAAAAAAAAAAUAUCUAUUUAUUAGAUAAUAGAGAAUAUACAAAGAAGCAAAAUGGUGAUGCCACAUCAUCUCCUCAAGUCCUAGCUUUAUAUAGAUACUAGGAAAUAGAACCGCACUUUGUGCGGCUUUAAAAAAAGAAUUUAGUAUUAUUUUUUUUAUUACUUUACACUUGAUAAAACUGAUAAAAAAAUAUGAAUUGAUUUUCUUUUAAAGAUGACGCAGCCUUAUAAAACUAAUGUUAUUUAUGAAAGUUAAUUAUUUUUUUGUUAACUUUAAAAAUAUAUAUUAAUGUGUAUAGUUAAAUGUAAACAACCUUUUCAUCAAUAAAAAUUAUGUUCACACUAAUCAACUCUCAAUUCUUCUUGGUAUUAACAGACUCCUACAUUUUACAAAGUCUAACCCUUAUUAUCCAACUAUCUUUAUCAUUGUUUAACUCAUGAAGAAAAGAAUACUCUAUGAAGCACACAAUACAAAAAAAUUAAAUAAGUCAAAAAAUAAAAACACAAGAACAUUUCUAAAGAGGAUGUUGGUUAAAUUAAAAAAAAAUCCAAACAUAACAAAUCUUAAAUACUUAAUAUUUAUAUAGUUUGAAGAAGCCAAAAGACACUAAAUAAAGGUUGCAUAAUUAAAUAUGAAAUUAUGACAUUGAAAUUAGGUCCUAGUGGUAUUGGUGAGGGAAGAUGAAAGAACCUUCCUUCCUAUAUUAAUUAGUUGAUGUAUUUUAAACCACUAAAGUUUAGUUGUUGGCUUAAUAAAAUAAAUGAAUGUUUCAAAACUAUAAUUAAUUUAUUAUUAAUGGUUACAUAUUGUUGAAUUUAAAUAGAAAGAAGAAGAGACAUGUAAUCUUUUAUAAUCUACUAAUUAAUUUCUAUUUUUAAUAUUUUGUAAUAUAAUUAUUUUUUAAUCUCAACCAAUAUAUUAGAUUAUAGAGAAUAUAAAAAGAUGAGAAAUAAUAAUGGCACAAAUCUUAACUACUUAAUAUUUAUAGAGUUUGAAGAAACCAAAAGGCACUAAACAAAAUGUUACAUAUUAAAUAUGAGAUUAUAGCAUUAAAAUUAGACCCUAAUGGUAUUAUUGAGGGAAGAUGAAAGAACAUUCCUUCCUAUAUUAAUUAAUUGAUAUAUUUAAGCCACUAAAGUUUAAUUAUUGGCAUAAUAAAAUAAAUUAAUGUUUGAAAAUUUAUAAUUAAUUAUUAUUAAUGGUUACAUAUUAUUGAAUUUAAAUAGAAAGAGGAAGAGACAUAAUCUUUUAUAAUCUAAUAAUUAUUUUUUUAUUUUUAAUAUUUUGUAAUGUAAUUAUUUUUUUUAUAUCAACUAAUUUAUUAGAUAAUAGAGAAUACAAGAAGAUGAGAAAUAGUGAUGCCACAUCACCUCCUCUAGUCCCAACUUUAUAUAUAUAUAUAUCAACUAUAUAUAUAUAUAUAGAUAUAGAUUUUUAAUAUUUUGUAAUGUAAUUAGUUUUUAAUCUCAACCAAUAUAUUAGAUAAUAGAGAAUAUAAAAAGAUAAGAAAUAAUGAUGCCACAAAUCUUAAAUAUUUAAUGUUUAUGGAGUUUGAAGAAGCCAAAAUACACUAAACAAAAGAUUGAAUAAUUAAAUAUGGGAUUAUGACAUUAAAAUUAGGCUCUAAUAGCAUUGUUGAGGGAAGAUGAAGGAACAUUCCUUCAUAUAUUAAUAUUAAUUAAUUGAUGUAUUUUAAGCCACUAAAGUUUAAUUGUUGGCAUAAUAAAAUAAAUUAAUGUUUGAAGACUUAUAAUUAAUUAUUAUUAAUGGUUACAUAUUGUUGAAUUUAAAUAGAAAGAGGAAAAGACAUGUAAUCAUUUAUAAUCUAAUAAUUAUUUUCUAUUUUAAUAUUUUGUAAUGUAAUUAUUUUUUUAAUUUCAACCAAUUUAUUAGAUAAUAGAGAAUAUGAGAUGAAGAGAAAUGGUGAUGCCACAUCACCUCCUCAAGUCCUACCUUUAUAUAUAUACUAGAAAAUAGAACCGCGUUUCACGCGGCUUUGAAAAAGAAUUUAGCAUUAUCCUUUUUUCUUACUUUACACUUGAUAAAACUGAUAAAAAAUAUGAAUUGAUUUUUUUUUUUAAGAUGAGGCAGUCUUAUAAAAAAAUAAAAAAAGUUAUUAACCAGUAAUACAAAUAAAGAAGCAACGCAAGAUAAAGAAUAAAAUGAGAGAAUAUUGUAUAAUGAUUUUAUUCAUUACAAUUGUGUGUGUACAAAACAAAAAGAUGAGCUCUCCUUUGAUAGUUACAUAAUCACUCCAUGAAAUUAAUGAAAAAUUAUGGAUCAUAAUUCCUUGUGAGAUAGUGGGAGUUAUAGGGAAGCUAAAGGUUGCUAAUGAGAGAUAGUGGGGAGACUAAGAGAUAUAUGUUAUGAACAUCUACAUUUAUUUUAAUAAAUUCAUAACACUCCUCCUUGAAUGUUUAUUACAAAGAAUAUGUCUCAUUAAAAUCUUUACAUAAUUGUUAUUGUGUAAUAACAAUCAAAUUAAUUAUGAGAAGAUGAAAAAUCAAAUAUAAAAGAAAAUUUCUCUAUUUAUUAGAUAAUAGAGAAUAUACAAAGAUGAGAAAUGAUGAUACCACAUCACCUUCUCAAGUCCCAGCUUUAUAUAUAUAUAUAGAUAUAUAGAUAGAUAGAUAGAUAGAUUAAUUCAUGUAUUUUAUGCCACUAAAGUUUAAUUGCUAGCAUAAUAAAAUAAAUAAAUGUUUCAAAAGACUUAUAAUUAAUUAUUAUUAAUGAUUACAUAUUGUUGAAUUUAAAUAGAAAGAGAAAAAAAAGUACAAAGAAUAUCCACCAAUAGUUUAGAUAUUUUAUAUAAUAAAAAAUAUAAAAAGAUGAGGAAUGAUAUAUAUUAAUAAAGUUACUAUUUAUUAAAUGAGUUAAAUACAAUCAAAUUAAUUAUGAGAAGAUGAAAAGGCAAAUCUAAAAAACAAAAAUCUCUAUUUAUUAGAUAAUAGAGAAUAUAUAAAGAAGCAAAAUGGUGAUGCCACAUCACCUCCUCAAGUCCUAGCUUUAUAUAUAUAUAUAGAUAUAGAUAUAGAUAUAGAUAUUUUGUCCUAAUUAACUUAAAGAUUUUGAAUCUAAUAUUUUAUAAUAAAUAAAAAUAUAUUCCUAAAAUAAAUAUAAUAUCAAUAUUUAAAAUAUGUUUUAAUAUUUUACAAUCUAUCAUACACAUUUUAUUAUAGUAAAGUAGAUUUUAUAAUAAAUAUAUAAAAAAUUUAGAAUAUGUAGAAUAUUAUAUAAAAUAAUUUUAAUAUAAUGUGUGAGAUAUAUUUUAUUAAUUUAAAAUGUCAUUUUACCUAAAAAAUAUGAUAAAUUAAUAAUUACAUAUUUGAAGUUACUUCAAAUAUUAAAAAAAAUUAAUAUUAUUAAUCUUUUAGAUAGAUUAAAUUAUUUUUUAUAAGAGAGAUUAAAUUAUUUUAAAAUGCCUUAAUUGUUUUUACUUUUAACGUUACCGGCCUUUCUUUUAUUUUAUUGCAAAUUAAUACUAAUAAGAAAAAGCUAGAUCAUAUUCCACAAAAGCAAAUGUGACAAACACAACCAGCUGGAAUCUUUUAAUUACUAUUCAAUAAUUCGAGACGAUUAGGGUCUUUUAUUAAACUACAAUCCUCAAUAAUUGUUUUAAAUUGGUGGCACCUACAAUCCUCAAUAAUUGUACCGAUAUUCACAAGUUCGUGGCCCCUACAAUUCUGUUCGCAAGUGCUCAUUCACAGUCUUCCAGGCCCCUACAAUUCUGUUCCGAUAAUUUAACUGUGCAAGUGCUUAAUAAUUGUUUUGUUUUUUUCUGCAUUCCCUUUCAUGCUCUUAAUAAUUGAAGAGCAUACUUUUCAAAUGUGGAGCCGCAGCUAAUGUCGUUAAUUUAAUUUGGGAUUAAAUUAGGGGACCAUUAUAUUGCAGUGUGCACUAAUUUUUGUGUUUAUCUAAACUCCUUAAAUUUAAGACAUAUUACGGCAUAAAUAAGAAUAUAACAAUAACAAAAGAGUUAGAAAGUGUAGAGAAGAUCUUGCAGAAAUAUAAAUAAUAUCAAUUUUAAAAUAAUUUUUAAUAUUUUAUGAUCCAUUAAAUAUAUUUUAUUAUAUUAAAAUAAAUUUUAUAAUAAAUAAAAACAUCCUAUUAAAAUGAAUAUAUAGAAAAUUUAGAGUAUUUUAAGUAUUAUAUAAAAUAAAUUUAAUAAAAUAUGUGAGAUAUUCAUAGUUUAUUAAUUUAAAAUACCAUUUUAAAAUUAAAGAUUUAUUUAUGAUAAAUUAAUAAUUAUAUUUUUGAAAUUACUUCAAAUAUUAAAAAAUUAAUAUUACUAAUCUAUUAGAUAGAUUAAAUUAUAUAUAUUAUUUUCUAUUUAUUAAAAAAUUAAAAUUAUUUUUAAUUACUAUUCAAAAAAUAUAAUGAUAAAAAAAAUCUUAACAUCUUUAUUAAAAAUUUAAAAAUUUACGUGAUCAAUUCUCUAAAUAUUUAGGGUAUAUGUGAACCACGGUGGAGAAGCUUUAUUUAAUAUUAUUGAUUUAAAUAAUAUGUCAAUUAAAAAUGUGCGGAGAAGAAAUUUCGGUGGAUAUUUUAGUCUUUUCAGCAAUUAUCAUGAUCAGAUCUAGGGAUGGCAAUGGAGAGGGGAGGGGAGGGGACCGAUCUCCCCGUACCCAUCCCCGAUAUUUUGCGUAUGUCCCCGUCCCCUCCCCGUCCCCAUCAGAAUUACUUGAGAGAAUCACCAUCCCCUCCCCGAAUAAUAACAGGGGAUCCCCGAUGGUCCCCGAUCCCCGAAUAACUAAUACAUUUUUUUUCAAUUUUGAGUUAAUCAUAUUAAAAUAAAAAAUUCAAAUAAAAAUAAAGUUCGAAAUAUAUCUUACAUUAAUAUCUAUUACAAAAGUCACAUACAUUAAAUUAGUAAGUAACGCAACAUGCAAGGAAUACAAACUUCUUUUACAAACUAUCAUGAACAAAUUAAUAGUUUAAUACAAAAUUGUUACAAAUAAAAUCGAAUUUAGAUUCAAAAUUAACUUUUUCAAUGGUGGCGUGGGCACUUUAUAAAUGUGGAUUAUUCCCUUUACAACACAAUAGUUAAAUCGGAGCAAAUCAAAAGUAAAUAUUAGAUUGGAUUAGAUUAGAUUAGAUUAGAUUAGAUUAGAUAUUAAAAUUGUGAUUCGCUGUGGACAAUUAUAACAUCUAAAAAUAAAUAAAAAAUAGAUUUAAGUUUAAAAUAUUUAAAGAAUAUUAAAAUUAAAAAAAAAUGUUUGGCUAAUAGAAUCUACUUGGUCUUUUUAAUGUCGUAAAUAAAAAUUUAAGACUUUAAUUAGUUAAUUAGGCCUAAAAAUUUAAUAAUAUAAAUAUUUUGAUAUUUUUUAUUUUUACCAAUAUUUAUAAGUGGAUUCUUUUACUAAACUAUAAAUUAAAAGUGGAUUCUUUUGAAUACAAGUGGGACAGACGAUUAGGCUCUUUUUAUUAAACGCAAGUAAAAAGUAGUCGAAUAGUCUUUUUCAAAUUAUUGUUUUAUUAUUUUUCCUUCAAAAGUUAGCGUGGCUCAUGUUUGCAGGUGCGAAUGUGCGAUGCUCUUUUUUUAAAGGCAAUUACAGUGGGUCCCGAAUCAUUACUAAAAUUUCUCUUCCUCAGCCCACCGCAGCUUCAGUUAAUCAAACUCAAUCAAUUUUCUUUCUUAACAAAAUUCUAAAGAUGUGUAGCAUUUUUCAGAUCACAUGCGAUGGUGCUUUUUUCAAUCGUUGCUUGGAUUGCUUUCUUGGAAAAGCAGCAUACAUACGUAACCUCCAAGAUAAUCUUGAUGCCUUGGAGACUGAAUUGGGAAAUCUGAUCGCUAGAAAGAACGAUGUGAUGAGGAGGGUUGUCGAUGCUGAACGGCAACAAAUGAGAAGGCUGGACGGAGUGCAAGUGUGGGUUUCGAGGGUGGAUUCUGUUAAAACUGAAGCCGAUGAACUUAUCACAGACGGCUCUCGAGAAAUUGAAAAAUUAUGUGUUGGAGGCUACUGUUCCAAGAACUGCAGGUCAAGCUACAAAUUCGGGAAAAAAGUGGCUAAAAAGCUACGGGAUGCGCGGACUUUAAUCAGUGAAGGAGUUUUUGAGGUGGUGGCUGACAGAGCUCCAGAGUCUGUAGCAGAUGAAAGACCUACUGAGCGAACAGUAGUAGGCUUGCAAUCACAACUUGAACAAGUCUGGAGAUGUCUUGUAGAAGAAUCAGCGGGAAUCAUUGGCCUAUAUGGUAUGGGCGGUGUUGGUAAAACUACACUACUGACCCAUAUCAACAACAAAUUUCUCGAGAGUCCAACCAACUUUGAUUGUGUGAUUUGGGUUGUAGUUUCAAAAGACCUGCGACUCGAAAAAAUUCAAGAAGAUAUUGGGAAAAAGAUAGGUUUGGUUGGUGAUUCAUGGAAGAGUAAAAGUGUAGAGGAGAAAGCUGUCGACAUCUUCCGGAGUUUAAGAGAGAAGAGAUUUGUAUUGUUGUUAGAUGAUAUAUGGGAGCGGGUUGAUUUAACAAACGUGGGCGUUCCACUUCCCGGACCAAAAAAUACUACCUCAAAAGUCGUAUUCACAACCCGUUUCAUCGAUGUUUGUGGUAGCAUGGAAGUUGACAGGAAGUUUCAAGUAGCAUGCUUAUCAGAAAAGGAUGCUUGGGAACUGUUUCGAGAAAAAGUUGGGGAAGAAACUCUUGAGAGUCAUCAUGAUAUCGAUGAGCUAGCCCAAAUUGUGGUCAAAGAGUGUGGUGGUUUGCCACUCGCACUUAUUACUAUUGGUCGAGCUAUGGCCUACAGAAAGAAAGCGGAGCAGUGGAGACGUGCAAUUGAAGAGUUAAGGAGAUCAGCUUCAGAGUUUGCAGGUUUGGGAAAAGAGGUGUAUCCUCUUUUAAAAUUCAGCUACGAUAGUUUGCAGAAUGAUAGUUUGCAGAAUGAUACGGUUAGAUCUUGUUUCUUGUACUGUUGUUUAUAUCCUGAAGAUUAUGUCAUUCCUAAAUGGGACUUGAUUGAUUGUUGGAUUGGUGAGGGAUUUUUUGGGGAAUCUGACAGGUCUGGUGCAGAAAACCAAGGAUAUGACAUUUUGGACACUCUUGUUCGUGCAUGUUUAUUAGAAGAGGUGGAAGAUGAUAAAGUAAAAAUGCAUGACGUUAUUCGUGAUAUGGCUAUAUGGAUAACUUGUGAAAUUGAGAAGGAGAAUAGAAAAUUUUUGGUUUGUGCAGGUGCUGGAUUAAAAGAGGCACCGGGUGUUAAAGGAUGGGAAAAUGUGAGAAGAUUGUCAUUGAUGCAAAACCAAAUUGAAACUCUGUCAGAGGUUCCCACAUGCCCUCAUCUCCUCACUUUAUUUCUUGACUUUAAUUAUAAUUUGAGGAUGAUCGCGGAUGGCUUCUUCCAACUUAUGCCUUCUCUCAAAGUUUUGAAGAUGUCACUCUGCCGGAAUUUAACUUUGAAAUUACCUUUGGGGAUGUCAAAGUUAGGUUCACUGGAACUUCUCGAUAUUUCAUAUACCUACAUACAAGAGUUACCACAAGAGUUAAAGUUGUUGGUAAAUCUGAAAUGUUUGAAUUUGAGGUGUACACACAGGUUAAAUAAAAUUCCACGGCAACUAAUAUCAAAUUAUUCAAGGUUACGUGUGUUGAGAAUGUUCGCUAGUGGCUGGUUCAAUUUUCAUGAAGCAUCAGAAGAAAGCGUUUUAUUUGGUGGGGGUAAAGUUUUGAUACAGGAAUUGCUCGGUUUGAAAUAUUUAGAGGUAUUGGAGUUGACCUUGGGAAGUUAUCAUGCUCUCCAAAUUCUUUUGAGCUCAAAUAAGUUAAAAAGUUGUAUUCGAUCUCUUUACCUCCAUUUGACCGGAGAUACAGCGUCAAUUAUUGAUGCUACGGCUUUCGCAGAUCUAAACCACCUCAAUGAAUUAUGGAUUGAUAAUGGUAUUGAGUUGGAAGAAUUGAAGAUUGAUUAUACGGAGAUAGUACGAAAAAGGCGGGAACCUUUUGUUUUCCGCAGCCUUCACCGUGUUACCAUAUAUAGUUGCAGUAAAUUGAAAGAUGUGACAUUCCUCGUUUUCGCUCCAAACCUCAAGUCUCUUACGCUAUUCAAUUGCGGUGCUAUGGAAGAAAUAAUCAGCGUCGGAAAAAUUGCUGAGACUCCUGAGAUGAUGGGACAUAUAAGCCCUUUUGAAAAUCUCCAAAGGCUUAAUUUAAAAGAUUUGCCAAAUUUGAAGAGCAUCUACUGGAAGCCAUUGCCUUUUACUCGUCUGAAAGAAAUGGCGGUACUUGGGUGCGAUCAGCUUGAAAAGCUUCCGGUCGAUUCCAACAGUGCAAAAGAGCGUAAAUUUGUAAUUCGUGGAGAAGAAGACUGGUGGAACCGACUUCAAUGGGAGGAUGAAGCCACUCAAAUUGCUUUUCGUUCCUGUUUCCAACCUUAUUCCUGAGCGGUGGUCGCAAAAUUUGAUUUCUGGUGAGUGCGUUUUUCUUUGAACUCUUGUACAUAUUCUUGUCGUUUGCUUCACGCAAAACACUAGGUCUUUUCUUCAGUCCGUUACCUACACGCAAAACACUGGUUCUUUUCUCUGUUUUUAUUUCAGUUAGUUUCUCUCUCUCUCUCUCUCUCUGUGUCUUCUGUAAAUCACAAUUAAAUGUUGAAUUAAUGGAAUUAAUGCUUCAUAAAUUUGCCGGCACUGCCGUUACUUUAUUUUAGGGGGGUCGAAUUGGUGCUCUGGUUUUUUACUUUUUGCUGUCAAAUUUUGGCCUUUUUUUUUUUUUUAACAAGUUGAUACUUUAUUUAUAUCUUCUUAGCGAUUUAAUUUCCUGUCAAAAGAGGAACGAGAAGAACAUAUGACUUAAACCAAUGCUCGCAUAAACUUGCUGUAAAAAGAUGUAAUCUCACUGAAAUGCACACGUCUAGAAUGAAUAGAAUUAAAACAGGGAAAAUAUUAAGUAUAUUAGCCCUCUUUACCGAAAAUCAAAUGACAAUAAAUUUUUGGAAGUUUUGAUUUUCUACGGUCAAUUCGACCUUUUGCAAUUUCUUCUGUUCUAACAAAAACCAAAUUCUUUGUUCAAGUAUUUUCGUUUGGGUAUCAAGGAUCUCUAAUCAAUAGCUGGAAGCAAUUCAGAGGGCGCCGAGACCCGAUCCGACCUAGGCCCAAGUUUGGUCUUAAAGCCUGGGCUUGAGCCUGACAAUUAAAUUAAAACAUUAAUUGAUUUAUUGAUUGAAUUGUCGUGCAAUUGAUUUAUGGGGGAUGAAAAUUCAACAUACUUGAAAAUACACUAAUCUUAGCAUCAUCGGUUAAUAACUUUUAGAUUUAUGGGUAAUCAAUAGUUAAGAUCAGUUGUCAUUUAUUUUUUGAAAUGUCCAUAUUCAGUGUACAUUUGAAAAAGACCCAAUAAUUUCUCAUAAAUUUCAAUUAAAAAUAUUCAAUUUGUUAUUUCAGUUCUUUUAUUUUUUAUUUUUUCCAACAUGAAAGCGACUUAAUGUUACUAAAUUGAAGCCGCUGCCCCGCCUGUGGUUCCAAACUUUUAUCUUCCUCCUCCUUUAAAUUAAUGCGAGCAGCCUCCGUCCUUGACUAGUUGACUUCUUUUCUUCUUUUUUAAUUAAUUAAUUAAUUAAUUCAGCCGCCCACCUUUCUUUUCCCAAUGUCUUCUACUUUCGAUUUCCUUUUAUUUUCUCUUUAUUUUUAAAAUAUGCUUAUAGUAAUAAUAAAAAAUAAAAAUAAAAAUAAAAAUAAAAAUGAACAUAUUAAAAUAUAAUUUAUCAGAAAACCAAGAUAAAGAAAUAUUAUAAGCACAUCAAUCAAAAAGUGAAAAAAAAAACAAUUUUAAUUUACAUUAAAUAUAAACUUUCAGUGUUAAUCAACUUUUCUAAAUAACUGAAAUUAUUUAAAAUAAAAAUAAAUUAUUCUUCCCAAAAAAACAAAAAUUACACCCACUCUUGGCUGUAUGUCAAGAUUCGCUUUAAGGACUGAAGUUGGUAACUUUUGCAAGCAGUCUUAAAUUGAAUGGCAGCAACCCACGCUUUCAGAUUUAUGGUUAAUCAAUAGCUGAGAGUUGUUAUCGCUAAUGCCGUGUAUUUUUUUUAAUGUUUUUUCUCUCUCCUACAGCAUCUUCUAGGAAAGUGCAUCCGUUGCUAAAAUUUAGUAUUGUAAAUAAUAAACCAAGAAUAAAUAUUAAAUUUAAGAAACUGUAUUGCAUUUAAUAUUUAAGGGAGAAAAAUAAUUGUAGUGUCUUUAUUAAUCAGUAAAAAGAAAAGAUUAGAAUCAUAAUAAAUUGUAUUGUUAUUGAUGUAUUUAUUUUAUUUUAUACUCAAAAUAAAUUAUUUUAAAUUAUUAAAAUAUUAUUAUUGUUAUUCUAAUAAUAAUUAUUAUUUAAUAUUUAUUAAAAUAUUUGUCAUAUUACUAAAAAAGCAAUAAUAAUAAUGAUAAUAUUGGAAUUGUUGUUUUUUAUCUUAUUAUUAAUCAAAACACUUCUGGUUAGCCCAUUCAUACGUGAAGACCAAAACCAAAUCUCUUCUUCUCCUUCUUUUCUUAAAAUACGGGAUGUGUGUGCUCGGACUGCUCUCUCAUUCUUAAAACAAGACUUUUUGAAUUAUCCAAUUAAGUUAAAUUCUGUGGCAUCUGGUAUUUUCAUUUCUUGUUUAUUUCGCAAGUUAUUAUUGCCUAAUGCUAUGUCAACUCUAACAUUAGCAUAUAUAUUUUUUUUUUGGUCGUCUUUUAACACCAAACAUUAGUGUAGGUUAAGUAACAUAAUCAGUACUGGGACAAUUUGAAAUCCCUUUGUGUUUUAUUCACAGUAUCUAUGAGGGUUUAUCCUUUUGCUAGAACAAACUCUAGCAAAUUGUCAAAUGUACUUAUCCUUUCGCUUGAUGACUCAUUUUAAAAUUGUCUUUCAAUGUACACACACAGAGAUAACCACCGACAUCAAGCACCAAGUUUGGAAUUUAAUUGAUAAGCAUACAUUUGAUAAAUUAAUGAAAAGUUUGGGAGAAUAGUUUUGAUCACCCUCGAUUAGGAUGGUAUCACGAAAAAGAUCAAAAAGAAAACAUCGUCUCUUCUUCAACAAAAAUAAAUAUUUUCCGUUAGAAUUUAAAUAAAAUAAUUAUUUUUUUAUUUUUUGAAUUAAAAUUUAAUUAAAUACACAAAUAAAUUAUAUAUUUUUAAAAAAAAAUUUACACCCAGUCACAAGGCUGGCUAUUAAACUUAAAGGGAAGCUUCGGAGACUAAAGUUGGUAACAUCUCCAAGUGGUCUUAAGUUGACCGGAACUACCCCGACUUUAUGUUUGGUAGCCUAGACCUGAUCGGACCUAGGCCCAAGUUUGGUCUUAAAGUCCACAAUUAAAUUGAUUUGUUAAUUUAAUUGUUGUGUAAUUGAUUUAUGGGGAAUGAAUCAGCAUCCCUAAAAUUACACUAAUCUUGACAUAAUGACAUCAUCGGUUAAAAACGUUCAGAUUUAUGGCUAAUCAAUGGUUUGAGAUUUGUUAUCAUUAAUGCUAAAUAUUUUUUAACAUUUUUUCUAUCUCUCUCUCCUGAAGGAAUUUUCUAAGAAAAUGCAUCCACAACACAAAUUUUAAGGAUCACACUAUGUUACGUUAAACGUAACGUACACACACUCACAGCAACAGUAACAGGUCACGUCUUGUUACUGUUGCUGUGAGUGUGUGUAUAUUACGUUUAACAUAACAUAGCAUAGGCCAAAUUUUAAAUUGUAAACAAUAAACAAAAUAUAAACGUUAAAUUUAAGGAACUGCGUUGCAUUUCAGCUGAAGCUAACUUUAAUAUUUUACGAAAAAAAAUAAUUAAAUCUUUAAUGUGAUUUAUUUAUUAAUAUAUAUGACUAAUUUUUUAAAAUAAGAUGCAGGAUGAAACUUAAAAAUAUAAAUUAUAGAAUUAAUUUCUCUCUUCAAUAAAUCUAAAGUUUAUUUUUUUUAUUACAUGCUUCUAUUUUAUUUUUAUUCCAUGUUAAUGAUUGGAGAUUUAAAUCCAUUUCGGAUUUAUAAAUAUGUUUAGAUAUCUAAAUCCACGUGUGAUUCCAAACUAUAACCUUUUUUUUUUUCUAAUUAAUGCAAACAGCCGCCUCUUUGGACUGCUUUUCUUCUUUGAUUAUUAAUUAAUUAAUUCAGCUGCCCACCUUUCUUUUCCUAAUGUUUUCUACUCUCAAAUUUUUUUAAGGACAAGGCUACGUUGCAGACGCUGUACCUAACAGCUGCACCUUAGCCAGCUUCACAAAGGGUGCAUUUGGUAAGCAAUUUUUCUUUCCUGUGCAUAUGUGUCCUUCCACCAUUGGGUGUACGUAACAGAUAAUGUACCGUAACAAGCUCCUAUUUUUAAAUAUGUUUAUAAUGAUAAAAUAUAAAAAUUAAGAUUAAAAUGUAAUGUAAUAUAAAAUUAAAGGUGGAAGAGUAUUAAAAUAAUGUAUAAGAUAUGAAUAAACAAGUCAAUAAGAAAACAAACAAACGGCAAGAGAAAAGGAAUGGUCAUGCAGAUUUUAAGGUGGCAGUGACAAUGAGAUCUCAUUUUAACCGAUAAAGUCUUUUGAAUUUGUCAACUCAAAAAAAUAGAUUCAAAUGUUUUGUAAUAAAUGAAAAUAUAAUAUUAAAAUAAAUGUGAUAAUAUAUAUUUUAAAUAAUUUCAAUACAAAAAACAUUUGAAUGUUUUAUAAUUUAUUAGACAUAUUUUAUUAUAUUAAUAUAAAUUUUCUAAGAAAUAUGGACAUAAUAUUAAAAUAAAUUUAUGAAAAAUUUAAAUUAUUUUGAAUGUAAAAACAUUUGAAUGUUUUAUAAUUUAUUAGACAUAUUUUAUUAUAUUAAUAUAAAUUUUUCUAAAAAAUAUGGACAUAAUAUUAAAAUAAAUUUAUGAAAAAUUUAAGUUAUUUUGAAUGUAAAAACAUUUUAAUGUUUUAUAAUUUAUUAGAAAUAUUUUAUUAUAUUAAUAUAAAUUUUCUAAGAAAUAUGGACAUAAUAUUAAAAUAAAUUUAUGAAAAAUUAAAUUAUUUUGAAUGUAAAAUAAUUUUAAUAUUAUUAAUCCAUUAAGUAUUAAUUAUAAAAAUUAUUUAACCCAAAGAUUAUUUAUAUCCUUACAAUAAAUAUAAAUAUAUUAUUUGCAUUUAAAAAUUUAAAAAUAUUUAAAUAAUAUUAAUCUACAAUUAUAUUUUCAUUUAUUAUAAAUAUUUAAAGUCAAAUCUUUUGCACUUGUAUUUUAUUACAAUUAUGGCGCACAAAGAAAGAGCCAUAUAUGCUUUAUAGCGUUAGAAAUUGGUUUCUUUUAAAGCUGGAAACAGAGAGGAUGAUUAUUAUAAGGAGAAAAGAAAAAGGGAUAAAGAAUAUUAAUGAUUAACAAAAUCUCUCUGCAAAUUGAUUGCAGUAGAAAAAAAGUGAGCUGAGCAAUCUAAUUUAGUGGUAGAGUGAUAUUUCAUUUGUAGCAAAUUACAUCUCAAGGUUAAAGGAAAGACUUAAGAUCUCAGCUUUUGAUCAUAAUACUUUUUUUAAAGAAAAAAAUUAAUUUUAAUAUUUUAUAAUAAAUAAAAAUAUAAUCUUAAAAUAAAUACAAACACACUAUUAAUAGUACAUAUUUUAAAAUAAUCUCAUUAUUUAAAAUUGUUUUAAUAUUUUGUAAUUUGCCAGACAAAUUUUAUUAUUUUCAAGUAAAUUUUAUAAUAAAUACAAACACACUAUUAAGAUAAAUAUAUGAAAAAUUUAAAGUAAUUUGAAUCUUAUACAAAAUAAUUUUAAUAUUGUUAAUAGUGAGAUAAUUCUAUUAAUUUAAAAUGCUACUUAACCUUAAGAUUUAUUUAAGAUAAAUUAAUAAUUACAUUUUUAAAUUAUUUCAAAUAUUAAAAAUAUUUUAAUAUUAUUUAUCUAUUAGAUAGACUAAAUUAUUUAAAUUAUUUUGUAUAAAUUAAUUCUAUUUAAAGGAUAUUAUGAUAAAAAGAUCUUAGUGUUUUUAUUAAAAAUUUAAAAUUUAUAUGACUAUUUCUUUAAAUAUUUAGGGUAUAUAUGAACCACCGAGGAGAAAAGCUUUAUUUAAUAUUUUUGAAUAGUUUUUGAUCAGUACAAUUGCGUCCUUAUUCAGAAUUAUUGUUCUCUUCCGCAACAGUUUUUGUUUAUCAAAGUCAUCAAUUAAAAUUUUAGAAUUCUUAUCAUCAGAAGUAGUCGUUUUAGAAGUUGGGUCUUGGAUCAAAUUUCUACGAGUGCAUGAAUUAACAAUAAAAAAAAUUUCAUUACACACGGUUUAAGCUACAAAACUACUAUUUGCACAGUUGACUAUAAAACUUACCUCCAAUUACACUAAACCUCUCUAUUUGGUAACGUUGAGACUAAAUUAAUUUUAUUAGCAUGAAAAGAUAAUAGAAAUAUUAUCAUAAAUAUAAUUGUUGUUAAUCAAUUAGUACAUGUGAUAUAAAGGUUAAAUGUGCACUAUAUUUAAUAAAUAAUUAAUGGAACAUGUUAAACAAAAUGUUAAUGUAUAUUUAUAUAGUGUUAGGAAUAUGCAAAGUCAAGUCCUCAAUUUGCAUUAUCCUGUAUAGAAUAUUACUCUAAAAAUGUUUUACUAUAAUUGGCUUAGAACAUUUGUAAAGAAAAUAAUAAUCGUAAUAAUAAAUAACAUACACCGUCACAUAGCAUCUAGACAAUGAUAGAAAAUUAUUAAAGGGAGUGCAAACAAUUAAUUAGAAAUUUUUAUGAUAACUUUUAAUAUUCAUGAUAAUAACAAAUAAAUACAUGUACCACUUUUUAAAAAUAUUAAAUUUGACGUGCUCCAUUAAUAAAUUAUUAUUGUAAUUCAGACUCUAUCUAUAUAUCCUUGCAUUAAGAAUAAUUAAGUCAUAAUAAAAAUUUUCGUAACUACAUCUCAUUUCUUCCUCAUAAUAAUAAUUAGAUUGGUUCGAAUAUUAUAACUAUAUAGAUUUAGGGCGUGUUUGGUGCAUGGGAUUAUGUGGUAUUACACUACUAUUCACAUUAGCUUAUUUCCAAGAAGAUGUUUGGCAAACUUUGACACCUCAUUAUGCUGCAUUAUAAUGCAGCAUAAUGAGGCAUGGGGCCGCAUUACGCAAACCCGAGGGAACCUCGGGUUUGCGUAAUGCAGAAGCUUUUUGCCUCAAUUGAGGCAACAGUUAAUGCCUCAAUUGAGGCAAAUUUAUUUUAUUAAAAUAUUAUAAAAAUAAAUUAUUUUAUUAUUAAAUACUAAUAUAAUGAAUAAAAUAUAAAAAUAAAUUAUAUGAUAAUAUUAUUUUAUUUAUUAAUGAUUCAUAUAAAAAUAAUAUAUUAAUAUUAUAAUAUUAUUUACAUUAAUAUUAAUUUUAAAAUUAAUAUUAUUUAAAUUUAUAAUUAUUUAUGUUAAAUUAUAAAUUUAUUAAUAUAUUAAAAUGUAAAAAUAAUAAUAUAUUGUAAAUUAAAAUAUAAUUGAAUAUUAUUGAAUAAUAAUUUAUUAAUUUAUAUUAACAAUUAUAAUAUUAAUUAUAAUCUAAAUUUAUUAUUUACAUAUAAUAUUAAAUUUUAUAAAUUUAUUUUAUCAUAAUUAUAAUACAAAUUUUAGAAAUUUAAUCAUUAAUUUUUAAUAUUUACUAAAAAAAUUGUUAAAUUUCUACAAUUAAGAUUUCUAUAUUUAUUAUUUUUCUAAGUAUUAAUAAAUAUUAAUUUUUAAUUAUUUAAUUUAAUUAAUUAUAAAAAUUAAUACAAUACAAUGUAACACCAAAUAUAGUUUAAUUAAAAAUUAAUACAGUACAGUGUAGCACCAAACAUUGUACAGCAUUAUUAUAAUACAAUACUAACGCAAUACAGCAUAAUACAAUACACCAGCAUUAAAAUAAUGCAAUACAACAUAAUACAAUACAAUGUACCAAACGCACCCUUAGUGUAUAGCCACAUCCAAUUUAAAUAUUGACCCAAUUGGGAUGGUCCCCAAAAAAAAAAUUCGUUAAAGGAUAAUUCUAAUUAUUUUUACUUCUCAAACGUUAGUGGGACGUUUCUAUUAGCGCACUCGUAAGCCAAGUUGUCAAAUAUUUAUAUUAAACUACAAUUGCUGACAAGAAAAAUCAAGAUCGUGUUGCGCAAGUGGGUCCCGAAUAGGACGUGCCUAAAUCUCUCGUAAGCCAAGUUGUCAAAUGUUUAUAUUAAACUAACAAUUGCUGACUAGAAAAAUCAAGAUCGUAUUACAAGUGGGUCCCGAAUUGGACGUGCCUAAAUCUUUUUAUAAUUUUCCCAGUGUAGCGGACAGAGGUCAUUACUAAAUUUCUCUUCCACACGCCACAGCAGCUUCGGUUAAUCAAACUCAAUCAAUUUUCUUGGCUUCUCCGCUUAUCAAUAUUACAAGGUAUGGGUAGCAUUUUUCAAAUCACAUGCGAUGGUACUAUUUUCAAUCGUUGCUUAGAUUGCUUUCUUGGAAAAGCAGCAUACAUAAGUAACCUCCAAGAUAAUCUCGUUGCCUUGGAGACUGAACUAAGGAAACUAAUCGCAGCAAAGAACGAUGUGAUGACGGCGGUUGUCAAUGCUGAACGGCAACAAAUGAGAAGGCUGGACCAAGUGCAAGUGUGGGUUUCGAGGGCGGAAGCUGUUAAAACUGAAGCUGAUGAACUUAUCAGAGGCGGCUCUCAAGAAAUUGAAAAAUUAUGUCUUAGAGGGUUCUGUUCCAGGAACUGCACGUCAAGCUACAAGUUCGGAAAACAAGUGGCUAAAAAGCUACGAGCUGUGGAGACUUUAAUCGCCGAAGGAGUUUUUGAGGCGGUGGCUGCCGAGGUGGUGCCUGAGAGAGCUCCAGAGCCUGUAGCAGAUGAAAGACCUACCGAGCGAACAGUAGUAGGCUUGCAAUCACAACUUGAACAAGUCUGGAGAUGUCUUGCAGAAGAAUCAGCGGGAAUCAUUGGCCUAUAUGGUAUGGGCGGUGUUGGUAAAACUACACUAUUGACCCAUAUCAACAAUAAAUUUCUCGAGAGUCCAACCAACUUUGAUUGUGUGAUUUGGGUAGUAGUUUCAAAAGACCUGCGACUUGAAAAAGUUCAAGAAAAUAUUGGGAAAAAGAUAGGUUUGGUUGAUGAUUCAUGGAAGAGUAAAAGUGUAGAGGAGAAAGCUCUCGACAUCUUCCGGAGUUUAAGAGAGAAGAGAAUUGUAUUGCUGUUAGAUGAUAUAUGGGAGCGGGUUGAUUUAACAAAAGUGGGCGUUCCACUUCCAGGACCACAAAAUACUACCUCAAAAGUCGUAUUCACAACCCGUUUCAUCGAUGUUUGUGGUAGCAUGGAAGCUGACAGGAAGUUCCAAGUAGCAUGCUUAUCAGAAAAGGAUGCUUGGGAACUGUUUCGAGAAAAAGUUGGGGAAGAAACUCUUCAGAGUCAUCAUGAUAUCGUUGAGCUAGCCCAAAUUGUGGUCAAAGAGUGUGGUGGUUUGCCACUCGCACUUAUUACUAUUGGUCGAGCUAUGGCCUACAGAAAGAAAGCGGAGCAGUGGAGACGUGCAAUUGAAGAGUUAAGGAGAUCAGCCUCAGAGUUUGCAGGUUUGGGAAAAGAGGUGUAUACUCUUUUGAAAUUCAGCUAUGAUAGUUUGCAGAAUGAUACGGUUAGAUCUUGUUUCUUGUAUUGUUGUUUAUAUCCUGAAGAUUAUGGCAUUCUUAAAUGGGACUUGAUUGAUUGUUGGAUUGGCGAGGGAUUUUUUGGGGAAUCUGACAGGUCUGGUGCAGAAAACCAAGGAUAUGACAUUUUGGACACUCUUGUUCGUGCAUGUUUAUUAGAAGAGGUGGAAGAUGAUAAAGUAAAAAUGCAUGACGUUGUUCGUGAUAUGGCUGUAUGGAUAACCAGUGAAAUUGAGAAAGGGAAGAGAAACUUUUUGGUUCGUGCAGGUGCUGGAUUAAAAGAGGCACCGGAUGUUAAAGGAUGGGAAAAUGUGAGAAGAUUGUCAUUGAUGCAAAACCAAAUUGAAACUCUGUCCGAGGUUCCUACAUGCCCUCAUCUCCUCACUUUAUUUCUUGACUUUAAUGAGAAGUUGAAGAUGAUCACGGAUGGCUUCUUCCAAUUUAUGCCUUCUCUCAAAGUUUUGAAGAUUUCACACUGUGGUAGGAAUUGGAAAGAUUUGAAAUUACCUGUUGGGAUGUCAAAGUUGGGUUCACUAGAACUUCUUGAUAUUUCACAUACGCUGAUAACAGAGUUACCAGAAGAGUUAAAGUUGUUGGUAAAUCUGAAAUGUUUGAAUUUGAGGUCGACAGAAUUGUUAAUUAGAAUUCCACGGCAACUGGUAUCAAAUUCUUCAAGGUUACGUGUGUUGAGAAUGUUCGCUACUGGCUGGUUAAAUUUUCAUGAAGCACCAGAAGACAGCGUUUUAUUUGGUGGGGGUGAAGUUUUGAUACAGGAAUUGCUCGGUUUGAAAUAUUUAGAGGUAUUGGAGUUGACCUUGCGAAGUUAUCAUGCUCUCCAAAUUCUUUUGAGCUCAAAUAAGUUAAAAAGUUGUAUUCCAUCUCUUUUCCUCCAGUUGGCCGGAGAUACAACGUCGAUUAUUGAUGCUGCGGCUUUCGCAGAUCUAAACCACCUCAACGAUUUAUUUAUUUAUAAAGGCAUUCAGUUGGAAGAAUUGAAGAUUGAUUAUACAGAGAUAGUACAAAAAAGGCGGGAACCUUUUGUUUUCCGCAGCCUUCACCGUGUUUCUAUUGGGGGGUGCGAUAAAUUGAAAGAUGUGACAUUCCUCGUUUUUGCUCCAAACCUCAAGUCUCUUUGGCUAUUCGAUUGCGGUGCUAUGGAAGAAAUAAUCAGCGUCGGAAAAUUUGCUGAGACUCCUGAGAUGAUGGGACAUAUAAGCCCUUUUGAAAAUCUCCAAAGGCUUGAAUUAUGGGAUUUGCCAGCUUUGAAGAGCUUCUACUGGAAGCCAUUGCCUUUCACUCAUCUGAAAGAAAUGGUGGUACAUGGGUGUCAUCAGCUUAGAAAGCUUCCACUCGAUUCCAACAGAGCAAAAGAGCGUAAAUUUGUUAUUCGUGGAAAAGCAGACUGGUGGAACCGACUUCAAUGGGAGGAUGAAGCCACUCAAAUUGCUUUUCGUUCCUGUUUCCAACCUCGUUCCUGAGCGGUGGUCGCAAAAUUUGAUUUCUGGUGAGUGCAUUCGUCUUUUAAAAGAAGAAUUUAAAAGAAAUUUAUUCUUGUCGUUUUCUUCUCUGUUUUUAUUUCAGUUUCUUUCUCUCUCUCUCUCAAGGAUCUCUAAUCAAUAGCUGGAAGCAAUUGAGAGGCGCCGAGACCCGAUCGGAUCUAGGCCCAAGUUUGGUCUUAAAGCCUGGGCUUGAGCCUGACAAUUAAAUUAAAACAUUAAUUGAUUUAUUGAUUGAAUUGUUGUGUAAUUGAUUUAUGGGGGAUGAAACAUCAACAUACUUGAAAAUACACUAAUCUUAGCAUCAUCGGUUAAUAACUGUUAGAUUUAUGGGUAAUCGUAAUCAAUAGUUAAGAUUAGUUGUCAUUAAUACUAAAUAUUUUUUACUAUUUUUGUCUCUACUAGAGGAUCUUCUAGAAAAAUGCAUCCACAACAAAAUUUAAUAUUUUACAUAAUAAACAAAAUAUAAAUGUUAAAUUUAAGAAACUGCAUUGCAUUUCAGCUGAAGCUGACUUUAAUAUUUAGGGUAGAAAAACAAUUAAAUCCUUAAUGUGUUUAAUUUCUAUCACUUGUGUCAUUAAAAUUUUCUAGCCACCUUAACCAAUUACAUCUCAACCCACUUUUUUUGGAUGAUUUUAUUUUUACACAAUUAUUUUCAACAUAUCAUGAUGUAUUCGUCAAAAGCUGGAAAUGACUGUUGCCCGUCAAAAUUCACAUUUUUUCCUUAACGAUAAAGUUUUAAUAUAAUUUUGAAGUUAUAACGUCAUAAAUAUAUUGCAUAAUAAUAAGAAAAAGGACCUAAAUGGUAAAAGUGAUAAAUAAUAAGAUCGAAGUAUCAUUUUCCAAUGUUAAAUGAGGCAAUGCCAUUCUCCGGUUCUCUUCUUUAAAUGCGUGAUGUGUGUGCUCUGUUUUCUCUAUUAUUCUUUUUCUCUUUUAGAUUUUGAGAACGUAAAGGGUGCAGGAGUCUUUAUCUUGUUAAAACAAGUCUUUUCGAAGUAUUCAACUAAAUUAAAUCAUGGCCUAAUGCUGUGUCAAUUCCAUCAUCAGCAUUUUUUUUUUCCUUUUUAACACCAACAUCAGUGUAUGUUUGGAUAAUUUGAAAUCUGUUUGUGUUUUAUCUCAAAGUAGAGCUUCAAUCAAUUUGUACCUCACAAAUUCACAAUAUCUAUUAAGGAUAAUAAGACCGAACUCUGGCAUAUUGUCAAAUGUGCUUAUCCAAUUCCAAAUUAAAAUGUUGACAGUGUUUCAUCAACCAAGAACUUGUCUUCGAUAGUUAAUCGGAUUAAAGGGAAUAAUUAAUGAGAGCAAUUAAUUAAUAUUAGCCGGCAUCGUCUGUUUCAUAGGUACUCGUGGUUCACUAACAUAAGCGUUGAAUUUGUAUAGUAGCUUGUUCCUUUCCUUCGGUUUUACUUAAUGAAAACCUUGGCUAGAUCGUACACCAAUGUAAAAUCGAAAACCCUUAUGCCACGAAGAGUUCUUAGUGCAAUUGAGAUCAAUGAUAAUCAGCUGAUAGGGAAAACAUUGUCUGAUUGUCAUAAACAAACUUCUUGAAAAUGCCAUCAGUAACAUGGAAGAUUUGGAGGUUAUUCAAAUGCUGACUUCAGGAAUGCAGAUUAAUAUAUUAUGGAGACAGAUUGAGUGCAAUGGCUAAUUGUAACAGGGAAUUUUUAUUGUACAAACAGACCAGCCAGCAAAGAAUAUUCCAAAUCUAGGACUAAACAAGUCAAUAAUAAAAUAAACAAACGGCAAGAGAGAGUGAUUAUAUCUACAACACCAUCGGCUACUACAAAUUCAACUUUUCAACAGUUGUUACUCACCAUGAACAGAAAAAAGAAAAUUACAACAAAAAAUUGGUUGCUAAAAGACGUCUAUUCAUGGUAAUGCCUCUCAAAUGGGUUCAAAACAUGGAAGAAAAGCAUUUAGUGUGGCUUCAUCGUCCCAUUUCAGCUCACUCCACCAGUGUUGCAGGGGCUUAGUCAAAGUGGCUUUCAAGAAGUUUUAUUACCACCUCAGUUCAAAUCCUAAGAGAGGUAGGAGGAUAAAAGAAUUAAUUUGGACUUUACCUAGCCCUCUACCUUUGUUAAAUUUAUGUUAAAAAAAAAAAUAGAUUUGAGAUUGGUAAUAUCCUUAUUUUUUGUUUUCAAAGGAAACUGAUUUAGGACCAAUGAGACUUUGAUCCAAUGGGAGAAGCCUUUCACUUAUAAUGUUAAGUAUAAGGGUUCGAUCCUCCAUAAGAGCUUUAUGAAGGUUAAUUUCAGUACUUCCUUAGUUAUCAGUUAAUUGAGUGGAGACAGUCUCUCCCUUACGAAAUGUGAGUGGAGUAGGCACCCCUCGAAUAUUAGAGAAGGUUUAAAGUAUCUGAGCAAGUGCUUUAGUGGGUUAAUAUAUGGCGGUAGUUCCAGUUGUUUAGUAUGAUUGUAGUACGAUUGUAUAUAUUAAUUGUAAUAUCUAAUGUAAUAUCAAUAACAAUCUGUGCAUAACAGAAUUCAAAAAAAGAAAAGAAAAAAGAAAACUGAUUUAGGUGGUUUCUUGGUUAAGACUUUUUCUUUAGCAUACUUAGUUCCACGUGCUAUUUAGAUAUUUUUCGACAUACUUAUUACUUAGUUCCACAUGCUAUUUAGAUAUAUUUCGACCAAAUGAACAAGCGCAAGCCAUUGACACUUAGCUUAAUUUCAGGGUCAAGCUAUAUUUGAAACUCAAAUAUUAACCUAUUAAUAUUUUCAAUUCAUUCAAUUAUAAAUUAGAGAUGAUAGAAAUUCUCAUAGGAACAGGGGCCCUAGGGGAUUUUAGAGGAUUUUUCCCAUUCGGGAAGGGUAGGAGACAAUUUUAUAUCAAGUUUCUUAUUCCCAGAGACUAUAAUAUUUUUUUACCUAAUUUCUUAUUCAGGGAAGAUAUGGAGAUGAUGUGGACUUUCCAUCCCCUCCCAAUUCUCCAUUUUUAUUUUUAAUUUUUAUAUUAUUUUUCUAGAAUUAUUAGUGAAAAUAAUAAAAUUUAAAUUGUAAAAAUUUUAUUAAUGAAUAAAUAAAAAUAAAAAUUUUAGACACCUUUUUCCCAAACUUGUAGCUUGACUUGCAGUUCUUGGAGCAGUAGCCUCCAAGACAGUUUUUCAAUUUCUCGAGAGCCGUCCCUUGUCAAUUCACCAACUUCAGCUUCCACAGCCGCCACCCUUGAGGUGAUGUUUGGUUGGGAGGAGAGAAUGGGGGAGAGGAAAGUAAUUUAAAUUCUACUUUUAUUUUUAUUGUUUGGUUGCACGAAAUAUAUAAGAAUUUAAUUUCCAUUAGAAUUUAAUAUCCUUUAUAAUCUAGAAUUUGAAUUCCACACCAAAGAGUGAAGAAUUCAAAUUCCUCUUAGGUUGAAAACCCAAGUUUCCAAAUUUGUCCUUCAACAUUUUAACUUGUUUAAUGCUAUUAAUAAUUAUUAUUUAUAAUUUUAUUUUAUCAAUUUAAUAUUAUAAAUAAUUUAAUAUUAAUUAAAUUUAAUGAAUGAUUUAAGACAUUUAAUAAAAUAAAUAAACUUAUUUAUUUAUUUAAUAUGCAAAUAUAUAAAUAUAAAUUAACUAUCGCCGGAACUUCGCUGGACCGUCGCCGGAAGCUGUCGAAAUUUCACCGAAAAGUCACCAACCACUGUUGAUCGGCGUUGGCUUAUGUUGACCGCUACUGUUGACCGGCUUUUAUUUAUAUUAAAUUAUAUUAAAUAGUUUAGUAUAUUAAAUUAUUUUAUAUUUUAUAUUAAAUAUAAAUCAUGAAUUGUUUCAUAACUUUUUGAAAUUAAAAAAAAUUGGUAUUAAUAUUAAAUUAUAUUUUAUUACUAAUAUAGAUAAUUUAGUAUUUAAGGUAAAGGAUAAAUUUGUCCAAAGAAAAAAAUUAUAAUUUCUUUCCUUAUCAAAUUUGAUGUCAAACCAAACAUUGAAAUUUAAUUUUAUUAAUCUCUUCCACUCAUUUCUCCUCCAUUCCACUUUUUUCUUCUCCUCUCCUUUUUUAAAACCAAACACCACCUGAAAGCCAACCUUGCACUUUGUUCAGCCGUCUCAGUUGUUGCUGCUCAGGAUUGGCGACCCUCAUCAUCACAUCGUUCUUUGGUUCAAUUAAUUUCUGCAAUUCGGUCUGGAUGGCAACCAGGUUAUCUUCAAGCUGGCUUAAAUAUCAUGCUUUUCUGCGGGUACAAUUUAUGAAGCCAGUGAAAAUUACGCAUACAAUAGGAGUGCAACACAGUGUGUAUUCGGUUGUGGUGUCUAUGAUUUUGCAGUCGCAGAAGCUUAUUCACCUUAUGAAGACUGAUCAGGUGGGCACCGUCGCUCUCCUUACAUUCUUAUGGAGAGCGAUAGUCCAUGUAGUCAGAUCUCACUGAGAGAACUAGCCGAGUGGGCAAUCGCUCCGCCUGAUCAAAAUUUGUCAUCUUAUAAUAAUAUCUUGAGUAGGUCUUGAAUUUUUUUUCCAAUUUUAAUCUUUAAAAGGUAGAAGAGGUGAAAAAAACCUAAAUAGUAUUUGUGUCCUCCUAAAUAACAUUUCUUGAACAUCAAUGGAUCUUAAAACUUAAUUAAGAAAAUAUUAUAGAUUUAUAAAUUAGUGGCCCUUAAAAUUUAUUUGCAAGUAACAAUUAGAGAAAAGUCGUCAGGCCCAAAAGACUUAGAGCAUCACCAAAAGACUCUUCAAAUAAGAUUUUAUUAAUUAUUUGAAGAGCCAUCUCAAUAUUUAAGACUCCAAAAGACACUCCAAUUAAGAUUCUUCAAAUAAGAAAUAAUUCUCUCUCUUCAAAUUUGGAGAGUUGAUUUCUCCCUCUUCAAUUUAUACUUUAUUACUUUCCAUUGGAGAAAAAGAGAGAAGUGCUUUAAUUGCUAUUGACUUUUUCUUUAAAAAAAUAAUUAUUUGAUUAAAAUAAUAUUAAGUUAUUUCUAUUUGAAGAGUCUUUUGGAGAAUAUUAUUUUUUUUUACUCUUCUAUUUGCCACAUAGAUAAGCAAAUAGAUAUUUGAAGAGUAAAAUUUAUAGAGUCUUUUGGAGAUGCUCUUACUAAAAGUCGGCAACUCGUCAUGACCAAAAUUCUUCCGAGUGUGAAAUACGGCAUGCGCAGAUGCAUUAAAAACAAAAGCCAGCUAAGAUAUUCUUUGUAUACUUGCAUUCCCUAUCAUCUUAUUAAUAAUUUCAGACACGUCGUUCGUUCCCUGUGACUUUUCAUAUGCAACAGCACAGUCAGUGUUACAAUUUACAUUUCGAAUUGGGUGUCAUCUAUAUACUCUACCUAGAUCUAACAUGAUAUUGCAGUAUUGCACUGAUUUUUUUGUCGCAGCGUUUCUCUAUGAAUUCCUUAAACUUUAAACACAUCAUGGAAUAAUUAUUUUCUUAAAGACCAAAUUAACAUAAUUCUUAAAUCAUUUAUAAAACAACAUUUAUCAUAUAACAGAUCGUACACGAAUCAAUUUUCCUUGAACAGUAGCAAACAAACAAGAAUCUCAACCACAUCACGAGAUCGCCCACGUCAAACCAAGUAUUCUUAAUGAGUGGACCAGCUAAUAUAUUCAAAAUUGGAAUUAAUUGAGGAUAAUGAUUAGUGCUAAUACAUUUGCAAAGAAAAAUCAUGCCUAUUGAAAAACUCAUCUUAUUAGCAGCAGCGUUAUAAGUAGCAUCCAAUCAUAGUUUCACGCAAGAUUUUGAGAUUAUUCAAAUGCUGAUCCCGGGAAUGGAGAUUAAUAGAUAAUGGAGACAGGUUGACUGCAAUGGCUAAUUGUAAGAGGGAUUUUUAGCCGUAAAAACAGAUCAACUAGCAAAGCAAAUUCCAAAUCUUGGAAUGCAGUAGCAAAAAAACGAAACAAACAAAUGGCAAGAGGAAGUGACUAUACAACAAUAACAUCGACUUGCAAUUCAACAUUUAUACAGUUUUACACACCAAGAAAAGAAAAAAUUACAAUAGAAAUUUGGCCACUAAAAGAUGCUCGUUCAUGCUUAUGCCUGUCAUAUGGAUUUGAAACAUGGAGUAAAAGCAUUUAGAGUGGCCUCAUCCUUCCACUGCAGCUCAUUCCACCAGUAUUGCUCUCCCCUAAUAACAAGUUUUCGUUCCUUGGCGCUGUUGUAAUCGAGUGGAAGCUUCUUGAGAUUCGGGCAGCCAGAUACAAACAAUUCCAAGAGAUUUGGAAAGGGCAAUGCAUUCAAACAGAUCUUCUUCAGAUUUCUUACAACUUGCAACCGAAGAUAUUGGAGUUUCGAAAAAGUUUUUUGCACUGGAACUUCUGGAACUUCUUCCAAUUUCCAAACACUGAUUAUUUCUUCCAUCUCAUAACAACGUUCUACAUGGACCAUCUUGAGAUUUGGGGCAAAAACAAGCCAUGUCAUCUCCCUCAAUUUACUGCAAUAGUCUAUGGUAACACUUUGAAGGCUGUUGAAACCAUAAAGUUCUCUUGUUGUUUGAAUUUCUGCAUAGUCAACCUUUAGCUCUUCCAAACUUGUACAAUACACAAAAUCUAGUUUGUCAAGAUACUUGAGAUCUGCUAUGGACAAAAUAUUCCAUGACCUUGAAUCCUCACAGCGGCGAAGCUCUAAAGCAUAUUUACAACUCUUGUACUGUUGGCAGCUCAAAAGUCUUCGUAGAGCAUAAAAACUUCUUAACGUGACGCUUAAUACAUUUAAAUGUUCCAAAGUAAUCAACUCCUCUACCAAAAUUUCACUACCACCAAAUAGAACGCUAUCUUCUGGUACUGUAUUAGCAGAGCCACAAUCUAGCAUCCUCAACACCUUUAACCCAGAAAAAUUACAAAGCAGUUGCCGUGGAAUCGUAUGGAGAUAACGCAUGUACUCCAAGUUCAAACACUUUAGAUUUUUCAAGGCUUUUAAUUCAUGUGGCAACUCUUUGAUGAAAGUUUCUGAAAGAUUAAGAUAUUGUAGUGAAACCAAUUUUGAAAUUCCUGAAGGCAAUUGACUCAAGGAGCGAUUCUUUGAUAGGUUUAAAACUUUAAGAGAAGGCAUAAAAUCGAAGAAAUCACUAGGGAUAGUAUCUAACAUAUUAAUGCCGAGGAACAAAGUUAUAAGAUGAGGGCAUAUUGGAGUUAUUGGUAAAAUCACAAUUUUAUUUCUCAUCAACGAUAUCCUUCUCUUAUCUUCCCAUUGUUUAACUUCGGGUGGUUCAGUUAAUUCAAUACCGGCAGAAACCAAAAAGUUUUCAUUCUCCACUUCACAGGCUAUCCACAAGGUCAUAUCACGAAUCACAUCAUGCAGUUUUACAUAAUCUGAUCCUGCUUCUUCCAAUAGGCAUGCAUGAACAAGAACACCAAUAAUGUAGUAUCCUUGGUUAUGUACUCCAUUAAUUCCUUCAUAUUCCUUCAGAAAACCCUCACCAAUCCAACACCCUAUCAAUUCAAUUUUGCUAAUUUGAUAAUCCUCAGGAAAUAAACUACAGUAUAACAGACAAGAUCUAAGGACGUCACUAGACAAACUAUCAUAACUGAAUUUUAAAAGACGAAACACCUCUUUCUCCAUACCUGGAAAUUCAUAAGCUGAUCUCCUUAACAUCUGAAUUGCAUAGCUCCAUUCUUCGGGUGUCUUCUUGCUGCUCAUGGCACGACCGGUGGUAAUAAGUGCAAGUGGCAAACCACUACACUCCUUUGCCACAGUUUGGGCUAACUCCGGAAUAUCGGGAUGACUUUCAAGAGUCUCUUCUCCGACCUUCUUUAGGAACAAUUCCCAAGCAUCUUGAUCUGCCAAACACUCCACCUUGAACUUUUUUUGAGCUUCCAUGAGGCCACAGACGUCCACAAGACGAGUUGUAAAGACUAUCUUUGAUGCAUUUCUUGAACUCGCAGGAAAAGGGACACCCACUUUGGCUAAAUCAAUUCUUUCCCAUAUAUCAUCUAACAAUAGCAGAAAUUUCAUUUUGCUCAAUAAAUUGAAUAUGCCUGAUGCUUUCUCUUCAAAGCUUCUAUUCUGAAGCCAUCCUAUUCUUUCUCCGAUUUUCUGUUGUAUUCUCUCAAGUUGCAUGUCUUUUGACACCACCACCCAAAUCACAAUAUCAAAAUAAUUUGGUGUAUUAAGGAACCUGUUGUUGAUUUGGGUUAAUAGUGUAGUCUUGCCGACUCCCCCCAUGCCAUAAAGUCCGAUGAUUCCAAAUUGUCCUUCUACAAGACAUCUCCAAACUUUAUCAAAUGUUGAUUCUAGGCCGAUUAUUGUUGGCUGAAGAGGCCUUUCAUCCACUGCUGGUUGUGGUACCUUUUCAGCUACCACUGCAAAAGCUCCAUCAUCUAUUAAAGUAGCCACAAGCUGCAGCUUUUUAGACACCUUUUUCCCAAACUUGUAGCUUGACUUGCAGUUCUUGGAGCAGUAGCCUCCAAGACAUAGUUUUUCAAUUUCUUGAGAGCUGUCCCUUGUCAAUUCACCUACUUCAGCUUCCACAGCCUCCACCCUUGAAAGCCAACCUUGCACUCUGUUCAGCCGUCUUAGUUGUUGUUGCUCAGCAUUAGCGACCCUCAUCAUCGCAUCGUUCUUUGUUUCGAUUAGUUUCUGCAAUUCGGUCUGGACGGCAACCAGGUUAUUUUCAAGCUGGCUUAGAUAUGCUGCUUUUCUGCGGGUACAAUUUAUGAAGCCAGCGGAAAGGGCAUCACAUAUAAGUUGGAUUCCCAAAAUAUUACCCAUAGUUUGUAUGAGAUUCAGAGUACAAUAGAAGGAAUGCAACACAGUAUGUAUUCGGUUGUGGUGUUUAUGAUUUUACAGUCGCAGAAGCUUAUUCACCUUGUGAGGGCUGGUCAGGUGGGCACCAUCACUCUCCUUACGCUUUAUAGAGAGCGAUAGUCCAUGUGGUCAGAUCUCAUUCAGAUAACUAGCCAAGUGGGCAAUCGCUCCACCUUAUCAAAAUUCUUCAUCUUAUAAUAAUAUCAUGAGUAGGCCUUGAAUUUUUCUUUUAAUUUUAACAUUUAAAAGGUGGUGGUGAAAAAGUCUAAAUAGUAUUUUUGUCCUCGUACUUUAAUAACAUUUCUUGAAAGUCACUCGAUCUCAAAAUUUAAUUAAGAAGAUAUUAUAGAUUUAUAAGCCCUUAAAAUUUAUUUGCAAGUAAGCCCAUAAGACUUACUAAAAGUCGUCAACUCGUCAUGACCAAAAUUGAAAAUUCUUCCGCGUGUGAAAUACGGCAUGCACAGACGUAUUAAAAGCAAAGGCCAGCUAUGAUAUUCUUCGUAUACUUGCAUUCCCUAUCAUCUUAUUAAUAAUUUCAGACACGUAGUUCGUUGCUUGUGAUUUUUCAUAUGCAAAAGCACAGUCAGUGUUACAAUUUACAAUUACAAUUGGGUGCCAUCUAUAUACUCCUUCCUUGUUUUCAAAAUAUGUUGUAGGAUGGGUAAUUGUAACAAAAGUGAUUUUUAAAAAGAUUUAUUAUAAUAUUAAAAUUAACUUUUAAUUUUUUUAAAUUAUUUUUGAGCUUUCUGAAAAAAAAAUCCUAAACCGGUCUCAGAAGUAUAAUUAGAACCACGAAUUUAUAAAAUGAUCAAAGGAAUCCAUCGCCUAAUAUUAUAGUACGCAAUGGAUUGCUAUAAACUAAAUUGCUAUGAUCUCACUUCAUAAUAAUUUAUUUUCAAUCUCCAUCAUGGUAGAAAAAUUUCAUCAAUCAACAUACCCUACCACCACCCAAUAGUCGACCAUUUAUCAUCUUCUAUCCGUAAAAAAACGAAAAAAAAAAAAGAGAAAAGGAAAAAUUUAGUCCACAAAAGAAAAUAUCGCAAGACCAAACAGAGAGAGAAAAUAGAAAAAGCAAAGAGCUGUACUGAAUACCGGCGGUGAUGGCUCGGUACUUGACCAUUUAGGUUUGAUUCUGCAUUAACAUAAUAUUUUUUCUGCACUGCAUUCACAUCACAACCAUUGAAUAGUCGUGAUCUAUUUUUCUAAAGCGAAUAAUAUUAUCUUCUCGUGUCGGUGGCUUGAUCAUAUAACAAAAUAGACUAAUAAUGUUUCAAUAGACAUUUUGGUAAAUGGAAGAAGUUAUGAUCUGUCCAUUUUUAUGUUACUUUAUUUUAAUUUGUUAAUUACUAUUAAUAUCUUUGAGUGGGGCAGAAUCUUGACCUAAGAUAUAGGGAUGGCAAUGGGGCAUAUAUGGGUUGGAUUUACUCUGCUCCAUAUCCAAAUCCAUAAUAAAAAUUAAGAUCCGUAUCUGCUCCAGAUCCGUCAUGAAUCCAUAUUUUUCGGUCCAUAUUCAGAUCCAAAAAAGAAAUAAAUAUCUAUAUCUACUCCAAAUCUGAAAAAAAUUAAAAUCCAAAUCUGCUCUAAAUCUGUCAUGAAUUCUAAAAUUCAGUAAUAAAAAAUUAAUAAUUUUUUAGAUUGAAAAUUGAAGGCUAAAAUGUAUUGAUAACAAAUAAAUUAUAUAAUUUUUCUCAAAAAUAUAAUAAAUAUUGUAUCUUAUACUUUUUCACCAAAACAACAAAUAAGAAAGAUAAUAAAAUAUCAUUUAGAAGUAAUUGCAGGAGUAAGAUCAAUCUAAUAUUAUAUUGUCUCCUUCAUCAUUCUAAUAUCCACGAUACACCUACCCUCAUUCCUACAACAUUAGAUAAUGACAUAUAAAUUAAAUAUGAUUUAUAUUCAGUCCUUUAUUAUUUUUAUUAUGACCAUAUUUGACUAAAUAUAUGAAUAACUAUAUUUCUUAAAAAUUAUUUGGCCAAUAUAAUAAAAUAAAUUGCCAAGUUAUAUUACUUGGCUUACAAUUUAAAUAUUGCAUGUACAUGCUUUGGGGUUGGCUGGCCUUUAAAUUUACAAAACUAACUUUUAAGUUUUAAGAGUUUAAAUGCAUGGUAAAUACUACUAAUAUGCUAUGAAUAAAAUUUAUUAUCAUUAUAAUUCCACAAUUGUUAAGAAACUUUUAAAAUAAAAUAAAAUUAAAAGAUGAGUGGAUAUGGAUAUGGAUUUAGAUAUUAAGAUAGAUCCAAAUCUGCUCCAGAUCCGUCUUAGAUCCGCACAUCGAUAUCCAAAUCCGAUCCAAAUCUAUUUUAAACCGAUCCAAAUCCGAUCCGAUUGGAUUUGGAUCACGUGGAUCUUGGAUCAGAUCCAAUCCAUUGCCAUCCCUACUAAGAUAUGACUAGGCUCCACAUGUUAUAUAUUAAUUUGAUUAAGCCCAGCUAAUUGUUAAUUAUUAAUUUGAUUGCGGCUUUUUAUUUUACCCACAUUUUUUACGCGUGAAAUCUUUCUUAGUGAAAAACUACACGUAUUUGCAAAUAUUCGGAAUGGACAUUUUCGAAAAAACAAGUAAAAGAAAAUGACUAAAAAGUAAAAGAAAAUAGACACCCAAUUGUAAUUACGAGUACAAUAGAAGGAAUGCAACACAAUACCGAUUUUGCAGUCGCUGAAGCUUAUUCACCCUAUGAGGGCUGAUCAGGUGGGGGCCGUCGCUCUCCUUACACUCUUAUAGAGAGUUAUAGUCCAUGAUCUCAUUGAGAGAACCAGCCAAGUGGGCAAUCGCUCCACCUGAUCAAAAUUCUUCAUCUUAUAAUAAUACCUUGAGUAGGCCUUCAAUUUUUUUUUUCAAUUUUAAUCUUUAAAAGGUAGAAGAGGUGAAAAAGUUAAAUAAUAUUUUUGUCCUCCUAUAUAACAUUUUUUGAAAAUCACUCGUUCUUAAAACUUAAUUAAGAAAAUAUUAUAGAUUUUUAAGUUAGUGGCCCUUAAAAUUUAUUUGCAAGUAACAAUUAGAGAAAAGUCGUCAUGCCCAAAUGACUUACUAAAAGUCUGCAACUCGUCAUGACCAAACAUCUUCCGAGUGUCAAAUACGGCAUGCGCAGAUGCACUAAAAACAAAGGCCAGCUAUGAUAAUCUUUGUAGUAUUAAUAAUUUCAGACGCGUCGUUCGUUGCCUGUGACUUUUCAUAUGCAAAAGCGGAGUCAGUGUUACUUGCAUUCACUGUCACCUUAUUAAUAAUUUCAGACACAUCGUUGGUUGCCUGUGAUUUUCAUAUUCAAAAGCACAGUCAGAAUUACAAUUUACAUUUGGAAUUGAGUGCCAUCUAUUUAUUCCAGCUAAAUCUAAAAUGAUGUUGCAGUAUUGCACUGAUUUUUUAGUCACAGCGUUUCUCUAUGAAUUCCUUAAACUUUAGACCCAUCAUAGAAUAAUUAUUUUCUUAAAGACCAAAUUAACAUAAUUCUUAAAUCAUUUAUAAAACAACAUUUAUCAGAUAACAGAUUGUACAUGAAUAAAUUUACCUUGAACCGUAGCAAACAAACAAGAAUCUCAACAACAUCAAUAUCAUAAUCCCUUCUGACCUUAACAGUAAUUUUAUUCGUCCUUAAUUCAUAGGUAUAAGUAUCCCAAUAUAUACUUGAUGUCAACCUUUACAAUUCUUUACAGAAUUGCAGCAGACCAAAUUUGUAUGCAAAACUGAAAUCAUACAGUAAUUGAAUACAGUGAAAAUAGACAUGAUGGGAAUUAGUAUAUAUAAAUAUCUUAAUAAUUUAAAAGUUUCUUAAACUGAUUUUACAUAUCUGAAAAAUUAUAGAAAUCGGAACUGCUGCAGAAAUCAUAAUUUUCCAGCGAAUGUGUUACAACUUCAGAAACUCAUAAGAAAUUAAAUUCUUGGGAUCACAAAAUAAUUCAUCAAUUUAAGAGAUUCAGCAGUACUUUUAUUACAUCAAUUCUUCAAACAAUCACCAAUCUAACAUUCAUCAAAAUUAAGUCAUAAAAGUCAUGUGGUUUAUAAAAAGAAUUACCUGAAAAAGAUUAGCCUUCCCCUUUCAAAAGCAACGAGAAACUCCAAAAACUCUUCUUCCAUUGCCUAUUCAAACAUGAAAAAAAAAAAUUAGUAUCUCUUCUUUAAACGCGCGAUGAGUGUGCUCUGUUUUCUCUGUUCUUUUUCUUUUUUAGAUUUCGAAAACGUAAAGAGUGUUGGAGUCUUUAUUUUCUAAAAACAAGACUUUUCCAUGUAUUCAGUUAAAUUAAAUUAUGUCCUAAUGCUAUGUCAGUUCCAUCAUUAGCAUUUUUUUUUUCCUUUUAACACCAACAUUAGCGUAUGUUAAGUAUCAUAAUCCAUAGUUGGACAAUUUGAAAUCUCUUCGUGUAGUUGACUGGCAACAACUAUAUUGGCAUUUAGACAUAAUGUACUGCAACCAUAUUGACAUGUUCAAAUGUUCUCACUAUUGUAUUGGUGUGUCGAUAUUAUCUCUAUCAGUCCUAUAGAUCCAAAAAUAAUCUAAAUUUACAAUUUAACUUAAAAUAAAAUAAUUGGUAGAAAACAAUUAUGGUUCAUUUACUUAUCAGUAAUUAAAAUAGACUGAAAUUAGAAUGAGUUGUAUUGACGUUGAUGUGUUUCUGUUGUCCUCGAAUCGGAAUGAAUUAUUUUAACUUACUAAAAUACCCUUUGUUUGUUAUUCUAAUUAUUAUUAUUUAAUAUUUAUUAUAAUAUUUGUCAUAUUAUUAAAAAGAAAUAAUAAUGAUGAUAAUAUUAUCAUUAUUGUUUGUUAUAUUAUUAUUAUUCAAAAAAAUUGUUGUUAAUAACUAUAAUAACUUUAUUUCAAUAAUAAAAAUGAUAAAAUUAAUAAUAACAAACAUGACAACAACAAUAAUUAUUUAUUAUGCCAAAAAAUAACAAUAAUGAUAAGAAUAAUAAUCAUCAUCAUUUUUUUCCCAAAGAAGCAUUAUCAUCAUCAUUUCAAAAAAAAAAAUCAUCAUCAUCAGCAUUUUUGUAGUGGCUGCCUAUCGGCUGCUGCUUUCAUGUGAGAUUGACUUGCGACGCUUCAACUACUAUUAUUUCUGGCAAUGUCAGGUGUUGUUGUUUCAAUCUGGGGAGAAGCUGUUUCGGUGAGCUAACAAUGGGAGGUGUUGCUGCUCGAUGCGAGGUCCAUGGCCAGCUGUCUUGUUUUACACCCAGCUCUUGUAGGAAAUUAUUCAUCCACAAUAUUUCUUUGUAACCUUCAAUAAUUGUAAUAUCAUUUGCUUCCGUGGUAGAAAAGACAACUCAUUACUAAAGUCUAGAUUGCGAUGAGACUGCCUUCCCUACAAAAGUGAGCAAAUAUCCUCAUAGGAAUCUUUCAGAAUCAACAUCUCUUGCCAUAUCUGUUAAGAAUAACAUAUGCUGAGUCAGCUACUGAGUCAUCAAGCCACGCUGGAAGUCAGUUUUGCAGUUAGUUAGAGAGCUUAUCAGCUUCUCUCCAAAAGUUUGUUAUGUGUAUUAGAAUAUGUGCUCACGAGUUUUGUGAGUUUGUAACCUUGAAAAGAUUCUCACACUACUAUAAAUUGUAUUGUGACUCAAUUAAUAAAAGUUGUUGAAGCUUUGCAUUUUCUCUCAGUCAAAAUUUUCUCUCUAUUUUUCUAAGUAACCAAACAAAAUCUACAGAGCAUUUUGUAUUUUAACUUGGUAUCAGAGCUUGAAUCCAAUGGCCUUAAUCGGUUCCAAUCAACAGUCGAGCAACACUUCCAUAACUUCUUUCACCUUCACAAAUCCAAUUAAGCUUGAUCGUGCAAACUAUACGAUCUGGAAACAGCAAGUACUUUCUUCAAUUCGUGGCAAUGGUCUUGAAGGCUAUAUUGAUGGAUCAAGGAUCUGUCCUAGUCAAUUUCUUUCUCCAGAGGCUAGAUCUGAAGGUUCUUCUUCUUCUAACAUCGAAGGUCAAGAGAAUCCAGAGUAUGCAGCCUGGAGACGUCAAGAUCAGCUCCUGCUCAGCUGGAUUCUGUCGUCCAUGAAUGUAGAUAUUCUCAGUCUUGUGGUAAGCUCUAAGACUUCUUUUGAGUUGUGGAAAAAUCUAGAAAAACAAUUUGGAUAUGAAUUUAUGGCUAAGAAGGUUCAUCUGAAAAUGCUUUUGAGUAACCUGCGAAAAGGAUCUCUAACCAUGUCUGAGUAUUUUACAAAGCUUAAGUCAGUUACAGAUGGUCUUGCUUUAGUUGGUAGCCCUGUGCAUGAUUUGGAUUUAAUCACUCAUCUUAUUACUGGUCUAGAUCAGUCAUAUUAUCCUGUAGUAGUCUAUAUUGAGGCAAACAUGUUGAAAAUGGAUCUUAGUGAGGCUUAUGCUAUGCUUCUCACACAUGAGGCUAGACUUGAGAAUAAUAAGCUUCAUGAUAGUAAAGAAACCAAGAACAAUUAUGCAACAAAUGUAGCUCAGGUUGGAAAUUUUUCAAAGAAAGGUAAUAACAAUAAUCAAAACAACUGGAAGGAUGGAGGAAACAAUUGGAAUAAUAACUCUGGUGGAAGAGGUGGUUACCAAGGGUUCAAUCCAGGAAGAGGAAACUGGAAUAAUAAUAAUUUCAGAGGUGUUGCUGGUGGAUUUAACAGUGGAUUUCCUGGUCUCGUGGCUUCAAUAACAAUUAUGGCAGAGGUGGUUUCAACUCAGGCCAAAAUUUGGUGGUUGUUGAAGCCAACAAAAAUAAAUUCCUACUCUAAAUAAAUUGUGUAUAGUGAUUGAGCAGGGUCGUGUCCACAGAGAUCGGUAAUUAUUUAAAUCCUUUUGAAACGUAAAACGCAAAAUGGGGGAAUUGUUGACAAUAAUAAAAAUCAAAUUAAAGUAACAAGAAUGCAAAUUAAAGUUGUAAUUCAAAUUGGAGAAAGCUCUGGUUGAAGGAAUUAACUCAGCUUGAUUCGACUACUGAUCAUUGAUUCAAAUAUAGAUUAUUAUUACUCAUGAAUAGACCGGUUAUAGCUACUGAGACCCUCUAAUAGCCAAUCUCUCCUUAACUAGUCGAUAACCAAGGUACGACCGUUGGUUAUUUCCCUAAUCAAUAGACAACCCUAGAUACGAUCAUAGAAUUUAAUCAAUUGACAGCCUGAAAAACCAGAGAGACCCAAAUCCUAAUCAACACAUAUGAUGAUUCAUUUAAAUUAGAUUGUUUAUUCUCACAACACAACUCUCUGCUAUGUUAUUUGUCACAAGCAUUAAAUUCUUCAUACGAUGAAUCCUUUAAUUGACAAUAGAUUAAGUUGAUAAUUAAAUAGUGGCCAAUUACCUAAUUAACAAACAUAAUCAUGAAACUAAUUCAGAGAAUAAACAAAUACCCAAAAAGCAAUAAAACAAUUAAAGCACAAGAAAGAUCUCAUAGUAGUGAUGAAUCAAAGCUUCAUUAACCUUCAACCAGAAAAAUAAGUUUAGUUCUUCAUAGAGAGAAGAGAAAAAUUAAAUCUAGGGUUUCUUUCUUUUUUUUUUUUCCAAUCCAAAAAAUCCCCCUUUUUCACAAUAGAUUCCUCCCUUAAAUACUCUCUCUCUCUUCUCCUCUAGAAUUUUAUUUAAAAUAAAAUACUAAUAUCUGAAAUAUUAAAUUCGUAAUUACAAAAAUAACCAAAAAUACAAAACACGUUAAACUAAAAACUGCAGGUCCGCAGUUGACAGCACGCGCCCACGCCUUAUCAAUAAAGUUCUUCUGACGCUCAUAAUUUCUCCAAGAGAACAAUCAUCCUUAAACAUCAUCUUAUAGCUCAAUUUUAUCACCAACCAAUAGAAUUGCACCUACAAAAGUAAAUCACUAUUAUUAAGUGCAAAACAUCGAUAUUAAAAGAAGUAAACAAUGCAAAACUAGUGCAUAAAUUGCACUCUAACAGAGGUGCUGGAAAGAAUUUUGCUCAGGGAACUGGUGCUGCUUGUCAGAUAUGCUUCAGGUUUAAUCACACAGCAGCUGAUUGCAGAAACAGGUUCAACAGAAAUUUUAUCCCAAAUUUUCCAGCUCCAGCUCCAAAUUACUUCUCUAAUCAGCACCAAGGACCAAGAGCAGCCUUCAUAACAACAUCUGAAGGAGCUGCUGAUCAGGGAUGGUUUCUGGAUAGUGGUGCAACUCACCACUUAACCAACACAGUUCAGAAUCUGAGUGAUGGUAAGAUCUAUUUUGACUCAAACUUACUUACUGUUGGUAAUGGCCAAGGUUUUAGAAUUACUCACAUAGGUUAUACACAACUUCACACUUCUUUUGGCACCUGCUUACAACUACAGAAUAUUUUGUGUGUUCCUCAAAUUACCAAGAACCUCAUUAGUAUUUCCAAACUCCUCACUGAUAAUGAUAUAAUCAUUGAAUUUUUCUCUGAUGUUUGCUUUCUAAAGGACAAGGUGAAGGGCACUCUGUUGGCUUAGGGGAUUGCUAGAGAUGGCCUAUACAAGCUACUGUCAAAAAAGGAAUCUCUCUCUUCUUCCACUUCUGUUCUGCCAGUGUCUCAUCCUAGUUCUAUGAUGUCAACUCUUUCCUGCAAUAAUGUAAUUACUUCUGUUCAAAGUUCAAAUAAUGACUUCUGUUUUAAGUUUACAUUUCCUGUAAGCUUUCAAACUUCAAUUUCUGUGUCAGCAAAUAUAUUGCACAAUAGACUUGGUCAUCCAAGUAAGCAUGUCAUACAAACUAUUCUCAGAAACAAUUGUUUAAUGUCAGCCAAUGUUAAUAAAUCAAAUUUUCUUUUCUGUGAUGCCUGUCAACUUGGAAAGUUACAUCAAUUACACUUUCCCGCUACUAAAAUCAAAACAAAAUAUCCCUUAGAAUUAAUACACACAUACUUAUGGGGACCAGCUCCAGUUUUAUCACUAGAUGGUUAUAGAUACUAUAUUUCCUUUGUUGAUGACUUCACCCGAUAUUGUUGGAUCUUUCCCUUAGUUUUAAAAUCUGAUGCCCUUACUACUUUCAAAAACUUCAAGAGCUUAGUUGAGAAACAAUUCAAUCUGCCCAUCAGAAUUUUACAGUCUGAUAUGGGAGGUGAAUUCAAAGCUUUUCAGUCAUUUCUUCAACAAUAAGGUAUCCAAGCUAGAUUUAGUUGUCCCUAUACUCACCAUCAAAAUGGUGUUGUUGAGAGAAAACAUAGACACUUAGUAGAAACUGGAUUAACACUCCUUGCUCAAGCAAAAAUGCCUAUUUCUUUCUGGUGGGAGGCUUUCCAUACAACCUCUUAUCUCAUUAAUAGAAUGCCUACCACUACACUGAACAACUUAUCUCCCUAUCAAAAGCUUCAUAAUCAGCCACCAAACUAUCAACUUCUCAGAGUUUUUGGUUGUGCUUGCUAUCCUUUUCCCAGGCCUUAUAAUGACCACAAGCUUGAUUUUCAUUCCCAAAAAUGCUUGUUUUUAGGUUACAGCCCUCUUCACAAAGGAUAUAAGUGUCUAACAAAGUCAAGCAAAGUAUAUGUUGCUGUUCAUAUUAUUUUUAAUGAGUCUGAUUUUCCCUAUUCAGAGUUGUUCGCUUCAUCUGAAUCUUCUUCCAAUUCUCUGUCAUCAUACUCUCCAUCUAUUUGUAUCCUCAAUGACAGUGGCUUGCAUCAGUCAUCAGCUAUAUCUCCUGCUUUAGCAGAGUUACCAACUCACAUUCACCUCAACAUCCUCACCAAGCCCCACACUCUCCUUGUCCCUCUCCAGUCUCAAAUUCCUACGGCUCAUCAUCACCACAUUCUUCAUCACAUAAUGCUUUAGCCAAUCCCUCUGAUGAAUUACAACCAUCAUCUCAACCUGUCAUUUCAACUCAUCAGAUGGUUACUCGAGCCAAAUCUAGUAUUUUUAAACCAAAGACCUACCUUACAGCUACCGAAGACCUUGAACCAGUGAGUGUUAAAGCAGCCCUGAUUGAUACAAAGUGGAAAAUGGCUAUGCAAGAAGAGUAUAAUGCUUUGCAGAAGAAUGACACCUGGACAUUAGUUCCAGCUGAAACCGCUACAAAACUCGUUGGAAAUAAGUGGGUUUUUAGAGUUAAAUAUAACCCAGAUGGUAGCAUUUCCAAGUAUAAGGCUCGGUUGGUUGCAAAAGGUUUUCAUCAAACUUAUGGAGUAGAUUUCUUUGAAACCUUUAGUCUAGUUGUUAAACCCUACACUGUUCGUAUUGUUCUCAGCUUAGCAGUCAUGCAUUGUUGGCCAGUUCGGCAAUUGGAUGUUAACAAUGCCUUUCUUAAUGGCAUGCUUACUGAAAAUGUGUUUAUGCCUCAGCCAGAAGGCUUUAUCAGCUCUCAGUUUCUCAAUCAUGUCUGCAAAUUACAAAAAGCCAUUUAUGGUCUUAAGCAGGCUCCAAGGGCUUUGUAUGAUAGAUUGAAAGGGUCUUUAGUUCGGUGGGGUUUCAGAUCUUCAAAGUCAGAUACUUCACUGUUUUUCAAGCAUAUUGGCAAUAAUGUUCUCAUCAUCCUUGUUUAUGUAGAUGAUAUCCUGAUAACAGGCUCUAGUGCUGUUUAUAUUUCAGAGGUUAUCAGUCUACUUAGCUCAGAAUUUGCACUUAAAGAUUUAGGAGAUUUUAACUACUUUCUUGGGGUAGAAGUGACUCCAUCUGCUGAAGGAUUACAUCUAUCUCAAACUAAGUAUGUUGGUGACAUCUUAAGAAAAGCUCAUAUGCUUGAGAGUAAAGGCUGCAAUACACCUAUCAGUAUUGUUGAUAAGUUGCAGAAGGACAAAGGUUGCUCAUUUACAAAUCCCUCACUUUACAAAAGCAUCAUUGGUUCUCUGCAGUAUCUGACACUGACCAGACCAGAUAUCGCAUUCACUGUAAACAAAUUGAGUCAGUUUUUAGCUGCUCCAACUAUCUUGCAUUGGCAGGCUUGCAAGAGGGUAUUACGAUAUCUACAAAGCACAACACAUUUUGGACUGCAGUUCUUCAAGUCAGGUCCUCCAAGUCUCAUAGCAUAUUCUGAUGCAGAUUGGGGGUCUGAUCCAGAUGAUAGAAGAUCUGUUGGAGGGUAUUGUGUUUAUCUUGGAUCCAAUCUUGUGUCUUGGUCAUCUAAGAAACAGAACAUUGUUUCCAGGUCAUCUGCUGAAUCUGAGUAUAGAGCUUUGGCCUUAGCUACAUCUGAGGUUUUGUGGAUUACAUAUCUGUUGAAAGAGCUCAAAGUAUCACUUCCCAAACCUCUUGUUCUUUACUGUGACAACAACAGUGCAGAAGCUUUGGCUAGCAAUCCUAAGUAUCAUUCCAGAACUAAACAUAUAGAACUGGAUUUACAUUUUGUCAGAGAACACAUUGCCAACAAGGAUCUCUUCAUUGAACAUGUGUCUAGUUCUGAUAAGUUAGCUGAUGUGCUUACCAAACCUCUGAGUUUUGAUAAUUUUGCCUAUAUGCGAACUAAGCUCAAUGUCUGCCCACGACCUUGAGCUUACGGGGGCAUGUUAAGAAUAACAUAUGCUGAGUCAGCUGCUGAGUCAUCAAGCCACGCUGGAAGUCAGUUUUGCAGUUAGUUAGAGAGCUUAUCAGCUUCUCUCCAAAAGUUUGUUAUGUGUAUUAGAAUCUGUGCUCAUGAGUUUUGUGAGUUUGUAACCUUGAAAAGAUUCUCACACUACUAUAAAUUGUAUUGUGACUCAAUUAAUAAAAGUUGUUGAAGCGUUGCAUUUUCUCUCAGUCAAAAUUUUCUCUCUGUUUUUCUAAGUAACCAAACAAAAUCUACAGAGCAUUUUGUAUUUUAACUAUAUCUACACACUUAUAACACAAGUUUGUCACCACUAAAAUAUAAACAUGUUCUGUAAAUGCCUCUAAGAUAUCUGAGAAUUCAUUUCACUACUGUCCAGUGCUCUUUGUCCAGAUUGGAGAGAAACCGACUGACUACACUAACUGCGUAAACAAUACCUGGUCUUGUACAAAUCACGGCGUACACCAAACUGCCAACUGCUGAAGCAUAAGGAACUCCUCUCACGGAGAAAUGGGUUUUGCUCUUGAGAUCUUUGGGAACAUGAAGAAUAAAGAUGUAAUUUCUUGGACUGACAUUGUUUCGGGGUAUAUAAAUAGAGGACAAGUGGAUAUAGCUCGACAGUAUUUUGCUCAGAUACCAGAACGAGAUUAUGUCUUAUAGACUGCCAUGAUUGAUGGGUACCUUCGAGUGAAUAGGUUCAGAGAGGCUUUGACACUUUUCCGGGAGAUGCAAACUUCAAAUAUAAGGCCAGACGAGUUUACCAUUGUUAGGAUUCUUACAGUUUGUGCGAAUCUGGGGGCACUAGAACCGGGAGAAUGGAUAAAGACUUACAUUGACAAAAACAAGGUCAAGAAUGAUAUAUUUGUGGGGAAUGCUUUGAUAGACAUGUACUGUAAAUGCGGAGAUGUUGAGAAAGCUCAAAGGGUACUCAGGAAGAUGCUUCGAAAGGACAAAUUCACAUGGACGGCCAUGAUUGUUGGCCUUGCCAUCAGUGACCCAUUUCCUACGAUCAGACCGGAUAAGGUAACUUAUGUUGGUGUUCUGUCUGCCUGUACUCACAAUGGUAACGAAACUUUUGUGAUAAAUAGUUGCGACUUAAGGUGAGAAUUGGAGGAAACGAAAUAGACUGAAGUUGUUCAAUCAUCGGUGGUUGCUAUUUGAUUUUAAGUUGUUCAAUCAUCGGUCAUCUCUAUUUGGUUUUCUCCAAUAUCUCAUCUCCAGUUUUGACUCAGAUUCUGUCUUACCACUAGUAAUUAAAAGUGAGGAGGCAGCAGUCAAUGCUAUUUCGGCUUGGCCCAAAAUUUCACCAGUUUGUUAGUGUUCUGCAGCUCUUGCUGCUUUCCUAGAGAUUCUGCAUCUUUUGCAAUUUGAUUGAUUAAAAAAAAAAAAAUUAGUGGCCAUUUAGAAUGAAGGAGAGAUUUGUGUGAAUGGUAUAGGUGAAAAAUUGGAUGAAAAUAAACAGGCAACCGUCCGUAUAAAACAACAAUAACAAUAUACAAAAAGAUAAGUAGACACUUCUGUAAUUCACGAAAGGAAAUUUAUGGUUGUUUCUGAAAAACAUACAUAUUAAUUUCACUUAUACUCUAAGGUGGGAUAGAUGUCAACUAGCUAUGCUAAUGAUACCUUGCCAUCAUGACUGGACUUGUGAGGAAUUUGGAAACAUGUAUGAUGAUUGUUACUUACACAAUUGUAGAAAGAAAUGCUGAGGUGGCUUGAACCAGAUGGUGAAAUCGUCUAACACACUUAAUUGUUAGAUGUGUUUUGGAUAUUCACAGUUAGGUUGAAAUUUGUAGUUUUCACUUGAAAGAAUUCAGUUAAAAAUUGAUUGGUAGAAUUGUAAAAUAGUCUAAAUUUUUAGUUCAAACCCAUUGCAUAUUUAAGAACAUCUUAAAUGAAUUGCUUAUUGCUAUCAUCAUCAUUAUUGUCCAUAUAAUAAUAAUAAUAAUAAUAAUAAUAAUAAUAAUAAUAAUAAUAAUCAAUAGAAAUGUUAUCUUAUCCACUAUUUUAUAUAUGUUUCCACUAAAAUCUAUUUAAUUAUUCUUUAUUUUUUUUCAACUGUUGCAUGUUAGAUUUAUUCGAUUUCCUAAGUUAUAUCAAUAGAAAUGUUAUCUUAUCCAUAAAAAGUUAGAUCUAACAAUUAUGAAAAUUACUAUAGUGCUGCUUUGAAUAAUUUUUUAAAAAUACCACAAGUAAAUAAUAAUUAGUUUAAAUAGUGGAGACUAAAAAGCAUUCACCCUUAUUUUUUAUCUGUUAUUAGUUUUUUUUAAUCUGUUAUACAUUUGAAACAUUCCAUUAAUUGCCAAUUAUGUAAGCGAGAUAGUAAUUAAUUUUUUUUAUUUAAAAAAAGUGAAAAUUAAUCCUAUGCAAUGUGAAUAAAUUUCUUUCCUUUUUCCUUCACUCUUUUUAUUUGAUAAUUAAGUUUCAAUCUAUGUACGCAAAAUUUCUGCAACAGCUGCAAAACAUAAAAAUAUAUGAUUGUUAAGGGAAACACGCAGAAGUUCAUCACUUCAAUGUUCAGUAUUUCCAAUUUUGGCAUUAAGCUCUUACGAAUAUAUUCCACUUAGAAAGCAAAAUAUUAGAAUUGUGAUUUUAAUUCAUUCAUCAUAUCUCAUUUCAAUCCCAAAAUAUUCAAGUGGAUCCAAGUUACCAUAAGGCUUCAGAGGCUCGAGCCUUAGCCAGAGAUGGUUAAUUGAUAGACUAGGUAAGAGAAACCAAGGUUGAAGUAUGUAGAAAUGUUAUUUCAUUUAUUUUUAUUUAUGAUUUUUUGUAAAAUGUAAGAAAUAUGUAGAAAUGUUGCCAGCAAUGAUUUUGGAACUUUGCAUAAAAUUUUUAUCAUUAUUGUUUUUGGUAUUAAGAAAUCCGAGGCGGUGAUUAGACGUAUGUUGCAACAAUUAAGAAAUUUCUUAUUGGAGAUAAUUUGGUAGGUUGCAACAAUUAGAGAAUCAUUUUCCUGUCAGUUAAUCAAUCAAUAAUAAAUUUCAAAUUGCAGAAAAUAAAAUAAUACUGUCGCACUUAGAAUCAUCUUUUCUAUCUCUUUCAAUUGUGACAAUCAUUUGUAACAAAUAAAUCAAUUUGAUGCACAUCAUUUCCCCAAUUCAAAGUUCAAGUCACUGCUCAAUUGCAGAGUAGUUAGUAGACAUGCAUGCAUGUUUAAUUAAGUACUGCAUUGUAGUAUCGAAAAUCAUAACAUCUCACCAAGCCCGGAAGCAUAGCUCUUUAUCUUGUAAAUGUUGAAAUCUUAUGCAAACUAUGGGAACCAUGAGCUCACUCUCAGUGUCACUUGAUUCCAUUUUCUGUUCUUGCCUUGAUUUCGAUGUUGGGAAUGUGACGUCUGAGUCUAAGGUUGAAGAUAAUCUCGAUGCCUUGCGGACUGCAAUGGAAAUAAAAUAUUUGUGUGUUGAGAAAUGAUGAAAUGAUGCAAUGGAAAUAAAAUCUCAAUCUCUUGAGAAAUGAUGUGAUAAGAAGAGUUACUGUUGCUGAAGGACAACAUCAAAUGCAACGAAUGGAUCGAGUGCAGGGCUGGCUUUCAAGGGUAAAAUCUGUGGAAAAUAAAGCUGAUGAUUUGAUGAGACACAGCUCUCAAGAGAUUGAGAAGUUAUGCCUUGGAGGCUUCUGUUCCAGGAACUGCAAAUGAAGCUACAGCCGUGGGAUAGAAUUUGCAACAAUGCUACGAUUGUGGAGAGUUUAAUGGGUGAAGGAUCAUUUGAAUAGGUGGCUGAGAGGGUGCCAGAAGAUGCAGCAGAGGAGAUAAAUUGUGAGCCAACAAUAGUGGGCAUGUUGUCGACUUUUGAGAAAGCCUGGAGAUGCCUUGAAGAAGAAUCAGUUGGAAUUAUUGGCCUAUAUGUCAAUGGGGGAGUUGGAAAAUAUUUACUCAAAUCAACAACAAGUUCCUUGAUAGUCCAAAUAAUUUUGAUGUUGCGAUCUGGGUAAUGGUCUGCCAAGAUUUGCAACCCCAGAAGUUUCGGGAAAAGAUUGGGAAAAAGAAAGUCUUGUUCGAUGAGUACCGGAUUGAACUAUAUUAGAUUAUAUUUAAAUAAUAUUAAAUAGUAUUUAAGUUGGUAUUCUAAUAUAAAUAUCAAUUAUCCAUGAAAUUUUAUAAUCAUAAUUAAAAUAAAUUUAAAAAGCAAUUACUAGGAAAAUUAAAUAUAUUGCAAAAAGUUAUUGGGUAGUCAUAAUAUAAUAGGCAAAUAAAAUUAAAUAAAACAAAUUACAUAUUUAAUUAUAUUUAUCAAAUAUUUAAAAAUAUUAUAUAAAAUAUUAUAUAAAAUCAAUUAAUUAAUGAUAUUAUUAAUUUUCAUGAUUAUUUUUAAUAUUAUAUUACUGAUUAUUAAAUUUAAUACAAUCAAAUAAUGCAAUAAAUAAUUAAACAUUCAAUUUUAUUGAUUAAUUAUUAAAUAUACAAGUAAUGAAAAUUUUAUCUCAAGAGUUGGUAGAAGCGAAAGUACUAAUUUAAUUAGAUCAUAGAUAAUAAAUAAAAAUAAAUUUUAAGUAAAUCAUAAUAAAAAAUUAAUUAAUUAAUUCAAUCAAUCAAUAUUAGGUGUAAAUAAAAAAAUGAUAUAAAUAAAAAUCUCAUAAAUGUACAACUUUUAUCUUUAAUCUUAUCCUAAAAGAACAAAAAGCAGAAUAUAUAUUGAAGUGUUUUUCACACCUUUUCAUUAACUGGAAUGCAUGUAUUUAUAUACAUCAUUUGUAACUAAUAAAGAGAAAAUAAAGGAAACUAUACAUGAGAGUAUCAAGGAGAAUAAUGGAAGAGAUUGUUGUCCGUAACUUGUGGAGAGUAUCAUGGAGCUUGAGAUUAUCUGAUAUGCCCCCGCAAGAGGGUGUUGCCAUUGGCGACACCCAUCUUGAACCUUAAUUCAGAAAAUGGUCGCUUAGAGAGGGGCUUGGUUAGGCUAUCAGCAAGUUGAUCUGCUGUAGAUACAUAAGAUACGCGCAAUAGCCCUUUGUUGACCCAAUCACGAACAAAAUGAUAAGCAAGAUCAAUGUGUUUUACCCUUGAAUGAAAGACUGGAUUGCGACACAAAUAGGUAGUUCCAAUAUUAUCACAAUAGAUGGUAGGAGUUUGACUCAAUUGAAGGCCAAGUUCUUGAAGUAGAUUCUGAACCCAUCGAACUUCAGAGGCUGCAUUUGCGACAGCCAAGUACUCAGCUUCUGUUGUGGAACGAGCUAUUGAUUUUUGUUUGUUCGAGCGCCAUGAGAUAGGAUUGCCGCCUAGAUAAAGCAUAUAGGCUGAUGUAGAAGUAAUGAAAAUUUAAUCUCAAGAGUUGGUAGAAGCGAAAGUACUAAUUUAAUUAGAUCAUAGAUAAUAAAUAAAAAUAAAUUUUAAGUAAAUCAUAAUAAAAAAAUUAAUUAAUUGAUUCAUCAAUCAAUAUUAGGUGUAAAUAAAAAAAAUGAUACAAAUAAAAAUCUCAUAAAUGGACAACUUUUAUUUUUAAUCUUAUCCCAACUAAACACAUGUGUAAAUUAGGAUUAUUAAUUCCAUAAUUUUCGGAUUAAAUUCAAAUUUAUUCCCCCUUAAUCCAAUUCAACUAAACUUGUCAAACAUGGGAUAAAAAUUUAAUUAUAAAAUUAGUCCAAUUCCAUACUUAAUCCUAGCAUCCAAAUAUAGCUCAAGUUCUUUGCUUAAAGAAGCUACCAAAUUUGAAGAGCGUUUACGGGAAGGCCUUGCGUUUCCCAGAUGUAUGCAGAAUUUUUGUAUCUAAAUGCCCAGAACUUAAGAAGCUGACGCUGGAUUUUGAAAGGGCGGGCCAAGGUAAAAUUCUUAUCAAAUGAAAGGAAAAUCGAUGGAAACAACUUCAAUGGGAGGAUCAAGCAACUCAGGAUGCAUUGCUUCUGUUUUUCAAAUCAACUGACAAGUGAUUGAAGGGGGCAUCAUCAGCCUGGAUGGGGAGAUCCUGGAGCAGAUCAGCAGGGUUUGAAUCUGCAUCAUCAACAUCAUCAGGAUCUCUAUUUCUAUUGCUGGUCGUAAUGCCUGCCGACUGUUGCUUGAAAAAGUGAUUAAGUGAGCCAGUUUUUUGUUUAUUAAAUUUUGUUUUGUAGAGACAGUCACAAAGUAUUUUUCUUAGUUGUUCUAUAUGAGAGUGAUGUGAACCAAUUUUUCAAUUAUAUAUUCUGUGGGAAAUUGCAAGUAUUUUUAAAAUAUGAUCGUUAUUAAAGGAAACAAAGGAAUCAACACAGCAUACUGAACCUCAGCAGUAUGAAGCUAAUGAUUAAACUCCUCACACAAUUCAUAACAUGCAAAACCAUUCACAAAAUCAUCCACAGCAACCAUAAUUGGCGUCCAAUAGAAAUUUACAAGAAUUACUUUUCUGUUCAUGCAAUCGGCGUCUGAACGCGGCUGAUCGGUCACCGGUGUUGGCGUUUACUGUGAUUAGACAAAUUGUAGCACUUCAAAAAUAACUUCUAUAGGGGUAAUUUCGAUUUCACAUAAUUAAUUUUAUUUACAAUAUUUUAUUCCUGCAAGGUCAACUGAGAUUCUUUCCACCGGGCACACCCUUCAUGUUCUUUUAUUUUCUGUCUUUUAUUAGCCGUUGGAUUUUACUACUCUUAUAUCCAACGGCUUGCCACAACAAGACAAAUGAGGUGGUACCUUUCAACCGCUGAAAGGUAGUUUUGGCCCCAAGUGAAAGAGGGAAAUAGGGAAUUGAUGCUAUAUUUUAUAUUUUCUAUUUUACUACUCUUGUAUCCACCGGCCUUUCUUAUAUUUUAUUGCAAAUUGAUGCUAACAAGAAAAAGCUAGAUCAUAUUCCACAGAAAAGUGAGAAAACAACCAGAUGGAUUCUUUUAUUAAACUACAAAUUAAAAUGGUAUCACAAAUUCUCAUCAAUUUAUUUAAAUAUAUUCUUUUAACCCUCUUUUUAAUUUCACAAAUUCUCAUCAAUUUAUUUAAAUAUAUUCUUUUAACCGGAAACAAUUGAUAUCACUUAUUAAGAAUAACAAAAUUUACUAUUUAAAAAUGAAGAUCAAUAAAUUUUUAUCAAUCAUGAAAGUUAAUGAGUGUCAAGAAAUUAAUUUUUGCUAAACAUACAAGCUAAUAACUAUUAAAAAAAUCUUAUAUUAUAGAGAUCAUAUAUAUUAAGAAAGACCAAAAAAAAAAUUAAAAAAAUAGUUAAAUUCAGUGUAUAGUUUAUAGGAUGUGAGAGUGGUAAAAGAAUAUAUAAUUGUAAAAUAGAGAAAAAGAAAAAGAGAUUAGUAGAGAAUAAUUUUGAGAUUUUUUAAUUUUUAAUUUUUAAUAAUAAAUUUAUUUUAAAAAAUAGGUGUGGAGAAAAAUUUGAUGGGUUCAAGCAAUUCCACCUAAUUUUAUAUUAUCAAUACGCAAAUGAAAGUACAAAAAUACCUCUAAUAGAGUGAAAUAAAGAGUUCUCUAAUCUCUAGGGUUUCUCAUUCCAAUUUUGAAAUUUCCCUACUUUAUUUUGAAUUAACCCUCUUUGUUACCAUUGAAUUGUAACAUUCAAAAUUUGAAUAUGUUUUUACAAAUAGAAGAUUAUUGGGACAAAAACAAUAAGAAAUAGAAAACCUAGUUGAAAAAGGAUAUUACAAAAAAAGAAAUUGCCAUUACCAUUCAAACAUUUACACAGUAAAGGCAUUAACAGCAUAAGGCGGCAAUAAAACUUACUCAUAAUUAGGGGUGGCAAAAAAGUCCGAGCCGGCUUAGGCCCGGCCAAGCCCAGUCUAGAUCCGUGGACUUAAAGUCCGACCCGUAAGGAUGUGGGCUUAGAUAUAGACCUAAAAAUUACAAAACCCACAUAUAUUAGACCUAAACAAGAACUUAGCAAAAAAACCCAAACUUUCUAAAUUUAUGAAUAAAAAAUAAAUUUAAUUUAAAUAAAAAAAAUUAAAAUAUUAAAUUAAUUGAAUUUUUUAUAUUAAUAUUUAUUAUUUUAUUAAAUUAUAUUGUUAAUAUUUAAUGUAUUUGACUAUUAUUCUAUUUAUAUAUUAUAUUAUUAUUUUUAAUUUAAAUAUUUUUCUUAAUUUAAAAAAUUUUUAUAAUUAAUUUAAAAAGUUCAGGCCCAGCCCGAGUUCGGUCCAUCCAAAUUUAACGGAUUUUUGAAGAACCUGAACUUCGUUUGAAUGAUAUGGGUCCGGCCCAAGCCCGCAAAUUGCCAUCCCGUGAUAAUAACAAACAGAUAUGGCCCAGCCCGAGUUCGGUCCAUCCAAAUUUAACGGAUUUUUGAAGAACCUGAACUUCGUUUGAAUGAUAUGGGUCCGGCCCAAGCCCGCAAAUUGCCAUCCCGUGAUAAUAACAAACAGAUAUAGAUAGAUCGAUGGAUGGCAUUUUUUAAAUGUACCUUAAAAACCAAAACAAAAGCAAAAAUAUUAAAAUAUUACACCAACUGCUAACUAAUUAAUCUAAUAAAACGCCUCGCUUAAUCAUUUCCAGUCCACUAAACACGCUGAACGGAUUCCAGCCUCUGAAGUCUCAUCUCAUUGUUAAAUUCAUUGAUGAAAGCUUCAACUCGCCGAUUCAACUCAUCUUGACUCAUCGAUUCCUCCCUCCUCAGCGACGUUCUGUCACUGAACGUCUCAGAUUUCCUCAGCUCACGUUUCGCCCAAGCCGUCGGAUCAUUCUCAUCAUUAUCACUACCACAGGCGAUGGUGAUGAUGUGGAAGGUGGAAGAAGCGGCGAUGGUGAUGAUGAUGAUGAUGAUGAUGAUGAUGAUGAAGUUGACUAUGAUGUAAUUGUACGGCGGCGACAGCCAGAACCUCAAAGAAAUGAAGAGGCUAGGGAUUGUCGAUACCGUGAAACAAAUGUACGGGAUUAUUGCUACCUUAAACAGCAUGAAAGUUGAAACAAACCCGGCUGACAAAAAUAACAACUUUGCUACCCGCGUUACUGUCUCUAAUCUGCUUGAUUUUGGGUCGAAAUUUUGAAAAAGAUCCCCCAUUUUUCAAUUUUCACACACAAUAAAGAAGGAAAAAGAAAGGUAGCUAGAUUUUUUUUUUGUUUUUCAACAAGGGAAGAAAUAAGAAAAGAACAUUAAAAGGAUUUUUCAGGCUUUGAUGGUCAUUAAAAUGAGACCCAGGAAACCAUUGAAGCUAAAAAAAAAACGAGAAGCCAUGUAUUUAUAUAUGCUGCUUUGCUUUACAAAAUCUGACUGGCAUCAGGGUGAAAAAAAAGUGCCAUUUGUUGGUACAGAGAGACAGAGGAGAGUAGAGAGGCAGAUGCAGGGGCAGGGGCGAAGUCAAGGGACCAUUGAAUGGGCAAGCGAGGUUUCAAUUUAUGUAACGAGGGACGAUUAAAGUUCUUGCAACUUUCCUGCCGUCUGAUGAAAUCUUGACCGUUCGAUGGUACAAUAAUGGUUAUAAUGAUCUUGAAAGUGUUGGAGAGAUAAGUUUGUACAGAUUAUGUACGCUAAAUAAAAUCACAUUUAAAAUGGUUUUUGAUUUUAUUCUAUUACAGAUUACUUUUAUUAAAUAAAUGAAGGUACAUUGAGUGAGUGAGUGAGUGACUUCACGAUUUUGCACUAACGCCGCUGUGUUAUCCUCCGCGGCACUUGUCCUCAUCAUUUGUAAUUGAAAAGCUGAUUUAAGAUUUUAGAAUAGUGCCUUUUGGAAAAAAAAUAUAUAUAUAUAUCAACGGCCGAUUGAGAUUUCUUUUUUGAAGAUUUAAAAUUAAUUUUUUAAAAAAUUAAAAAUUAAUUUUAAUAUUUUAUAAGUUUUAAAAAAAUUAUUUUUAAUAAAAUCACUUCAUAGUAGAUUCCGGAAAGUAGAUAUCUAUGCUUUUUAAAUUUUAAUUUUAAGAAUUAAUUUUUUACUUAAUAUAAUCCUUGCAUAUAUUAUAAAAUUUUAAAAUCAUCUUCAUUAAUUACAAAAUAAGAUCAUUAAUUUUAAGGAGAUUAUAAUCAUUAUCAAUUAUAGGGAGAUUAAAUGCUUAAAGUGACAAGUGCAAAACUAUUUAAAAAUAGUCAGUAAAAGUAUAGGUGGGCAAUUAGUUCAAUUCUAUUUGAAUCAACUAAAUUAAAUUAUAUCGUGUUUCAUAAAUUUUUAAAGCAACUGAUUUUUUGUUUGGUUUAGAUAAAAAUUAAACUAAACCGAAAAAUCAAACGGUUCAAAGAAAAAAAAGUUAAAAACAAAUUUUAUAAACUGAUCGGUUUCCGUUAGAUUCAAUUCCAAAUCUAAACAAACCAAUCCAAAGUGAAAAUAAACAUUUUUGUUGAAUGCACUUUUAAUUUGUUUGGAUACGUCUCGACCCUCCAGUCUCUUGAUUAAAGUUCAUUUAUUAGGGUCCGCUUGUAAUACAGCGUCUGUAUCUCAUACAGUCAAAUUUAAUAUUUUAUUAAGAAAAAGGGCAACCGUUAGAUAGAAGUAGAUACAUCCAAUGGUUAAUAUCUGUGAUUACUCAUUUUGGUGACCGGAUAUGCCAAUUAUUAUUUCAUCAAUUAACUUACCUAAAAAAUCAUAGCCGUUGGAUUGAGAUGCCUCUCUCUCCCUCAAAAUAACAGCCUUCGUAUUCUCUCUGCUAUUGUUUUGUCCUACAUCUAGAAUUUUGGAUGAAUGAACUUGGUAUUCAAGAACAUUCACCACCCAUCACAGCAAAGAGCAAAGAUAUAGUCGAAGGAGUGCCAUUUAUUCAGGCUUACUUGAUCUGUCAGUCUCGCUUCAAUUCGUCACUCAUUUUCUUGCGCUCAGCUUCAAUCUAUCACUCUCAGCUUCAGUUCGUCACUCAUAGCUUCAAUUUUUUCACUGUCGUGAAUCAUCUCUCUUGCUGUAUCUCUCUCUUAUGUCUUCCAAUAAUUUCGGUGAGCUCUCUCUCUAAUUUAAUAUAUGAUUAAAAAUCUUAUCAUCUUAUCAUGUCAUUUAAAUAUGCUUGAAGUUUCAAUUUAGUUUAUGAAUAUUACUUGAAAUUUUAGAUUCAAUAAUUUUAGUUUUUUUUUUCUCUAUCAUCAAUCAUAUAUUUUUUCUUGCUCUUUAACUUCUUAUCUUCAACUAAAUGUGACCUUACAUUUAUUUAGUGUAUGAUCAAUUUUUAAAUGCACAAUAAGCAUUGCAAAGUUGGCGUUAUGCAAAGGCUAUCACAAUGUGAGCGUUCAAUUGGACAGAGUGUCAUGAUCAUACAUCCUUGAACCCAAUAUUUAUUCCAAUAACAAAUGUAGAUACGUAAACUACUUUUUUUUUUUAAAUAAAAAUAAAAAACUUCAAUGAAUCAAUCAAUUAUUUUCUGAAAUGUUAUGCGAAUUGUGAUUGUGAGAUUAAAAAAAAAUAUCCAUGCAAAUCAAAUUGUAACCGCCCUCUCAAGAUAAACCAAGUAACACAAAGCAUCAUUAACUCUUUCUUGUUUCAGCCACAGUACUAUUUUUUGCUUGAUGAGAAUAUAUUUAAAUAGUAUUUAAGUUGGUAUUUUAAUAUAAAUAUCAAUUAUCCAUGAAAUUUUAUAAUCAUAAUUAAAAUAAAUUUAAAAAGCAAUUACUAGGAAAAUUAAAUAUAUUGCAAAAAGUCAUUGGGUAGUCAUAAUAUAAUAAGCAAAACAAAUUAAAUAUUUAAUUAUUUUUAUCAAAUAUUUAAAAAUAUUAUAUAAAAUCAAUUAAUUAAUGGUAUUAUUAAUUUUCAUGAUUAUUUUUAAUAUUAUAUUAGUGAUUAUUAAAUUUAAUACAAUCAAAUAAUGGAAUAAAUAAUUAAAUGUUUAAUUUUAUUGAUUAAUUAUUAAAUAUACAAGUAAUGAAAAUUUAAUCUCAAGAGUUGGUAGAAGCGAAAGUACUAAUUUAAUUAGAUUAUAGAUAAUAAAUAUAAAUAAAUUUUAGGUAAAUCAUAAUAAAAAAAUUAAUUAAUUGAUUCAAUCAAUCAAUAUUAGGUGUAAAUAAAAAAAUACAAAUAAAAAUCUCAUAAAUGUACAAUUUUUAUUUUUAAUUUUAUUCAAACUAAAUACAUGUGCAAAUUAAGAUUAUUACAUCCUUGAACCCAAUAUUUAUUCCAAUAACAAAUGUAGAUACGUAAACUACUGGGAAGCAGCACACGUGUCCUGAAGAGAGAAAAAAAUCGAGCAAAUGCAGACAAUGGGAGUUGGCUAAAAGUUGGAUCUGCAAUUUACAAAAUCUGUAACUUAUUAGCCAGCUCCCAAAUUGUGUAGUCUUUUUUCAAAUUGUACAGACAUUUAUAAAUUGGUGGCCCCUUGAAAAUUUAAUGCCAAGCAGAUAAAAGUCAUCAAGCACAGUCCUCAAUAGUUGUUUCGUGUAUAUUUAUAAAUUGGUGGCCCCUACAUCUUUAAUAAUUGGGAUUGAAUUACGGUAUAAUUGUAGAAUCAUGUCUCAAUUACAUUCAAUUGUUAGAUAUAUUUACGUUGGUAAAAUUUACUGAUAUCUAAUAAUUAAACGUAACUAUAACACAAUAUUAUAAUUACACCACAAAUUUUCUCUAAUAAUUAUUCCGAUACUUAUAAAUUGGUGGCCCCUUAGUAAUUUAACAGCAGCCUGCAAGUGUCAACUAAUGAAAAGUCAUCAUUCACAAUCUUCCAAGUGAAACAGGAAAUAUACAAAAAUUAAAACAUGUCAUUCUUUUUUUUUCAUUCCCUGUCAUGUAACUUACACCCAAAUACAUAAAUAAUAUAAAAUGAAUGGAGAGAUGCCAGGAGCAGAUCAGCAGGGUUUGAAUAUGACCUUUGGCGCUUGCUUUUUUUUUUUUUUGUGAUUUUUUUUUCAUUUUUUCCUUCCUGUCAUUUUAUCAUUUCUUUGGCUUUGUCUCUAUUGCGGGUGUUACUGCAUGCUUACUGUUUCUUGACAAAGUUUGCUAGCUUUUCCUUUUGUUUAUUAAAUAUUUUUAUCGUCACAAAGUAUUACUCGUUCUAUUUGACAGUGAUGUAAAUUAAUUUUUCAAUUUUAUAUUUUAUCGUCGAUGUGAAUUCAAUUUCAUUUGUCAUCAUGCACAAUCCUCAAUAAUUGUUUCGAUAUUUAUAAAUUGGUGGCCCCUACGUCCUCAAUAAUUGUUCCGAUACUUAUAAAUUGGUGGCCCCUUAAUAAUUGGUGUUUGAGGAAUUAAAUAGAGCGAUCAUGAUCUUUUCCAAAUGAAAGUGAGCAAAUGGUUGAGCAGGUCACCUUGAUCAGGUGGUAUGAGUUUGAUCAAAUCACCUCGACCAGGUACAAUGAGGUUGAGCAGAUCAUCUUGAUCAGGUGGUGUGAGCUUGAGCAGAUGACCAUGUGGUAUGAGCUUGAGCAAAUCACAUCGACUAGGUGCUAUGAGGUGGAGCAGAUCACCUCGACUAGGUACUAUGAGGUGGAGCAGAUCACCUCGACCAGGUGCUAUGAGCUCGAGCAGAUCACUUCGACCAUGUGCUAUGAGCUUGACCAGAUCACCUCGACCAGGUGGUCUAAACUUGAGCAGAUCACCUCGGCCAAGUGAUGACUAGGAAUAAAGACUCAGUUAAAAUAAACCACCACAAAGCUCCUCCGAAAAAUCAGGGCACGAAUCUGAUUAAUCAAUGGUUAUUGUCACGAUCUAAGGUCGUGGGUGUGGGGUGUUUUAUAAAAAUCCCGAGAAAAUCACACCAAGGGAAGGCUCUUUUUCUCUGGAUCUGACGGAGAAAUCCUUUCUGGAUACUCUAUUUUACUUUUCUGCAAAUUAUUCAAAAAGCUUUUGGUUUUAAAAUAAUGUUUAUUUAGCCAUAUGAAAAAUGACAUAUUUGGUUUUUCCUGUAAACCCCAUAACUGACUUGAGCGUUGGAGGGUUUACGCCAGAAAAACUUCCGGCACCUCUGACCAUUCUCUGUAAUUUCAGGUACUUAUUGAUCGUCAGCUUGAAGAUUAUAUGCUCAUGAAUGUUCUGCUCAUAGUCAGAGAAUAUUCUGACUAUAUUAGCCAUGACAUUUUAGUAAUUUCAGGUACUAAAAAAAAAUUAAAAUUGUUGGCGUGAAAAGCACAAAUCCUAUUUUUUGACAAUUUUAUCUUUGUCAAUUUCAAAGAUUUACAAUAUCAUAGGUAAAGAUUAUAACUAUUUCAUCUUCAAGUUUUUAAUUUUAUAUUUUUUGUAGGAACUUUAAGAAAAUAUCAAUAAUUUAAAGAGAAUUUUUGAAAUUUUUAAUUUUAUCUUUCUUGUAGGAAUUUUAAGAAAAUAUCAAUAAUUUAAAGAAGGUAAAAUAACCAAUAAUUUUAUUUUUUUUUUAGUUAUUUCCGUUUAAAAACUGUUCUUUUAUUAGCCGUUGGAUUUUACUACUCUUAUAUCCAACGGCUUGCCACAACAAGACAAAUGAGGUGGCACCUUCCAACAGCUGAAAGGUCGUUUUGGCCCCAAGUGAAACAGGGGAUGCACUUACUAUUAAGGACAGUUGGUGGCCAGCUAAUGCACUCAUUUUAUGUCCUUUUAUCUUUUUGAAUUCCUGAAGACAAGUGCAUUCAUUUUGUGUCCUUUCAUCUUUUUGAAUUACUGAAGACAAGUGGCCAGCUAAUGCAUUCAUUUUUUGUCCUUUCGUCUUUUUGAAUUAUUGAAGACAAGUGGCUCAUCGCUUUUACUGUAGGUAAGAUCUUGAUAAUCUCGAUUAUCAAAAUAAUAAUAUUCAAAAUAUUUCUUAAUUUUAUUUAAAAGAUAAAAGAAAAAUAAGUUAUGCUGGUAAAUUUUUUUAUUUUUUUAAUAAAAAUAAAAUAAAUUGAUGUUUAUAAUUGUUUCAAAUACUUUAAAGAUUGUAAUUUUAUGAGAGAGUAAUAUUUCACAUUUUUAAUGUGAAAAGUUGAAAAGGGACAAAGCAAGUUUCUCUGUUUUUCUUUUUCUUUUUUUAAAUUUGGUCAUCUCAAAUACUUCACCCUUCAACACUACAAUAUUUUGGUUAUAUAUAUAUAUAUAUAUAUAUAUAUAUAUAUUUUACACAUGCAUAUGAAUUACUUUUCUUUUAAGCUCCUGAAUAUUUAAGACAAAUCAUGAAAGAGAUGAGAAUAUAAUAAGAUGAUCAAAAUAUGUAACAAAAUUUUUUUAGAAGUGAAACAUCGUUAGAGUUGAAGUAAAACUCUGAAAAUAGAGAUACUGAUUAAUUUAGAAGAGAUGCAAGCAAAAGAUAUGCCAAAAAAAAAAAAAAGCAAUAUGUCACUUUGGAGGGCAAACUUGUCAGUUUCACAAAAAUACAUGCUUUGUAUUGAUAGUUGUCACUAUGUAUUAGGGUGCGUUUGAAAUUAUAGUGCUGUACCUUUUAAACUACAGUUGUUGUAGAAAAAAAUAAAAAAUAAAAACUACACCUAAGAUUAAGGAAAAGUACUUCAAAACUCUCUUUUGAUCAUAAAACCUUUUGUCUUAAUUAACUUAAAGAUUUUGAAUCUAAUAUUUUAUAACAAAUAAAAAUAUAUUACCAAAAUAAAUAUAAUAAUAUCUAUUUUAAAAUAAUAUCAAUAUUUAAAAUAUGUUUUAAUAUUUGACGAUCUAUUAGACACAUUUUAUUAUGUUAAAGUAAAUUUUAUAAUAAAUACAAACAUACUAAUAAAAUGAAUAUAUACAACAUUUAGAGUAUUUUGAAUAUUAUAUAAAAUAAAUUUAAUACAAUGCAUGAGAUAUAUUUUAUUAAUUUAAAAUGCUAUUUAACCUAAAGAUUUAUUUAUGAAAAAUUAAUGAUUAUAUUUUUGAAAUUAUUUAAAAUAUUAAAAAAAUUAAUAUUAUUAAUCUAUCAGGUAGAUUAAAUUAUUUAUAUUAUUUUGCAUUUAUUAAAAAAUUUUAAAAUCAAUCUUUUUAAUUACUAUUCUAAGGAUAUAAUAAUAGAGGCAACUCCGUUGCGUCAUGGUUUUGGUACCCCGUCGUUUGUCUUUUAGCACAGUCAUCGUUGGAUUUUAUCUCACGGCUGCAGAAGAGACACAGAGACGCUAGGGAGCAACCUGACAAAAAGGUCAUGGGCCGGUAAGCUGCAGGGAAAAUAUUUAAAAUACAAAAUCUUCCCUUAAAUUUUUUUUAAUAUUUAACAUGUUAUAGUUUCUAAUCUCAUGAAUAGUAGAGGAUAAAGUUUUAUCUUAAAAAAAGUAAUCCCAAGGGUCUCCUUGGGAUGAAAUUUUGCCUCUAUUAGAAUUAAGUGGUGGGCUCAUUAUUGUUACUUUUAUUUUUUUUAUACCAAACAUGAUAUAGGAUUAUUUUAUACUAAAAUUAUCCAAUCCUAUGAUAUAUAACUAAAACUAAACAGGCACUUAGGGUAUAUAUGAGCCACGGUGGAGAAGCUUUAUUUAAUAUUAUUGAUUUAAAUAAUAUCUCAUUAAAAAUGUACUGAGAAGAAAUUUCGGUGGGUAUUUUAGUCAAUCACAUGAUCAGCCUUUGGACUUGAAACGUCGGUCAGAAUGAUUUAUUCUAACAAGAAAAAACUAGGUAAUAUUCCACAAAAGUAAAAGUGACAAAACAACCAGCUGGAUUCUUUUAGGAAAUUACAAAGAGUAAUGAUACAGUCAUAAAUUUUUAUAUAAAUUUAUUUUAUAUAAAUUGAUGUGGUAUUAAUUCAUUAGUUGAAUGAAAAUAUAAAUUAAUAAAAAUAAAUUAUAUGGACCAAGUAAUAUUUAAUUCAAUCAAUCUUAUUAUGUCACAUCAAUUUAUAUAAAAUAAAUUUAUAUUUGUAUUAUUACUCAACUAUAAAUUAAAAUAAAUUUUUUCGAUAAACUACAAAUUAAAGUGGAUUCUUUUGAAUGCAAGUGGGACAGACGAUAAGGCUAAAAAUUAGUCAAGAAUCGAAUAGUCUUUUUCAAAUUCUUGUUUUAUUAUUUUUCAAAACCAGUUUUUGGUAAUUACAAUCGGGUCAUUAAUCAUUAUUCAGAGUUAUUGUUUCCUUCAGAAGUUAGUGGCUCAUGUUUGCAAGUGUGAAUAUGCGAUGCUCUUUUUCGAAAGCGCAAUGACAGUGGGUCCCGAAUCGGACGUCCCUAAAUCUUUUUAAAAUUUUUGCCGUAUAACGAACAGAGGUCAUUACUAAAAUUUCUCUUCCACAGCCUACAGCAGCUUCAGUUUAUCAAACUCAAUCAAUUUUCUUUCUUAACAAAAUUCCAAAGAUGUGUAGCAUUUUUCAGAUCACAUGCGAUGGUGCUCUUUUCAAUCGUUGCUUGGAUUGCUUUCUUGGAAAAGCAGCAUACAUACGUAACCUCCAAGAUAAUCUUGUAGCCUUGGAGACUGAACUGGGAAGACUAAUCGCAGCAAAGAACGAUGUGAUGAUGAGGGUUGUCAAUGCUGAACGGCAACAAAUGAGAAGGCUGGACGGAGUGCAAGUGUGGGUUUCGAGGGUGGACGCUGUUAAAACUGGAGCCGAUGAACUUAUCACAGACGGCUCUGAAGAAAUUGGCAAAUUAUGUGUUGGAGGCUACUGUUCCAAGAACUGCAGGUCAAGCUACAAAUUCGGAAAACAAGUGGGUAAAAAGCUACAAGAUGUGAAGACUUUAAUCGCCGAGGGAGUUUUUGAGGCGGUGGCCACUGAGGUGGUGCCCGAGAGAGCUCCGGAACCUGUAGCAGAUAAAAGACCCACUGAGCCAACAAUAGUAGGCCUGCAAUCACAGCUUGAACCAGUUUGGAGAUGUCUUGUAGAAGAAUCAGUGGGAAUCAUUGGCCUAUAUGGUAUGGGCGGUUUUGGUAAAACCACACUAUUGACCCAUAUCAACAAUAAAUUUCUUGAGAGUCCCACAAACUUUGAUUGUGUGAUUUGGGUCGUAGUUUCAAAAGACCUGCGACUUGAAAAAAUUCAAGAAGAUAUUGGGAAGAAGAUAGGUCUAUCUGAUGAUUCAUGGAAGAAUAAAAGUUUUGAAGAGAAAGCUGUGGACAUCCUGCUGAGAUUAGGAGAGAAGAGAUUUGUAUUGUUGUUAGAUGAUUUAUGGGAGCGGGUUGAUUUAACAAAAGUGGGCGUUCCACUUCCCAGCGCACAAAAUACUACCUCAAAAGUCGUAUUCACAACCCGUUCCAUUGGUGUUUGUGGCAGCAUGAGAGCUAGGCCGGUUAAAGUGGCAUGCCUAUCAGAAAAGCAAGCUUGGGAACUGUUCCGCGAAAAUGUUGGGGAAGAAACUCUUGAGAGUGAUCAUGAGAUCGUUGAGCUAGCCCAAACUGUGGCCAAAGAGUGUGGUGGUUUGCCACUCGCACUUAUUACUAUUGGUCGAGCUAUGGCCUACAGAAAGAAAGCGGAGCAGUGGAGACGUGCAAUUGAAGAGUUAAGAAGAUCAGCUUCAGAGUUUGCAGGUUUGGGAAAAGAGGUGUAUCCUCUUUUAAAGUUUAGCUAUGAUAGUUUGCAGAAUGAGACAAUUAGAUCUUGUUUCUUGUAUUGUUGUUUAUAUCCUGAAGAUUAUGGCAUUCUUAAAUGGGACUUGAUUGAUUGUUGGAUUGGUGAGGGAUUUUUUGGGGAAUCUGACAGGUUUGGUGCAGAAAACCAAGGAUAUGACAUUUUGGACACUCUUGUUCGUGCAUGUUUAUUAGAAGAGGUGGAAGAUGAUGAAGUAAAAAUGCAUGACGUUGUUCGUGAUAUGGCUAUAUGGAUAACUUGUGAAAUUGAGAAGGAGAAGAGAAACUUUUUGGUUUGUGCAGGUGCGGGACUAAAGGAGGCACCGGAGGUUAAAAGAUGGGAAAAUGUGAGAAGAUUGUCACUGAUGCAAAACCAAAUUAAAACUCUGUCAGAGGUUCCCACAUGCCCUCAUCUCCAUACUUUAUUUCUUGACUUCAAUGACAAUUUGAAUAUGAUCGCGGAUGGCUUCUUCCAACUUAUGCCUUCUCUCAAAGUUUUGAAGAUGUCAAACUGCGUGAAUUUAACUUUGAAAUUACCUUUGGGGAUGUCAAAGUUAGGUUCACUAGAACUUCUUGAUGUUUCGAAUACCGGCAUAAGAGAGUUACCAGAAGAGUUAAAGUUGUUGGUAAAUCUGAAAUGUUUGACUUUGAGGUGGACAUUUGAGUUAAAUAAAAUUCCACGGCAACUAAUAUCAAAUUCUUCAAGGUUACGUGUGUUGAGAAUGUUGGGUACUGGCCUUUUGAAUUUUCAUGAAGCGUCAGAAGAAAGCGUUUUAUUUGGUGGGGGUGAAGUUUUGAUACAGGAAUUGCUCGGUUUGAAAUAUUUAGAGGUAUUGGAGUUGACCUUGCGAAGUUAUCAUGCUCUCCAAAUUCUUUUGAGCUCAAAUAAGUUAAAAAGUUGUAUUCGAUCUCUUUUCCUCCAGUUGGCCGGAGAUGCAACGUCGAUUGUUGAUGCUACGGCUUUCGCAGAUCUAAACCACCUCAAUGAAUUAUAUAUUAAUAAAGGUUUUGAGUUGGAAGAAUUGAAGAUUGAUUAUACGGAGAUAGUACGAAAAAGGCGGGAACCUUUUGUUUUCCGCAGCCUUCACCAUGUUACUAUAUGGCGGUGCGCUAAAUUGAAAGAUUCGACAUUCCUCGUUUUUGCUCCAAACCUCAAGUCUCUUGUGCUAGGUAAUUGCCAUGCUAUGGAAGAAAUAAUCAGCGUUGGAAAAUUUUCCGAGGUUCCUGAGAUCAUGGGACAUAUGAGCCCUUUUGAAAAUCUCCAAAGGCUUCAUGUAGAAGAUUUGCCAGAUUUGAAGAGCAUCCACUGGAAGCCAUUGCCUUUCACUCAUCUGAAAGAAAUGGGGGUAAGAGCAUGUGAUCAGCUUGAAAAGCUUCCACUCGAUUCCAGCAGUGCAAAAGAGCGUAAAUUUGUUAUUCGUGGAGAAGAAGACUGGUGGAACCGACUUCAAUGGGAGGAUGAAGCCACUCAAAUUGCUUUUCGUUCCUGUUUCCAACCUUAUUCCUGAGCCGUGGUCGCAAAAUUUGAUUUCUGGUGAGUGCGUUUUUGUUAACGCUUAUGUUUUAUUCCAGUGUAUUUUUCUUCUGUCUUCUGCAAAUCACAAUUAAAUGUGUGAUACAUGUUACGGGUAAUAUACAUGCAGUAUUUUUGGUACACUGCAAAUCACAAUUAAAUGUGUGAUACAUGUUUACGGGAAAUUUAUAGACAUGCAGUAUUUUUGGUGGGGUCGAAUUGAUGCUCUGGUUUUUUUUUGUUGUCAAAAUUUUCUCUGUUUUUUCAAAUUGAUGCUUUAUUUAUAUCUUCUUCGUGAAAAGUGAUUUAAUUUCCUGCCAAAAGACGAACGAGAAGAACAUUAGAGUCAAACUAAUGCUCACAUAAAUUUCCCGUAAGAAUAUAUAUAUAAUUAGACUGGAAUAGUAGCCCUCUUUACAGAAAAUGACGCGAAAGUUAAUUUAGAAAGAUAUAUUCUUGAUUAAUCCAUUUUCUGAAGCUUUUAUUUUGUAUGGUCAAUUAUACCUUCAUACUAAAAAUUUCUGAAUUUAUAAAUUAGUGCAACUUGACAAUUUUUACUGAUGAUAUCUUCUAUUUUUCCUUUCUUUCUUUUUUUUUUUUACUCUCAUUGAAUGUUACUGUCAUUUUACUUACAAAUAGGUUUGAAUUUUAUUUAGUUUUCUCAUAGUAUUUGUGCAAGUACUAGAAGGUCAAACCCCGCAUACUUUGAUUGCCAAACCACCGUCCAAUUUAAAAAAAGAAAAAAAGAAAAAAAAUGUGUAAUCCAUGAAUCUGGUUAAUUUUGUUUGUUUGUUUUUUUUUUUUUAAAUAUCAUUCUUUUUCGGCCACCCAAAAUAUCAUUGAUGACUUUUCUGGUCUAAUGCUAUGUAAAUAGUAUGUUAAGUAAAACAUAAUCAAUUAUUUGUGUUUUAUCUCUAAUUAGAACAUCAAUCAGUUCAGUACCUCACAAAUAAUUCGCAAUAUCUACAAAAUACUAUAAUGGCUACAAAACAAAUCCUGCUUGCAAAUUGUCAAGGAUACCUAUCCGUUCGCUUGACAAGUCAUUUGAAUAAAUAUUGUUCACAUUCCUUACUCUGUCAAUUAUCCAAAGCACCAUCAACUUUAGUUUGAAUAGUAUACAUGCCAUCACCAUUACCAAGAAUCAAGCAUGAAAGAGUCAUUCUAUAGAGUGCAGAACAUGACUCUAUGCGGUAGUCAAUUUGACACACGACGAACAACAUAUGCUGCAUAACAUACAAAUUAAUUUCCCAUAUGUGAUGCAAUUUUCUCCUCAACAUAUGCGCAAUUCUUUCCAUUCCGGCCGUUGAUUGAACCCUUUGGCAACAAGACGAGCUUUAAGCCUGUCAGCAGAACCGUUGGAAUGUCUUUUAAUACAAAAAUCCAUUUGCAGCCAACAAUAUUGGAAGGGAUGGGAGGUGGAACAAGCUUCCAUGUCCCGUUACGAACAAGAGCAUCAUACUCUUCUGACAUAGCUUGACGCCAGUGAGGAUUUUUGAUAGCUUGCGUCACAGUUGUAGGUUCACAAUCAGAAGAAGGGCUAAAAUGAGCACGGAGGUUAAGUUUUUGUAACGGCUUGUGAAUCUUAUUUUUAGCUCGGGUAGUCAUAUCAUGAUGAUUUGUGGGGCAAUGAUGUAGUGGAGUUUGGGAAGAUGAUUGAAGAGGAAGUGAAGAAGUGCUUUGUGUAGAGGUAGAAGUAGGUUGGGAGGAUUGCUGCGGAGAUGUUACCGGUAGAGAAGAAGGAGCAGUACACGGUGGCAACUCCAGAGGGCCCAUAGUGAAACACUUGCGUAAUUAGGAGUGGUAGAAGAGCUUGUAAUGAUUUGUAUGGAAAAACAAACUCUACAAAUUUAACGAGACGUGAAAUGAAAAUUUGAAAGGUGGAUGGGUCAAAACAUAAAUAAGCACUUUGAGAUAAAGGAAUAUCCUAUAAAAACACAAGGCUUAGAGGGUGGUUCGAGUUUAUAUGAUGAAACACAAACAUUCAAAAAUUUUAAGUUUAUAUUAAUUAGGAGUGGUACCAAAAAUUAAUUAGGAGUGGUCCGCGGGACAUGUAGCUAUGGGGUUGUUGGAUGUGUUUUGGAUAUUUACAGACAUGCUGAGUUUGAGUUUAUAUCUCAACUUAAAAUUUGUAGUUUUCACUUGAAAAAAUUCAGUUAAAAAUUGAUUGGUAGAAUUGUGAAAAAAGUUUAAAUUUUUAGUUCAACCCGAUUGCAUAUUUAAGAACAUCUCAAAUGAAUUGCUUACUGCUAUCAUCAUCAUUAUUGUCCAUAUAAUAAUGGAUCUUUAUUAUAUAUAUAUGUUUCCACUAAAAUAUAUUUAAUUAUUCUUUAUUUUUCCAUUGUUGCGUGUAAGAUUUAUUUGAGUUCUAAGUUAUAUCAAUACAAAUGUUAUCUUAUCCAUUAAAAGUUAGAUCCAACAAUUAUGAAAAUUACCAUAGAGUUGCUUUCAACUAUUUUUUAAAAAUACCAGGAGUAAAAAAUAAUUAGUUCAAAUGGUGGAGACUAAAAAGCGUUCACCUUUAUUUUUUAUCUGUUAUUUAUUUUUUUCAUUAAUGCACAUGCUAUACAUUUGAGACAUUCCAUUAAUUGCCAAUUAUGUAUGUGAGAUAGUAAUUUAAAUUAAAAAAAUAAAAGUGAAAGUUAAUCCUAUGCAAUGUGAAUAAAUUUCUUUCCUUUUUCCUUUACUCUUUUUAUUUGACAAUAAAGUUUCCAUCUAUCAUCUAUCAUCUAUGUACGCAAAAUUUCUGCAACAGGUACAAAACAUAAAAAUAUAUGAUUGUUAAGGGAAACGCGCAGGAGUUCAUCAUUUCAAUGUUCAGCAUUACCAAUUUUGGCAUUAAGCUGAAUAUAUUCCACUUAGAAAGCAAAAUAUUAGACUCGUGAUUUUAAUUCAUUCAUUAUCUCUCAUUUUAAUCCCAAAAUAUUCAAGAGCAUCCAAGUUACCAUAAGACUUCAGAGGCUCAAGCCUUAGCCAGAGAUGGUUAAUUGAUAGACUAUGUGCCUGGGUCGAGCACUGGAAGCCUGCAAUGCAGACUGAUUGAUUUAUCAGUUUAACGUGUGCCAGGAAUGAAGAACUGGAAUAUCACCGUCAAGCAAGCACCCUGUGGAGCAAUACCGAAGAAUGCACAAUCCAGCUUUGCUAGGUGACACUGGAGGCUUUUUGAAAAGUGCUUCACGCUCACUUGCACAGAUUGAGCAUCCCCUCUGGAUAUUGCCCUCUCUGAUCGAGUCUGAGCACUCAAAUUUUGGUCCUCAGAGGGAGCUACAGUUUCUCUCCACUAACCAACAAUUUUCUAAACUCAGCACCUAGUGUGAUCAGAGUUGUUGAUAUUUGCAAAUGGAGAUCCCCAUAUUUGCAAAUGGAGACAUUUAACAAAUCACCAACAUGCUUCAUCCGGUCCACGAAAUUCUGCAACUGAUUCAAAUCUGGAACCUGAACCAGAGUCGGAGGUAUAUCUUGAGCCAUAUCUAAAGCAGUUUGAAGUUCAAGACCUUGAGCCCUUGACAAUGGUUUUGAAAUUGGAACAUCUUGGAUUACUGCAGACUUGUACCCCUUGGUUUCAAAGGUAAGGAAAGGCAUUGCUUGAGUACAAUUUGGAGGCAGCUUCUUCACCAAUUUUAUUUGGAGGCGAUUGGUAGCGGAUCCAGCUGCACCAAUUUCAGAGCAACUACUGACACUACUUCGAACAGCACACUGAAGAAGUGAUAUGUCUACGGCGAAGGCAAUGCAGUCCUCAUUUUGGCUUGAGACACAGUAAUCAUCGUAGAGAGUUUCCUUGUGAAACUGGGCAACACAUUGAAUCCCUUCGCCACUGAGAAGGUUGUGGAGGAAGUAAGCUUUCUCUCUAGUGAGGAAGAGGUGGCAUACCUUCCCCAUUUUGUCUAGGGCAGGUAGGAAUCUUUUUUCUAAGAGAUUUACUUCAUUCUCUGUGAGAAAUGCUUUGAACUUCAUCCCUCUGUCUCUAUCCUCACUUAUCAGGAAAUAAGUUGAAAGCACUACGAAGAGAGAGAGAGAGAGAGAGAGAGAGAGAAUUAAGAUAUAUAGACAAGAAAAAUAUUAGAUGUUGAUCUUACAAACUAAUACUUCAAGCAGUAUCCUAGAAAGCUAAAAACUGCAAGAUGGCUUGAAAUUUGAGAAGAGCACGUGCUUUUCCUCCUUAACUUGAGAAAAUGUUUUAUAUAGUGCACCUUACAGAAGCAUUUAAGCAAUUAGAACUUUGCACAAAAACAUCAAGAAGACUAAACAAAUCAGAUGCAGUGCAUUUGUCCAAGCACAAAUUGCAUUUUGUCCUCAACUUUAAUAUUUAUUGAUGAGAAUCAAUACAGGUCCCUCAUUUGUUAUAGAAAGCUUUCUUGUAGUCUCACCAGUUAAUAUGGAUAUUAGAUAAGGAAACUUUAUUAGGUUGCGAGGGUAAAAAAGGAAAGAGAUAUCAUUAUUUUAUUAUCGAUAAUUAUUAAAUUUUUUUCCAAAAAAAAGAACAAGCAAUGAUAUUUUAUUGUCAAUUGCAACCUUUAAUUUUUUUAAAUGCUAUUAGAAACACAAGAUAACAAAGAAAUACUUAUUUUUUCCUAAAACUAAAAUCAAUUGUUUAACUUCUUAUUUCAUAAUCCAACUCCAUUACUAAGUUAAAAAAAAUUGUUUCAAAAUUACUUGAGUCAUAUUCAAUGGACCAACAAAGUAACCGUUUUUAUUUUUAUUGAUUUUUGCAGGAAAUUAAUAAGUUAAAAAUAAUGAAAGCUAUUGUAAAAAAAUUUAUUAUCAACCUCAUAAUUUUUUUUUUUUUGGGGAAGAGAAUUCAAACAUUUUUUUUUUUUAAUUUCCAAGAAUUCUUGACACCCAUCUUAAUUAAAAGCUAUAUUUUUAUUCAAGAGUCAUGCUAUUCAUUCACUCACAGACCAAAGGCUUUCCGCAGCAAUAUUAUUAUUUAAAUUACAACAAAGGGGAAAUCAAACACGUCAUACAGAAGCUUAAAGGUGAAUCUACAAAAUCUAGAGCUCUCAACUACAAAAAUUACACUUGAUGAUCCUCUACAAGAUGAAGGUUGUUCAAUAUCUUGAGAUUGCCUGCCUUCCUCGACGACCUGCACGAUGUGUUUGUACAAAUCAUCAUACCUGUGCACCGGAUUUUUAAUAUCAACGCCACUGCAGCUGUGAUCAAGAACAUAAGAGCAUUUAACAUCUUUUCUCCAUCGAGAAAGAAUGUAGUGAGAUGGGAUCUCCUGCAUGCCACUCUGGUUUAGAACACAAAGAAUGUGUCUGCAUAAAUAUCCUCUGAAAUUGAACAACCCACAAACACAAAGCACCUCCAAGUCGGAGGCAUUGUACAAAACAUCGAAAGCCCUUGAAUCUUUCUCGUUGCUACCAACCUUAAAUUCUUCCUUCACUAUGUAUGUUACAGGUCCAUCAGCACUGACAUGUUUUGUGCUAUAGCAAUACAUAGCCUCCACCUCCGUCUGAAACUUCCUUAACAUUUCAUUUGUGUACAGUUUUGAGAGUUGAAAUUCAUAGUAUCAUCUUGGUUUCUGGAUACAACUUGAAUUUCUUGAAUCCAUAUCUGCCAAGGCUACCAGUUGAUAAUUCGCCUGCAGUGCUUGAUCAUACUUGUCUAAGAAUUCUUUCAAAGGAGUAUUCUUAUCAAGAUAUCCUUCAAAGUAUGAAGUAGAAACCUCAUUCUGCAGGAACGAAAACACUCCUGAUAAAAAAGCUUCCUUCAAAUAAAUAGGAGCCCACCUUUUAUGAUCUUCAUAUAAAGUUUGAAUCUAUCCGUGAUCCUUUAUUCCAUGACAUUGAAUCAUGUCUUCCCAAGCUGCUUCAAAUUUCUCAGGCCUGAGAGAGUGAUAAAUUGCUCUAUGUAAUGCAGCUUUAAUAGCUUCAUAUUCAAACAAUCCUUGGAGUUUCUCUGGAAUUUUUUUGCAUGAUGCAUGACAAUGAAAAGCAAUGAUAAGCUCUUGGGAAAACAUCACCAACAGCAAUUUGCAAGAUUCUACAUUGGUCAGUGAUGAUUGUUUGUGGAGAGCUCCCUAACAUACAUGUAAGCCACGCCGUAAACAACCAUGUAUAUGAUUCUAUGGUCUCACUGGCAAGUAAAUCACAAGUCCACAACCCAACAACACUGAUUGUCCAUGAUGAUUCACCCCAAUGAAUGAAACCAGUGGUACAUCAUAUCUUUCAGUCAGGCACGUAGUAUCAAUUAAGACCACAUCACCAAAGUACCUAUAUGCAACUCUUGACCUGGUAUCAGUCCAGAAUAGGUUUCUCAAGCAUCCCUUUUCAUUUAGAUCCACUACAUUAAAAAAGUUUGGAUCUGUCAACUGCAAAUGACAAAAGAAACUCUGGACAGCUUGUGCAUCUCCUGGUUUAAGCUUCAAUUGAUUUGAGCUAUUAACAUUAUUUCCAAAUACUCCAUUAACAUCUACCAUUUCCCUUGGUAUCAAUGAUAAGAGUUCGAAACAGUUUAAUUUUUUGAACUUCUUCAGCACUAUCUAAAUGCAAUGUUCUUUUGGUUCCAAUACCUAUGUGCUUAUGUGACUUGUAAAACUUUCCGCUUCUUGGGCUUAACAAGUGGUUAUGCUCAAGCUCGACUUCAAUGAUUCUCCACCUUUUGGUUUCCAUCAACCUAAACUUUAUCAUUGCUGGACAGCCAGUUCUUGUUUCUGGUCUUGGGCGGUUUGCCUCGCUUUUCUUCUUGAAGCCUGCACUACUACAGCUCAGCUUUCCUCUAUACUUUUCUCUACUCUUUCGGUACCAUGGAUUGCUAACUCUAACACCAAAACCCUGUUCCUUGGCAUAGCAAUUGUAAAAGUAAUAUACAUCAUCAUACAUCUCAAACUCCAUUCCAACAGUAGGAGGCAAGGGAUUUUGGAUUAUCCCAGUUUGUCCAACAUAUUCAGUCAUCGCACAAUCUCCUACGACCUCAAAAUCAUCAGUGUCAUCAUCACCUACUGGUUCGGUGUUGAGAGAAACUUCAUCCAUCUACAAUGGAUGUUCAAUGAAGUGAGCUUUAAGGAGAAAAAGCAAAAUCAGUUCAAGGAAUGAUAAUAUAAUCAUACAGUUACUUUCACAAAGCUUCAUAUUUCAUCACUGCUUUACCAACAUGCAACUGCCAGAGAACAAACAGACAUGUCAUAGACGCUUGAAUUAAGUAUUGGUACAAAUGAGCACACAUCAUGUGGGACAAAAUUUCAGUCACUAAACCCAAUACCACUUUUUACAUCAUACCAAGGAACAGAUUAAACCCGACACCUUCUUUUAAACCAUACCAAGGAGCAGAUUAAAUCAUCAAUGAAAAAUUAAUCACAUAAUAACUUAACCAGACAAAUGAAGAGCCUGAAACAGCACAAAACUUGAAUCUGAUUAUGAUAAUUGUUGAGUCCUUGUAUCUACAGCUUUCCUUCAAUGAUAAGACAAUGAACAUAAACGAGACACAAAAAAAUUAUUUUAAACUGACAGCCCAUGAUAUAAAUCAAACAAAAUCAACUCCUUUUUUUACACAUUACAUCUCAUAUUCAUUUACAUUGAAACACAAAAAGGAAGCAGGAGUGGGAAAAAAACAACAGCAGAGGAACUUAUUUCCAUAAGGUUUACGAAAUAAGGAAUCUAUUAAAACCCAAAACUUGAGGUCACCACUAAGAAUUUGGUUCUCAUUAUUUUUUUCUUCAUUUUUCACCAAUUGAUGAACUUAAAAUACAAUCAUAAAUGAUAAAACCCCAUCUCCAUCUUUUUGAACUAGAGCUAAAGCAAAGCAUUUUAAGAUGUUUCAUCAUUUUUUAAAAAAAAAAAAAACUCAAUAGUACAAUGUUUUUCAAUGUUAAAUGCACAAUUCAAUCUUCUCCUAAUUUACUCUAAUAAUCUCUUAAUUAAGGAAGAUUAAGCUUCAGUUGUAAGCUAAAACAAAUUUCUUAAAUCAAGCCCCAAUGCUUUAUGCUAUUCAACAAGGGCUCAUAAAUGAUAAAACUACUUCUAUAAAGAUACCCAUUUUCUAAAUUAAUUUCACAAACUGAAAUCAAACUCCUGAAACGUAACGAGCAUUAAUAUAAUCAAGCCCGAACAAGAAUUGAUAAAUGAUACAUAAACUCGUUUACACAUUUCGACAGACACUUUGCAAUCAAUGAGCAAAAAAUUAAUGGAGAAGAUAAAAUUCAAACGAAACAUGCCUUACAUUGAUAAAUUAGAAGGGCAAAAGAAAUUUUAGUACGAUAUGGGAUCAGGGUCUUGCCACGGUGAUGUUAUUUGUGAAGUUCGAGCGACUCAGCAGCCUUCGAGGUUGAAAAUUUGAUUGACCAAAAGCUUCCCGUUCGUUGAUUCUCUAAUAGUAGAAACGAGACUGGCAGUAUACACAACAAGUUCGCCGAUUUUAAAUUCCGUUGUUUGAGAUGGAAAAUUUUUUGAAAAAAUUAAUGUGUUCGAUGAAAAUCAAAAUCUCAAAAACCUUUUGUUUUUCAUUUUUUUGGAAAAAACCAUUGAGAUCCUUACUAUUUUUUCUUAUAUCAUCUUGCUUAAUAAUUUGCAAAGUCUAUCGCAUAGCACCCAUGCAUGAUGUAUGCUGCGUUGUAAUUUACAAUAUUGUACAUGAAUAAAUCCAGCUAAUAUUUGUUAAAAGAAAAUAAUAAUAACAUGUUAAAACUUUAAAAUUUGAUUAUUAGAAGAAAUUUUAAUUUAGCUAAGUAGGUGACAUGAUAAUAAAUAGAUACGUAUAAUGUCCGAGAUUUUUUAUAAGAUUAAUAAAUAUGAUAAAUUUGGAUUAGUUCAAUUUUGACAUAAUUGCAAACAAUUUAAUUUGUGUUGUUUCUCUAAAAGUUUGAGACACAAAUGUUAUUUCAAAUUGAUAAAAGUACAAUUUAAUCCCACUUGCUCUUCAACUAAAAAUUAAACAUGCAAAUACACACACUAAUUUAAAGUCAUCUGUAUAAUUGAAACGCCAUGCACUAGUAGUAGGUCAGAGAAACCAAGGUUGAAAUGUGUAGAAAUGUUGAAACGCCAAUAAUAAUUGAAACGCCAUGCACUGUUCGUUUAUUUUUAUUCAUGAUUUUUUGUAAAACGUAAGAAAUGUGUAGAAAUGUUGCCAGCAAUGAUUUUGGAACUUUGCAUAAAAUUUUUAUCGUUAUUGUUUUUGGUAUUAAGAAAUCCGAGGCGGUGAUUAGACGUAUGUUGCAACAAUUAAGAAAUUUCUUAUUGGAGAUAAUUCGGUAGGUUGCAACAAUUAGAGAAUCAUUUUCCUGUCAGUUAAACGGUUCAUUUUCAGCCAUAACAUGCUAAAAAUGCUACACUUAACGGUUCAUUUUCAUGGAUUUUCUCGGGAAACAAACAGAAAAUUACGGUUUAGAGAGUUGACUGACGUUUUGGCUUUUGAAAUUGAGAAGAUCGCGCGCCAAAUUGGAAGAGGGAAAGUGAAAGUGCGAGUUUUAAUAUGGGCAUUAGAUAAGGAAAUUUUAUUAGGUUGCGAGGGUAAAAAAGGAAAGAGAUAUCAUUAUUUUAUUAUCGAUAAUUAUUAAAUUUUUUUCCAAAAAAAGAACAAGCAUGGAUAUUUUAUUGUCAUUUGCAACCUUUAAUUUUUUAAAUGCUAUUAGAAACACAAGACAACAAAGAAAUACUUAUUUUUUUCCUAAAACUAAAAUCAAUUGUUUAACUUCUUAUUUCAUAAUCCAACUCCAUUACUUCGUGCUGGUUUUUUCAGGUGAAUAACAGCUAAAAAUAAUUUUAAAAGCUGUUACCAAUUCUCAUGAACUGUUACAAUUAAAAAAAUCAAGCAUGCAUGGAUGGUUAAGUGUGUAGAGAGAACCUCCAUCCUUAUAAUUCUUACUUAUGCAUGGUUAAGUGUUUAUAUUUAAACACUAAUUUCUAGGCUUCUUUUUCCCAUGUGGGAUAAGCCUCAUUUCCUUUCAAAUUUCCAACUUCAAGGGUGAACUUUGAGAGACAAUUUCUCAUUCACCCAAGCACCAUUUUGAGAAAAUAAAAUUAUACUUUUGAAGUAUGAACGGAAUAGAAUCCGAAUCUCACAAUAUUUCCCACUUUAGUUAAAUAGGACCCACUCAAAAUGUGCUCUCAAAAUAACAUGUUAUGCUAUUUUUUCAACAAAAUUGUGGGCCAACAAUAGUGGGCAUGGUGUCGACUUUUGAGAAAGCCUGGAGAUGCGUUGAAGAAGAAUCAAUUGGAAUUAUUGGCCUAUAUGUCAAUGGGGGAGUUAGAAAAUAUUUACUCAAAUCAACAACAAGUUCCUUGAUAGUCCAAAUAAUUUUGAUGUUGCGAUCUGGGUAGUGGUCUGCCAAGAUUUGCAACCCCAGAAGUUUCGGGAAAAGAUUGGGAAAAAGAAAGGCUUCUUCGAUGAGUCAUGGAAGAUAUGAAGUUUUGAAGAGAAAGCACUCGACAUAUUCAAGAAUUUAAGCAAGAUGAAGUUUGUAUUACUGUUGGAUGAUAGAUGGGAGCAUGUUGAUUUAAUUAAAAUUGGUGUCCCUCUUCCAAGCAGAAAAAUUACAUUCAAGAUAGUCUUCACAACUCGUUCUAUUGACAUUUGUGGCCUCAUGGAAGCUCACAACAAGAUUAAAGUGGAGUGUUUAAAUGACAAAGAAGCAUGGGAAUUAUUCUGCAAGAAGGUUGGAGAAGAUGUGGCGACUCUGUCCAAGUGCUAAGGAGAUCAGCCUCUAGGUAUGUAAAAACAAGUAUAUCCUCUUUUGAAAUUCAGUUAUGAUAAUUUACCAAGCGAUAAAAUUAGAUCGAGUCUGUUAUACUGUAGUUUGUUUCCAGAAGACUUUCCAAUUAGCAAAAUGGAAUUGAUACUGAGAUACGAAAUCAAGGAUACUACAUUAUUGGUGUUCUUGUUCCUUUAUGUUUAUUGGAAGAAGAGGCUCCACUGUUUGUAAAAGUGCAUGAGGUGAUACGCGAUAUGCUUCUGUGGAUAGCUGUGAAGGUUUUUUUUUUUUUUUUUUUUUUUUUUUAUAGGGAUAGCAUGUGAAGUUGAGAAGGAGAGAGAGAAUUUUGCAAGGAUUAACUGAAGUACCAGACAUUUGGAAAUGGGAAGGGUUGAGAAGGGUGUCUUUGAUGAUCAACAAAACUGAGAAGGUAUCAGAAAUUCCUUCAUCUCACGAUCCACUAACUUUGUUGCUUCAACAUAAUUAUUUAGAGGUGAUCAAUAAUGACUUCUUCCAAUCUAUGCAUUCCCUUAGAGUUUUGAACUUAUCAUGUAAUCAUUCUCUAACUGAUAAUUUCAAAGUUAGUUUCCCUACAUACGAGAGUUGCCGAAUGAGUUAACGUUCGUAGUGAAUCUUAAGUUUUUGAAUGUGGAGUAUGCACGGUUUCUUCAUUCAAUUCCAGGGCAAGUGAUAUCCAGUUUUACGAUGUUACAAGUUUUGAAGAUGUUUGGUUGUGGCAGGUCAUCUUCUGAUCGUGAGCCACACCAGAAGAUAGCGUUUUAUUUGGAGGCAGUAAAUUUUUGAUUGCGGAGUUGUUUGGUUUGAGAGACAUUUAGAUGUGUUGACCAUCAUCCUAAGAAGCUCCCAUGCUCUGAAAAGAUUUUUGAGCUCCAACAAACUUCAAAGUUGUUGAUGCCGAAAUCCGGAUGAGUUGAUCGAAUCUCAGAUCCCUGCAUCAGCAUUGAAUUUGUUUGGUGGGAAGCUGAUGAUUAGUUAGCACCAUGAGCAGAUUUUCUAUGAGCAGAUGUUCUGUGAGCAGAUCAGAUGUUCUCCUCGUUCUACGACCAGGGUCUCUGCUCGAUCAACUUCACCACGACCAGGAUCUCUCCUCGUAAAGCUUCUUCUCCAGAGGUUCCUGCGCACACAGACAAGUCAGAGUACGCCGGUUGUUUUCCCGGCGCAAACCCUCCGACGCUCAAGUCAGAUAUGAAGGUUCGGGGAACGCUUGCCACAGAUCUUAUGGCUUUUGUGUAGUUUUCUUUAGAAUUGCUUUUAUCUCUCUUCUAAUCUCAAAAUUGCUAACCCUUUUACCUUCGUUGGCUACCUUUUUAUAGGCUUCCUCUCAAUCCCAGUUUUCCGCAGUCUAUGCCGUUAUCCCACGUUCUCCUUCAAUUUUCAUCCCUCCUUUUUCGGGUAGUGGCCUUUAAAUGCUUUUAAAUGCUACAUCAUGGGAAACGUGGGGUAUCGCAUCUCUCGUAACGGUUCUGGGAAGAAUGUAAACGCCAUAAUUCUGUGGGAUCGUGUUCCUGCUUUUCCAGGAGAUGGGUAUCAGCUCGGGAUACACCUUUUGUCAGUAUCCGUCUCUGAUCGGUUCAUGUUGCCCUCUGCUCUGCUCGUACAGUUACACUUGGCUGAGGUGAUUCAUGCCGGGGGUGAUUCAUGCCGAGGUGAAAACAGUACUAUGGCCGACCUGGUAUCAUUAUUGGCUCAACACCAGUCCCCCAGUUUCUGGUCUUGUGAGUGAAAUGAGUCAAGAGUAGAAACUGAUAUUCAAAUCUUACCAAUCCGGGGGCUUCUCCUCUGGUCUUUCAUCUAUCGGGAUGGUCCUGAGGUAUCAUUUUUCUUCAAGGGAGAUUUUGACCUGAGUAUGGAAUAGGAAGUCAUCUGCUCAAGUUUAGACCACGUGGUCGAGGUGAUCUGGUCAAGCUCAUAGCACAUGGUCGAGGUGAUCUGCUCCACCUCAUAGCACCUGGUCGAGGUGAUCUGCUCCACCUCAUAGCACAUGGUCGAGAUGAUCUGAUCCACCUCAUAGCACCUGGUCGAGGCGAUCUGCUGAAGCUCAUACCAUCUGGCCAAGGUGACCUGCUCAACCAUUUGCUCACUUUCACUUGGAGGAGAUCAUGGUCGCUCUAUUUAAUUCCUCAAACACCAGUCCCCCAGUUUCUAGUGUUGAGAGUGAAACAAAUCAAGACUGGAAACUUUAGUGGUCUGCUCGUCUUCGCUUGGUUGAGCAGAUCCUGGCACGCUUGGCUUCUGUCUCGCCAUAAAACAGGCUUUGAGACUUUGUCGAGCCUUUGCAUGCCUUCGAUUCUUCAAGGAUUGGGAUUCUGCUCGCCUUCUCGUGGCCGAGCAGAUCCUAGCACGCUUGGCUUCUGUCUCGCCAUAAAACAGGCUUUGAGACUUUGGUGAGCCUUUGCGUGCCUUUGAUUCUUCAAGGAUUGGGAUUCUACUCGCCUUCUCGUGGCCGAGCAGAUCCUGGCACGCUUGGCUUCUGUCUCGCCAUAAAACAGGCUUUGAGACUUUGGUGAGCCUUUGCGUGCCUUUGAUUCUUCAAGGAUUGGGAUUCUGCUCGCCUUCUCGUGGCCGGUGGCCGAGCAGAUCCUGGCACGCUUGGCUUCUGUCUCGCCAUAAAACAGGCUUUAAGACUUUGGUGAGCCUUUGCGUGCCUUUGAUUCUUCAAGGAUUGGGAUUCUGCUCGCCUUCUCGUGGCCGAGCAGAUCCUGGCACGCUUGGCUUCUGUCUCGCCAUAAAACAGGCUUUGAGACUUUGGUGAGCCUUUGCGUGCCUUUGAUUCUUCAAGGAUUGGGAUUCUGCUCGCCUUCUCGUGGCCGAGCAGAUCCUGGCACGCUUGGCUUCUGUCUCGCCAUAAAACAGGCUUUGAGACUUUGGUGAGCCUUUGCGUGCCUUUGAUUACUUCAAAGAUUGGGAUUCUGCUCGCCUUCUCGUGGUCGAGCAGAUCCUGGCACGCUUGGCUUCUGUCUCGCCAUAAAACAGGCUUUGAGACUUUGGUGAGCCUUUGCGUGCCUUUGAUUCUUCAAGAUUGGGAUUCUGCUCGCCUUCUCGUGGCCGAGCAGAUCCUGGCACGCUUGGCUUCUGUCUCGCCAUAAAACAGGCUUUGAGACUUUGGUGAGCCUUUGCGUGCCUUUGAUUCUUCAAGGAUUGGGAUUCUGCUCGCCUUCUCGUGGCGAGCAGAUCCUGGCACGCUUGGCUUCUGUCUCGCCAUAAAACAGGCUUUGAGACUUUGGUGAGCCUUUGCGUGCCUUUGAUUCUUCAAGGAUUGGGAUUCUGCUCGCCUUCUCGUGGCCGAGCAGAUCCUGGCACGCUUGGCUUCUGUCUCGCCAUAAAACAGGCUUUGAGACUUUGGUGAGCCUUUGCGUGCCUUUGAUUCUUCAAGGAUUGGGAUUCUGCUCGCCUUCUCGUGGCCGAGCAGAUCCUGGCACGCUUGGCUUCUGUCUCGCCAUAAAACAGGCUUUGAGACUUUGGUGAGCCUUUGCGUGCCUUUGAUUCUUCAAGGAUUGGGAUUCUGCUCGCCUUCUCGUGGCCGAGCAGAUCCUGGCACGCUUGGCUUCUGUCUCGCCAUAAAACAGGCUUUGAGACUUUGGUGAGCCUUUGCGUGCCUUUGAUUCUUCAAGGAUUGGGAUUCUGCUCGCCUUCUCGUGGCCGAGCAGAUCCUGGCACGCUUGGCUUCUGUCUCGCCAUAAAACAGGCUUUGAGACUUUGGUGAGCCUUUGCGUGCCUUUGAUUCUUCAAGGAUUGGGAUUCUGCUCGCCUUCUCGUGGCCGAGCAGAUCCUGGCACGCUUGGCUUCUGUCUCGCCAUAAAACAGGCUUUGAGACUUUGGUGAGCCUUUGCAUGCCUUUGGUAAUUUCUUCGAAACUUGGGAUUCUGCUCGCCUUCUCGUGGUCGAGCAGAUCCUGGCACGCGUGGCUUCUGUCUCGCCAUAAAACAGGCUUUGAGACUUUGGUGAGCCUUUGCGUGCCUUUGAUUCUUCAAGGAUUGGGAUUCUGCUCGCCUUCUCGUGGCCGAGCAGAUCCUGGCACGCUUGGCUUCUGUCUCGCCAUAAAACAGGCUUUGAGACUUUGGUGAGCCUUUGCAUGCCUUUGAUUCUUCAAGGAUUGGGAUUCUGCUCGCCUUCUCGUGGCCGAGCAGAUCCUGGCACGCUUGGCUUCUGUCUCGCCAUAAAACAGGCUUUGAGACUUUGGGGAGCCUUUGCGUGCCUUUGAUUCUUCAAGAAUUGGGAUUCUGCUCGCCUUCUCGUGGCCGAGCAGAUCCUGGCACGCUUGGCUUCUGUCUCGCCAUAAAACAGGCUUUGAGACUUUGGUGAGCCUUUGCGUGCCUUUGAUUCUUCAAGGAUUGGGAUUCUGCUCGCUUUCUCGUGGCCGAGCAGAUCCUGGCACGCUUGGCUUCUGUCUCGCCAUAAAACAGGCUUUGAGACUUUGGUGAGCCUUUGCGUGCCUUUGAUUCUUCAAGGAUUGGGAUUCUGCUCGCCUUCUCGUGGCCGAGCAGAUCCUGGCACGCUUGGCUUCUGUCUCGCCAUAAAACAGGCUUUGAGACUUUGGUGAGCCUUUGCGUGCCUUUGAUUCUUCAAGGAUUGGGAUUCUGCUCGCCUUCUCGUGGCCGAGCAGAUCCUGGCACGCUUGGCUUCUGUCUCGACAUAAAACAGGCUUUGAGACUUUGGUGAAUCUUUGCGUGCCUUUGAUUCUUCAAGGAUUGGGAUUCUGCUCGCCUUCUCGUGGCCGAGCAGAUCCUGGCACGCUUGGCUUCUGUCUCGCCAUAAAACAGGCUUUGAGACUUUGGUGAGCCUUUGCAUGCCUUUGGUAAUUUCUUCAAAACUUGGGAUUCUGCUCGCCUUCUCGUGGUCGAGCAGAUCCUGGCACGCGUGGCUUCUGUCUCGCCAUAAAACAGGCUUUGAGACUUUGGUGAGCCUUUGCGUGCCUUUGAUUCUUCAAGGAUUGGGAUUCUGCUCGCCUUCUCGUGGCCGAGCAGAUCCUGGCACGCUUGGCUUCUGUCUCGCCAUAAAACAGGCUUUGAGACUUUGGUGAGCCUUUGCAUGCCUUUGAUUCUUCAAGGAUUGGGAUUCUGCUCGCCUUCUCGUGGCCGAGCAGAUCCUGGCACGCUUGGCUUCUGUCUCGCCAUAAAACAGGCUUUGAGACUUUGAUGAGCCUUUGCGUGCCUUUGUAGUAAACUUUGACUGGUUUCUUAACUCUAGCCUAGCUCUCUUUUCUUAAAUCAUUCUCAUAUUGAGUAACUUUCAAGAAAUCAAGUUAACUAAGUUAAACAGUCAGCCCUAAUAUAAGCACAAUUAGUUGAAUGAAUAUAAGGCAUCCUCAUAUCACAUAGUAGGAUUUAGAGAAAUAAUUAAAUUUUCAUGAGAAAAUUGUUUGUAAAUAAAAAUUUAACUUCUGACCUGUUCUGAUUUCUGCAAACGUCUGCCUUCAUUGUGCUCUCAUUUAAGGGUUUUGCUACCUUGUUUAAGCACGCUCAUCCAUUUAUGUACUGUAACAUUCUGAUUUGCUUCGACUAGAUGAAAAUUGAUAGAAACAAAAAUUUGGCUUCUCGUACCGGUCCCCACAGACGGCGCCAAAUGUUGAUGCCGAAAUUCGGAUGAGUUGAUCGAAUCUCAGAUCCCUGCAUCAGCAUUGAAUUUGUUUGGUGGGAAGCUGAUGAUUAGUUAGCACCAUGAGCAGAUUUUCUAUGAGCAGAUGUUCUGUGAGCAGAUCAGAUGUUCACCUCGUUCUACGACCAGGGUCUCUGCUCGAUCAACUUCACCACGACCAGGAUCUCUCCUCGUAAAGCUUCUUCUCCAGAGGUUCCUGCGCACACAGACAAGUCAGAGUACGCCGGUUGUUUUCCCGGCGCAAACCCUCCGACGCUCAAGUCAGAUAUGAAGGUUCGGGGAACGCUUGCCACAGAUCUUAUGGCUUUUGUGUAGUUUUCUUUAGAAUUGCUUUUAUCUCUCUUCUAAUCUCAAAAUUGCUAACCCUUUUACCUUCGUUGGCUACCUUUUUAUAGGCUUCCUCUCAAUCCCAGUUUUCCGCAGUCUAUGCCGUUAUCCCACGUUCUCCUUCAAUUUUCAUCCCUCCUUUUUCGGGUAGUGGCCUUUAAAUGCUUUUAAAUGCUACAUCAUGGGAAACGUGGGGUAUCGCAUCUCUCGUAACGGUUCUGGGAAGAAUGUAAACGCCAUAAUUCUGUGGGAUCGUGUUCCCGCUUUUCCAGGAGAUGGGUAUCAGCUCGGGAUACACCUUUUGUCAGUAUCCGUCUCUGAUCGGUUCAUGUUGCCCUCUGCUCUGCUCGUACAGUUACACUUGGCUGAGGUGAUUCAUGCCGGGGGUGAUUCAUGCCGAGGUGAAAACAGUACUAUGGCCGACCUGGUAUCAUUAUUGGCUCAACAAAAGUUGUACCUGAUCUCUCUAUCCUAAAUGCUUUGAUUCGAAGUCAGUUGAUGUUUUUGGCUAGGCUGAUCUGAAGCAUCUCAAUAGGCUAUAGAUAUUGCGAGUUGUAAGCUUUUGGAAGAAGUGAAGAUUGACUUUGUUGGGAAAGCACAAUGAACCCAUGGUUUUCACAGCCUUAUGUCACGGAAGUUGUCUAAAUACUGCACGGGUUGCUGCGCAAAGUAACCAUCCUAUGACAUUGAGCCAUGUUGAAAUAUCAUUUUGCUGUAAACUGAGGGAUUUGACAUAGCUUGCUUUUGCUCCAGACCUUCUUGUUGUUUCCAGAAAAUGUUGCCAUGAUAUAGAGGAAAUACUCGGUGUUGGAAAAUUAGGUGAAGAGAUGACGUCAAAUCUGGAACCCCCUGCAAAACUCCAAGGUUACGUUUGGCAUAUAGGAUUGGAUUAAAUUGGGUUCUAUUUAUAUUUUUAUGUUUGGUACAGUUCCGGAUUGAACCAUAUUAGAUUAUAUUUAAAUAAUAUUGAAUAGUAUUUAAGUUGGUAUUUUAAUAUAAAUAUCAAUUAUCCAUGAAAUUUUAUAAUCAUAAUUAAAAUAAAUUUAAAAAGCAAUUACUAGGAAAAUUAAAUAUAUUGCAAAAAGUUAUUGGGUAGUCAUAAUAUAAUAAGCAAAUAAAAUUAAAUAAAACAAAUUAAAUAUUUAAUUAUUUUUAUCAAAUAUUUAAAAAUAUUAUAUAAAAUCAAUUCAUUAAUGGUAUUAUUAAUUUUCAUGAUUAUUUUUAAUAUUAUAUUAGUGAUUAUUAAAUUUAAUACAAUCAAAUAAUGUAAUAAAUAAUUACACGUUUAAUUUUAUCGAUUAAUUAUUAAAUAUACAAGUAAUGAAAAUUUAAUCUCAGGAGUUGGUAGACGCAAAAGUACUAAUUUAAUUAGAUCAUAGAUAAUAAAUAAAAUAAAUUUUAAGUAAAUCAUAAUAAAAAAAUUAAUUAAUUGAUUCAAUCAAUCAAUAUUAGGUGUAAAUAAAAAAAGAGUAACGAUAUAUCCACAAACUCUUACACAAACUCAUGUGUCAUGAUAAGAUUGAUUGAAUUAAAUAUCACUUGGCCCACAUAAUUUAUUUUUAUUAUUUUAUAUUUUCAUUCAACCAAUGAAUUAACGCCACAUCAGUUUGUACAAGAUAUGUUUGUACAGGAAUUUGUGGCUGUAUCAUCACUCAUAAAAAAAAGAUACAAAUAAACCUCUCAUAAAUGGACAACUUUUAUCUUUAAUCUUAUCCCAACUAAACACAUGUGUAAAUUAGGAUUAUUAAUCCCAUGAUUUUAGGAUUAAAUUCAAAUUUAUUCCCCCUUAAUCCAAUCCAACUAAACUUGUCAAACAUGGGAUAAAAGUUUAAUUCUAAAAGCAUCACUAAAAGGCUCUUCAAAUAAGAUUUUAUUACUUAUUUGAAGAGCCAUAUCAAUAUUUAACGCUCCAAAAGACACUUCAGUUAAGAUUCUUCAAACAAUAGAUGAUUCUCUCUUUUCAAAUUUCGAGAGUUGAUUUCUCCCUCUUCAAUUUGUAUUUUAUUAUUUUUCAUUGGAGAAAGAGAGAGAAGUGCUUUAAUUGCUAUUGACUUUUUCCUUAAAAAAAUAAUUAUUUGAUUAAAAUAAUAUUAAUUUAUUUCUAUUUAAAGAGUCUUUUAAAGAAUAAUAUAUUUUUUUAUUUUUUUUAUUUAUCACAUAGGUAAAUAAAUAAAUAUUUAAAAAAUAAAAUUAAUAGAGACUUUUGGAGAUACUCUAAAAUUAGUCCAAUCCCAUACUUAAUCCUAGCAUCCAAAUAUAGCCCAAGUUGUUUGCUUAAAGAAGCUACCAAAUUUGAAGAGCGUUUACGGGAAGGCCCUGCGUUUCCCAGAUGUAUGCAGAAUUUUUGUAUCUAAAUGGCCAGAACUUAAGAAGCUGACGCUGGAUUUUGAAAGGGCGGGCCAAGGUAAAAUUCUUAUCAAGGGAAAGGAAAAUCGGUGGAAACAACUUCAAUGGGAGGAUCAAGCAACUCAGGAUGCAUUGCUUCUGUUUUUCAAAUCAACUGACAAGUGAUUGAAGGGGGCAUCAUCAGCCUGGAUGGGGAGAUCCUGGAGCAGAUCAGCAGGGUUUGAAUCUGCAUCAUCAACAUCAUCAGGAUCUCUAUUUCUAUUGCUGGUCGUAAUGCCUGCCGACUGUUGCUUGAAAAAGUGAUUAAGUGAGCCAGUUUUUUGUUUAUUAAAUUUUGUCUUAAUUGGCGUCCAAUAGAAAUUUACAAGAAUUACUUUUCUGUUCAUGCAAUCGGCGUCUGAACGCGGCUGAUCGGUCACCGGUGUUGGCGUUUACUGUGAUUAGACAAAUUGUAGGACUUCAAAAAUAACUUCUAUAGGGGUAAUUUCGAUUUCACAUAAUUAAUUUUAUUUACAAUAUUUUAUUCCUGCAAGGUCAACUGAGAUUCUUUCCACCGGGCACACCCUUCAUGUUCUUUUAUUUUCUGUCUUUUAUUAGCCGUUGGGUUUUACUACUCUUAUAUCCAACGGCUUGCCACAACAAGACAAAUGAGGUGGUACCUUCCAACUGCUGAAAGGUGGUUUUGGCCCCGAGUGAAACAGGGGAUGCACUUACUAUUAAGGACAGUUGGUGGCCAGCUAAUGCAUUCAUUUUAUGUCCUUUCGUCUUUUUGAAUUAUUGAAGACAAGGGGCUCCUCGCUUUUACUGUAGGUAAGAUCCAGAUAAUCUCGAUUAUCAAAAUAAUUAUUUUAAAAUACCUUAAUUAUUUUUUUUUUUAUGUUGCGUUUAUUAAACUAGAAUAAAAAUGAGUUGAAAUCGGAAUGAGUAGGAACAAGAAUGAAAAUGAAAAUAAUGAAUGGGAAUCAAAAUAAGUUGUUUACUUGAACUAUAGAAAUCAAAAUCGUAAUGAGUUGAGUUACCAUUAAUGUGUUUAUUUUGUCUUGGAAUCAGAAUCGAAACAAAUUAGAUUGUAACAAAUUACUAAAAAGUACUUAAUGGAUUAUUGUUAUAAUUAUUAUUAUUAUUAAUUAAUUAAUUGUACAAAAUUUUAAUUAAUUAUAAUAACUAUAAUAAAAUUAUUAUAAAAAUAUAUUAACUAAUAAUAUUAAUAUAAAUUACUUAAUUAAAAUAAUAUAUUAAUUGUGAUUAUUUAUUCAAAAAAUAUAAUUAUUAAUAAUUAUUUUUAAUAAUAUAUUAAUUCAUAGUAAUAAUUAUAUAUAUAUAUAUAUAUUUAUUUAAUUGUAUUAAUUUUAUUUAUUUAUUAUUAAUAAUAAAUGAAUUAAUUAUUAUAAUUAUUGUUAAUAAUUAUUAUAAUAGUAUAUUAAUUAAUUAAUUACAAUAAUAAUAUAUUAAUUAAUGUGAUAUUUAUUUAGGAACAAUAAUUAUUAAUAUAUUAUUGUUAAUAAUAUAUUAAUUAUUGUGAUUAUUUAUUCAAGAACUAUAAUUUUUAAUAAUUAUAGUUAAUAAUUUAUUUAUUUAUUUAUUUAUUUAUUAAUCAUAAUAUAUUAAUUAAUUAAUUAUAAUAUUAUAUUAAUUAAUUAUAAAAGAGGAUAAAGUGGAUAUUUUUAAUUUUGGGAAGGGCAAAAUAGUUAAUCCUAGGAAUGAGAGACUCUUUCUCACCUCUGCAUGGGAAUCAAUCUCUCAUUCUCUAUUCUCAAAUAGUAGUAGACCCCAUCAUUUCGAUUCUAAUUCUUACUCCAUAUUUGUGAAGUAAACAUCAUCAAUCAUUCUGAUUCUGAAUUUUUGUGAAUGGAGAGAUGCCGGAGCAGAUCAGCAGGGUUUGAAUAUGACCUUUGGCGCUUGCUUUUUUUUGUGAUUUUUUUUUUUCAUUUUUUCCUUCUUGUCAUUUUAUCAUUUCUUUGGCUUUGUCUCUAUUGCGGGUGUUAUUGCAUGCUUACUGUUGCUUGACAAAGUUUGCUAGCUUUUCCUUUUGUUUAUUAAAUUUUUUAUGGUCACAAAGAAUUACUUGUUCUAUUUGAGAGUGAUAUGAAUCAAUUUUUCAAUUAUAUAUUUUGUGGUCAAUGUGAAUUCAAUUUCAUUUGUCUCCCGCAAUUAUGAAAAAAUUACAGUCAUAAUAUGGAAAAGUACACCGGCAAAAACUUUGUAAAAGCUUCGGAGUGAUACGGGGAAUUCACUUACUACUAAGGACAAUUGGUGGCAAGCUAUUCCAUUCAUUUUAUGUCCAUCCAUCUAUUUAGUUAUUGAAGAUAAGUGGUCCAUUUGUAAAUUUCAGAUUGUCUCUCUCUCCCUCUUGAAAUAACAAUAUUUAAUAUAUCUCUUAAAUUAUUAUAAAUUUUAAUUUACUCUCGAUUUAAAAUGGAGCAUGUCGAUAAAUUUUUUUUCUUCUUAAUAAAAUUGACGUAAGUUGUGUUUACAGUAGUUUGAAGUUUGAAAUAUUUUAAAGAUUAUUAUUCUAUAAGGGAGUAAUAUGAAAUGAAAUUUACUUUUCAUGUGUGAACUGAAAAAGGACGAAGCAAGUGUCCCUACUUUUAUUUUAUUUCAAGGAGGAGUCAUCUCACAUACUUAAGCUCUUAACAUUACAUUUUUUUUUGUUACAUUUUUUUUUUAAUUUUUUUUUUUACACAUGCGUGUGGGUUGCUUAUCUGUAAGCUCCUUAAUAUAUAUUUAACACAAAUCAUGAAAAAGAUGGGAUUAUAUCAAGAUGAUCAAAGCAUGUAAAAAAAGAAAAAAGAAAAAAAAAUUAAGAAGUAAGACACUGAAAAUGGAGAAGAGACGGAAGCAAAAGAUAUUCCAAAACAAAGCAAUAACAAAGCAAUCUAUCCCCUUUCGAGGGCAGACUCAACAGGUUUAAAAAAGUACAUGCUUUGGAUUGGUAGUUGCAAUCAAGGGAAAAUAAAUAGGAUCCAAUGAAAUUUAAAUCUUGGAGAAAAUAAAUAAUCAUGCAGAUUUUCAAGAUUUUAAUAAGGGAUACUAAUAUCUUAUUUUGAUUAAUAACAUUCUUUCACUGUGUUAACUCAAAAAAAAUAUUAUAAUGCUUUACAAUAAAUACAAAUGUCCUAUUAAAUGAAUAUAUAAAAAAUUUAGAAUAUUUAGAAUAUUAUAUAAAAUAAUUUUAAUAUAAUGCGUGAGAUAUAUUUUAUUAAUUUAAAAUGUCAUUUUACCUAAAAAAUAUGAUAAAUUAAUAAUUACAUGUUUGAAGUUAUUUCAAAUAUUAAAAAAAUUUAAUAUUAUUAGUCUUUUAGAUAGAUUAAAUUAUUUUUUAAAGAGAUAGAUUAAAUUAUUUUAAAAUACCUUAAUUGUUUUUACUUUAAACAUUACCGGCCUUUCUUUUAUUUUAUUGCAAAUUAAUGCUAACAAGAAAAAGCUAGAUCAUAUUCCGCAAAAGCAAAAGUGACAAACACAACCAGCUGGAAUCUUUUAUAAAACUACAAAUUAAAAUGGAUUUUUUUUUUGAUAAAUUACACAUGAAAGUGGAUUCUUUUGAAUAUAAGUGGGGUAGGCUCUUUUAUUUUAUUUUUGAAUAUUGUAUAACGGGACUGUAGACUCUUUUAUUAAACUACAAAUUGUAUAGUCUUUUUAAAAUUGUUAUGAAUUAGUGGCCCCUACAAUCCUCAACAAUUGUACCAAUAUUCACAAGUUGGUGGCCCCUACAAUUCUGUUCCGAUAAUUUAACUGUGCAAGUCCUCAUUCACAAUCUUCCAGGUCAUGCUCUCAAUAAUUGUUUUUUUUUUUUUUUUUUUUUUUUUUUUUCUGCAUUCCCUUUCAUGCUCUUAAUAAUUGAAGAGCAUACUUUUCAUUUUCAAAUGUGGAGCCGCAUCUAAUGUCGCUAAUUUAAUUUGGGAUUAAAUUAGGGGACCAUUAUAUUGCAGUGUGCACUAAUUUUUGUGUUUAUCUAAACUCUUUAAGUUUAAGACAUAUUAUGGCAUAAAUAAGAAUAUAACAAUAACAAAAGAGUUAGAAAGUGUAGAGAAGAUCUUGCAGAAAUAUAAAUAAUAUCUAUUUUAAAAUAAUUUUUAAUAUUUUAUGAUCCAUUAGAUAUAUUUUAUUAUAUUAAAAUAAAUUUUAUAAUAAAUAAAAACAUCCUAUUAAAAUGAAUAUAUAGAAAAUUUAGAGUAUUUUAAGUAUUAUAUAAAAUAAUUUUAAUAAAAUAUGUGAGAUAUUCAUAGUUUAUUAAUUUAAAAUACCAUUUUAAAAUUAAAGAUUUAUUUAUGAUAAAUUAAUAAUUAUAUUUUUGAAAUUACUUCAAAUAUUAAAAAAUUAAUAUUACUAAUCUAUUAGAUAGAUUAAAUUAUAUAUAUUAUUUUCUAUUUAUUAAAAAAUUAAAAUUAUUUUUAAUUACUAUUCAAAAAAUAUAAUGAUAAAAAAAAAUCUUAACAUCUUUAUUAAAAAUUUAAAAAUUUACAUGAUCAAUUCUCUAAAUAUUUAGGGUAUAUGUGAACAUCGGUGGAGAAGCUUUAUUUAAUAUUAUUGAUUUAAAUAAUAUGUCAAUUAAAAAUGCGCGGAGAAGAAAUUUCGGUGGGUAUUUUAGUCUUUUCAGCAAUUAUCAUGAUCAGAUCAGCCUUUAGCUUGAAACGUCGGUCAGAAAAGUUUUAAAAUUAAUGCUAACAAGAAAAAGCUAGGUCAUAUUCCACAAAAGCAAAAGUGACAAAACAACCAGCUGGUUUUUUUUACUAAACUACAAAUUAAAAGUGGAUUCUUUUGAAUACAAGUGGGACAGACGAUUAGGCUCUUUUUAUUAAACGCAAGUAAAAAGUAGUCGAAUAGUCUUUUUUCAAAUUAUUGUUUUAUUAUUUUUCCUUCAAAAGUUAGUGUGGCUCAUGUUUGCAGGUGCGAAUGUCAGAUCACAUGCGAUGGUGCUUUUUUCAAUCGUUGCUUGGAUUGCUUUCUUGGAAAAGCAGCAUACAUACGUAACCUCCAAGAUAAUCUUGAUGCCUUGGAGACUGAAUUGGGAAAUCUGAUCGCUAGAAAGAACGAUGUGAUGAGGAGGGUUGUCGAUGCUGAACGGCAACAAAUGAGAAGGCUGGACGGAGUGCAAGUGUGGGUUUCGAGGGUGGAUUCUGUUAAAACUGAAGCUGAUCAAUUUAUAAGAGACGGCUCUCGAGAAAUUGAAAAAUUAUGUGUUGGAGGCUACUGUUCCAAGAAUUGCAUGUCAAGCUACAAGUUCGGGAAAAAAGUGGCUAAAAAGCUACGGGAUGUGCGGACUUUAAUCAGUGAAGGAGUUUUUGAGGUGGUGGCUGACAGAGCUCCAGAGUCUGUAGCAGAUGAAAGACCUACUGAGCGAACAGUAGUAGGCUUGCAAUCACAACUUGAACAAGUCUGGAGAUGUCUUGUAGAAGAAUCAGCGGGAAUCAUUGGCCUAUAUGGCAUGGGCGGUGUUGGUAAAACUACACUACUGACCCAUAUCAACAAUAAAUUUCUCGAGAGUCCAACCAACUUUGAUUGUGUGAUUUGGGUUGUAGUUUCAAAAGACCUGCGACUCGAAAAAAUUCAAGAAGAUAUUGGGAAAAAGAUAGGUUUGGUUGGUGAUUCAUGGAAGAGUAAAAGUGUAGAGGAGAAAGCUGUCGACAUCUUCCGGAGUUUAAGAGAGAAGAGAUUUGUAUUGUUGUUAGAUGAUAUAUGGGAGCGGGUUGAUUUAACAAAGGUGGGCGUUCCACUUCCCGGACCAAAAAAUACUACCUCAAAAGUCGUAUUCACAACCCGUUUCAUCAAUGUUUGUGGUACCAUGGAAGUUGACAGGAAGUUUCAAUUAGCAUGCUUAUCAAAAAAGGAUGCUUGGGAACUGUUUCGAGAAAAAGUUGGGGAAGAAACUCUUCAGAGUCAUCAUGAUAUCGAUGAGCUAGCCCAAAUUGUGGUCAAAGAGUGUGGUGGUUUGCCGCUCGCACUUAUUACUAUUGGUCGAGCUAUGGCCUACAGAAAGAAAGCGGAGCAGUGGAGUCGUCCAAUUGAAGAGUUAAGGAGAUCAGCUUCAGAGUUUGCAGGUUUGGGAAAAAAAGUGUAUCCUCUUUUAAAAUUCAGCUAUGAUAGUUUACAGAAUGAUAGGGUUAGAUCUUGUUUCUUGUACUGUUGUUUAUAUCCUGAAGAUUAUGGCAUUCUUAAAUGGGACUUGAUUGAUUGUUGGUUUGGCGAGGGAUUUUUUGGGGAAUCUGACAGGUUUGGUGCAGAAAACCAAGGAUAUGACAUUUUGGACACUCUUGUUCGUGCAUGUUUAUUAGAAGAGGUGGAAGAUGAUGAAGUUAAAAUGCAUGACGUUAUUCGUGAUAUGGCUCUAUGGAUAACUUGUGAAAUUGAGAAGGAGAAGAGAAACUUUUUGGUUCGUGCAGGUGCUGGAUUAAAAGAGGUACCGGGUGUUAAAGGAUGGGAAAAUGUGAGAAGAUUGUCAUUGAUGCAAAACCAAAUUGAAACUCUGUCAGAGGUUCCCACAUGCCCUCAUCUCCUCACUUUAUUUCUUGACUUUAAUCAGGAGUUGGAGAUGAUCGCGGAUGGCUUCUUCCAACUUAUGCCUUCUCUCAAAGUUUUGAAGAUGUCAAACUGUUCGAAUUUGAAAUUACCUGUUGGGAUGUCAGAGUUGGGUUCAUCACUAGAACUUCUCGAUAUUUCAGAAAACAGCAUAACAGAGUUACCGGAAGAGUUAAAGAAGUUGGCAAAUCUGAAAUGUUUGAAUUUGGGGUGGACAAGGGAGUUAAAUAAAAUUCCACGGCAACUAAUAUCAAAUUCUUCAAGGUUACGUGUGUUGAGAAUGUUCGCUACUGGCCGGUUCAAUUUUCAUGAAGCACCAGAAAACAGCGUUUUAUUUGGUGGGGGUGAAGUUUUGAUACAGGAAUUGCUCGGUUUGAAAUAUUUAGAGGUAUUGGAGUUGACCUUGGGAAGUUAUCAUGCUCUCCAAAUUCUUUUGAGCUCAAAUAAGUUAAAAAGUUGUAUUCGAUCUCUUUUCCUCGAGUUGACCGGAGAUACAGCGUCAAUUAUUGACGCUACGGCUUUCGCAGAUCUAAACCACCUCAAUGAAUUAUGGAUUGAUAAUGGUAUUGAGUUGGAAGAGUUGAAGAUUGAUUAUACGGAGAUAGUACGAAAAAGGCGGGAACCUUUUGUUUUCCGCAGCCUUCACUGUGUUACUAUGAUUUCGUGCCGUAAAUUGAAAGAUUUGACAUUCCUCGUUUUUGCUUCAAACCUCAAGUCUCUUCGGCUACGCAAUUGCUAUGCUAUGGAAGAAAUAAUCAGCGUCGGAAAAUUUGCUGAGACUCCUGAGAUGAUGGGACGUAUAAGCCCUUUUGAAAAUCUCCAAAUGCUUGAUUUACAAGGUUUGCCACAUUUGAAGAGCAUCUUCUGGAAGCCAUUGCCUUUCACUCAUCUGAAAGAAAUGGAGGUACUUAGGUGCGAUCGGCUUGAAAAGCUUCCACUCGAUUCCAACAGUGCAAAGGAGCGCAAAUUUGUUAUUCGUGGAGAAGAAGACUGGUGGAACCGACUUCAAUGGGAGGAUGAAGCCACUCAAAUUGCUUUUCGUUCCUGUUUUAAAAGUGAUGCUUUAUUUAUAUCUUAUUCGUGAAAAGUGAUUUAAUUUCCUGCCAAAAGACGAACGAGAAGAACAUUAGAGUCAAACUAAUGCUCACAUAAAUUUCCCAUAAGAAUAUAUAAUUAGACUGGAAUGCACACCUCUAGAUUGAACAGAAUUAAAGCUGAGAAGAUAUUGAGUAUAGUAGCCCUCUUUACAGAAAAUGACACGAAAGUUAAUUUAGAAAGAUAUAUUCUUGAUUAAUCCAUUUUCUGAAGUUUUUAUUUUGUAUGGUCAAUUAUACCUUCAUACUAAAAAUUUCUGAAGUUAUAAAUUAGUGCAACUUGACAAUUUUUACUGAUGAUAUCUUCUAUUUUUCCUUUUUUUUUUUUUUUUCACUUUCAUAGACUGGCAGCGGAUCCUGCGGCACCAAUUUGAGAGAAUAUACUGACACUACUUCGAACAGCAAGCAGAAUAUGUCUACGGCAAAGGCAAUGCAGUCCUCAUUUUGGCUUGAGAUGCAGUAAUCAUCGAAGAGAGUUUCCUUGUGAAACUGGGCAACACAUUGAAUCCCUUCGCCACUGAGAAGGUUGUGGAGGAAGUAAGCUUUCUCUCCAGUGAGGAAGAGGUGGCAUAUACCUUCCCCAUUUUGUCGAGGGCAGGUAGGAAUCUUUUUUCUAAGAGAUUUACUUCGUUCUCUGUAAGAAAUGCUUUGAACUUCAUCCCUCUGUCUCUAUCCUCACUUAUCAGGAAAUAAGUUGAAAGCACUAUGAAGAGAGAGAGAGAGAGAGAGAGAGAGAGAGAGAGAGAGAAUUAAGAUAUAGAGACAAGAAAAAUAUUAGACGUUGAUCUUACAAACUAAUACUUCAAGCAGUAUCCUAGAAAGCUAAAAACUGCAAGAUGGCUUGAAAUUUGAAAAGAGCACGUGCUUUUCCUCCUUAACUUGAGAAAAUGUUUAAUAUAGUGCACCUUACAGAAGCAUUUAAGCAAUUAGAACUUUGCACAAAAACAUCAAGAAGACUAAACAAGUCAGAUGCAGUGCAUUUGUCCAAGCACAAAUUGCAUUUUGUCCUCAACUUUAAUAUUUAUUGAUGAGAAUCAAUACAGGUCCCUCAUUUGUUAUAGAAAGCUUUCUUUCUUGUAGUCUCACCAGUUAAUUCACAGGUCUAUAAUCAUCUUGCAAAGUUAAGGGCAUUUCUUUCGAUCUAAAGUCUUUGCAUCACCACCUCAUCACACGCCAAGCCAAUAUUCCAUUUACCUCUACAACAAAAAGUUUUAAUUAAACAAUCCUAAUGCACGCAGCCAAAUAAAAUGCAGUAAGAAUAUUCAACUUAAAAAUCUGAAAGCCAACUUGGUGAAUUGCCUCCUUAGGUGAAGUUCCAUGCUUUACUAUAGUUGACAGAACUCAGCAAAAGCUUCCAUACAACAGAUUUUGAAAAUGAUGAUGCCAACAGAUACUUAUUCAAUCCAUUGAAACUCCAAAGGUUCAUUGUUCAUAGAAGUUUACAGAGUUUUGGUCAUCAAAUAGCUCAGACCUAAUCCCAAACAAAAAACGAGUGAAAAUUAGAUCACGAGCAGCUAAUUGUAAAUUCUAACUUAACUCUUCAUCUCCUUUGUAAACAAGAAACAAAAUGGAGACACGCAAAAUGAAUAUGGAGAAAAUUUGAACUCAAAUGAAAUGAGGGCACAAAAGCAAACAAAUGGCAUGCACCAAAAAACCAAGCCUCAAUCAAAAACUAAUUAACCAUUAAGAAAAAAAUUGCCCAGAGAAUGAACUCCAAAUUCAGGAGUCAAGCAAGAACCUUUCAUUAUUUCAGAAGCUCCUGUACAAAUUAAUAAGUUAUGCUCUUUGGAAGCAAACCUAAAUUCCAAGAGAAACAGAACCCAAAAAAAUUUGCAAUUAUACGCAAAGGAAGUGAAGCACAGGAUUCUAUCACACAUAGGAAUUGUAUAACAAGAGAUCGAUAUAUCGAAUUAGAAAACUCAAUUCGAAUUUGUGUCAAAAAUCAAAAUUAGAAGAUUUCACAUUUCGAGAGGAACAAGCAACAGAUGAAGUUCAAAAUUUCAGCCAUAACAUGCUAAAAAUGCUGCACUUAACGGUUCAUUUUCAUGGAUUUUCUCGGGAAACAAACAGAAAAUUACGGUUUAGAGAGUUGACUGACCUUUUGGCUUUUGAAAUUGAGAAGAUCGCACGCCAAAUUGGAAGAGGGAAAGUGAAAGUGCGAGUUUUAAUAUGGGUAUUAGAUAAGGAAAUUUUAUUAGGUUGCGAGGGUAAAAAAGGAAAGAGAUAUCAUUGUUUUAUUAUCGAUAAUUAUUAAAUUUUUUUCCAAAAAAAAAACAGGCAAGGAUAUUUUAUUGUCAUUUGCAACCUUUAAUUUUUUUAAAUGCUAUUAGAAACACAAGACAACAAAGAAAUACUUAUUUUUUUCUAAAACUAAAAUCAACUGUUUAGGGCCCGUUUGGUAUUGUUUCUAAAUUUAUAUUUUCUGACAAUAAAAAUGAAAAUGAAAAUGAUGUUUUGCAGUUGCUGUAUUUUAAAUUUAAGUAUACGUUUGGUAUCAUUUUCUAUAUCCUAUAUUUUAAAAUUAAAAAUAAUAAUAUGUGUUUGGUAAACACAUUUGAAAAUAAUAAAAACAGAGAAUAUGCGUUUGGUAAUACUUUUUUUAAAAAGAGUUUUUACUAGUAUUUACGUCAUAUUUAUAGUUAUAAAAUAAUUAUUUAGCUAAUACAUACACAAAUACAACAUAAUAAUUUAAACAAAAUUAUUAUAAAAAAAUUACAUGAUAAUAAAGUUUUAGAAUUAGCAUUAAUUAAAAAAAAGUUUUACAUUGUCAUUAUUUUUACACCAUAAUUAAGAUAUAUAUUACAACACAUGAUUUAAACAAAAUAAUUAUAAAAAAAUUACAUGAUAGGCAUUAUGCAUUACGCAUGUAAUCAUGCCACAUAAAAGCUGCAAUUCUAUCUCUUAUAGCAUUCAUCUUUGCGACACUUGAAGGAGAUAAAUCAAUAUUAGUAAGUGACCUACUAGUGUCUCCUUCUUCGUUGGUAACCAAAUCUUGCACAUCAAAGUCUCCAAAUAACCUAUCACAGGCAAUAAAUUCAAAUUGUGAAUCCCAUCUAAAGCAAUAAAUUGAAAUUACAGAUUGUUUGAUUGGAUUGAAUCCUAUCCUGGGCAAAGCUUGAAAAAACUUUAUUUCUCUCUAGUAACAAAAGUCCUAUUUGCCUAAUGCAUUUUCUCUGUAAAAAAAAAAAAAAUUGGAGUGACAUGCAAUAAAUUCAACUUGUGCAUCAUCAACAAAAUGGAAUUUGGAGUAAAAUCAACAUCAUGGCAAUGACAAUCGUGAACAAUAUCAUCUUUACAUGCUAUUAAAAACAAUUAAAAUCACUCAAAUAAUUUCUGAAAUUUUUAUUAAAUUCUCAGGUUUUUUUUUUUCAUUCUAAAUGUCAUAUAUACAAAUUCAUUACUGUCCAAAAACAUCCUACUUUAAGAAAUAUUUAAAAGUUAAUUAAGUAAAAAAUCUUGUAAAUUAUAAUGUCUUUUUUUUUUUUCGUUUUAAAUUGGUUUCCAAAGAAUGAUGUCUAUGCUUACAGAAGCAAAACAUGCCAAACAGCAGCAGCGACAUUUUGUGAAUUGUUUUUAACUUAAACAAAACAAAUACCGGCAAGUGACAGAUCCGAGAGAGCAACAGCAGCUGGCGUGAAGACGAGCAGCAACGGCUGAGCAGAGCAACAGCGGAAACAGAGCAGCAGCGAAGACGAGCAGCAGCGGAGCAGAGCAGCAGCAGAAACAGAGUAGCGGCGGCUAUGGCGGAAACACAGCAACGACAGUGGUUGAGAGUGCAGAUUUGCUGAGGAAAGGGAGAGAGUGCAGAUUUAUUGCAACUGAAUCAAGAAGGCUGCGGGGGAAAGGGGAAGAGAGAGAGGCAAUGAAGAGAUAAGGAGGAGAGAGUGGAUCGGGAGAAAUAAAGAGAGAGAAAGAUGUUGGAUGAAGAUAAGGGGAGGGAGAGAGUGCAGAUUUGCUGCAACUGGAUGAAGAAAGUUGGGGGGAAGAGAGAGCGGCAGUGAAGAGAUAAGGAGGAGGUCACGAUUUUUCUUUUGUUUUUUAAUUCAUUUUUAGGUUUAGGUGGCGUUUGUUUUUUUGUCUGAAAUCUGAAUAGACUUGAAUUAGUCUGAAUUCUGAAUAGGUCUGAAUGUCUGAAUCUGAAUAAUAUGUUUGUUUUUUCGUCUGAAUCUUGAAAAAUAAGUAUUAAGUUGUUUGUUUUUUUCAACUUAAAAAGCUGAAAAUAUAUACUUUUACAUUUGUAUCCUUAUUAAAUUUGAAUGUCAAAUAAAUAAUAUAUUAAAUACCACAAUAUUUUAACAUUUAUAAGUAAAACUAUAUUCAAGUGAAUACAUAAUUAUUUUAGAAUUUUAAUAUAUAAAAUACCAUAAAUUUCAAAUUUUAUCGUAUAUAAUAUAAGAAAGAAAAAACAGGGAUAUUUUUAUGUGGGGUAGAUAUCUAUGGGUGAGUUUUGGGAUAGACAUGAAAAAUAAAUUAUAAAACAUGGAUAUUUUUGACAUUAGCAAGUAAUUGACUUAAUUUAGAUUUCUCCAUUAAGUAAAAAGCCAAAAAAAUUAGCUUAUUUUAUUAAGUCAAAAUUAUUUAAAAAUUCUCAUUAAGUUAUAAAAACAAACAACUCUAAUUAACUUAAUUAAUUAAGUUAAGUCACUUUAAGUCAUUAAGUUAAAAAACAAACGCAACCUUAGUCUGUAAAAUUUGGAGAACAUGUUUAACUUGUUUUCAGUUGUAUAGUUAUAAUAAUGAAUCCGAAUUUUGUGUUUUGUAAUUUGUUUUGUGAAAAAAAUCCACCAAACAUGUUUUAUGUGUGUAUUAUAAAAAUGAAAACGCAAAUAUGGCUUGAAAAACGGUACCAAACGGGCCCUUAACUUCUUAUUUCAUAAUCCAACUCCAUUACUAAGUUAAAAAAAAUUGUUUUAAAAUUACUUGAGUCAUAUCCAAUAGACCAACAAAGUAAUCGUUUUUAUUUUUAUUGAUUUUUGCAGGAAAUUAGUGGCUUAAAAAUACUGAAAGCUAUUGUAAAAAUCUUUAUUAUCAACCUCAUUGUUUUUUUUUUUUUUUGGGGAAGAGAAUUCAAUUUUUUUUUUUAAUGAAUAUCGCUGUUUCGUUUGAGUUGGAUGUGAAUUCAAAUUCAUUUGAGUUGGAUGUGAAUUCAAAUUCAAAUAUUCUUUGUUUUUCAAUUCUGAACUCGAUUUCUUUUUCUCAAGAAUGUUAUGUAGAAAUGAUUUUUACUAAAUCAUUUUUGAUGAAUUGUUUAAAUUAAACAAUUGGAAUAAGAAUUGUAACGAUUUAUCAUAAGCGCGCUAAUAUGAUAACUUGUUUUACGAAAGAUUAAUUAAUCAAUUAAUAUUAAAUUAUAUAUUAGUCAAUUAUAUAUGUGUUACAUUUGUCAUGGUUUGUGCGUGAUACUACAUAAUUUCUAAAAGAAUAUAGUAAAAACACGUUAAAAUGUUAUUUUAAUGAAUAAAAUUUUAUAAUUUUAUUAAUUAGGUGACACAAUAAUAAAUGGAUUUCUGUAAGAAUUGAGUUUCUUGAGAUAAUUAUUACAUAAGGAGAAGUUUAGUUGGUUCAAUUUUGACAUGUUAAGAAGAGCAUCACAGCACAGAAAACACAAAUUGCCACUUCCACUAAUAAAAGAUACCUGUUUGAAAAGUAAUUAUAAACUAUCUUCUUUGUGUUAUUUCUCAAAACUUUUGUGGCACAAAUGUUAUUUCCAUUGACAACAGUACGAAAUACCACCCCUUUCACUUGAGCAGGAGCAAAGCAAAGGUAUGAUGAGCUAUCUCUGUAUAAUUGAAACGCCAUUACUAAACGAUUCUUGAUGAUGGGAGCCACCGUGCCAGCUUUGUCGCUGAUUUGGUAUUAUUCUUAACUUGCAGAUAGUUGUGGAUAUGAUAUGCAAAAGGUAAGGACUAUAUCUUCUUGAUGGAGGCCUCUGAUUUUUUCCCUUCUAUGUAAUUUAGUAAAUCGCAUUUUCCUUUGUGAUUGAUAUAUCAUACCAAAGUCAAGUCUUAAAUACUGCUGUCAUAUGUUAAGGUUCAACUUCCAUUUUGAUUAACGUCCAUCUGCUGCUGCUUCCAAAAGUGAGAAUGAGAUACUUUGGUUAAUUUCAGUAGUUGAACCCAAUAGAGUACUUUAUUUAGAUCUUCAUGGUUCAAAGGCCUGAAAAAACUUGCCGGUAUUUGGAAAAUGACAUUCUGUGCUUUUAUUUAGACUUAUUAUUUAAGUGAUAAAAACUCCCGUAACCUGCUGUCAAGAAAAUUUCAGAUUGUUAAAAGACAACAUUUUGUUUCGGCCAAAAAUGUUUGUUUCGAUUAAAGACUUGAACCAUUUUCAUUUAACCUUGAUUGUGAUGCUUUACAUUAUGCAUGUUCCUCUCAAUCAAUAAAAGUUGAGGUCAUGAUUUUAUAUUUCUAUUUUGUAACUUGAAAUAAUUGGUCUGCCUGUUUCUGUAGCUUGAUAACAUGAAUUUUUCCUUCUGAAGUUAAUUUGAUCAAUAAAGUAAUUCUUCGGAGAUGAUAUGCCCAUUCUAUAGUCAUUUUCUUAGCUAACAUGUUUUUUCUUCACUCUUCAGAGCAUGUCUAAACUAAUUGAUCGCUCAGCGGAGACUUUGGGUGAGAAGACAAAAUUUCUUAGUAAAUCCUCUGAAAAGGUAUGCAUAAUUCUCGAGUAUUAAAUAACCAUUGGUCAUAAUUUUUGUUCUUUUUUUGGAGAUCGUUAAAAGUGGUUGAUGACCUAUUUUUUACUAUCAUAGAGGGAUCAUGAAUUCCUUUUCUUUUCUGUGGCUCGGCAACACUUUCGGGCCAAACUAAGGAAAUCUAUUUUAGGUAAUGUAAAAACCAGUUGUAGGAUGUAAUAGUUUAUUAUGCCCUGACAAUAACUUUUUGUAUAAUUGUCAGUUUAAUGAAUACAAGAGGAACUCUGUUGGCAAAUUCAUCCAUGAUAGAAUAUAGAUGCUAAAAUUAUUUAUGCAUACCAGUUGCCUUAACUAAUUUUUCUCAACACUGGUAUUGAACAGGAAAAUGAAUAUGCAAUUUGUAUAUUGUGCCAUUGUGGAGAAUUUGGAUAUUCUUAUUUAAGUAUCAAGGAGAGUAUUUGCCUCAUCUUUAAACAAUGAAUCUUUGAGAAAUGAGGAGUGGGUGAUUGGCAGUGUCUUCAUGUAAAUGUUCAUUUAUUUGUAUUUUGAACUAUUACGAGAAUCUUUGUGUGCCAAAUUAGUAAUACAAAUGUUCAGAUGAUUUUUCCUGUUGAUCAUGCGCGUGUAUCUGCACACAACCAUUGUGUACCACUUUAUUCUGAUGCGCAAAUAUCUGUAGUUUAGAAGAAAAGAAAUAAUAAUCAUAUAUUAUUGCUUGGUUCAUGAUUAUUAAACGAUUAUGGCUUUAGAAAAUCCACAAAUCCUUUGUGUUCAUAUAUGAAUGUGCAAAGUUUGCUAUAUCUUAGAUUACCUUCUUCCAAGAUAACAAGUUCAUAUAUUUUUUUUAAUCCUUUUUCAUCACAGUUGAAUUUCAAGUGUAAGUUUUGUUAUUAAUAGCUGGUGUCCUGUUAUUAUGAUUUCAUAAACAGUGAGCGGAUAUGUGCUCUACUUUUGGAGGGCCUCCACAUGAAAGAAAAUUGCAACAAUUGAAUUCUUCUGGAGGUUAUGGUAUUUAAUUUAUUUUCUCAGCUUGUUGAAAGACUAAUAUAUUUCCUUCAGUACGCACGGCGUGGUGGGAAGGGUUUUUAUUGAAAGAAUUAUGAUAUUUCUUAGACUUUGUUUUGGAAGGGGGUGGAGGGAUUUCUCAUCCAUAUAUGGUUACUUGAUUAGCUUUUGACUGUAUUGUCUCCGUCGUGCAAAGGAAAAUCCAAAUACUAACGAAGGGGAAUUGCUUAGGCACCCAAAAGACAGAAAUGAAUUACAGAAGGAAGUUUUUGCUGCUUUAUUUAGUGCUGCUGAGAAAUCUGAUGGAUUUCCUGAAAUUACGGUGAAGACGGAGUGGAGGUCCAACGCAUUAGGAAAGGUGGUGAGUGAACCGCCGGAGGAAUUAGUACCAGAAUACAAGGCUAAUGUGGUGCACUUGCAGCAAGAUGACCAGACCUGUAUGUGCUCUUAUAUUAACUAUAUUGUUGGAUUUGUGAGUGUGUACAUUUUUGUGUGUAUACUCACUUUUGUAUUUAUGCAUAUUAACGUGUGUAGGAUUCUUGAUUUCUGCCACUUACUGGAGAACUAGUGGAAAGCUUUAUACUGAUAUAUGUGCUAUAACUAAUGGAAACUACGAUAUGAAUAUUUUCUCUCACCUGGAGAACUGUAUAACAGAUAUAAUUUGUGGCUCUGGAAUACUGAAGAUUCUGCAAUAACUAAUGGAAAAUAUGAUAUGAAUAUUUUUUCUCACCUGGAGAACUUUGUAACAGAUACAUUUUGUGGCUCUGGAAUGUCUAAAGAAUGCUUCAGUUUAGAUCAAAUAUCUUUUAGUUAGAAAAGAUAAAAUUCUCUGAAUCUGAAAGACUGAAACAUUUUGCAUAUUUUGUGAAAGGGUAGUAUCUGUAGAUACUAGCUCAUGCAUUGAGGUAAUAUCAGUGUUAAAGAAAAACAACAAUAAUUUAUUAUACAAAAUUAGGUUCACUUGCUUUAAAUGCUGGUCUGAUCAACCAUAUCAACCUGUAAUGGUUCUGCAGAAAUAUAUAUACGGGGAGAAACUAGCUAAAUUUUCCUUUCACUUAUGGGUUUGGUCUUUUUUUCCCCUAUUUUUCAGCUUUCCUUCUCCUGAAGUAUGUUAACAAUUGCAGAUAAUGACGAAGAGGACCGCUUCCAGGCUCUUUGUAGAGCUGUGAUGGAAUAUAGGGGCACAAUGAAGGAAUAUUGUAAGGCUGUAGGUACUUUCUCUCUUGUCAUUUAUGUUUUCUCACACAUUUUGUAUAUGCCCUGAACAUGCAGCUUUGUAUGUGUCAAUUGCCUUUUACAUUUUAAAAGCCAUAAAGUAAGAAUACAGUUCCUUGUCAGGCUAUUGAUGCGUUCGCUCAGAAGGGUCAUGUUCAAGCAGGAAAACUUCUAGAACAUGUAAGGUUUCCAUCUACAGCCAUCCAUUGACAGUGUCAAAGUAUUUGGCUGCAGCUUCUAGAAGCUACAUCUAGAAGCUUUGAUGCAGCAAAUGUUGAAGGCACCGCCAAGGAGAAAAAGAAGGAAGAAUGAAGAAGAUGUUGCAGAAGUUGAUCUUGACAAAUGAUGGUUGGAACGCCAAAAUGGAAGAAAGAAAAAAGGUUGGAACACGGCUUUGAAGAAGCCACGAGAAGAAUAAAGAAAAUAUUAAAAUAAUAGCUAAUUUUGGCUAUAUAAAGGAAGCUCCCCUUUUUUUGGUUUGUGUAUCCAAUCCUCAGUUUCUCUUCUUCAUUCAGAGAGUGUUUCUUUGGGGUGUAUUUGGGGAUUAGGUGAGAGAAAAUUAUUUCUGAAAGAGUGGUUGUAAUAAUUUUCCACAUAGUGAAUAUUUUUUCUCUGGUUGUCUUUUUGACAACGGCCGUGGUUUUUCUCCAUAUUUGGAGUUUUCCACGUAAAUCUUGUGUUGUGGGAUUGAUAUUAUUUUUCAUUUAAUUUUUCUUGUUAAUUUGUUAAUUGAAAAAUUGCUUGGAGAGAUCCUGGGAGGAAGCUCAAUUUCCUAACAGUGGUAUCAGAGCCAUUGAUUGAAGUUUUUUGGUGUCGGGGCACUGCUCACGUAUACGGUACUGUUUACGUAUACGGUACUAUUCACGUGAAGCAGUGGGAGCCAAUCCAAACAGUUCGUGGUGAAGAGUAAAAGCUUAUCUGCAAAGCAAAUAUGUCAGGAUUGAAAUUUUCAAGUCCGGUGAAAUUUGAAAUAGAAAAAUUCGAUGGGAGAAUUAACUUUGGCUCGUGGCAAGUUCAAGUCAAAGAUGUGUUGAUUCAAUCUGGGUUACACAAGGCAUUGAAAGGGAAGCCAUCCCCUGCUUCCAGUAGUGGCUCUGGAAAAGCUAGUAUAAGUGAUGAAGAUUGGGAAGAAUUAGAUGAUCGAGCUGCAAGUGCCAUACGACUAUGUCUAGCAAAGAAUGUUCUUGCAAAUGUAGGAAAAAUUCCUACAGCGAAAGAACUUUGGGAGAAGCUAGAAAAGUUGUAUCAGACAAAGAGCAUCUCAAAUCGAUUGUACCUGAAGGAGCGAUUUCACACACUGCGAAUGGCUGAAGGUACAAAAAUUUCUGAUCACCUCAGUGUUCUCAAUGGUAUUGUGUCAGAACUAGAAGCCAUUGGAGUUAAAAUUGAAGAUGAGGACAAGGCGCUUAGGUUACUAUGGUCACUUCCAACUUCCUACAAACACUUGUUACCUACUUUGAUGUACGGGAAGGAGACAGUAGAUCUUGAAGAAGUUACUAGUACUUUACUCUCAGAAGAAAGAAGACUGAAUGGUGAAAGUACUAAAACUACAGAUGUCUCGGCUUUGGCAGUUGUAGGGAAUUGGCAGAAAGAUAAAUCUAAGAAGAAAGGAGUCUGCUGGGGGUGUGGACAAUCGGGGCACUUAAAAAGAGAUUGUCAUAGUAGAAAUAGAGUAGGAUCGGCAAGUGGCUCCAGAUUAGAUAUUGAUAGUAUUGCUAGUGGUAAGUCUCUCAUCAUCGUGGGAGACGAUGAUCCCUUAUAAAAUGGAUGAUGAUGACAUCCUCAUGGUAUACCGCUAGUACCAUGAAAGGGGAUAUGUUACUACUAGCGGGUCCACAAGAUUUACACACAAGGCAUGGUUGGCAUUGAUGCAGGGUGUGUGGUGGAAUUUAUGUCGAUGGCUGACAAACUUCCAGGAAGACCAACAUGGAAGUUGCACCAUAAAUUUCAGCAAGAUAUUUCGACAUGUGCCGAUGUAAAAUUCUUAGAAUUGUUAAUUAAUUCUAAGUGGUAUACUCUUUAUGGUGGAGUAUGAUAAUUCUCUAUGGUGAGGAUUAUGACUAAGGUGAAAAUAGUAAGGUUAGUGUGGAGAUUGAUUGAUUCUCAAUCAAAACUCCAAGUGGGAGAAUGUCAAAGUAUUUGGCUGCAGCUUCUAGAAGCUACAUCUAGAAGCUUUGAUGCAGCAAAUGUUGAAGGCACCGCCAAGGAGAAAAAGAAGGAAGAAUGAAGAAGAUGUUGCAGAAGUUGAUCUUGACAAAUGAUGGUUGGAACGCCAAAAUGGAAGAAAGAAAAAGGUUGGAACACGGCUUUGAAGAAGCCACGAGAAGAAUAAAGAAAAUAUUAAAAUAAUAGCCAAUUUUGGCUAUAUAAAGGAAGCUCCCCUUUUUUUGGUUUGUGUAUCCAAUCCUCAGUUUCUCUUCUUCAUUCAGAGAGUGUUUCUUUGGGGUGUAUUUGAGGAUUAGGUGAGAGAAAAUUAUUUCUGAAAGAGUGGUUAUAAUAAUUUUCCACAUAGUGAAUAUUUUUUCUCUGGUUGUCUUUUUGACAACGGCCGUGGUUUUUCUCCAGAUUUAGAGUUUUCCACGUAAAUUUUGUGUUGUGGGAUUGAUAUUAUUUUUCAUUUAAUUUUUCUUGUUAAUUUGUUAAUUGACAAAUUGCUUGGAGAGAUCCUGGGAGGAAGCUCAAUUUCCUAACAGACAGCAGAUACAUUUUCAUUGAGCAGACACUGUUAGCAUUCAAGAUGCUGGCAGAUUCACUUGAUUCUUAUUAGUUUGUUUAGUGGCAAAGCAUAUAACCUGUAUUUCAAAGCCAAGUUGUGCUAUUGAUUAUGUUAACUUUAUUGUUAACCUAAAGUGAUAUGGAGGACAUAAUCAAUGUAGGAAAAUUAGGUGAAGAGACGAUGUCAACUCUUGAACCUCUUACAAAGCUCCAAGUUCUUUACUUGAAGAAGCUGCCAAAUUUGAAGAGCGUCUACUGGAAGGCAUUUCCAUUCCCAGAUGUAUGCAGAAUUUUUGUAUUAAUGCCCAGUUCUUAAGAACCUGCCACUGGAUUUUCAAGGGACGGGCCAAGGUAAAAUUCUUAUCAAGGGAAAGGAAGAUUGGUGGAAAGAACUUCAAUGGGAGGAUCAAGCAACUCAGAAUGCAUUGCUUCCAUUUUUCAAAUCAACUGACAAGUGAUUGAAGGGGGCAUCAUCAACAUCAUCAACAGAGAUGGAGAGAUUCUGGAGCAGAUCAGCAGGGUUUGUAUAUGAUCUUUGGUGGUUGCUUUCUUUUGUGAUUUUUUUUUUCUUCCUGUCAUUUUAUCAUUUCUUUGUCUCUUUUUCUAUUGCUGAUGUUAGUGUAUGCUUACUGUUGCUUGACAAAGUUUGCUUGCUUCUUGUUUAUUAAAUUUUUUAUGGUCACAAAAUAUUACUUGUUCUAUUUGAGAGUGAUGUGAAUCAAUUUUCAAUUAUAUAUUUUGUGGUCAAUGUGAAUUCAAUUUCAUUUGUCUCCUGCAAUUAUGAGAAAAUUGCAGAGUCAUAAUAUGGAAAAGAACACCAGCAAAAACUUUGUAAAAGCUUCGGAGUGAAACAGGGAAUUCACUUACUACUAAGAACAAUUGAUGGCGAGCUAUUCCAUUCAUUUUAUGUCCAUCCAUCUAUUUAAUUAUUAAAGAUAAGUGGUCCAUUUAUAAAUUUUAGAUUUUCUCUCUUUGAAAAUAACAAUAUGUAAAAUAUCUCUUAAAUUAUUAUAAAUUUUAAUUUACUCUCGAUUUAAAACGGAACAUGCUGAUGAAAUUUUUUUCUUCUUACUAAAAUUGAAAUAAAUUGUGUUUGCAGUAGUUUGAAAUAUUUUAAAGAUUAUUAUUUUAUAAGGGAGUAAUAUGAAAUGAAAUUUACUUUUCAUGCGUGAAAUGUUGAAAAAGGACAAAGGAAGUGUCCCUGCUUUUAUUUUAUUUCAAAGUGGAGUCAUCUCACAUACUUUAGCUCUAACAUUACAAUUUUUCAGGUUACAUUUUUAUUUAUUUAUUUUCUUUUUUACACAUGCAUGUGGGUUACUUUUCCGUAAGCUCCUUUAUAUAUAUUGAACCCUACGAAGAAUGUUAUGGAAGAGCAAAUGAUAUUUCUGAUAGACUCUAUUUGAUUAUGUAGCCUGAAUGGAUGUCUUGUUGAAAGAUAUUUCAGUGCAUUAGUUCAUCCUUGUCUCUCAAUGUGUUUUUAAUGGUUUUUCCAAUUGUUUAUUAUUAUAGAUUGAUUGUAAAUUGAUAUGAAUUUAAUGUUGAAAUGUUUUCUCUUUAGUGGAAUGAAUUUAAAAGUGCAAAAGAUUAUUGCACACGGAGAAAUAAACAUAUAUGCUUUAUAACUUUAGCAAUCGAUUCUUUUACAGCUGGAAACAGAGAUGAUGAUUAUCAUAAGGAUGAAGAAAAGGACAAAAAUUGUCAAUGAUUAACGAAAUCUCUAUGCAAAUUGAUUUUAGCAGGAAAAAAGUGAGCUAAAUGAUGGAGACGAUUAGUGGUAAUAUUUCAUAGAGUUCCUUCCAAUCUUCUCAUGAAUCCCCUUUUUGAGUUAUAUUUAUUUUAUUUUUAAAAUAUCUUUUUUCUCUUUUACUACACUUCUAAUUUUUCAUUUUUUUUUAUUGUUAAACUCAAAGUAGUAUUGUGAUAUUUUUUAUUUAUUUUGCAAUCUUAUUAUUACUCUACACUUAAGUUAAAAAGUUUUAUAGGUGAUGAAUUUUUGAAUGUUAAUCAUUAGCUUAAAUUUCACAUAUUUUACAUUAUAAUUUGAAAUUUAGUACCAAAAUAUUUAAUCAAUAAGAAUUAUGAAAAGAUUAAUAGAUUAUUCUAAAUUUAUACAACUUAUUUUAGUUAGAUCAGAAGUAGCAGGUUAAAAAAAGAAAAGAUUGGUUAUGAAAUUUGUUGGAAAAAAAUCUAUGUGUGUUUAAUUUUUAUUCGUUGUUAACUCUAAUUAAAUAGGUUAAAUAAUUUUGUUAUUUUUUACUUAUCAAAAAAUUUAAGAUCAAUAUUUUUAGUUACCAUUUGAAGGAUAUUAUGACAAAAACAAAAUUUUCAUGUCUUUGUUAAAAAUUUGGGGGUUUGUAUAACUAUUUUUUCAAAUGUUAGGGGCAUAACUGUCUUUUUACUCUUAUAUAUAUGAACCAUGGUGGUGAAAAAGCGUGAUUUAAUGUUAUUUAUUUAAAUAAUAUCUCAAUUAAAAAUGUAAGCAGAAGAAAUUUUGGUGGGUAUUUUAGUCUUCUAACGAUUAUCAUGAUUAGGCCCUGGUCUUGAAACGUUGGUCAGAAAAAUUUUAAAAUGCGUUCAUUGUCUUUACUUUAAAAACGUUAUUUUAUUUUAUUUUAUUACAAAUUAAUGCCAACAAGAAAAAGCAAGAUCUAAUAUUCCACAAAAGGAAAUCGUAAUAUUCCAUAAAAGCAAAUAACCAGCUGGAUUCUUUUAUUGAACUACAAAUUAAAGUGGAAUCUUUUAUUAAACAACAAAUUAAAGUUCAAAUAUUUAAAUAGUAGUGCGUUAGACGAUUAGGCUCUCUUAUUAAAGGCAAGUAUAAAGUAGUCAAGAAUCGAACAUCUCUAUUGUCUAGUCUUUUUUUUUUAAUUCUUCUUUUAUUAUUUUUCAGAAUAGGUUUUGGUGAUUACUAUUGGGUUAUUAUUCAGAGUUAUUGUUAUCUUCCGGGGCAGUUUCUGUUAAUCGAAAUCGUUAAUUAAAAUUUUAGAACUCUUAUGGGAAGAAUGUUUUUCUGUUAUCUUUUUUAUAUUCUAAUUUCAACUGUAAGGAGUCGUUUUAGAAUUUGGGUCUGGAAUCGAAUUUCAAUGCAUGAAUUAAUAUUUUUAAAAAAAAUUACUACACGCAGUUUAGGUUACAAACUAUUUUUUGCAAAGUUGACUAUGAAAUUGGAGAAAUUAAGUAAUUUAUAAUGUUUGCAAAGGAAGAGACUAACAUACUUCCAAUUACACUAUCUCUCUAUUAUCAUAAUAUUAAGACUAAAGUAACUUUAAAUAAAUUUUAUUUGAAAAGUUAUAUCAAAUGCAGUCUAAUUUUAUUAACUUGAAGAGUUAAUAAUUAUAGAAAUUAUUGUUCUAACUUAAUUAGUACAAGUGGUAUAAAGGUUAAGUGUGCACUAAAUCUGUUUAAAUUUUUUCCAGAAUAACUAACAGAGGUCAUUACUAGAAUUAUAAUUACUAGUCUAUUAGAUAGAAAAAAUUAUUUAUAUUGUUUUAUAUUUAUUAAAAAAUUUUAAAGUCAAUCUUUUUAAUUACUAUUUAAAAAAUAUUAUAAUUAAAAAAAUUUAAUGUCUUUAUUAAAAAUUUAAAAAUUUACAUGACCGUUCUAUAAAUAUUUAAAGUGUAACUGUCAUUUUCUCAUAUAUAUAUAUAUAAAUCACGGUGGUGAAGCUUUAUUUAAUAUUAAUGAUUUAAAUAAUAAUAUCUCAAUUAAAAAUGUACAGAGAAUAAAUUUCGGUGGGUAUAUUAGUCUUUUACAAUUAUCAUGAUUAGCCCUUCCUCUUGUAACGUAGGUCAGAAAAGUUUUAAAAUGCCUUGAUUUCAAUUUCUGCUUUAUAUUUUUCCCCGUAUAAUGGGGAGAGGUCAUUACUAAAAUUUCUCUUCCACAGCAAUUACAGCAGCUUCAGUUAAUCAAACUCAAAUCAAUUUUCUUUCUUAACAAAAUUCCAAAGAUGUGUAGCAUUUUUCAGAUCACAUGCGAUGGUGCUCUUUUCAAUCGUUGCUUGGAUUGCUUUCUCGGAAAAGCAGCAUACAUAAGCAACCUCCAAGAUAAUCUUGAUGCCUUGGACACUGAACUGGGAAGACUAAUCGCAGCAAAGAACGAUGUGAUGAUGAGGGUUGUCAAUGCUGAACGGCAACAAAUGAGAAGGCUGGACGGAGUGCAAGUGUGGGUUUCGAGGGUGGAUGCUGUUAAAACUGGAGCCGAUGAAUUGAUGAGGCACAGCUCUCAAGAAAUUGACAAAUUAUGUGUUGGAGGCUACUGUUCCAAGAACUGCAGGUCAAGCUACAAGUUCGGAAAACAAGUGGCUAAAAAGCUACAAGAUGUGAAGACUUUAAUCGCCGAGGGAGUUUUUGAGGCGGUGGCCACUGAGGUGGUGCCCGAGAGAGCUCCGGAACCUGUAGCAGAUAAAAGACCCAUUGAGCCAACAAUAGUAGGCUUGCAAUCACAGCUUGAAGAAGUUUGGAGAUGUCUUGUAGAAGAAUCAGUGGGAAUCAUUGGCCUAUAUGGUAUGGGCGGUGUUGGUAAAACCACACUAUUGACCCAUAUCAACAAUAAAUUUCUUGAGAGUCCCACAAACUUUGAUUGUGUGAUUUGGGUCGUAGUUUCAAAAGACCUGCGACUUGAAAAAAUUCAAGAAGAUAUUGGGAAGAAGAUAGGUCUAUCUGAUGAUUCAUGGAAGAAUAAAAGUUUUGAAGAGAAAGCUGUGGACAUCCUGCUGAGAUUAGGAGAGAAGAGAUUUGUAUUGUUGUUAGAUGAUUUAUGGGAGCGGGUUGAUUUAACAAAAGUGGGCGUUCCACUUCCCAGCGCACAAAAUACUACCUCAAAAGUCGUAUUCACAACCCGUUCCAUUGGUGUUUGUGGCAGCAUGAGAGCUAGGCCGGUUAAAGUGGCAUGCCUAUCAGAAAAGCAAGCUUGGGAACUGUUCCGCGAAAAUGUUGGGGAAGAAACUCUUGAGAGUGAUCAUGAGAUCGUUGAGCUAGCCCAAACUGUGGCCAAAGAGUGUGGUGGUUUGCCACUCGCACUUAUUACUAUUGGUCGAGCUAUGGCCUACAGAAAGAAAGCGGAGCAGUGGAGACGUGCAAUUGAAGAGUUAAGAAGAUCAGCUUCAGAGUUUGCAGGUUUGGGAAAAGAGGUGUAUCCUCUUUUAAAGUUUAGCUAUGAUAGUUUGCAGAAUGAUACAAUUAGAUCUUGUUUCUUGUAUUGUUGUUUAUAUCCUGAAGAUUAUGGCAUUCUUAAAUGGGACUUAAUUGAUUGUUGGAUUGGUGAGGGAUUUUUGGGGGAAUCUGACAGGUUUGGUGCAGAAAACCAAGGAUAUGACAUUUUGGACACUCUUGUUCGUGCAUGUUUAUUAGAAGAGGUGGAAGAUGAUAAAGUAAAAAUGCAUGAUGUUAUUCGUGAUAUGGCUCUAUGGAUAGCUUGUGAAAUUGAGAAGGAGAAGAGAAACUUUUUGGUUUGUGCAGGUGCUGGAUUAAAAGAGGCACCGGAUGUUAAAGGAUGGGAAAAUGUGAGAAGAUUGUCAUUGAUGCAAAACCAAAUUAAAACUCUGUCAGAGGUUCCUACAUGCCCUCAUCUCCAUACUCUAUUUCUUGACUUUAAUAAGGAGUUGGAGAUGAUCGCGGAUGGCUUCUUCCAAUUUAUGCCUUCUCUCAAAGUUUUGAAGAUGUCAAACUGCUGGAAUUUUCAAUUACCUGUUGGGAUGUCAGAGUUGGGUUCAUCACUAGAACUUCUUGAUAUUUCACAUACCCGAAUACAAGAGUUACCAGAAGAGUUAAAGUUGUUGGUAAAUCUGAAAUGUUUGAAUUUGAGGGGUACAGGCCAGUUAAAUAAAAUUCCACGGCAACUAAUAUCAAAAUUUUCAAGGUUACUUGUGUUGAGAAUGUUGGGUACUGGCCAGUUCAAUUUUCAUGAAGCACCAGAAGACAGCAUUUUAUUUGGUGGGGGCGAAGUUUUGAUACAGGAAUUGCUCGGUUUGAAAUAUUUAGAGGUAUUGGAGUUGACCUUGGGAAGUUAUCAUGCUCUCCAAAUUCUUUUGAACUCAAAUAAGUUAAAAAGUUGUAUUCGAUCCCUUUACCUCGAGUUGUUCACAGAUACAACGUCGAUUAUUGAUGCUACGGCUUUCGCAGAUCUAAACCACCUCAAU
RNAcentral lists this long non-coding RNA (186791 nucleotides) under Citrus maxima (pomelo). RNAcentral describes it as "long non-coding RNA (CMAX_LNC000228)". Lineage: Eukaryota; Viridiplantae; Streptophyta; Magnoliopsida; Sapindales; Rutaceae. The record is from RNAcentral.